Molecule: long non-coding RNA, 212783 nt
Filed under: Lotus japonicus
Lineage: Eukaryota; Viridiplantae; Streptophyta; Magnoliopsida; Fabales; Fabaceae
Description: long non-coding RNA (LJAP_LNC001539)
Source: RNAcentral
GCUUCUUUUUGUUUGUUCCCGGGAGCUAGCUAGAUAAUUUUAGUACUUUUUAGCAGCUUGCUUUCCUUGCACAAGAUUGAAAAGGAAGACGCAUGUAUGUUUCUGAAAGUCCAAAUUAGCCAUCUAAUUCCACUGACUUUCUUAUUACUUUUCUUAAAAUAUCUCACUUUGAAAUCAUGGUUUGACACAUAGGGAAGAUUGAUGGGACUUAUUUUAUAAUUACUGUGGAUUAGCUUAGGACACAGCAUAUGGAACCAAUUUUUAUAUCUCAAUCCUGACUUUAAUCCUUGAUUAGCUUUCCAUGUUUUACUUUGGGGACAAAUAUUAGUUUUUCGAUUAUUUUUUAUUUGCCUGUGUCCCCCCUUUUAUACUUUUACAUGGUGUGUUUAUUUGUUCUGCUUCAAUGUUUUUAUCAGCAAGCAGAAGCCACGUGUAAAUUGUAGAGAAGGGAAUACUAAUUAAUAACUUGAUAUCAAUAGUUGGUCUCCAAAACUUUAAAAGUAGUAAAACUAAUCAACUUAAUGAAGAAUGAACUAAACCAUGUGACCUUCAGCAACACAUUGCAAAGUUAUAUAAGACAUAACACUGUUCACCAUGAACCCCUCCCCUUCACUUUUAAAUAGAUAGUUCGUGAAGUAUUUAAUGUAAAUAGGAUGAACAUGCUAAUAGGCAUCACAACUUCACAAGGCACUUGAGGGCCUGAAUAACAAGAAAUUAACUCUAAACAACAUUUUCAGAACCAAACUCAUGAUGGCUUACUUUCCAUAGUAAUUGAUUGACCAUAUAUUAGAUAAACAGCUAUCUCCUUAACAGUCAGUCCACGCCCAAAAGCAACAAUAAUCUCCAUAUUGUCACCACUCACCAGGAUCAAGAUUUGACAUUAGAUCUCCCAAUCUUUAUCAUUAAAGGACACUGUAUCAAGAUUUGAUCUUGCUUAUCAAAAAAAAAAAAAUCAAGAUUUGAUCUCCUAAGAAGGGUAUCCAUUGCUUAGAAACCACCAUCACCUGCACCAUAAAAAAUCUUUCUUCGGUCCAAAAGGCGAAUUCCCAUAGCUACACUCCAUUCUGCCACAACUUCUGACACCUCAUCUCUGUUCUUCCCCCUCUGAAUCUACUAGUGGAGUUAGCGUUCAGCAAUCAAUGAUAAGGAACCGAGGAAGUCUCUGUAUUCAAGGUGUGUCUGGAUAUGCAGCAUGAACAUACUUUCAACUCAAUACAUAAAAGAGUUCAGUUUGCCUUCCAUCUUGAAGUGUGUGUUAGCGUCCCAAAUAACCCAAUAUACCGAAGGUUGAUCGCUCCCAAUGCCAUCAUCAGUUGACAGAACACAAAAAUUUUAAGUAUGGAGUCUUCUCAACUGAGAGGCCUGAAAAAUAACACAAUUUUUAGUAUAGAGUCUUCUCAAAUUUAAAAAUAAUGUUCAUGAGCUGGUUUAAUUAAUUUGUUUUGCUUUGUUUAUCCCAAGUUUCUAGUUCAUAGUUUUGUUCAUUGUUCAAUCAAACCUCUGAUGCUUUGUUACUGGUUCACCUUUUUUCUCACUCGUGCAGCUUUCAAUGCCAAGGUCUUUCUUUUUCACACUCCUAUAGUUGUAUUUCAGAUUUGGAAUGCAUAAAGAUGUCCCGGGAGCACAAAGUGGCAAAGUACUGACCAAAGAAAAACGCAUGCAUUUCAACAUAUGAUAAUGUGGCAAGAACAAAAACUCAAAAUUACCUCCUUUACUGAUAUCCAACCUAGUGACUAUACAUGUUAAUUUGAGACACCAAUGAGUGAAUCAUCAUUAAACAUUACAUUAAAGAAACCCAAUAAUGCUAUGGCGAUAAUAUCCAAUAUACUAUACUGAUUAUUGACCCAAAUUAAGCUCAAGAUAUGUUCUAAAGUAGAUUGAAGAACACAUCACUAAAAGUACUCUCAAUAAUUUCAACCAGUUUCCAAUUUAAAUCUUGCAUGUGUGUAACCCUUGCCUCUCUCAUGUCUCUAAACAGUAAAAAGGCUUACUGAAGUAAAUACUAGCUUUUUUGUUUAAGUAACCAAACCCACCUAUCAAAGCUUCUAACUCAAUUAAUGUUCUGUCAUAACCCUCACAGUCAUACAAAUAGCCCAGAAAUACAAAACGUUAAACAUCAAACAGAACCUGGAAUCACCACAUCACAUGAACGCCAGAAGAAGAUCAAAGAUGCUAGAAAAAUUGAGGACAAUAAGGAAGGAAUAGCAUAAAAUCAACAAAAUAAUCCAACAUUGAUGAUAUAUAACCUAAGAUACAAGGAUUUUAAAUUAACAAUCAAAAGUCAGAAUCAAAGAAUAGAAUCAACAAUAGGGACGAAUCCUUAGAACAGAGAUCAACACCAAUGAUAGAGAAGCAGAGAGACAAACCUGGUAAAAGGAACCUUUGGAGGCAGAGAUAAACCUAGCAUGCAGAACAAGGCUUUGUUUUUUUUUUUGAAAAGGCAGAACAUGGCUUUGUCCCUCCUCCCUUCUAGAUAAUGUUCCAAAACACAUAAAAUAAGGAAAUCCCAUAAAAUGACAAAGCCAUACGAAUAAUUAUAUCUUCACACCUCAUUUUUGAGGUGUGGAGAGGUGGAAGAAGAGAGAGAUAGGAAGAAAGGAGAGAGAAAAUAACGAUGUGAUAAGUGAUUUAAUUGACAAAAAAGAGAGAAAUAGAUAGAAAAUGAAGGUGGAAAAGGGGUGGAGGUGUGUAUGAAUCAUAACUCUUACCAAUAAAAAACUGUUGAAAGCUCAAGUUUGGUUCAUGCAUGAACAUUGUCCCAAUCUCUUUGCAAGUCUUGUCAAGAAAUUUUUAUCUGGUUUUGGUGAUGGCUCAAUUUUCAUGUUAAGUGAUGAUUUCAAUUUCACAUUAGGUGAUGCCUGCAUGUUCACUUCAGUUGAUGGAUCCAUUUUCUUGUUAGGUGAUGGCAGCAUGUUCAGUCUAGGUGAUGGCUGCAUGUUCACUUCAGGUGAUGGCUCCAUUUUCACAUCAGGUGACGGAAGAACAUUCACUUAAGGUGAUGGCUCCAUUUUCACAUCAGGUGACGGAAGAACAUUCACUUCAGGUAAUGGCUCCAUUUUCACAUCAGGUGACGGAAGAAAGUUCACUUCAGGUGAUGGCUCCAUUUUCACAUUAACUGACGGCUCAAAUUCAAGUUGCAUAGUAAUUGAUGGCUCAAUUUUCAUAGUAAUUGACUGACCAUAUAUUAGAUAGGCAGCUGUCUCCUUAACAGUCAAUCCACGCCCAUAAGCAACAUUAAUCUCCAUAUUGUCACCAGGAUCUAGAUUUGAUAUUACACUCUCCCAAUCUUCAUCAUUAAAGGACAUUGCUGUAUCUUGCUUGUAGAUUUGAAUGGUCAAUUUUGUGUAAUUAUUGAUCAUGACACUAGUAAAACAUUCAGUUGCCAUAUUUUCAGGUGUUAAUGAGUAAACAGCACAUAAAACUAUUCCCUUCAAGUAACAAUCAUGAACCUCAGGCACUUGAAAAUGUACUAAAGGUCCUUCACCUUUAUAGGCUAACCAAGAAGGAUAAUUACCACACGGAAGGGAAAAAUCACUAGAAUCAUUGGUUGUCAAUCCCUGUAUGAAGAACAUAUAUACUUGGUUAUUUAUUGAAUCAUUCAAAUGGAGUUUUCGUGCCACUAUUGUGUCAUUCUGAAUUCCAAAAGGUGAGUGUUAAAUAUAAUCAUAGUAUGUCGCAUGAAUAAGCAGAGACAAGGAAAUUAGUAAUAGUUUUGUAACACAACCAUAACUUAUGGGGACCGGCAUGGGUAAAAUUCACCCCGCCUUGGGGAUGGGGACAGCCUUGCCCCACGCAGGACAAGUUAUGGUGUGAGGUUAUCUAUGAGAGGGGCAUAGAUAUAUCUUUUUAGGGUUAAUGGUCAAACUGGUCUCUAUCUUUGUAGCAAGUUUUGAUUUUAGUCCCUCCCCGGAAAAUGUUAAGCGAUAUCUCCCCGCGAUUGCACGCGUUUUGGUGUUAGUCCUCGCCGGAGCUCCGCCCUCCAGCGAGGACUAAUACCAAAACGCGUGCAAUCGCAUAGAGAUUUCGCUUAAUAUUUUUCGGGGAGGGACUAAAAUCAAAACUUGCUACAAAGACAAGGACCAAUUUGACAAUUAACUCAUCUUUUUAUAACUACAUUAGAUGAGUAGUAAACCACGAAAAAUGUGACAUCUUUCAUUGAAAACUCUAAGUUAUCGGUGUAUGGGGCUUUUCACUUAUAUAACAUUCAACACUUUUUUUUAUCCAAUGUGGGACUUAUUAUUAUUAUUAUUAUUAUUAUUAUUAUUAUUAUUAUUAUUAUUAUUCACACUUGAAGUCUCAACAAUCUUCCCUCAAGUGUCAGUCAUCAUCUUGUUGUCCGUCUCAGGGCCAAAACCACCGGCUCUAAUACCAGUUGUUAUAAUGUGUGGGGUGUCUCUCACUAUUAUAGCAUGAGAGGAGGCAUGAUAUAUCUUUUAUGGGUUCACUAAGGUACACCAUCUAUUUGGAUGAUAUAUCGGUACAGACAGUACUACCAAAUAGUUGUGAAUUAGCUACGAACGAAGCAAAUUCUUUGCUAUUUGCUAGCUAAUUUAUUGUUCACAAUUUUGCUUUAAUUUUUUUUGUCACAAUUUUUAUUUCACGUGAUUACAAAUUGUAUAUUUACAAGCCGUGUAGUGAUACACCACCCGAACACGUAGUGUACCCUAGACAACCCCAUCUUUUAUAACCACAAUGAAUGAGGAGUAAACUAUAUUAGUGAAGGACGUCACAUCUUUCACCAAAAACCCAAUGCAUUGUGUAUGAGUCUUGAACAUGAACAAUGAGGGACCAUGUUAAAAUAUGAUUUACCCAUGAAUAAUGUUUAUACUUGUUAUGUGAUAUUCAGUAACUGCCAUAAAUUGCACUAUAACAAAGCUUACAUUUUAAAUUAAAAUAUGCAUGAUUUUACUAUAAAAAACCUGUGCAAAGCGCAGGUAGCAUCUAGAAAAUAAAUAAUGAAUAACAAAUGAGAGAAGAUAGAGAAGUCACCUGUGAUAUGUUGUUGGCAAGAGUAUCAAUGACUGUGUGGCAACUUCCCAAUCUAAUCAAAAGUGAUCUCAAGGAAAAAUCUGAGAUUUGUGAUGCAUAUGAUGAUGAUGAUGCCAAUUCACUAGAAUUUACAUCAUAUUGAUCAUCAAGAAUUCUUCUUGACUCUUGAGUUAGUUGAAUCUCUGAGUGACAUUGUAUCAAAACACUUCGAAGUUUUGAUACGCUGCUUAGCCUUAGCCAUGAUGAUAAAUUGUCUAAACUAUUAUUCUGUAUAUCAAUAGAAACUAGAGACAAUGGCAUGCUCCCAAUAAGUGGAAUACGAGGUAGGGGAUUCAUUGUUGGUGCCAUCCAAGACCGAAUAAGAGAAGGAAAAACAUCACGUGUUAAUCCUUCAAAUCCACAUAGGGAUAUAUAUCCUAUGCUUUUCAAUUUUACAAUUGAAUGGGGCACUUCUUUAAUAGCUGUAUCUUUUGCAAGAAGUGUUGUCAAGGAUUCCAUCUGCACUAUAUCUUCUUCCAACUUGUCAAUUUUUGAACAACCUGAAACGAUUAGUGUUUUCACAGAUUUUAACUGAUACAUCUUCCUUGGGGGAUUUGUAAGGCUUGUACAGUCCUUCAAAUUUAUAAGAAGAAUAUUACUGAGAUCUCCGAUUGAAUGGUGUAGCUCGGACAAACAUGGACAAUCCUUUAGAAUGAGCUUUUCUAGAUUCGGUAGUUUUGAGAAAUCAGGGGUGUUUCCCAAGUUACUGGAAUGACUGAGAUUGAGAAUUUUAAGCUUCUCCAGCAACUGCAAGAGGAUGAAUGUUUAAAGAAAAUUAGAGGAAGAAGAGAAAAUGGAACAAUGCUGGUAACAAUGGUUAUUGUCAUCAACCUAUGCUUUUUUAAUAAAAUGUUAGUUAUUAUACCUUGGUUUCCUUCCAAACUUGUUUAAUACUGCUGUACUUUAAUUCUAAAACAACUAGCUUUCCCUGAUAUAAGUCAUCGGGUAUAUAUUUGGAUCUGAAUCCUUGCCAACAGACCCAUCUCAGUUCUUGGGAAAGAUAUCCAUAGUCUCCAGCGAGGUCAACACAGUCAAGUUGUAGAAGUCUCAGUUUUCUCAUUUCCUCGAAAGCAUUAGCACUGAAGCAAACUCUGCUGUUUUUUUGCAACUUCAAAACCAAUCCCUCAACAGUUUCUGUUCCCUGCAUGUGAAGAAAAAAUAAACAGAGAGAAGUUAGGGGAAACAGUUUUUGUUUGCUAUACAUAAAGCUGCAGCAGUGCAGCCUAACCACACUUGCAAUGAACAUGACAAGGCAAAAACUCAGGUUAUGAAUCCCACAAUUUCCAUUCAGUAAUUAGGACGAGCAAAACAAUUCAGAAACAAACAAAGAUUUUUAUGAUCCUGAAACAAUUAGGGUAAUCAAAAGUUUCAAACUGUUCUUACAGUAUUUUUGGUCAAAGCAUCAUGGACUUCCUCAUGAAACCACAAUCAACUACGCUUCCCAGGAUCUUUUGCUGAACUUUCACGAACAAUUUCUCUACCCAUGUCUCGAAGCAAAUCAUGCAUUUGAAGCUUGUUAUUCUUUCCAACUUUGACGAGGCUCCGCUCUAUGAGAACCUCUAUUCCAAUAUCAGCAUAAAGUCCACAGCCAUUUAGUAUAGCAGUAACAUCGGCUCUGUUCUUACCAAUGAAGAAACAACAUAUGUCAAGAAAUAUAUCCCUUUCCAUAUCAUCCUUUAAACCAUCAUAGCUUAUUCUGAGUUUCUCUUGCACUUGAUGAUUGGGAAUUCUCUUCAAUUUUGACAAUACACUUCUCCAUAAUUGUUCUGUUCUUCCUUUCAAGUAAGAUCCAAGGACUUCAAGAGCCAGUGGUAACCCUCCACAGUAAGCAACCACAUUUCUUGAGAGUUCAAUCCAGUCUUCUCGUGGACUUGCUUCUCCAAAAGCAUGCCAACUGAAAAGCUCAAGGGACUCAUCUUCAUCCAUUUCCUCCAUUUUAUAAACAUAGUCAACUUUAAGUAAAUUAAGUAGCCGUACAUCUCUGGUUGUAACAAUUAUAAAACUUCCUUGUCCAAACCAUUCACGAUUUCCACACAGGGCUUUUAAUUGCUCAGAUGUGGUCACAUCAUCAAGUACAACCAGUGCCCUUCUUCCAGAUAGUCUUUUCUUAAUCAUAUUUGUCCCCUCGACAAUGCUAUGUAUCUUCUUCACCUUUGUCUUGGUGAUAUGAUAAAGAAGUUGUUCUUGCAAAUGCAUAUGCCCUCUGCUAUCAUUCUCACAAAGUUCUCUAAUGUUUUCAAUGAAACUUGUACACAUGAAUUUGCGAUGAAUCUGAUUGUAGAUGGCUUUGGCUGUUGUUGUUUUACCCAACCCUCCCAUUCCCCAGAUCCCUACCAUACAAACUUGGCUAGAUUGAUUUUCAAUAAACUCAACCGCUUUGCUUGGUUGACUUUCAAUAUACUCAACUACUUCUUGCACGUGGGACUCUAAUCCAACUGGAAAAUCGGUAAUAGACAAGAUUGUGAUGUCUAGUUUUUUCGAAACGUGCUCUACUAUUUUCUUCACUAGUUCAGAUUCACUCCUUCAAUAAAAAUGUUACAUUAAAAUUGGCAGUUGAUAUUUUCAAACGACCAAAAUAGAAACAUAAGCAAGAAAUUAGAAAGUUACAGACAUUUACCUGAAAUUGGUGACAUCCCAACCAGAUAAAUUUGCAGCUUCGGUUAGGGCACUCCUCCAACUCGACAACGCCAUAAAAUAUGGUAAAGUGGAGAAGCGUAUUUUUUCAGCACUUGCUUCCAAUGCUUUUCCUAAAGCACCCUUCUGAUGACGCACAACUGAAGGGUCAACGCCAUAGAAUAUGGGCAGAACCACAUGGUUUCUAUUUCUAUGGCAUCGCAUGAUUUCGCAAAGCUCGAUGAGACACCAAUGAGAUUCAGUAUAAUUUUCGGAGAAAACAACGAUAGAUAUUCGAGACUUACUAAUUGCUCCAAAUAGGUCUGGUUCCAGCUCCAUUCCCUUGGUUAACUUCUUGUCGGUGAAAGUGAAGACUCCCGCAUUGGAAAGGGCAGCAUAGAGGUGAGAAACCAAACUCUUGCGCGUGUCCUUCCCCCUGAAAUUGAUGAACACGUCGUAGAAAAUAUCCAUGGUAGAAACUUAGAAUAGAAAGCAAAUUACAGAGUAAUGAUGCAUGGCUCAAUCAUACCACUAUUUAUCUUUCGUGCUGGCCCACCUCAGCCGCCUCAGCGUCUUGCAAGUUGCCGAUCACAAUUUAGGAAACCAAUGGAAUUUUUUUAUUCAGAUAAAUGUUAUAUUUUAUUGAAUAGUACUAUUUUGUUUAAUCUUCUUUUCCAUCUCCACUUCAAAUAAUUUCCAAUAUGUAACUUCAUGACUAUUCUUUCUAUUUUCAAUUCUUACGUGGAUUAUAGAGGAAUUAAAAUCCAAAAAAUUAAUUUCUACUCAUCCCCUACGAUCUUCAUCAUUCAUCAUCUAUCAUCUUUGUUCAUCAUCUUCAUCAAAACUCAUAAAACUCUAAACAUAGACCUAAAAUGAACUUAUCCUUUUAUAUUAUUUUCAAAAUAAGGGUGUAUACAAAAAAAUAUAUUUAGAAUGACCUAAACCAAAAGAUCUUAAUUUUAGAGGGACCAAAAACAUAUUUAUAGUAAUAAUUAAUAAACAUCAUGGAAGGGGAGUUCAAAAUGUCAUAUAAUUAGUGGAUACAUGAUAUAUUACAAGAAAACGAAAAGGGAAGCACCCAUGAAGGAUAUAAAACUACUUGGCGGUCAAAUUGCGACUAAUGUUCAUGUCAGGAGUCAGGACAAUGUUUGGUCACAUGUUGCAAGUAGUAUUUUUAAGAAUUAUGGUUGUUUUUUAGCAAUUUGUCCUUUCUUUGGACACUUGUACAUGUAAAACUACCUUUUCAACAGAAGUUUCCAAAAUAUUACUGUACAUGAGAAAAAUGUUACAAGGAUGAAGAGAAUAUAGGAACAAUGUACAACUUCAAAAAGAACUUGCUGAAAAUAUACUAACCUCAAAAAAAUCUUUACUCUUCCAAUUUGGCUAGAAGCAUUCCAGCCUUUAUUCCCACUAUUGAAAUCCUGAUAGUAACCAUUUCAAUCAUACUCGUUAAGUUUUUCAUUAUACCCCUAUUUUCCUCUGUCCAAUCGUCUAUGUCUUGUGAGUGACAACGUUGACAGUUUUAUUGACCUUUCCAUCAUAACCGCCUUCCUUGACCUGAAAAAGAGAACAUAGGAAGUUACUUAGGCAAAGGAAAUAUGGAAACAAUUAAGAAAACUGCUAUGAGUACAAAAAGCAAGGAAACUUCAUGCCUUUUCCCCAUUACUCUGUCAUGAUCUUUUGGGUUCGCAGAGAAAUCAUUGCCCCUUCAACAGCCUAAAAUCUGGAUUAAAAAUAAAAUAGGGAGUUAAAAUUGAUACUUAAAAGUUGUUAGAACUGCCACCCAUGCAAAAAAGGCAUAAAGGUAAACAUCCAGCAAGGCGAAUAACUCCAAGUAAAACAUGUACAACAGGUUAGUUCAUUGUCAAUACUCAAUACACUAAAAUUUGACAUUUCAUACUUGUAACCAAUAUUGCUCGCAAAGCAUACUUCUGCCUGCAGCAGUUCUUGCACUGCUGCAACUUUCCAUCUGCUAAUUCUUCUUCAGCAGCAUCAAUAUCCAACAUUAGCCCGUCAAUCUACAUUGAGCCCAAGAUGAUAUUUAGUGAUAGUGAAAUAUUAACAAUGAAAUGUCCCUCACAAAUUACCCCAAAGUGUUAAGGCUACGCAAUAAAUUCUACGUUCUACAACAGAUAAAUAUCGAAUAAGACAACCAUCAAUGGUUAAAGGACUAGAUGAAAGUAAACUCGCCAAACAUUAUAUGCUUACAUUUUCAUUUGUCACUCUCUGCUCCUUCAUUUAUCAAACUUCAAAUUAGACAAAUAGAAAAUAACUGAGCAUUUGAAUCUAAUGUUAAGAACCUUAAUUCAUCCACAAUAUGCUUCAGUUCAAUGAUCUCAAGCUGAGAUGCCUUAACAACACCCUCCAGAGCACCAGACUGCAUAUAGUGCAUGCAUAAAGAACUCUAAGCAAUUAUCAACAUAAAAACUUAGAGUUGAUGAGUAUUAUACAAUAACAACAUCCUUAACAACAUCGUCCAGGCCACUGUUUAUGAGCAUUAUACAAUAAAAUAAUUUAUAUACUACUACAUGAUAUACUAAUUUCAACUGCAUAUAAGGCUACCUAUGGUAGCUUACCCUUUUAACUAAGAUAACCACCCAUCCAAGCCCAAAAUCUUCUUCACGACUUGAGAUUUUGGAACAGAUGGUGCUGCUUGCCAGUCCAUGUUUAGUCCUUGUGCUCCAGCAAACCUCUGCUGUAUGAUGAUCUUAACCAAUCAGUAAAAGGAACUAGAGCUUCACCAAGUGCAAAAACUCCUCCUCCGUAGCACUAAACGCAUUUUCUUAUCACAAACCCCCUUGCUCAGUGGCAAAUUCUACAAAUCAAAACAACAACAAGUGAGCAGCUACAUGAACAACAAACAUAAACAUUCAACUAAUAAUAGAAAUGCACCCAAAGAAAAUGAGAAGUUGGGGAGAUUAGUAUUACUGACAGUGCAAGUAAGGAAGAGAUGGCCUUCGUAGAUGCCAAGUAGGUGGCAGAGGGGGGUGAAGGAUCUGGCUCUGAUCCUCGAGGCUGAAAUUGGCUUGACCGGAGGCGUUAGGCUUUAGUUCUGUGUGGCAGAGGAGUUCAAGCCUUUAAAUAAAGUGAGAAAUUUCAAAGAGUCCCGAACAUCGUUGUGGCCGGUGAGGUUAAGGCUCUCCUUCUUGCAUACGGAAGUGUCAAACCCCCCUCAAACCAACGGACUCAAACCAUGAAUGCCACCUCGAUCACUGAAACCCCAAGCCUCGACCUCCAUUGCUGAACGUCAACCCCACUGCUGCCCAUCUUAGCCUUGUCAACCAAAACCCCCACCAAGGUAUGAACACACUUCCAAACCUCUCGCCAUGUCGCGUUUGCCCCAUCACAACUGUUAAUAAAAAUCCUUAUUUUGUACCUUUGCGCCGACGCUAAUUUGGACUCUAAAUCAAGUCUUUCUUCCAAUGUAAGCUUCAGGUGUGUUCCGGUGUUUUGCAUUGGUAACAACGGACUUGAGUCUAUAUAGUUUUGGACUCCCUCAUCCUUCACUAACUAAAACAAUGUGGAACUUGCAUGUUGCAAUCAAACGCAAAUACUUAACAAUUUAAAUUAUAUGACGGUUCAUGAUAAUGAUUCCUCAUAAGGCUCUUACUUAUUGUACAAAUAUAAUAUAAAAUCAUUUAUGUAUAUUCACUUAAGAACUAAACUUCUGAAAUAAUUGGUUUAUGACAGUUACACAUCACAAUUUUCUUUAUGAAUCUUACAAAGGAAUUUUUCUUAGGCUCUUUCCUUAGCUGCAGAGAAGGAACCUUUUCCAUGCUAUUUUUUGAUCCAAGACCACAUGCAUUCUCCAAAGAAUGCAAUCUUACUUGAGUUGAGUAGGGCCAUAUAUCGGAAGCCAUUUCCAUGUCAGUUGAUUCAUCAUAUAUCAGAUAAACAACUAUCUUCUUAGCAGCCCAUUCAUGACCAGAAGUUACAAAAAUCUCCACUUUAUCACCCGAUCCUAGAUGAGAUAGUAUUCCCUGCCAAUCUUCCUCAUUAAAGGUCACUGUUGUGUUUCGUUUGUAUAUUUGGAUGCUACACUUUGUGUAAUUGACAAUCAAGACACUAAUAAGACAUUCAACUACUGUGUUUCUAGGAGUUGAUGAAUAAACAACACACAAAGUCAUUCCCUUCAUGUGACAAUGAAUAUCUUGAGGAACUGUGAAGAGCACUGAAUUUCCUUCACCUGUAUAAGUCAACCAAUGUGGAUAAGAGUCGCCCAGCAGAGGAAAAUCAUCUAACCCAUUGGUUGUCAAUUCCUGUAACAUAAACCAAAAAGCAAAGUCAAUUGUGUAAAAAUUGUAUGUUUUUAGUUCACGAAAAUAUGGCAUUCAUAAAUGUGAAGGAUAGAAAAGGAACCUGUGAUAUGCUCAUGCAAAGAGUAUCUAUGACCAUGUUGCAACUUCCCAUUACAAUGAAAAGCGAUCUCAAGGAAAGAUCUAAGGCUGAUGCAAUUGAUGUACUUUCCAAUUCAAUGACAUUUACAUCAUGUUGAUCAUCAAGAAAUCUUCUUAAUUCUUGAGUUAGUUGAAUCCCCGAGUCAUAUUGUAAACAAACACUUCUAAGUUCCGAAAGGCUGCUAAUAAAAGGAGAUAGGUAGCUCAAAAUAUUAUUCUGUACAUCCAUGGAAACUAGAGACAAAGACAAGCCCCCAAAUGUUGGAGUACGCACGCCAUUUGUUGUUGGUGACAUCCAAGACCAAAUGAGGGAGGGAAAAACAUCACGUGCUAAUCCUUCAUAUCCACACAGGGAUAUGUAUCCAAUGCUUUUUGAUCUUACUAUUGAAUAGGGAAUCUCUUCUAUUGCUGUGUCUUUUGCUAUCAAUGUUGUCAAGGAUUCCAUUUGCACUAUAUCUUCUUCCAGUUUGUCAAUCUUCGAACAACCCGAAAGGAUGAGAGUUUUCAAAGAUUUCAACUGAUAAAUCUUCUUUGGGAGAUUGCUAAGGCUUGCACAGUCCUUCAAGUUUAUUAGAAGAAGAUUACUGAGAUCUCCAAUGGACUCGUGUACCUCUCUCAAACUUGGACAAUCCUUCAGAAUGAGCUUUUCUAGAUUCGGAAGCCUUGAAAAGUCAGGGGUUUUUUUCAAGUACCUAGAAUGACUGAGAUUGAGAAUUUUCAGCUUCUCCAGCAACUGCAAGUAAUGUUUAAAAUAAAAAUUAGGGAAGAAAAUGGGUAAAAAAGUUGGCUACAAGUGCAGAUGUCAAUAAAAUUUUGACUUUUAAAAUUAAAUGUUAAUACUAUACCUUGGUUUCCUUCCAAACUUGUUUUAUAUUGCUGUAUUUUAAGUCAAUAACAACUAGAUUUCCUUGAUAAAGGUCAUCAGGUAUAGAUUUUAAGGUAAAUCCUUGCCAAUAGACCCAUUUUAAUUCUUUUGAAAGAUAUGCAUGAUCUCCUGAGAGGUCAACAUGAUCAAGUUGUAAAAGUCUCAGUUUCUUCAUCUCCUUGAAAGCAUCAGUACUGAAGCAAACUCUUUCUGUUGUUUGCAACUUCAAAACCAAUCCCUCAACCUUUUCUGUUCCCUGAAUGUAAAGCAAAACAGACAGAAAAGUAAGGGAAACCUUCUACCUCUCCUUGUUAAAAAGUUAUACAUAAAGCUAAAGAGGCGUAAGUAGCACGGCUCUGCUUCUAAUAAACAUGACAGAUAAAAAUCUUUUGUCCCCAAACUGUGUCUCUUUCUGUAUUCCACCAAUAAAAUUUUGAUAUGUCAAAUAUAAACCGUCAUGUAAGUUUGUAACUAUCCCUCCCAUAUCUUUUUCAAUUUACAUGGCAAGUUUUCACUAGGGGAAUAUAUAAUUGGAAUGCCGAUUAGGGAUAUAUGAUCUUGAUCUGAACAUAUGACCAGGCAAACAUACUCUCAUGUUCCCAACAAUUUUUAGUCAAUAGUUAUAAGAGCAAAACAAUUCAGAAACAGCGUCACAUGAUGAUGAUAAGAUUACAGAGGUCAAUCAAAGGUUUCAAAUAUAUAUAGAGAAAGUUCUUACAGUAUUUUUUGUCAAAACAUCAUGCACCUCCUCAUGAAACCACAAUCGACUACGUUUCCCAGGCUCUUUUUCUGAACUUUCACGGACAAUUUCUCUUCCCAUGUCUCGCAGCAAGUUAUGCAUUCGAAGCUUGUUUUUCUUGUCAACUUUAACUAGGCUCCUCUCAGUGAGAACCGUUAUUCAUCAGCAUAAAGUCCACAUGCAUUUAGUAUCUCUGUCACAUAGGCUCUGUCCUUACCUAUAAAGAAACAACAUAUAUCAAGAAAAAUUUCCUUUUCCAAAUGAUCCCUUAAACCAUCAUAGCUUAUUCUGAGUUUCUCCUGCACUUGAUCAUUGGGAAUUCUCUCCAGUUUUGAUAGCACACUUCUCCAUUCUUGUUCUGUCCUUUCAUUCAAGUAAGAUCCAAGGACUUCAAGAGCGAGUGGUAACCCUCCACAGUAAGCAACCACGUUUCUUGAGAGUUCAAUCAAGUCUUCUCUUGGACUUGCUUCUCCAAAAGCAUGCCAACUGAAAAGCUCAAGGGACUCAUCUUCAUCCAUUUCCUUCAUUCUGUACACAUAGUCAGCUUUAAGCGAAUUAAGUAACCGUACAUCUCUAGUUGUAACAACUAUUACACUUCCCGAUCCAAACCAUUCUCGAUUUCCACACAAGGCUUUCAACUGCUUAGAUGUGGUAACAUCAUCUAGUAUGAUUAGAGCCCUUUUCGACUUGAGUCUUUUCUCGAUAAUAGCUGUCCCCAUGGAAAUGCUAUGCAUCUUCUCCUUUGUUUUCAGGACAUCAGAGAGAAGUUGUUCUUGUAAAUGAAUAAGUCCUCUGGUACUGUCGCUUUCACAAACUUCUCUAAUGUUUUCAAUGAAACUUCUACACAUGAAGUUGCGAUGGAUUUGAUUGAAGAUGGAUUUGGCUGUGGUUGUCUUACCUGACCCUCCCAUCCCCCAGAUCCCUACCAUACGAACUAUGCUUGUUUGGUUCUCAACCAGCCUAGUAACUUCUUGCACACGGGAUUCCAAUCCAACUGGGAAUUCAGUAAUAGACAAGAAUGUGUAGUCUAGUUUUGUCCAAACGUCCUCAACAAUUCUCUUUACUAGUUCACCUUCAUUCCUUCAUUAUGUAACAAUUAUUAAACACACAGAAUCCGCAAAGAUUAUUGAAGAUAAUAAGUUCGCACAAAAUAAGCUCAAAUAAACUUCUAUUUCAAACACUAAGGGUCUUUUUGUGAGUUGAGAUUUGGAGGGGAGAAAAGGGGAGUGGAAGGUAUUUAAAAGAUAGGAAGGGUUUGAGAAAUUUCUAAAACCUUCCAUUCAGCUAUUUCAUGCAAACUAUCUGUUUUACGGUAUAAAAAAAAUGAAACCAAUAUCUGGCCUGUACUCUAAUGCAACAGAUAAAAUCAAAACUCUUACUUUAGCAACAAGAACUCGAGUAAUAUUAGUUAAGAGAGUUACAUUAGACCAACAAUCUGCUUAAUCUUCACUCCAGUUCCAUAUAGAUUUAAUCUUGCAUGCGGAACAGUGUGUCAAACAAACAAAUGAACAAUGAAUGGGAUUUGAACCCAUAAUGAUGGGAACAACAGAGUUCAGAAAAGGACUUUGACUUGUAGAAUAAGGAGAUCAAACCAAAUUGAAUGUCUUUGAAACCACCCUAAGGUUGUCCUAACAAUUGUUCUAGUACAAACACAACAAUGAUGAUUUCAGCUUCUCUUUGAAUCAGAUAACAUUUUAUCACCUAAUCAAAACACCACAUUCUUUCACUUGUUUAUAAAUAGACCACCAUUUUGUCCCCUUUAACAUGGGUGUUUCCCUUCUUUCAUCACUUAAUAUCCAAGUGUUCUUUUAGUAAAUGAUUAAUUUUUGUAUAUUUGAGCUUGCACUGGCUAGCAGAGAAACUCUAGAUGUGUUAUGAAUUCCUUCAAAUUAGGGGGUUUUGUGGGCUUUUGUGGCAGUGGACAUGUGCAUUAUCUGCUCUUCAAGUCCAAACGGGUAAGCUCAAAUGAGCUCUUGUGUGAGGACGGUGUUAAAAAUAAUACUCCCUCCGUCCCUUAUUAUAAGACUCAUUACUGUCUGACAAUAAAGGGUCUUAUAAUAGGGGACGGAUGAAGUAGUGUAAAUCAUUCAGGUAACCGUUACCCAAUAGCUUAAGCUUAACUUUUUGGGAUAAUUUAUUCAUUGACUCAAAGAGAGUUUACCUUCUCUUCUUCCCCUCCACUCUCCUAAGAACUCACAUAUAAAGCCUAAAGUGAUCCAAGAAAACAGAACAUGUUUCAAAUUUUAUAUUACCUGUACUUGGUGACAUCCCAGCCAGUUAAAUUUGCAGCUUCAGUGAGUGCAGUCUUCCAAGAAGACCGCACAUAUUUCAACCCUGACCCUGAACACCUUUUCCGCACGAGUGUUUCCAAAGCUUCUCCAAAAGCACCCUUCUGAUGACGCACAACCGAGGGUUCAACGUCGUAAAACACAGGAACAACCACCUGCCCAUGAACCCUGUGACAUUCCAUGAUGGUUUCGAGCUCGUUAAGGCACCAGCAUGAUUCAGUGUAGCUUUUGGAGAAAACAACCACUGACAUGUGAGAGGUUUCGAUUGCUCGCAGGAUUUCAGGUUGCAGCUCCGUUCCCUUGGCAAGCUCUUGGUCGAGGAAAGUGUUGAUGCCGGCGUUUGAGAGUGCGGCGUAGAGAUGAGAGACGAAGCUGGUGCGAGUGUCGGAGCCUCUGAAGUUGAGGAACACGUCGUAGGCCCAUUGGGGAUUGGAGGAGGAUGAAGAAGACGCCAUUGAUUCGGUUUCGAUGAAAGGAAGGACUAAACUGAAGUCAAUGCUUGAUGCUGCAAGAGACAAGGCAAUAACGCAAACAUACAGAGCAAUGGGACAGAGAGUUUGACUAUUGUUGCAUUGAUUACGACUUAGCAAGCAAGUGCUAGUUAACUAAUGAAUAUCCUUGAGUUGAUAAUGCAUUUUCACCUAAUGAUGUUGAGUCUUGAGUGGUAUAUAUAUGAGAUGUUAGAGGAAAUGUAACCAGAAAAAUGUGUGAAAAAUGAGACGAUAAAAAAAAUGAAGUGUGAAUGAAUUAUUAUUGUUUUUUCUCAUCACAUCUUUCACUUCUGUCUUUUAUUCAUUUCUCUCUUUAAACGUGUGUGGUGUGAAAAAAAACUCUCUUGAUCAAUUUGUGAAAGGAAAUUGCUGAUAUUAUUGGGUUUGCCUAAUCAAUAAAAAAACACUUUGUAUAACCUAGAACAAGGUGAGUUGAAGUGUUGAACCCUUACCUGGUAUAAACAUUUUUCUGAAAAAUAAAAAAAUUUCACGCUUUUGUCUACCAAGGUUUCCAGGUGUUUACUAAGCUCAUUUAUGUAUUAAUAUUUGGACAUGUGACAAAAGGUCCUCUUUCAAUUCUCCCCGAAACCAUCUUCCCUCCGCUUCAGCCACCACUCAUCGUCAUUAAUCUGGUGCCAAAGCCUAUGGCACCUCCUCACGAGUACAACACGUAAUCAAAAUACCAGGUAACCCCAUUGUGGGCAAAAUACCCAUGCAAGGCUACACAGUUUUUUUAUUUUAUUUUCAGACUUUAACUUCAAAUAUGAUUCAAUAUCAACUCUUGCAUCAUAAGGCGUAAUAUUACUCUUUGUGAAAUUGGUCUUAACAUAAAUUUACUCACUAAUGCACCUCUCAAAAUUAACCCUUUUUUUGAUACUUGUUAACAGAAUAUUUUCUUUAACUUAAUUUUAAUGAGUUACAGAAAAUAUUCUAAUAAGAGUGAAAUAACACUGUAGUUCUUUAAAUAUGUUGUAGAAGAAAAUAUUUAAAACUUGGAAAUUUAACAAUGUACUCUUCAAUACAUAGGUAACUAACUCAUAUCGCACACAAACAUGGAAACAUAUAUCAAUUAUAAGAGUAAAAUACACUCACCCCCCUCAAGAUUUGCAAGAAUGACACUCCACCCCAUUCUUUUUAAAAAUCUACACUCCACCCCAUUUUUUAUAAAGGCAAAAUUUAGUGACGAAAACAAAUUCGUCACUACUAAAAACUAAUUACUAAUUAGUAAAAAUUUAAAUAAAUUUAAUGCAUAUACACUCUCAUACAUUAAUUUAUGAAAAUAAUUUUACUGAAUUAAAUUUAAAAAAACCAUCCACUCUGUCUGUUAAGUCCACGUCCAAUCUAUCUUCAAAUCAUAUUUCUCACCACAAACGGCCACCACCAAGCCUUUACUCCCUUUAACACGGCUUCACUGUCCCACAAUGUGAAACCCCAUGGCACCACCAUGCCUCAAAGUUUUAUUGCGACGUGAACCCCAGAACGUGAAUCGCACAUCCCUAAAGCCACUUGUUCAACUACUUCUUGUGAAUUUCACCCCUUUAAGUUGUGAGCGAACGCUCUGUUGGUCUAAGAUAUUGUUGGAUUUUGUUAAAAACGAUGCUUCACCGCCUCGUUGGGCUCUAAUAACCUCAGAUCCACUUCAUAUUUUCAUAAUUUUGUUUCUCUAUUUUCUUCACCCAUUUGUGUUGCUUUUUUGGCCUACAACCCAAUUUUGAAAAUUGGAGGUAUAAAGAGAUUAUUUUGAUUAAAAUUGAAUUAUUACCAAAUAUGAAAACACAAGCAUGUUUCACUAUGCUCGAGAUAUGGUUUGUAAAUCGGGCAGGUGUGUUAUUGCAUAAUUUGCAUUGUGAAUUUACGGAGGAAAAACGUGAUUGAGAGAAUGAGGAGGAUUGUGAUGUUUUCAUUUUUAAAUUUAUUGGAUUUAUUGGAUUAUAUUGAUUUUUUGUUUUUGAAAUUAUUGAUUAACAAUUUAAAUAAUAACUAAUUAUUAAUGAAGAAUAUUUUUCGUCACUAAACUUUCCUCUAUAUAAAAUGGGGUGGGAUGUAGAUUUUAGAUAAGAAUGGGGUGGAGUGUAAUUCUAACAAACCUCAAGGGGGGUGAGUGUACUUUACUCCAAUUAUAAAAAAUAAGAAUGUGACAAUUUAUGAAUAGCUUUACAAUCCAUGAAACAACCACGACAUCUCUUAUAAGCAUUUAUCUGGUUGUUUCAUACGAGUUAUUUUUGUUAUACAUAGGAGGAUAACAUGUUUUUAUAUGGGGUUAUCACUUGAAGGAUAACAUGUUUUUUUAAUUUUUGUUAUACAUAGAAGGAUGCAAGGCAUGACUUAGACAAUAAUCACAAUUACUUCAUUACACUAUAACAGGUUGGAGACAAUCUCAUACAUCAACACACAUCUCUGUCAAACCAUUCUUGAUAUAAGUCACAAAACAAAAAUUACCAGUGAUGACUUCCGUAAUAGAAUCAAGGAAAAACACGUUUGCUUACAAGCAAGUGAGAUGUUAUUGUUACACAGUACCAAUUACAAUUGCAAGACAUUUAUUCAAAUUUCUUAAUGAGUGAUAGGUCAUUUAACAUUUUCUCAAUUGCUUCAUCAUCCUGAGCCCGUCCUCUUGUCUGCAGGUAAAAAAAAUUACCAAACAUUUAUCGUCCAAAUAGUGCGUAAAAUGUAACAUGCUAAAAAUCAGAACCAACAUGUGAAACAAGAAAUCGACAAGCAUAGGAUUUUAAUUGUAUUGAUGUGCUGUGAUUAUAAACCAACAGAGGAAGGUCUAAUUCAGUUGGAUAACACAUACACACCCAAAAAGGAAGGCUUAUCAAUUAAGGGAAAAUAUCUCUAGAGUAAAGUCCAACGUGGCAAAUAACUGAAGCGUGUGAGGGCUUAGUAAAUGACGAGAACAAUGUGACCGACGCCUCGUCUAUGGACGGAGGAUAAACGAAGAUAUUUUUUUCUGAGAUGCCAUUAAGAGGAAGAAAGUGAGGGAUAUCUAGUCAACUAAACCAAAUCUUUCAGCAAUCAGCAUUUACCUUUGUUAGCUCUGUAAUUGAGGGACUUUAUCAAAACUAAAUAACCAUAAUGCCUUAUGGGAGUUUUUUGUUUGCGAAGAUAGAAUUAUACAAACUACGGACAUAAAGCUUAACAAAUAGCUUCUGCCCCGAGAGCAGAAGACUCUUUGGUUGUAAAAUGAGUGAAUCCGCUUAUUCAAUGUGGAUUUCUUAAGAAUUAAUUUAUGGAAUGAAACAACUCAAAAUAUGUGUCUAGCUUAUUGAUACGUUUCACAAAACACCAAAUGAUUUCUUUUUUCCUUUGUACUCAACAAUGACCCAAGAUUAAAAUAUUUUCCCACUAGGUGGAGUUAGCUGAAUAGAUCAAAUGACGAGGUAGAUAACUCCAUUUGUUGACUGGAAUAGUUUGUUAGGAAGUUAGUAGAGAGAUUGAGAUGAUGGUAGGUUAAAAAUAAUAGAAGGAGAAGGAUGGGGAGUUUACCUCGAAUAGGAAAGGAAAAUGGGGAGGGAUGGUUUUCUCGUGAAUAUUAAGGUGUAAUAGAGAUUUUCUAUCAAUAAACACUUCUGUGUUCUGAUUCAGUAUCUUAAAAAUGGUAUUAGAGCUCCAUAUAUCCAGAGAGCAAUACAAGGUUCAGUUUAGAAAUACUGGAGAGAAGCCAUUUUCAGAUCAUUAGAAGCAAUAGAGAAUCAGUGAUCAAUGGAAAAGAUAAGUAUGGUUGCCUAAUCAUAGUGGUGCCACAGUUAGACAUCAAGAAAAUACUGGACAAGAAGAAGCUCAAAACAAAUUUCAAAGGAAGAAAAUUCUAAGCCUUUCCCUUACUUGAUAAUAGGGAGGGGAUGGCGCAAACAAACAUGAUAUAGGUUGUGGAUUCUUAAAGGCACUUGUCAAACAAUUUCAGUGAAGGUAUGACUUUGGUCGUCUAUCAUAGGUUUCAGAGGAAGAAAUGAAACCAGAACAAGCACUACACAAGGACAAAGUGGUGGGCGGAAACCAUCAUAUUGAACAAGAGAAGAAAAGCAUCAUAAUAAGGAACAUGUGGUGGGCGGGUAUGAAUGGGGAUGGUGAACGAUCUGUAAAUAAUGAACAAGCAUGGGAAGAGGUACCCAUAAAUGGCCCGAAACUUUGGGGUUUUCACCAUUUAAGUCAGCCCACCACCAUUUAAGUCAGUCACCAAAAACUCCCUUCCUCCCACACAACCUCACGCGCGCACACGAAAAAUAAGGAAAAAUCUACACAAAGGAGAAGAGAAUUAUAUCUACCUUGAUAGAUGGAACCAUAGCAAUAGCUUCCUCCACAGUUUCCGGGCAAAGAUUGCCUAGGACACACAGCUGCAGUAAAUCCAUUAAACCGAUAGUUAUAUAUUGUAUUGUGUAAAAUGAGAACUUGCUCACUUUUUUUUCUGAAUUAAAUGUGAAAACUUGUUUCCUAAACAGAGUUCAUGAAGGAAAUCGGAAUAUUACCUCAAACUCGGCCAAUUGGUAUCUGGCAAGAAUUCUUUAUGACAGUUAAGAUCACAAUUCUGAUACAAGGAUUUAAACUUCAAUGUAUACUUAUUAUUCCCUUUCAUGAAAAAUGGAAUUAACAUAGACCAACUAUCUCAGAUGUACUAACUUAGAUACAUGUCAAUAGACAAAAGAAAAUUAGGCCAAUUAUAACUAUGAAAGAACAUGAAAUGGACACCAGCAAAUCUUGAUUGAAAUAUAUAUAAGGAAAAGUAGAAAUAGAAAAUGAAUCAUCAUCUCAGUUUGCAGGAUACUCUCGGACUUGUCUAACAGCAUCAGGAUUUUUAUACCGGCUAAACCGUUUCACAUACUGCAAUGACUUUUCAAAUACCCUGCAAAAAGAGGGAAGAUAUCAAUACAAUAUAAGGUGCUAAUCAUGGUUAGCGACUUUGUUCCUUUCCAUCUCAAUCAAUGUCAAAUCUAAUAUUGGAUCAAUGUGAACUGGGAUUGGGAAGUUUUAAGAAUACUAUCACAGUUAAAGGACACCACAGUAGAACACUUUUUUCAGCAAUUAUAUCAAUAGACAAAGACCUUGGAAGCAUUAAGAAACCAGAUUAUAUAUUUUAUUAAGGUAAAAGCUCAUUGUUCUCAAGCCAUAAAAAAUGUAUUUUUGACUUUUAUGUCAAAAUAACACAAAAACAUGAUAAAGGAAUUAACUCACUGAGAAACUUGAUUCAUGGGAUCAUCAGAUGACUGUUGAAGCUGCUCAUACUUGUGCUCAAGAAUCAAUGAAACUUCACAAUUCAUCAAGCACUUUGCCUUCAAAAACUCUAAAAAAAUCUAGAGUUUAGAGUGAAAUCAAAAGGUGAUAGCAAUUAUACCAAACUAAAAACAUGCUCAAGCAAUCCAACAUGAUGUAACACAAUAGAAUCAUCUAUCAAACCAAUAGAACCGAUCAGUUCGUUAUCUGCAAGGUGGAAGGUGUGCAACUGUGCAUGAUGCUAGCUCACAACAAUUCAGGCAACUGGGCUCUAUUUUGAUUUUAUUCACUCCUUUUUAAUAUCUCACAGGUUCGACUUUUAUGAUUUAUUUAUGUCAUUUGUGGCUUUUUAGUAUUAAUUUUGAAUAUCAUGAAUUUUAAGUAGUCUUACGUAUUUUUAAGCAUUUAAGUAUUAUAUAGCAUAUAUUGCAUAAAAUUUAUAAAAAAAAAAUCAGCGUAGCGACCAUCCCAGUCCCACUAUGCGACAGGAUUGACAGCACUGAUUUAAAUCUCAAAAAGAAACACCAAAGCUGAAAGUUAGAAACAAUGUAAACUGAAGUUUAAUUUUUAGAGAUUUCAGAUGAAAAUACAUAUUACUUUACUUCCUGGAAUAUCUAAGAUUCUAAGUCUCUGAAUCUUAACUGCUUCCUUACUUUACCCAACUAUAAUAUUCAAAUCUUUUCAAGGUUAGACUUUACCUAACAGUUGAACCUUCACUCCAGUGCAUAUGUUAUAACUAGAUAUGCAACUGAGAGCAAGUAGAAGAGAAAUAGACAUACUUUAACAAGAUUUUACCUAAAGUGAGUUGUACGCCAAAAUUUACAACAAUUUAUGAAGAUCACAAGUGAAAGCUCUACGCUAAACCUUAAAACCAAUACACCCAAAUUGUAGGUCCGAGCCUCCAUUCAUCUCCUAGGGGUGAGGUAAAUGCAAGUCCUGAGUAAGUAUUUUUUGAACCCAAAGGCUUCCCCAACCUUGGACCAUGGCAUCAUCCAGUCACCCUAAAAUUUCUUAUCUCACCAAAAAAGAAAAAACAAUACACCGAAACAUUGAAUGUGAAAUUCGAAGUAUUGACCUAUUGUCCCGGUCCUUAAACUUCCAACACAAUCACAAAAAUUCUUUGUCAAGCAAUGUGAUAAAUGUAAGGUAAAGGAACAUAUCCAGUCAAUCCCAAAGCUUAUUGGUGCAACAUGCAUUAGUGAUGCAAUCUGCAAUCCAUCCAUCCUUCUGUUUUGAUGUAAGUAACAUAACAUCCACCAGCUAAUGAUGCAGCUUGUCACACCAAGUACAUUAACUAUGCUUUUAACAGCACACAUGACACAAUUAAAGCAUUUAGCAAGAGACCAUAGUAAAAAAAAUCAUAUACAUGUUACUAACCCUAUGUUUCCUUAUCAAACACUCCCAAAUUCAUAUAGAAUUAUAAAUAAAUAAAAAUUGAAACGAAGCCUUGACAAAAAAACCAGUUACCACUCUACCAUGUAACAACAUUGGGAUUGAUGCUUGAAAAGAGAGUGAGCGAGAAUGAAAUUACCGUCUCCGAUUUUGAGUUCUGCGGCGUUUUCUUCCUCUUCCCCAGACAUGUUUCAGAGAACAGAAUCGAAUUGAAUCCAAAGAGAGAAGCAAAUCAGAAAAACGGAUUCAUAAGAUGUUAAACAACACAGCUUUGGACCAGAACAUGGACUUGGUUAACGACUUGCCUUUGGGCCUUGGUCCGGCAUUCAUGUCAAACAACUAGCAUGAAACCCAUUUUUUUAAUAAUGUAAAAAAUGCUAUUUACAAAAAAAAAAUUCAAAAGUUUUUUUAAAAGUCUAUUUAGUUUCCGAUGGAGAAAAAAAAAAGAAAUGUGAGAUUAUAUAACAAGUUUUUAAAUAUGCUAGUUUUUAUAUAGGCUACCAGGCAGACCAAAUUUUCAAAAGGUCCAGACUCGAGUCUUAAUUUUUUUUGGUAGAUCAAACCUAUUUAAGCAAAGUCUAACCUAACCUAUUUCCAUCUUUAAUGACAUUGUUUGUGUUUUCACAUAGUUUUAUUAAGUCAAUUAGUUGGGCUUGGUUAAUUUUUUUGUUAUAUCAGAAAGAUAAAUUGCAUCAUUCAUGGAUUGAUUCCUAGACCUACCUCACCCAACCUACAUGUCUCCUGGCUCUUAUCACUUGAGCUAUCAUUCGGGGACGUUGGACUCUGUUAUUAUAUAUAACUUCACAAAAUUAAAGGAAAAAGGGCUAUUAUUAAAAAUUGUGGAAAAAUCUAUUUUAAUCAUUAGAGUUAACAAACCUCCUCAGCAAAGAAAAAUAAAAUCUCCACAGAAAAAUUAUUUUAAGGUAGAUUUAACAGAUAAAAUAUAACAUUGAAAUGUGUUGAAUGAAUCAGAAUCGCAAAAGUCAUUGAUUCUGGUCUUUCUUUAUUUUAUACUUGAGGCACUCAACAACUGCAUGGCUUUUACAAUGUGAACAAACAUGCUAACUAUAGAGAAAUUGAAAAACACAAUAUAAUUCAGAAACUUAACUAAGCAUAUGGCUGUUAUCACUCAGCAUAUGCACAUGCGUGAGUAACAUCAAACCUAUGCGUAGCCUUAAAAUGAGCCAUUGUUACUUAUUAACUAAGUAACUAAGCUAAGAUAGUCAUGACAUAACUAUCUUUUAUUUGGGGGUUUCUCCAUCAAUUUAUCAAAUAUUUGGUGAUCCUUCAUAUGAUCAAGAUUCAUUUAAAUUCAUUAGUACUGUAGAGCUCUGCAGCCAAUCUUGGUUUUGCCACAACACAAAGUGGCUUAGCCAUAAACAGGUCAUCACUGGACUGGGUAAGAUCGAUGCUUGAUACGUUGGGUGGUGCACUCCAGCUGAAGCCAUGAAGCAUCCUAGCAAAUAGCAUUAUAGUCAUUGUGGUACCAAGUGUUACACCAGGACAACUACGUCUUCCUGUGGUAAAGGAAAUGAACCUCAAAUCUGGCUCUGUCAAAACCACAUCAAUACCCUCCUUGAGAUGGCGUUCCGGGUUGAACUUGAGGGGAUCAGUCCAGAAUUUUGGGUUUCUACCAAGAGCAACUCUACUUAGUAGUACUUGAGUUCCUUUUGGGAACAAGUAGUCACCGACCAUUGUGUCAUUCAUGCAAAGAUGGGGAACAUUGAAAUACUCCAUGGGGUGAAGUCGAAGAGCUUCUCUUGCGCAAGCUUUAACAAAUUGGAGCUUAGGAAUAUCUGAUUCUUGGACAAGCCUCUCUUUGCCAACUACAUUGUCCAAUUCUUCAGUGGCUCGUUUGAGCAACUCAGGUUGGUUUAGCAUUUCUGCUAGUGCCCAUUCAAAAGCAUUUGAUGGAUUGUCCACCAUUUCAAUCGCCAAUUCCUGCAAGAAAAAAUUGGUUUUCAAGUUUCUCAUACAGGCUUAAAAGCCGUAACAGGUUGCAUGCCAUUACUAAAAAAAAUGUUAAGAAUAAUACAUAGAAUAGCAGAGCAUAUGUGUGGAUUAUUUUCAUAUUUAGUUUUCUAAUUUCAGGGAACACACAUGAUGCAUUUUUUCUUACUAGGAUUUUUUCUAAUAAGGUUUUAAUGAUGCAUUUUUUCUAGUGUCUCUCUUUCUUGGUUGUGGGGUCUUUUUAGAUACUUGCAAUUUUCAUUAUCUAUAAAAAAAUGAUAAAAAAAAAGUGUUAAAAAUAGUGUUGCGCAAUAUUCUUGUAAUAUUGUACGUAUGUACGUACCAUAACUAUUUUCUGAAUUAAAAAAAUAUUUUUAACGUCAAUAACAACAUGCGACAAAUAUAUUUGAAAAGUGUACUAAGUAAGCAAAAAUAAUGCAUGCGGAGGAAAAUUAAAGGAAACAAUUAAGUAUAUAUUACUGUAAUUUGCGCCUUGAUUUCCUUCAAUGUGAGUAAUGGUUUAUUGCUGGCAUCUUUGAGUUUGAUCAACACGUCCAGUAAGUCUUCUUCAACGGUCUUCAAGCCAUCAUUCCACUGUUUGAUUCUAUCAUGAAUAAUGGGAUCAUGAUACUUCUUCAUGAUCCCCAUAGCUUUCAUGAUUUUGCUCCUAUGGCCAUCCAAGUCAAGUCUCCUCAAGAAUGGAAUAAAAUCAGAAAUGGAAAAGGCAUAAACAUAUUUAAGUAUUGUGAAAGUAGCAUUUAUAUGCUCAACUUCCUCAAAACCUGGCCCUCCAUCCUCCAUUACCUUCCCAAAGUACCUUGUAUUAAAAAUCAAUUUCCUGAACACAUUACCACCAUAAUGUUGCGCCGCAAUCCUAAUAUUCACAAGGCCAGGACCAUCAUUCACAUCUUUGCAACACUUGUUGUAGAUGUAAAACAUAAGGUUAUCAGCUUCUUCAUUCCUUUUACCUAGAAGCCAUUGAUGCUUUUGAGGGGAAAGCAAGUUGUUGACCAACACUCUCUUCAUCUUCUUCCAUUGUUCCCCAUAGGGUACAAGAACCGUGGUUAAGAAACCAUCGCUGGCUAUAUCAGUGGACAUGAUUUUUGGCCUCGAUGCAAAAGAAGCAUCGUGUUUUUUCAAGAAUUCACAGGCAAUGGUGGGGCACGUCACAGGGAUAACAAUGGUAUUUGCUAGGCGGAUACACGCUAUUUCAGUGUUCAUUUCUUUCAUCAGCUUGUGUAUCCAUAUAGUUGCAGGCCUGUUUGCAAGCAUCUCAGGGAGAUUGCCAACAAUAGGCCACGGUUUGGGACCUGGGGGUAGUUUGUAUUUCUUGGACUUGUUAACUGAGUGAGAUUUAGUGACUUUGAAAAUUAUAAAGAAAAAUAUCACAACAAGCAAAAAAGUCCAAGAGAAUUCAAGGCAAAAAGAGAGAAAAUCAGGCGUAAGACCCAUAGCUUAAAAAAUGAUUUAAUUUUCAAACUAAAAUGAUUUUUUAAUUUGGGAUUGAUCCAUGAUCGAUUAAGGGCUUGCGAGGUUAUCUAUAUAUAGUUGCUCAGCCUAAGGACAAUAGUGACAUGGCAAAUCUUUCAUUGUUCACUCAUUGAUAGUAUUAUAAUGUUAAAGUUCACGUGGCUCAACUAUUUAUGUUUAUUUAUGGGAUUGUUUGGGUUAUCGAGAUUUAUUUUCGAUAAAAUCACAAUUUAGGGUCUGUUCUGUUUGUGUGGUUUUUGUUUUCAAUUUUACUCAAAACAGAAAAUAGAGGUGAAAUCUUUUAUGCCUAAAUUUUAGACAACAUUUUCAUAAAAAUAUUUCCAAAAAUAGGGUUCCCUAAUAUGCAGUAAUUUAAAGUGGUACAAAUUUGCACAUGUACUUUGACCCGUUAAAGUAGACCAAAACAUUUUUUUACAGGAGAAACAAACAUCCUCUUUUUUAAUUUUUUUUUAAAGACGUGUUGACCUUCUAUAACCGAUAAAAGCAUAUAGUGUAAGAUUACACCAUUAAAUAUUACAUAUUUGGUAAAAAUAAGUUUAAAUUUGAAAAUUAAAAUAGUCAUUUUCUAUUUUUUAUUAAACUUAACUUUAUAUUUUCGCUAAGGUACUAUCGAGUCAUGGGUUCAACGUCUUCGCCACAACAAAUAAGUGGUCUUGAUCUAAAUUAAUAUGAAAGACAUUUAUUUUAAAGAGGAAACACGUUAUUAAUGACAAGUUUAUACUUUGUUUUGUAGAGAAGAAAGAGAUAGAAGAGAGAGAGUAGAGAAGAGAGAAUAUGAGUAGAAAGAAAGAUGUGAGAAAUAGAGUAAGUUUAUAGAUUAUUUGGUAUGAUAGAAAGAAAAGAGAGAUAAAAGAGAAAGAAUGACAUAAAUCUCUCUUGUUUUGUUUGGUCGAAUAGAAAAAGAGAAGAGAGAGCUAUUUUUGUAUGGAAUGACAUUUUUCACCCUUUAAUUUUUAUCCAAUUAUUUGUUUUGAAUAUUUUAGUUUUAUACUUUAUAUUUUCGUAACUUUAAUACUAUAAUUCUUAGUGUAAUAAAUUAAAUUUUAAUAUUCGUUUAUUAAUUCUAUAAUUAUUUUCAUUUGUUUAGAGAAGUGUUAUUGGUGCCUUGGAGUGAACUUUACAUUAUAACGUUUAAAGUUGUACUUUGCAAUUUUUAAUUUGUUUUAAUUUAUUUUAGCCCACUUAAAUUAUAUGGAUAUCUAGAGUUAUUUUAUUUGGUUUUAGAUCUAACUGUUAUGUUCCACAUUGGAUAUCAAGUGGUAAUUUAGUCAUGUUCUGAAUUGUAAAUAGAACAAUCAAUUGAUGAAGGUACCGAGCCAAUAAUUUUUAUUUUACUUUUGAAAAUACCAAGCUAAUAAUUAGAUUCCAGAAAAUUAAUUUGUUUUCAAUAUAUAUCACGUGAGUUUUUGAGAGGUGAGGGUAUAAUGGGAAGUCAACAAAAAAAUGGAGAUGCACAACCAACUUUCUUCACAAAAUAGGAGAGAAUAGAAAAGUAGGUGUGUCCUACCAAAAUUCAUCUCUCUUCAUGGUGGCCUCAAAGCAAACGGAGGUGGGUUGAGUUUUGAAUAAUGUUGUGUUAAUCUUCUUUCAAUUCAACUAUUGCCUUAAGCCAUGCAGAAGAGAAAAAAGAGAAAUAAGUUAUAUCAUUUAUGAUGUAAUAAAAAAUGUAAAAAUGAAUAAAAAGAAAAUGUGUGGAAAUUUAAAUGAAAGAAAAAAAAAGUGCACCCUCGUUGAAUUUCUCUUCUCUAUGUAUAUCUCUUUGGGAAUUGUUAUUCAGACCCCUCACAUCUAUUUCUACCCCAAACAAUUCUAGAAACCAAAAAAUACUUCUGUCGAACGCACUUUGCAAGUGCGAUCCUUAUCACACCUAACACAUUUUCAAAGUCAGACAACUGUCUCACUUUGAAAGUGCGUUAGGAUCUCACUUUCAGAGUGCGAUAGGUUGUAGAAAAAAAAAUUCUAAAAAUGAACUGUAACAUAACAGCAGAAAAGAGGAGAGAGAGGAGAAGAUGGAGGUUGUUGUUGUGGUGGUGGUGGUGACAGUGGUGGUGACGGUGGUGGUGACAGUGGUGGUGGUGGUGGAGGAGAGAGGAGAGAGAAUGUAUGGAUGAGGUGAUGAAUUUUUAUAAUUUUUUUCAUUAAGGACAUUUUAGUAUUUUACACUUUAAGGGGGUUGGAAUAGAUGUGGGAGAGGUCUGAAUAACAAUUCCCUAUCUCUUUUCCUCUUUUCUCUUUACUAACUCUCUUUCAUCAUUUCACCAAACAAAGCAUAAGUGUCAUCUUGCAUAAUACUACAAAACAUUAUCCAUAGUAGCAAAUUUCAUUCAUCCAUGUUAUGUUAAGUUCAAACUCAUUAUAACGUUUUUAAAAUCUUAUUUUGAUCAUAACAAUUUUAUAGAAAAAAUUUCAUUGAAAAUUAAACUUAUUAUAACAUUUGAAUUUCGGGAGAAACUCAACUUAUGUUAUAUGCUUCAACGUUCAAACAUCACAAAAAGAAAAGCUUCAGAAGUUACAAGACUGUUUGGCAAGCAAACUCAUUCAAAUUCAAGACUCAACUCUCUGACAGUCUAAUGCCACAUCAUCAGUCAGAUAUAUUGAAGAUAAACUUUGAGCGCCAAAAUUGAAGUUGGAUUGUAACCAGUUGCCAUACAUUCAAAUCAAAAGGAAACCAAUUGACUAAUAUUCAAAUCAGACCACGUGAAGACUAGUUUGCUUCAGCUAAAGGCACGCUGACCAACAAGGGAAAAUGACAAGCCGUCAACAUCAUAUUUCUCAAUUGUCUCAUGUCUGAAAAGUAGCCCAAGUCUAUCACCACCUACUAGCUGACAAACAUCACCUUUUCGGCUAAAGGAUAGACUUGCCUCUGAGCUCACAUUUAAUGAAGCCACCAACCAAAACUAUUUGAAUCAACUGUUCGAUCUCAUUACGCAACAGCUAAGAGCAACGAUCAGAUUAAAGCUCACAACGGCUACAAUACUAGCAAGCGAGUAUAUAAGGAACUCUUGAAGAAUUGAAGACCAAGAGAAUUAAUUUGAAAAGAACAAGAACUCAAGCAUUCAUUUCUAUCUUCCCAAAAGCAUUCAAAGCUCAAGAAGAAAUUUUCUAAGAGUCAAACCAAAGCUUUUACUUCUGCAAGUGAAAGAGAGAACCUCGUACCUUAAAAGAGUCAAAUCUCUUUAUUCUCCUCUCACUUAGUUUCAGAACUCUUAAGUGCUUCAAAGUCAGAUCUGAACCCAAACACUUAGAGUUCCAGUGCCAUAAAUUAUCUACCAUUACUCUUGAACGAAGAGAAACCUUGUUGAAUGAUAUAAUCUUUUUAAGAUUGUUGGAGAAGUCCUGAACAAUACUUGUAGGAGGAGUCUAGUAGAAUACUUGGAGAAGUCUGUGAUAAUACUUGUGGGAGAAGUCCUGGUGAAUACUUGUAUUGGAAAAGUCGUUGAUACUUGCUAGUGAAAAUCUUGGUGGUGGCCAAGUACUGGACGUAGCCCAACCGCUGCACUAAACGGUUUACGAAAAGUCAUACUUAACGUUUUCUUAAGAACUAAUAUUCUUUUCACAAACCUAAGUUUUAAAAAGUAAAUUUUAAGAACACAAUUCAAACCCCCUUUCUUGUGUUAUUUAUUUACAUCUCAUGUUAUUUAAAAUCUUUUAAUUAUACUUAUUCUUUUGUUUUUCACAUUUGUUACGGUCAUGUCAAACGACAACAUUAUUUUUUUCAUAUAUGUUUAUUAUUUUUUUUACUUUGUACUACUUUAUUUUCCAUUCUCAUUCAAUUCUUGUUUUUAAUUUUAAAUAUAUUAACACAUCAAUCUUUAUUACUAUUAAGAACUUAUAUUAUAAAUUUUAUUCAUGAGUUAUAGAUUAAUAAGUAUAUUUGUUAUUAGUUAAAAAUUAUUUUUCCUGACCUGGAUCUAGCCAAGACCAAAGACCUUUAUAGGAAACCCUAGCAGAACAUAAAAAUAGCAGGUGAUGUAAAUAAAAUUGUUAUGUCAUAAAUGAGCAAAAAUAUUCUUAAUGCAAUGAAUGACCUCCCUUUUAUAGUGGGGUGGUUUGAAACCCUAAACUAUUGCGUCAUUCGGCCUCAUAAUUAUUGGCCCGAUUCCCCUUACAUAUAUAAUUCUAAGACUGCUACCUAUUGGGGCUGUCUUACCCACUCAUGUGGAAGACUGUCCUAUGCGAAUGACCUGCCUUACUCCAGGCUCGCCCUAUACGUGACCAUCCUCCUGUAUAGCCACAUCUAAUAAUUGAGGUGAGUCCCUUGACUAAAGGGCUUAUCCGGUCCACAAGCCCACAAAACACUGUGCUCGAAGUCUAAAAGCUAAGAUGUCUUCAUGUCCUUACGACGCUAUGCUCACCUCUGUAUUUCACGAUAACUUUCUUUGAAAAACUAGGCACUUCCUGAACAAAAGACAUUAUGCUCGAAGUCUAAGAGCUAAGGUGUCUUCAUGGUCUUUCUGCGGAGUUCUAGUUACAUCAAGGUCUGUUUCAAGGAUAACUCUUCGGCUGGAAGUCACAACCAUAACCCCCGAGUGUCCCCUUGUUACUCGCCUCCAUAAUACUAGAAAUUUUCUUUGGCAUCUAUGUAUCAUUCCCGCAUGCUACCUGCGUCUUUGUUGAACGCCCAAUUUUCACCUAUGAUUAUUUUUCUGCACAAAAUUUCAAACAUUAAAUAGUUCUAUUCAUUGUGGGCGAGUUACCUGUUGAUCGCUCGAUGUGUUGUCCAACGACCAUGCCUUUUCAAUCAAGCGUCACUUCAGUCACUAACACGCGUUUGUGAGUUACGAGGAAUUUUCUAUCAUUAGCAUUGAUGGAGUAACUUUUUCAGACACUCCCAAGGAUUGCAUCGUUUGGUGAAAACCUAGGGUUUUGAGGCGUGACGAUUCAGUUUUUCCUUUCUCUCUGUAACGCCCCGAUUUCUCGAGUGUCACACAAUAACCAAUUAAUCAAUUUUCGUAAAGAGUUUUCGUCGAUUCAAUUAUUAAUCUUGAAUUAAUGACAAAAGUUCUAUUAUUGCGAAACUCUUGAAAACUUAACCAAAACGCUUGCGGAAUAAAAAGAUAGUCAUAACCUCAACGUUAAAUGAAAAUCAUGUCGCAAAAAAGGUAACCGUAAAAUAGAUCCUCAAAGUAUGAUUACAACAAAUUUCCAAAAGGAAAUAAAAUCCAACGUAAGAAAAUAAAUAAGUACGGUGCUAUCGAUCACUCAACCCAACAGUAAAGUAAAGUCACUCGGACCACUCUUCCUCCUCUUCAUCUUCAUCUUCAUCUACUUCAUAGGGCACCAGUCGAUCAAAGAAUCCCCUCAGCUUCUUCCGCGGCAUUUCCUGUUCCUUAGCCUUAUGCUUGAUGGGAGCGGCCUCCGGAACUGGUACCAAUGGUGCACUAGGCCCUGCCAAUGGCCUCCCCAAAGCGAUCUCCAUAUUCUCCGAAGGAUCUAGCUCCUCCUCAGAAACUUGUGCAGAAGAUGUCUUGGAUCCCACGUCCAUAGGGAAAUAGAAACGAGGGGGUGCAAAAGGCACCUUCACCCUCCCAUGUUCCAUUUCCUGAGUCUGGAUGACUACUCCUCUGCUGUCGCGUCCCGUGAUCGUAGCCUUGCCGACAUAAAUACGAUGCACCUGGCGCGAGUCGACCACCCAAGCGUCGUCAUUGUCCUCAUCGUGAAGUUUCGGUGUUGAAGAAUACACCGAACUCUUCGUCAGAACCAUCUGCCCCCCCCCCCCCAGAAUAAACAAAUAACAGAUAAUAGAGGGUCAGAUCCCAUACAAUACUCGCAAGUAAAACAGGUAAUCACAUAAUGUUAUCACAUGAAUAAACAGGGACUAUACAUAUUCAUAUCUCAGUUAGGAACCUAAUAGUUUAGUUAGGCUAACGUCCUCAUCAUCACACAACCACCACAUUCACCUUGGCCAACCACGAUCAUCCAUAGAUGAACAAUCUCGAGGGGACCACACAGUCAACCCACAUUUCUCGGGGAGACCACACAUUCAAUCCCUAACCCAUGACUCUGUCAGGGUUAAUCACAUGGAGACCACACAGUCAAUCCGUAAAGUUUCUCCCUCGCGUGCAAUCAACCGUUUGUCUCUAACGGCACCAUCGUUCUCAUGGUCCAUAGCCUAUACCUUAGCACUAUAACCAUAUCAUUCACUACUUGAAAGCGAAGUUCGCAUCACUAUAGUUGGCUCCUAAUAUGAUAAUAUAAAAGUAUACCAAUAACCAUCAUGCAUAGCAUAUUAUUAGGGCUUCUCACCCAUCCUUGCCAAAACAGAAAAUUUAUCAAACAUCUCCCAUCUCAUAAACAAGUUCAAACGCCUAACCCUAGGGAGCAUUGGUUUCGGCCAAAUAACAACACCUUUCACAUAUACAUAUGUAUCAUACAAAAUCCAGUACCAAAACAUCAAGCUAUUUCAUGGAUCAAGGAGCAUAAGAAAAAUCCGCCGAAAACCCUAAAAAUGGGUUCGGCCGUGAGCAUUCUUAGGCUAGGGUUUUCCAAAUCUUUGAUCUUGUUGGAUCAAGUUUUCUCUAGCCUAAUUCCAGUAGGGAUUCAUGAUCAAGUCUCAUCAAAAAUCCAGAUCCAAUACAUGUUAUGAAAUCCAAGACAAAUCUAGCAACAUAGUGGGAAAUUGGCAACUUUUCUCAUGUGAUCAAUAAGGAUUUGUAAUUCAGGUUCCCUCUGAUACGAUUGUCCUGCACGAUGCUGGGACAAGAGGUUCGACAACCGCUUAACAGCAAAACAAAACUUAACAACAGAAACAAUAACACACAGUAAUUGUUAACCCAGUUCAGUGAAAACUUUCACCUACGUCUGGAGGGUUUGCACCCAAAGAAAGGAAAUCCACUAUCUCAAGAUUCAGGAAUUACAGACACUCAUGAACAACUCAGUUCAUAGUUCACUUCCUAAUCUACCCAGUGUAUUUCUACUUAGAAUCUCAACCUAAGUAUGAGAGCCCCUCUCACUUUCUCACAAUCACUGCCACAGUGAUUGGUGAACACAAUGAACAAGUAGAGUUUGAACGCAAACAAACACACAGAAUCUCUCUUUGCUUUAUAGAACCAGUGAGCAAAGACAGAUUUACAACUAACAAAGGACAAAGCACAAUUAACAAAUCCUAAAACACUCGAUCUCUCUCUAUCAGCUUCGACACCUUCAUGUUUUAGGUCUUCAUCCUUUUAUAGACUUCAGCAGCGGUAGCAUGGGCUUUAGGGUUGGCACGGGCUGAAAAAACAGAUUGCAGUAACAGCAAUUCAAAACACAAUCUUGAUAGAUUCGGUUUCUUAUUGCACAAGUAAAGAUAGAAACCAAUCUUUUAACAAAGAUUGUUUCAACAAAUAACAACCCAACAAAUAAACCCUUCUGGAAUAGCUACUUGCUCCUCAAGUAACUCAAAAACAUAUCUUCAGUAAAUCUUCAGAAGGCCCACAACAGAAACACAAGCUGAGGACUGAUGCCCUAGCUUCACGAGAUCAGAUGCCACGACAUCUGCUUCGACAAUCGGUUGUUUUGACAAAAUGCAUGGCAACAUGUUCCAACAAUCUCCCCCUUUGUCAAAUUUUGUCUAAAACAACUCACAAUCAGAGAGGAUAAAAACAAGAGAAACAAUUCUCCCCCUUAGUCAGAGCUCCCCCUCAAACUGAUGCAUCUACACAACCAACUACCAUACUUCAGAAGGCAUAGUCGGAACAUACCACUUAGCAGCACAAACACACAACCAGAAGUACAAUCUGCCUUAGCACAUGAUGACACCAAAAUAGAUCAGCUUGAACAUCAUCGUAUCAGAAAUACUACCAUCAGAAGAUGACAGCACAUGAUCAGAAGUACUACUAUCAGAAGUAACGUUUCAGAAGUAACGUUUCAGAAGUAAUUGCCAUCAGGAAAAAAAAAACUGCUAUCAGAACAUGCAUGCCUCUUGAAACAAACAUAGCCAUUGUCUUGAACUUGUCUUCAAAUUAAACAAACCAAAGCUAACACUAUCAGCGCUAACACGAUCAGAAACAACUUCACAGUAGAAACAAAAAACAUUACAGUCUUCAAUUCAAUCCAACUAACUACUCCCCUUUUUUAGCACAAAUUUGCAAAGGGUGCAUCCAAAAACAAAAGAAAAUAGCACAAGAUCAGAGCAAACUAGUCUUCAGAACUUGACUCCUCUCCAGACCCUUCUGCACUUUCUUCAGAACCUUUCACCUCUUCAUUACCCGCUUUCUGAGCAGCUGUAGCAGCAGCACUGUGCUCACCACCUUGACAUUCUUCUUCUUGAAGCUUGUGUAGCAACGCAUCAACUUUGAGCUUCCUGGCAGUACUCACCCUGAUUGUCUCCUGCAAAGCCUUGGAGACUUCCAGUAAUUCAGCAAUUAUGGCCUUAGUGCCAGAUUCAGUCACAGGAGGAGCAGAUGUUCUGCUGGUUGGUAAAGCAAUGUCUAGCACAUGUGGCUCCAGAAACAAACGUUGAUCCAAAGUGAUUGGAACACCACGAGACAUAGCCACAUCAUCAGCCCUGAGAAUCUGAGGAUGUUGCUUCAGUAUGAUCUCAGUAAGAAGUGAAGGAAAUGACACAGGCAGCUUCACAGCACAAGUAUCAGCAUGCUUCAAUGUUUGCUCAAACACGAAAGUUCCAAAAUCAAAAGCAAUAGACUUGCCAAUCCUGUAGAUCAACUUGGCAAGCGUUGCAGAAACACCAGAGGUAUGCUGAGUAGGAACCCAAUUUACAGCACCAAUCCUGUUAAGAAUAGCAUACUUCACACUGAGAUUUCCAGUAGACAACAACUUCUUGCUGGGCCACUUCUUCACAUGACCUGCAGUAAGCUCCUUGGCAACAUCAUCCAUGGACACUUCUUCAUCAACAAAUUCAAUAGCACUUCUGCAAAGUGCUUGAUUGAUCACAGCAGGUGAGAACAUCACACAUUCAGCCCGCACAUAGACUUUCCUGAAUUCUGUACUAUCAGGAAGUCCUACAUCAACAGAGAGAUUCACCAAGAACUCUGUCACAAGCUUCUCAUAGCACCUUCCAACAUUCUGAAUAGUCUUCAUCAGACCUGCUUUCUCAAUUAGUGCAAUUACAUCUCUGCAUUCAAGAACAUCAGAACCAACUUCCCUUUCCUUGGCCAUUCUCCUCUUGCAAACAAACUUCCACUUCUGAACAUUCUCUUCUAAGUGGAAAGACACUCUAUCAAUAGGAACAGCAGGAACAUUUUGAGGAAUACGCUUACCAGAAAACUUCUUUUUCUCAGAAGAUCGAAUGUCCUGGACACCGACUUCAACAUCUGACCCAGAGUCUUCAACUUCAACUGAAAUCUUCCUCUUCUUCUUCUCAGUGGGAGUCUUUUCUUCCUUUUGCUUUCCCUUACUCUUCACACUGGCCUGUCUGGAUUUCUUUGAUGGAGUAGGAGUGAUUUCAGGAGAAGAAAUCCUUCUUUUCUUCUUCAUCCUCGCAGCAACACUAUCAGCAAAAGUCUCAGUCAGAGGAACAUCAUCAGAAGCAUCAUCAGAGAUGUCCUGAACAGAGGUUGGAGCCUGGAUUGGCUCUUCAGAAUUGAUACCCGCAGAGUUAUCAUUCGUUGAAUUAGCAUCCUUAGAUGAGGAUGAUACAUAGAUAUCAGGCUGGGUAGCACCACCUGAAUCUUCAUGAGAAGUGGAAUCCUUUCCAGAAUUUUCUUGAGCAGAACUUCCCUUAGACCCAGAUGUCUCAACAUCAGGCACAACAUCAGGGGGCGAUUUCACAGGCGAAUCUUCAUCAUUGAUUUCCUCUUCGUCAGGAACAUCCUCAAGGAUAGGAACAUUCGGAGCUUUGCUAUUCUUGACCUGUGAUUUGUAGACCUUACACGUUGGGUUUCGUGAUCUCAUCUUCUUGGGAGCUUUCUUGGACACAGAAGAUGGUUGAGAAGAAUCACUCUUCAAACCCAUACACUUGACUCCUUUAGCAGUUCUUUCAAUCUUGGCCUUGACAGAUUCCUUCUUUCCUGAACUUUGAGACAUGAUGAAUCGAGAGCAAUUACAAACAGAGUACAGAACAACGAAACAGAAUUGCAAAUGAGAGAUGAUAAAUCUUGAAGAAGAUGCACAAGCGGUUGAGAGAACACAAUUUGCCCGUUGGAGGUAGUUAUAGGGUAAGUGAACCAUAAAGUAACUUUCUCUCUGCUGAUGUCACAACGGCAGUUAAUGAUGACCAAGAAUAAACUAGCCGUUAACACACUGGAGCAUGCUAAUUGCUAUGCAUCAGAAAGACAAAUCCCUAGACUUCCUCUUAAUUUUUCAAACGUGAUUGCAUCAAGGGGUUUUGUGAAAAUAUCAGCCAAUUGCUUGUCAGUUGUAACGUGAUCCAAAUUAACAAUUUUAUCCUCUACCAAGUCUCUAAUAAAAUGAUGUCUAAUGUCAAUAUGCUUGGUCCUGCUUGUAAGAUCAAGUUUUGAUCUAGUAGUACAACUCUAUGUUUUGAUGAUUACAAGUUAACCUUUUGAUAUGAACAAUUGUGGUACUCUAACGUGUUUUUCUGAGUGUACUAUUUGCAGGCUCUGACCUCAACUCAAUCUCACACAAAUCAGAAGCACUGUGUAUAAAGAGCUACCCAAGCAACGCUUUCGCAUUCACCAUGUUCAGUAUGAAUAGUGGAAAAGCUUCAGAAGUUCUGAAGUUAUACAAACUCUGAUGUGGACUCAGUCACGAGAAGCUCUGAAGAUCCAGAAAGUCUGAUAACCAAGAAACACUGAAGGCUCAGAUGUUCUGAUGGUGUAGAAGACUCUGAAGAUCCAGAAGCUGAUUAGUGAAGUUCUGAUGUCCAGAAGCAAGAUACUCUGAAGACCAUGUUCUUCCCUCUGAGUUCAGAAUCAGAAGAAACAAUGGUCAGAGGAUCUGGGCUUUCCCUCUGACUUUGAUCAACCGGCUUCACAAGUUCCAAUAUGAAGCAUUCCCCUGAUCAGAAGUCUCCUAGGUUUAAAGGUCGCGUCGCUAUCCAAGUACAAAAGCAUAUGUACUAUCCUGACGACCUACCUAACAGUCUCAGACAUAGCAGAAGCUGGAUUUUCCAGAACUGCCCUCCAACGGUAGCAUUUCCCAUGCAACGCUCAACCCUAAUCCUUGGAGUAUAUAAAGAGGCUGAAGACUGAAAGAAGCGAGAAGAAGCUUUCACAUACGUGCAAGACAAUCUUAAAGUCUUCUAAGUUUUCUUUCAUCUGAAAUUCAUUGAGUUUACUAUUAGCUUUUUAGAAGCAAAUCUCUUGUAAACAAUUCUUUGAUAAACAGUUUGUUUAGUUCCUUUAGGAGAUCAAGGUUGAUCGGAUCCUAGAGAAGACUAAGAGAGUGAAUCUUAGUGUGAGCUAAGUCAGUGUAAUUGUUAGUCACUUGUAGGUUUCAAGUGCAGUUGUAACUCUUACCUGAUUAGUGGAUUGCCUUCAUUCUAAGAAGGAAGAAAUCACCUUAACGGGUGGACUGAAGUUGCUUGAGUGAUUUGUCAAGUGAACCAGGAUAAAAUCCUUGUGUGCUUUUCUAUCUCUUAUCUUUAGCACUUAAGUUCUCGAAAGAUUUGUCAAAAUCUUUAAGGUGGAAGUUUUAUACUGAAAACGUUAUUCAAACCCCCCCUUUCUACCGUUUUUCAUACCUUCACUGCUAUGCUGUAUGGGAUUUUUAGAAAUAUUAAUUGCACUGAGAUUGUCGCAGUACAAUGUCAUGACAUCCUGUUCAACAUCAUACUCUUUCAGCAUUUGCUUCAUCCACAUGAGUUGAGUACAACUACUUCCUCCUGCAAUAUAUUCUGCUUCAGCUGUAGACAAUGAGACACAAUUCUGCUUCUUGCUAAACCAUGAAAUCAAAUUAUUCCCUAAGAAGAAACAUCCACCAGAUGUGCUCUUUCGAUCAUCUGCACUACCUGCCCAAUCUGCAUCACAGAAACCAACUAAGGAGGAAUUUGUAUCAUGAGUAUAGAGAAUACCAUAGUCACUUGUGCCAUUGAUGUACUUGAUAAUUCUCUUGACUUGAAGCAGAUGACUUGCUUUAGGAGCUGCUUGAUAUCUAGCACAAACUCCGACAGCAAAAGUGAUGUCUGGUCUGCUAGCAGUGAGAUACAGCAAGCUUCCAAUCAUGCUUCUAUAGAGACUUUGAUCAACAUCUUCCCCCUGCUCAUCCUUGGAAAGUUUGAUGUGUGUAGCAGCAGGAGUUCUCUUGUGACCAGUCUUUUCAAGGCCAAACUUCUUGACUAACCCUUUAGCAUACUUACUCUGUGAUAUGAACAUAGAAUCUUCCAUUUGUUUGACUUGUAGUCCUAGAAAAUAAUUCAAUUCACCAACUAGGCUCAUCUCAAAUUCAGAUUUCAUUUGUCGGACGAAAUGCUCCACCAUUGAGUUCGACAUUCCUCCAAAGACAAUGUCAUCCACAUAAAUCUGUGCUAUCAUGAGCUUACCUUUGUCAUUCUUCACAAACAGAGUUUUAUCAAUUCCACCCUUGUUGUAGCCAUUGCUUACAAGAAAUUCAGUUAACCUUUCAUACCAAGCCGUAGGUGCUUGCUUCAAACCAUACAAGGCCUUCCUCAACUUGUACACAUGAUCUGGAUGAUGCGGAUCUGUAAAUCCUUUAGGUUGUUCAACAUAGACUUCUUCAUUCAAAUAGCCAAUCAGAAAAGCACUCUUCACAUCCAUCUGAUAUAAUCUGAACUUCAAGAGACAAGAUACACCUAACAAGAGUCUUAUAGAUUCCAGUCUAGCUACAGGAGCAAAGGUUUCAUCAAAAUCAACUCCUUCUAUCUGAGUAUAUCCUUGAGCAACUAGCCUUGCUUUAUUCCUUGUGACAGUUCCAGUUUCAUCUGAUUUGUUCUUGAAGAUCCACUUAGUACCAAUGAUGUUUACUUCUUCAGGUCUAGGAACUAACUCCCACACUUCAUUUCUUCUGAACUGCUCUAGCUCCUCUUGCAUAGCAUUUAUCCAGUAUUCAUCAGUGAGAGCUUCAUUGGCAUUCUUGGGUUCUAUCUUAGAGAUGAAACAAUUGUGAGCAAUUAUACUUCUGGAUCUGGUAGUCACCCCUUCUUGAAGGUUACCAAUAAUGUUUUCUUGAGGAUGAUUCUUCUGAACCCUGAUUGAUGGAGCUUUGUUUGAUGUGAUAUCUUUGUCUUCCUUUUCAUCAGCACUUGUUUCUGACUCAUUGUCGAGGGCGGUUGCUGGAGCAUCAGCUGGAACAUCAGUACCAUCAUCAUCUUCAUUCAGAACUUCUUCUUCCUUCUUGCUUGGUUCAUCAUCUACAGUCACAUUCACAGAUUCCAUCAUGGUCCUUGUGCGAGAGUUAAAAACUCUAUAAGCUUUGCUGUUCAUAGAAUAUCCCAUGAAAAUUCCUUCAUCACUUCUAGGAUCAAGCUUUCUCUUAGGAUCACGAUUUGCAAGGAUAUAACAUUUACUUCCAAAUAUGUGAAAGUAUUUUACAGACGGUUUUCUACCUUUCCAUAGCUCAUACUGUGUGGAGGAUGUCCCUGCCCUGAUGGUGACUCUAUUAUGUAUGUAACAGGCAGUACUCAAAGCUUCAGCCCAGAACUGGUGCGGAAUCUUCUUAGCAUGUAACAUUACUCUAGCUGAUUCCUGGAGAGUUCUAUUUUUCCUUUCAACUAUUCCAUUCUGCUGUGGCGUGAUGGGGGCAGAAAAUUCAUGACUAAUACCUUCUGUUCCACAGAACUCCAAGAAUUUUGAAUUCUCAAACUCCCUUCCAUGAUCACUUCUGAUUCUUACAAUUACACAGUCCUUCUCAUUCUGAAGUCUCAUACAUAGAUUCUUGAAUAUUUCAAAAGUCUCUGAUUUUUCUCUCAUAAAUUCAACCCAUGUAUACCUUGAAAAAUCAUCUACACAGACAAACACAUACCUUUUUCCUCCCAAGCUUUCAACAUGCAUGGGACCCAUGAGAUCCAUGUGAAGCAACUCUAGAACCUUUGUCGUGGUCUGAUGCUGGAGCAUCUUGUGUGGCACCUUGAUUUGCUUACCAAUCUGACAUUCUCCACAUAGCUUUCCUUCUCCCAAGCUCAAAUUGGGCAGCCCCCUUAUUGCUUCAUCUGCAAGAAUCUUUUGCAUGCUUCGGUAGUUGAGAUGUCCUAGUCUUUGAUGCCAUACAUUCACCUCAUCUUCUUUAGUUAACAAACAUCUGGAAACAUGACCUUUUUCUUCUGAUGUCCACAUAUAACAGUUGUCUUUCGAUCUGACUCCUCUCAUCACAACCCUCUCAUCAUCAGUGGUCACAACACAUUCUAUCUUAUUGAACUUCACAUCAUAUCCUUGAUCACACAGUUGACUUAUGCUGAUUAGGUUGGCUGUUAAACCAUUUACAAGUAACACAUUGUUCAAGUUAGGAGAUUCUGUGCUGACAAGUUUUCCUACUCCCUCGAUCUUCCCUUUAGCUCCAUCUCCAAAAGUAACAUAGUUGGUGGAGUGACUUCUGAUGUCUUGCAAGAAACUCUUGUUUCCUGUCAUGUGCUUUGAGCAACCACUAUCAAAAUAUCAAUCUUCCUUUGAUGAUGCUCUGAAAGACGUGUAGGCUACCUGACAUCUGACUUCACCCUUGGGCUUCCAUUGCUUCCUCAUCUGAAUAGGCUUUUUAUCGUACAUCUGAGGAUAACCAUAUAACCUGUAACAGUAGGGCUUUAUAUGACCAUUCUUACCACAGUAGUGACACUUCCAAGGUACAGUUUUGUCAAGCUUAAGUUGGGGUUUCACAUGCAGAGGUACAUGUCGAGGCAAUGAAUCUGACAGCUGAUAAUUUUUGGGCUUCUUGAACUCAGUUUGUUUUGCAGCGGACACAAAUUUCUUUGAACCUUUCUAAUUUUCUUUGUUUGUUGUUCUAUAGUCAAAGCCAAUUCCCUUCAAACUCCUUCCUUGCUUGCUAGUCUCUUUCAGAAUUUCAUCAAGCAUAUCAGAACCACUGUUCAACAUUCUAACAGAUUUGUGAGUAGCUUCAAGCUUUCUUGUCAGAGUUGCCACUUCCUCUUGAAGUCCUGCAUUAAUCAACACUAGAUUAGCUUUUACCAUAACAUCAGCAUUUUUAAACUUACUUUGCCAUUCCUCCAGAUCUUCCUUCAGCUUUGUGCUGAGCUCUUUCAGCCUUUCAUUCUGAGAGACAAGUUGUUCUAUCUCACUUUGCUUUUCUCUCACAAGUUUACAUGCUUCUUCCCACUUGAUGUGUAGCAGCUUGUAAGUCUCAGCCAGUUCCUCAUCUGUAAUGUCCUCAUCACUUGUAUCAGACUCAUAGAUGGAUCCAGAGAAAGCAUUGACUUUGUUUACAGAUAUCUCCUCCUCAUCUUCAGUGUCUUCAUCUGACCAAGUUACCAUCAUACCUUUCUUCUGCUUCUUUAGAUAGGUGGCACAUUCAGACCUGAUAUGACCAUAUCCUUCACAUUCAUGACACUGCACUCCUUUAUUCUGACCAGAUCUUUCUUCUUCUUUGGUCUUCCUCUGUGAAUUGGACAAUUUGGGUUUGUUAUCGAACUUCAUGUCCUGGACAUUAGGCCUGGUUCUUUUGUCAAUCUUUCUCAAUGCUCUGUUGAAUUUUCUUGCUAGCAUGGCCAGAGCCUCAGAAAGAUUUUCACCCUCACAAUCUUCAUCAUCACCUUCAUCAGUGUUUGACACAAAAGCAAUACUCUUAUUCUUCUUCUCAGAUUUUCCACUCAGUUUCAACUCAAAUGUCUGCAAAGAGCCAAUAAGUUCAUCAACCUUCAUGUUCUCAAUGUCUUGAGCCUCCUCAAUUGCAGUGACUUUCAUAGCAAACUUCUGAGGAAGAGAUCUCAAGAUCUUCCUUACAAGCUUCUCAUCUGACAUAGGUUCUCCCAAAGCAAAUGAAGCAUUAGACAAGUCACGGACACGCAUGUGGAAUUCUGAAAUAGUCUCUUCUUCAGUCAUCAUCAAAUUUUCAAAUUGAGUAGUAAGCAUCUGAAGCCUUGACAUCCUUACUCGAGUAGUUCCUUCAUGUGCAGUUUUCAGAAUUUCCCAAGCAUCCUUUGCCACAGUACACGUAUUGAUCAGCCUAAACAUAUUCUUGUCAACUCCAUUAAAGAUAGCAUUUAGAGCCUUUGAAUUUCCAAGAGCAGCUUCAUCUUCAACACUGGUCCAUUCUUCUUCAGGUUUUUCCACAACAGUAGUAGAGGUGCCUUCAACCUCAGCCUUAGUGGGGUGCUUCCAACCCUUGACAAUAGCUUUCCAAGUCUUGUUGUCAAUUGAUUUGAGAAAGGCUGUCAUGCGAACCUUCCAGUAGUCAUAGUUAGUACCAUCCAGAAUGGGUGGCCUAUUGACUGAUCCUCCCUCCUUGUUAUCGGAGGACUUGAAUAAAAAUCCCUGGAGCUCACCCAACCAGAACAGGGUGCCUGCUCUGAUGCCAAUUGUAAUUCAGGUUCCCUCUGAUACGAUUGUCCUACACGAUGCUGGGACAAGAGGUUCGACAACCGCUUAACAGCAAAACAAAACUUAACAACAGAAACAAUAACACACAGUAAUUGUUAACCCAGUUCAGUGAAAACUUUCACCUACGUCUGGAGGGUUUGCACCCAAAGAAAGGAAAUCCACUAUCUCAAGAUUCAGGAAUUACAGACACUCAUGAACAACUCAGUUCAUAGUUCACUUCCUAAUCUACCCAGUGUAUUUCUACUUAGAAUCUCAACCUAAGUAUGAGAGCCCCUCUCACUUUCUCACAAUCACUGCCACAGUGAUUGGUGAACACAAUGAACAAGUAGAGUUUGAACGCAAACAAACACACAGAAUCUCUCUUUGCUUUAUAGAACCAGUGAGCAAAGACAGAUUCACAACUAACAAAGGACAAAGCACAAUUAACAAAUCCUAAAACACUCGAUCUCUCUCUAUCAGCUUCGACACCUUCAUGUUUUAGGUCUUCAUCCUUUUAUAGACUUCAGCAGCGGUAGCAUGGGCUUUAGGGUUGGCACGGGCUGAAAAAACAGAUUGCAGUAACAGCAAUUCAAAACACAAUCUUGAUAGAUUCGGUUUCUUAUUGCACAAGUAAAGAUAGAAACCAAUCUUUUAACAAAGAUUGUUUCAACAAAUAACAACCCAACAAAUAAACCCUUCUGGAAUAGCUACUUGCUCCUCAAGUAACUCAAAAACAUAUCUUCAGUAAAUCUUCAGAAGGCCCACAACAGAAACACAAGCUGAGGACUGAUGCCCUAGCUUCACGAGAUCAGAUGCCACGACAUCUGCUUCGACAAUCGGUUGUUUUGACAAAAUGCAUGGCAACAUGUUCCAACAUGUCCCCUCUCCCUUAUAAAACUCGACGGCACACAACACACAUAGGUCUAGGUCUAGGUUUUGUUUUUUUUUUCUUCCUUUCAAGCCCAAGUCCAAGACAACCUAAUUAAUCCUAUUAAUUAGCAAUUAAUCAAAAAUAAAAAUCAAAUAAAACCCUCCCCAUCUCCUUAAUGUGGCCGGCGGCCACAAACACCAUUAGGGUUCCAAAACCCUAUUCUCUUCCCUUCACAACAUAAUUGAAUUUAAUCCAAUUAUUCCAUCUUUUAUUAAAUAAAACUGAAUCAAAUAAAUAAAAUAGAAUAAUCAUCUUCCCUCAUUCUAAAACCCUAUCUUUCCCAAAUAAAUCGAAGAUAAAUUCAAGGCAAACAUUCACUUCUCUUUUCUCUUCACUACACGGCCAAAACCUUAUACCUUGACCAUCAAGUAACCUUCAUCACAUCACAUAAUCAAUCAAACAAAAAUCAUCAUUCACUAAAGUCCACAUUCAUUAUUUAUCUCAAAUAGCAAUACAAUACUUAUUAAAAUCAGGGCCUUACACUCUAUCUUCAACCUUCUCUAUAAGAGUUCCCUCAAUUUUCUCAUUUCAUACUUUCAAAAGAUCUCAAAAAGCUCUGGGCGAGUCCUUAGUCCGCCACUUUUCGUCGUUGCUAUCAAGAAUCUCCAAGAAGCUUUCCUCCUUUUCUUACUUUCCAACUGUCACAAUUGUGCGGUGCUUUCCCAUUUCCCCCGCUAACUCUGGUCAUUCAUCGUCGCUUCUGUCCAUCUCUGGCUAGUUUCCUGUCCUUGUUUUCUUAUACUCUUCUUUUCACUGUCGACUUUUCAUCUUUCCUCUCACCAUUCCUAAUUUUCUACCCAGAAGACCGUUGUAUGAGAUUUGGUGAAAUCGGAGUAGGUAGUGUAAGUAUGUCUUCUCUUGAAUUGUCCUCCCCUUCCCAAGAUGAAUCUUCAUCUUCUUCUGUUAUAGAAGUCUUUGGCCUGUCACACUUAGUUUCUAGGCUUAGGUCGCCCGAGCUCAUCUUCUCUAUAUUGUCAAUAGAAAACUCAGCCCCUUCAAUCACAUGACGUUUGGAUCCUGAGCAUGUGCUUGACAAGUGCUUAGUUGAUUCUCUUUGGGGUAGUGCCUCUAGCAUCGCCCAUCAACGUAUUUCUGGUGGCGGGUUUUCUAAAUCAACCCCACAACCAACUGCAAUGAUGAUCACAACCUGAAUGUCACCCCAUGCGGCGAGGUAAACCAUAUCACACUCCGUCAGCUAGAGAACAUGAAGUUGCCCCAUUUUUUCUACAUAUAGGACUUUUUUUUAAGUUAGGAUUGAAACUUCAUUUUUCUCCUUUUAUCUACAACAUGUUAUGUUUUUUAAACGUCGCCCCUUCGAAAGUACUCCCUAAUGCCUGAGGUUUCAUACGGUGCUUUGAAAUUCUUUGCAAACACCUUAAUGUCACCCCCAACUUAUAUCCUCUUCGUUUUCUUCUAUAAAACUGCCACCAGAAAUCCUGGUACUACAAAAUAGGUGCCUUUGUCCGCCUGAAAUAACAUGUCUCUUUUUCACCCCUUAAAAAGUAACUUCAAACAUUGGCACUCAAACUACUUCAAAGUUGUGGAAAGCCCCGAUAUUUCAAAUUUGUUUUUUUGACAAGAACAUCCAACCAUUCUUCCAUUUCUAUUAGACACAAAACCCUCACUGUAACACCCCAUUUUUUUCGUUAUUAGGUUAUUUACUAUUGUAUUUUAAUUAUUAUUAUGAUAUAUGGUAAUUAUGUGAUUUUAUUAGAUAGGCUAAAAAGCAUUUUUGGCCCUUGAUGUUUUAAGUUUGUACAAAUUUUGCCCCUACUUUAUUUUUGUCGAUGUUUCUACCCCUCAUGUUUUCAAACAGUGCACCGUCUACCCCUCCGUCAGUCAUGCUUCCUCAGGAGAGGUUCCUGAAUGGAUUGGAGAGAUGAAAAUGAGUAUAUGAAGUUGAUGAUGAUUAAGGAAAUGAUAUAAAUUAAAUUUGCUUGAUGUAUAUAUCAAUUAUGUAUGUAACUGAAAUGGUUAAAUGCAUAUUUUGUUACUUACAAGUCUUGAGUUUGAAUCUCCCAUGCCCCCUUUUUUCAAUUUCACUUGUAAUUUCCACGUGGCAGGUCAGAAAAAUAUUUAAAAAAAAACCAAAUCAGCUCAUACCGUUAGUUUUUUAAUGUUUGACUGACGGAGGGUAGACGGUGCACUGUUUGAAAACAUGAGGGGUAGAAACAUCGACAAAAAUAGAGUAGGGGUAGAAUUUGCACAAACUUGAAACAUCAGAGGCCAAAAGUGCUUUUUAGCCUAUUAGAUAAUUAAGUGAUUAUAUGAUAUAUGGAAUGAGUAAUUUAUUUAAUUUGUAUUUGAGUGAGAUAAGAUUAAAUUAGAUAAGGUUGUUGAGUUAAGGUGAUAUAUGGAGUGAAGCCCACUAGUACUACUAUAUUAGGGGUUAGGAGUGAAAUAGAAAGAAAAAAAAAUAAGGAUUAGAAGAGCAGAACAGAACACGUGAAUAGGGAAGGAGGGGAGAAAAAGUGGAGAAAACCUAGAACUGAUCUACUAGAGGUGAGGGUUUGAAUUCAUAUUUUCUGAAUUGGUAUAGUAGUGGUAGUGAUAGAAAACAUGAUUUAGGAACCCUAGGAUGCAGAUUUUUCUAAACUGAAAGUGGAUAGUUUGAAUUUAGGGUUACGAAUUGUGGGAGGAAGAGAGGGAGUAGCGUGCAUGGCGCGCGCUUAAUUCGCAGGUUGCUCGCGGGAGGCGCAGCGCGUGGAGCAUGGCGCGGUUUUGAAAAGGAAAACUCAGCAGAAAUUUACGAGCUCUUGAACCCCUUUUCGAACUGUGUUAAUGAUUGAAUUUGAAGAAGUAGUCUUCAUAAAAGCUGUAUCCCAUUAAGUUAUAAAACUGUUUCCGUUGGCUUCGCGUCGUUCCGACGUCUGUAGCUCUAGUUAUAUGCAUUUUAGUGAGGAUGAGUUCAGUUGUCCCGUUUCUCACGAACUCUGUUAAUGUUAGAUUUUUCCUGAAUUUUAUACUUUGAAUUUCGACUUGAAAAAUUACAUGGAUUUAUAAAACUUGUAAAAGAACCCAUGGUAAAUAUAUUAGAAUUUUUGGAGGGUGUUACUUUGAAGUUCAUUAUAUGGUACUGUUUCUGAAUUGAUGUUAUGUGUUGAGUUGCUAAGUUACUAUGACUGCUAGUUGUGUAAUUGAUAACAUAUAAGCUAUGUUGUGUGAAAUUGGAGAUGAUUUGUAUUGUUGAGCUGGAGAUGAAUAUGCUAAAUUAAUUAGGAUUUGGAGAUGGUCUAAAUAUGCAUAUGGUUGUUGAAUUUUGCACAAUACACUGCAUAGUUGUCAAGAGGCAAUGUUUGCUAGUUCUCGUGGAGGCUAGUUACUUGUCCCAAAACUGAAGAUUUUUUUGAAAGCCUAGUGGACGGGCUUUAUUGGUGAUUAUCUGUCUGGAGUGGACGCGGUGAUACCGCUAAUGAGAACACUUUGGUACCAAAGGCAUUUGCACGGAGUCACACUUGAGUCAUAUAUGUUACUAUAGGGAGCUGUUGAUCGUUAAAUAAUGACAAGUGCGAUAUUUUUGGAGAAUUUGUUGUUGUGGUAAUUGGAGAUAUUUAUAUUUGCUUUAUCUGAGCUAUAAUUAUGAAGUAUUAACAUAUUGUGAAAUUGAUUGAUUAUAUUAAAUUUCAUGAUUUAUUUUCUUAAUUAUGCAUGAUGUAUGUAUGGAUAAAUUUUAUAAGCUUUUGAACUGAUUACUAUUAUGCUUAUCCAUAAGAUAUGAGUUCUCACCCUUCUGUUGGAAUGAUGGUCUAUGCGACAUCGCUCAGGCACCGAGGAUAGUGGAGCUUCUCGCAAGGGUUAGUCGGAGGAGCUAGUCUUUUAGAUGUGUUUUUAGUAAUGGGAGUCAUGCUCUGUUAUGUAACACGGGAAAACGUUUAGUAUUGUACCAGGUUGUUAAGAGAUAUUUCGUGUACUAUCUUUAUUUAUUUUUAGAUUAUGUUAAAUUUUGGAGUUGAAAUAAAUCUGUUGUGCUAUUCAUAUGAUGUUGAGACAUCAGAGUUGAAAAUUUAUAUCUAAAUUAUGAGCAUGACAAGUGUUUUGAUUUGUGUUUCUGGAGAAUAAAUGUGAUACCCUAUGUUUUAUGCAUUUUACUCUGAUUUAUGCUCUAAUAUAUACGCGGGACUUAGAGGGUCUUACACUCGCCGCUCCAUCAAUUUUGAAUCUAAGCAUCUCUACAUGGCAGAGAUGCGGGUAGCCUGGUAUCUUUCUACGUUGUCUCCCCUUUCCGGUGAUGACCUCGUAACAGCCCAAAAAAAAAAAGGGUGAGUAGCUCAAUUUUUCAUUAAAAUUUUCUCAAUCACCCUUAACUUGUCUUUUUCUCUACUUUUUCUCAUUAGUCUGUUAUUUUUUUAUAGGUGAAAUGGAAAACACAGAUAUCUCUGUCAACUCCAUGACUAACUAUCUCGCAAAGCAAACAGAGCAAAUUAGGAAAAUAAAGAUAAAGGAAAGUAAAGCUGCCCGUGUUGAGGGAAAAAAUAGCCAAACCGCUGAAGGUCGCCCAGAUAAACGGGCUAAAACCAAUCCUGCUCCAGAGAAUAAAACCUCCAAACAAGCUGAGUUGAAGCUCAAAGAAACCUCCGCGACUCCAAAACUGACCCCCACAGGAUUCAGAAAGACAAGAAUGUGGCAAUCACUAUGCUACCACUUGUAUCCCACCAUGUUCACAUGGAAGAGUCUUCACACUCUCUCUCAACCACCACAUCAAGGUUUGCCCAUUUUUCCCGCUGCUCCAGAUGCCAGGAUCGAUUUGCUCGAUCCCAACUUCAUUGGUCUCAACUUCAUGAACCACCACUUCAUGAACCCAAGACGUCUUACUUGAAUUCAAUCUUGGAAAAUGGAGUGUAAGAUCAAGGUUUGAUCAGUGGUUGCAUCUCUAUGUUUUGAUGAUUACAAUUAAGGUUUGUGAUGAUGAACAAUUGUGGUACCCUAACGUUUGUCUUUUUAAGAUGUGACAAACAGGUUCUGAAUCUGAUCCAAGCCUAUUCGUUCAGAAGAAGAAGAACCAAGGGUUACUAAAAAGAGAGCCCUUUAACCUACCAUGUUCGUUCUGAACAGUGGCAAAUACUUCAGAAGCUCUGAAGAUGGAAGCUCUCAAGAAGCUCUGAAGAAAUCAAGUCAGAAGUUCUGAAGACCAGAUGUUCCAGUGGAACGGUCCAGAAGCAGAAGACUCAAGUUCUGAAGACUUGCAAGAAGUUGGUUCUGAAGACCCAAGCUAUUCUAGCUCUGACGAUCAGAAGUUCUGAGGAACGUGUUCAGAAGUAGAAGUUGCAAGGUCAGAAGAAUCCAAGCUUCAAUCUGACGAUGAUCAGAAGCUUCACCAACGUUCAUGUGAAGCUCCUUGAUGACAAGUCAACUGGUGAAAGGACAGGUCGCUAUCACAGUACAACGUCGUACAUGUCUCAGUCUGUCUGCCACCUACCUUGUACAGCCUAGCAGUCUGAUAUCACAGAAUUGCCACUCCAACGGAUAAAACCCUAGCAACGGCUACAUCACAAGUCUUGGAGUAUAUAAAGGCUGAAGAAAGAAGAAAGAAGCUAAGAAACUUUGCUGAAAACAUUCAACAUAUACGAACCAUUCUCUUAGCAUUAUUUCUUCACUGUUCUUAAACAUCUGAGUUUACCAUUCGCUUAUUAGAAGCACUUAUUGUAAACCCGAAACCUUUUACAUCACAUUGUAAAGUUCAUCAAGAGACCAAGGUUGGUCGGAUCUUGAGAGGACUGAAUCAAGGCUGAUUCAGUAUUUAGCUAGUCUUAAGAGGAUCGGUAGAUCAGCUUCUUAAGAGGAUACUAGUGAGAAAAUCAGUGUAUUGUUAGUCACUUAGCAGGUUGCAAAGUGCAGUUGUAACACUCAUUGAUUUUAGUGGAUGGCCUUCAUCAGAAGAAGGAAGAAAUCACCUUCACAGGUGGACUGGAUUAGCUUGAGCUUUUAUCUCAAGUGAACCAGGAUAAAAUACUUGCGUGCUUUACUUCCUAUCAUUCAGCACUUAGUUUUUAUCUUUGAGUUUUGAAAAAGCUUAAAAUUAUACCCGUGAUUCAAAAACUCUAUUCAACCCCCCCCCCUUUCUAGUGUUUUUCGCACCUUCAAUUGGCAUCAGAGCUCCGGUUCUGAUUUUAACACCUAACAGUGUUCAGUGAUCCAGAACCUUGUGUGAAAAACAAACAAUGGCCCAAGCCAAUACUUCCGCUGACAACAACAACAACAACCAACUCAGAGCACCAAUCUUUGAUGGUGAAAAGUUUGAGUACUGGAAAGAUAAAAUAGAGUGUUAUUUCCUUGGCACUGACCCAGAUCUCUGGGAUAUGGUCAUUGAAGGCUAUACUGAUCCAGUAGAUGCUUCAGGAGUAAAGAUCCCCCGUUCUGAAAUGACUGACGCUCAGAAGAAGCGUUUCAAGGAUCAUCACAAGGCGAAGUCUAUGCUAUUCAGCUCAAUAUCAUAUAUUGAGUAUGAGAAGAUCCCUGACAAAGAAACUGUUAAAUCCAUCUUUGACUCCUUGGUCAUGACGCAUGAAGGAAAUGAAGAGGUCAAGGAAACCAAGGCUCUUGCUCUCAUACAACAAUAUGAGCAGUUUAAGAUGGAAUCUGGUGAAACCAUUGAGGAGAUGUACUCAAUGUUUCAAACUCUGAUUGUUGGAAUCAGAGUGCUAAACAAGGGCUACUCUACUGGUGAUCAUGUCAAGAAGAUUAUCAGAAGUUUGCCUAAGGAGUGGAGAGCUUUUGUCACGGCCCUGAAACUCUCUAGGAAUUUGAACUCGUUGAAGUUAGAAGAACUUGUGAGUCAUCUCAGAAGCCAUGAGAUUGAACUCAAAGGGGACAAGCCUCAGAAGAAAGACAAGUCUAUUGCUCUUAAGUCAAAGUCUGACAAAGCUAAAGCAUAUCAGGCAGAAGAAGAAGAUUCCUCUGAAGAGCUAUUAGAUGCGUCUGGUGAUGAAGAACUAUCUCUUUUCACAAAGAGAUUAAGAAAACUCUGGAAGAACAGACACAACAAAGGCAAAGGACCAAAGAAAAGUUCAGGAAGAUAUGAAUCUUCAUCUGGUCAGAAGAAAUCAUCUGGAAAGGAAGUCACUUGCUUCGAGUGCAAGGAAUCUGGACACUACAAGAGUGACUGUCCCAAGUUAAAGAAGGACAAGAGGCCAAGAAAAGUUUUCAAGAAGAAGGCUCUCAUAACCUUUGAUGUAACUGAUUCUGAUGAAGCUGAGUCAGAAGAAGAUGAAGCUCUGGAGGCUCUGAUGGCUACCACUAGCAGAGGUGCUGAAGCUUCAGAAGAUGACUCAGACUCUGACAAUGACGAUGAGGUAUUCUCUAAUUUCUCUAUAUCUGAGCUAAGAACCGCAUUAUCUGAAAUAAUGAAGAAACAUGAUGUUCUGCUAAAUAAGCAUAAAGAGCUUAAAAGGAAAUAUGCUGAUAAAACCAGUUCUUCAGAAGUUCAUGAGAAGUCAGUCUCUGAACUCAUGGAAGAAAACUAUACUCUUGUUAAUGACAAUGCUGUUCUUCGUGCUAAAAAUGAUGUGCUAGAAGACCAACUUGCAUCAUCUGAUGUUAAGUAUGAGACAAAAUAUGAGAAAGCGUUUCAAAAGUUUCUUGCAAAGGGCAUAGACAAAAGUCUUAUGGCUUCAAUGAUCUAUGGCAUGAGCAGAAAUGGGAACAGCGGCCUUGGCUACUUUCAAUCCAUGAAAGAUGAGUCAUCUGAGCCCAAACACGAACCUUUGCAUAAGCAUUUCGUUCCCGCUGGCACUGUCAUUCCAGAAAAGGUUACACCAAAGGUGGUGAAACCAAAGGGAAAGUUUAAACUUGAUAUGUCUAGAUAUUAUACUAAAGUUCCUCUGCAUUAUCCUCCUGUUGCACCCAAAGUUCCAAGAACUUCUGGGAAAACUAACAAGAAAGGACCCAAGAUAUGGGUACCUAAAGCAAAAAUUAUUCCUGUUGCAGACAUCUUAUGCAGCUCAGUUAAGACACCUGUCAUGGUACCUGGACAGUGGAUGCUCGCGACACAUGACGGGCACAAGGUCUAUAUUCCAAGAACUGACACCACUUAAGUCAGGAGGAGAUGUUGGCUUUGGAGGAAACCAGAAGGGAAAAAUCAUUGGAAAAGGUUCUAUAGGAGAUGGAAAAAUUCCAGUCAUAAAUGAUGUACUUCUGGUGGAAGGAUUAUUUCACAACCUGCUCUCCAUAAGCCAAAUUGCUGACAAAGGUUACGAUGUGAUCUUCAAUCAAACCGGAUGCAAAGCUGUUAGUCAAACAGAUGGAUCUGUUUUGUUUUCUGGGAAGAGGAAAAACGAUAUUUACAAAAUCAGAUCUUCUGAACUGCUAUCUCAGAAGGUCAAGUGUCUCAUGUCAGUAAAUGAUGAGCAGUGGAUCUGGCACAGACGCCUAGGGCAUGCCAGCCUCAGGAAAAUUUCUCAACUUAGCAAGCUAAAUCUCGUCAGAGGAUUGCCUCGUCUGAAGUAUUCAUCAGAGGCUCUAUGUGAAGCUUGUCAGAAGGGAAAAUUCACCAAGAAGCCAUUUAAAGCAAAGAAUGUGGUAUCUACAACAAGACCCCUUGAGCUACUUCACAUUGAUCUCUUUGGACCAAUGAAGACUGAAUCCAUUGGAGGAAAGAAGUAUGGGUUAGUCAUUGUAGAUGACUACAGCAGGUGGACUUGGGUAAACUUCCUAAGGCAUAAAGAUGAAACACACACUAUGUCUACCAACUUCAUCACUCAAGUUCAGAAGGAGUUCCAAACUUCAGUGAUCACUGUCAGAAGUGAUCAUGGUGGAGAAUUUGAGAACAAAGCUUUUGAAGAAUUGUUCAACUCUCAAGGAAUCUCACACAAAUUCUCCUGUCCUCGCACUCCCCAACAAAAUGGAGUUGUUGAAAGAAAGAACAGAACUCUUCAGGAGAUGGCUUGCACCAUGAUGCAAGAAUCAAGUAUGGCCAAGCACUUAUGGGCAGAAGCAAUCAACACUGCUUGCUACAUCCAGAACAGAAUCUCCAUUACACCAAUUCUGGAGAAAACUCCUUAUGAGCUAUGCAAAGGAAGACAACCUGACAUCUCUUACUUCCAUCCAUUCGGAAGUACUUGCUUCAUGCUCAACACUAAGGAGCAAUUGGGUAAAUUCGAUUCUAAAGCUUUAAAAUGUUAUUUUCUUGGUUAUUCUGAAAGAUCUAAAGGUUUUAGAAUUUAUAAUAUUAUUCAUCAAACUGUUGAGGAAUCUAUCCAGAUUAGAUUUGAUGAUAAGCUUGGCUCAGAAAAGUCAAAGCUGUUUGAAAGAUUUGCAGAUUUAAGCAUUGAUUAUUCGGAAGCAAAUCAACCAAUGAAAAGCCCAGAGGAUGUUGCUCCAGAGGCAGAAGCAUCUGAAGAUGUUCCAACAACUUCUGAUCAACUUCAGAAGAAGAAAAGAAUAGUUGCUUCUCAUCCAGAAGAACUGAUCAUUGGCAACAAAGAUGCUCCCGUCAGAACCAGGUCUAUGCUCAAACCUUCAGAAGAAACUCUUCUGAGUCUGAAGGGACUUGUUUCUCUCAUUGAGCCCAAAUCAGUUGAUGAAGCUCUUGAAGACAAAGGCUGGAUUCUGGCAAUGAAAGAAGAGCUAGAUCAGUUCACCAAGAAUGAUGUAUGGACCUUAAUGCCAAAACCCAAAGAUUUCCAUGUCAUAGGAACCAAGUGGGUAUUCAGAAACAAGCUGAAUGAAAAAGGAGAAGUAACAAGAAACAAGGCAAGACUGGUGGCUCAAGGCUACAGUCAACAAGAGGGAAUUGAUUACACUGAGACCUUUGCUCUUGUAGCAAGGCUUGAAGCUAUAAGGCUACUGAUCUCCUUCUCAGUAAAUCACAACAUCAUUCUCCAUCAGAUGGACGUCAAAAGUGCCUUCCUCAAUGGCUACAUUUCAGAGGAAGUGUAUGUCAAGCAACCUCCUGGCUUUGAAGAUGACAAACAUCCAGAGCAUGUCUACAAGCUCAAGAAGUCACUCUAUGGAUUAAAACAAGCUCCCAGCGCGUGGUACGAAAGGCUCAGCUCCUUUCUUCUACAGAAUGAGUUUGUAAGGGGUAAAGAUGACAAUACUCUUUUCUGCAGAACCUAUAAGAAUGACAUUCUUAUAGUUCAGAUUUAUGUUGAUGAUAUCAUUUUUGGUUCUGCUAAUCCCUCCUUGUGCAAGGAAUUUUCUAAGUUAAUGCAGGCUGAAUUUGAAAUGAGCAUGAUGGGAGAACUUAAAUACUUCCUAGGAAUUCAAAUAGAUCAACGACCAGGAGUCACCUAUAUCCAUCAGAAGAAGUACACCUUGGAACUUCUGAAGAAGUUCAACAUGAGUGACUGCAACAUCUCUAAGACUCCAAUGCAUCCCACAUGCAUUCUUGAGAAAGAGGAAGUUUCCUCUAAGGUUUGUCAGAAGCUCUAUCGUGGAAUGAUAGACUCUCUCCUUUACUUAACUGCCUCUAGACCUGAUAUAUUGUUUAGUGUGCAUCUCUGUGCUAGAUUCCAAUCAGAUCCUAGAGAGACUCACUUAACUGCUAUUAAGAGGAUCCUCAAAUAUCUGAGAGGAACCACUAACCUUGGCUUGAUGUAUAGAAAAACAUCAGAGUAUACACUUUCAGGUUUUUGUGAUGCUGACUUUGCUGGAGAUAGAGUGGAAAGGAAAAGCACUUCUGGAAGCUGCCAUUUCCUUGGAUCUAAUCUUGUCACAUGGUCAAGCAAGAGACAGAACACAAUUGCUCUAUCAACUGCAGAAGCAGAAUAUGUCUCAGCUGCCACUUGCUGUACACAAACCAUAUGGAUGAAGAAUCAUCUAGAAGACUAUGGCUUGUCUAUGAAGAAGGUUCCUAUUUACUGUGACAACACAGCUGCUAUCUCACUCAGCAAGAAUCCCAUUCUACACUCAAGAGCAAAGCAUAUAGAGGUAAAGUACCAUUAUAUUCGUGAUCAUGUUCAGAAGGGCACUUUAUCAUUAGAGUAUGUUGAUACUGACCAUCAGUGGGCAGAUAUUUUUACUAAGCCCUUAGCAAAAGAUAUGUUUUUAUUUAUUCUUGAAAACCUGAACAUGGAUUUUUGUCCAGAGUAAGGUUUUCUUCAGAACUUCUGACCCUGGUACCUCUGAAGUCAUCAGAUGUUACUUCUUCAGAAGUUACUCGAUCAGAAGCACUUAACCCACCGGUUAAACUUCUGUGGUAGGCAACAAUACACGUGUCACUUCAUUUGUGACAUAGUUCCUUGAGUCACGUGGUGUAUCUGCUAUAAUGAUGAUGCCUACUCUCCUCUACUAUGCUAUAUUCAGACCAUCUAUUUUAUAACCGUUGAUUUUGCCUUUAAUUUCUUAAAACUGUCAACGGUUACCAUUAAACCCACUAUAUGCACUGUCACACACGAUCUUCCACUCACUUACACUUACGGUUUUGAAACUAUUCGUGUGCAUUGCAUUCAUUCAUACUUCUCCCUCCAACAUUUCCCCUUUCUCUCUGAACCCUAAACCUCAUUCUCUGAGAAUCAUGGGCAAAUCGAGGAAACCCAAGGUAAAUGUUUCUGCUUUUUCCAAACAAACUGCCGAAGAACAAGAGAAUCAAAGAAUUGAAGAAGCACAGAAGAUUCUGAAUGCACCAAAUGUAGUCACUUGUGCCAAGAAAGUAGAAGAACUGAAUGUGUGCUGUGAAGCAAGAGUUGAUUUUGACAAUCUGGCUCAACAUGGGUUUGACAUAAAGGACCAAGUCAACUUGCAAGGGUGGUCUGGCUACUUCAACAGGCUCUGUGGUCCGAUCUAUCACAAAUUGGUUGUCGAGUUCUGGAAAAACGCAGUUUGCAACGACUACUACGUCGUCUUUCAUGUACUGGACAAGAAAAUUGUGAUCUCUGAAGAAUCCAUUGCAAAGCUGCUGGGUAUGGAGUUCCACCAAGGUAAAAGGAUUAAAAAUGUUGAUGCAAAUGUUCCUGGGAUGAGGACCGUGGUCAACAAGGAGCUUUAUGAUAACUGGUCUCAGGAGAAAACCAAGUAUAACAUAAAGGACUUGAAGUCUCAGAUGAAGAUUUGGCAGAAGAUCUUCAUUCACUGCAUUCACCCCAGAACUGGAGGAACUGAUUACCUGAAUGCAACUCAAAAGGUAAUCAUGUACUACAUCUCCAUAGGUGAGCCUAUAUGUCUGCAAUUCCUGCUCUUCAAUUAUCUAAAGGAAUGCGUUGAGAAAUCUAGGACCACAACUGGUUCUGAGAACAAGAGGUUCAUUUCCUACAUUCCGUAUGGAAGGUUGCUGUCAGACAUCUUCGUCCAGAAUAAACUUGUUAAGACCCUGUCAGACCUUGGACUUCAUGAAGAUCUGGCCAUGUCUAUUGGCGAUGCUCUCAAUGCAACAAAGCUGAAGAAAAUGCAGAUCAUUGAGAAAGUUCAAGUUGCUCCCAGAGAAGACACUUCUGAUGAAGUUCGUCAGAGGAACUACCCUAUUGAUGAUUUUCCUCUUUGGUCCAAAAAGGACAAUCCAGCAUGUAUUCUGGAAUAUGUGCGGAUGCUCAGAAGACAAGGAGAUCCUAUCACUCUUGAGGAAUUUGUUCAAGCACUUCCUGAAAGCCCUCCUAAGUUGGCAACAAGGAAAUCAAGAAGGGCAGCAAGCAGCAAGCCUUCAGAUCCUAAGGGCAAAGGGAUUCUGACACAGGAACCUACAAAGAAGAAACCUGCAUCCAAGACUGUGGUCAUCAGGGAACCCUCUCCUGAAAGACCUUCCAAGAGAACCUUAGUUCAACCACGUCAAGUCUCUGAAUCUGAAAGCUCUGAAGACACAUGGGAAGAUUCCUCAAGCGAGGAAACUGAAGAUAAUGAUAUUCCUGUGGCUAAGAGAAGAAAAGUUACUCUUGAGGAAGAGGAAGAUGAGCAGGAUGACCAUGAGAUCAUCCAGAAUGUGCUUCAGGUUAUAAGGGAAUCUUCUGACGCUGAAGAAUCAACUGAUUCUGAUGCUGUUCCCUUAGUGAAGAGAAGGAAGCUUCCUCUGAGGGGUCCACUUCAGCAGAAAGAGGCAGAAGCAGAGCAAGCAUCUGAACCUGCUUCAGAAGCACAACGGGAAAGAAGAUCUAAACGCACUUCUGAUCCAGCAAGGGCUGCAAAACUUACCACAACCACAUCCAUCAGAAGUCCAAGUAAGGUAAUUACUGAAAGCAUUAACUCUGAUUCAGCUUUAGUAGUUAUUCCUGAACAACCCCUGCCUAUAUCUACCUCCAUGCCUACCUCAAACCAAACAGCACCCACUCAACCUGAAACACAAGCUGAAACACAAGCUGAACCUCAAGCUCCUAAAUCAACCAUCCAAACAGCUACCACAGCCAUCCCUUCCAUUCCAAUUUACACCUCUUCCACAUCCAUCCCAACUGAACCAGUACCUCCUUUCAAUUCCUUCAUUCAAGGUAUUGUUCAAAGUGAGGCUACCCUAAGAACCUUGGUUCAACAAUUCACUCCCAAGCCUGCAUCCACUUCACACACCUUCCUCAUAACCCAGACUGGUGAGAUCCCUGCUGAGACAGAAAAGGAGGAUGAUGAUGUUCAGAUCCUUGUACCGCCUUUCAAUGUGAAGCCUCUUCAACAAGUAGCUUCCAACUUUGAAGAUCAGCUUCAAGAGGUCCCUGAGUCAUCCUAUGUGUCCCUGUCCAACUACUCUGCAGUCAACUCCCAGGAUCUGAGUUUCACCUCACCUGAGAAGACUGUUACCUCAAGGCAAAGGCCAGACACAAUCUCUGAAGCUGAGCACAUGGAUGAAUCAGAUCACUCAGGCAUAGAGAAGGACCAUGAGAUUGAGUCCACUCCUUCAGAACAACUCAAACCUGAUAGCUCAAACGCUUCAAGCUCCAAUGCUGUCAGAACUCCUCAGCCUGUUCUGACCUUGGCCACCUCCUUCCAACCUCAGCAUCUUAAUCAACUCAUUCAGGGAUUCUCUGAAGAGGCCACCAGAAGACUGAAUUGGCUGUAUCAGGUAACUGAUAAUCAGUUUGAUGCCUCUCUUGUUGAUGGCCUAUGGUCUGCUUUUGAAAGAUGGUCAGAAGGCAGAGUUCAUGAACUUCAGAAGAAACUUAGCAGAGAGAAACGACUAAGAGUUCAUGAUGCAUCUGAGAGGGCCUAUGAGCAAAGGCAGAGAGUGCUGCACAGGGUUUGUGAACCCUUGAGAAGAGCUAUGGCUGAAAGACCAUGUAUUGUCUCUGAAUGUACCUCAGAAGAUGCUGGAAUGCCUUCAGCAGAGGUUGAAGAAGAAAGCUCUAACGGUAUAGUCAUUCUGGAAGAUGCAGAUAUUAAUGCAGUUGAGCAGCAAGGGUCAAUUCAAGUUGAUACUGCAAUGUCUUCAAAGGCUGAAGUUGCUACUCAUACACAAGCACCAGAAGUUCCUACUUCAGCUCCUGCUCCAGAAGUUGCCAUUCUUGCUGCCCGGAUUGACAGGAUUCGGGAUGAGCAGCAGAGGUUAUUUCAGAUGGUUGAGCAACAAGGACGUGUUCAGAAUGAGCAAAGCAAGCAAAUUCAAGAGUCCUCAAGCAAAAUGGAAGCAAUCAUGAAGUACCUAAUGGACAACCUUCCCUCCACUUCCAAGCCUUGAUUCCCCUCUCUUCUAUCCUGCAUGCAUGUAUCUGCUUUGAAUGCAUUUAUUUGUUAUGACUGAAUUUAUUUCAUGUUGACUGUGUUAAUUUCUUAUUCUCUGAUUCAAUGCACCGUCCAUUUAGUAACUCACAUGCUUUUAUGAUUGAUAAGUUUUAUGCAUGUUUUUCUGUUACUUUUCUUCUUUAUAUUCACUACGUUCAUCUUCUCCUUCUCCAUUCAUAUCCAUUCUCCUCUCUUCUACAUCAAAAUGACUACUGUCGAUUUGAUUUCUGAACUCAAGACUAUGGUAUUCGACCAAGUCUUUCCAUGGAGUGUCAAUCUACUUCUCAGAUCUCUCAAGCUCUUGAGAAGAUUGAGAAUCUCCUGAAAUGUUGGCUCACUUCUCAUCAAACUCACUGUCUUCAGAACCUUCAAGAUGUUCUGAAUGACCUCCUCCGUCUGACCACUCACCGGAAGGAUGUUGAAGAUCAGUUCCAGGGCAUUUGUAUGCUUCUGGAAUAUGAAGAAGAUCACACUGAAGCGGAUCCAGAGGCUGUCCAGAAGAAUGUUGCUUUGAAGGAAAAACUGGCUACUCAGUUAGCCUCAAUUGAUCAGGACAUUCGUCCCCUCCACCUUCAACUUCUCCUCAUGAAGAAUUCUCGAGCUUUCCUAUUUAUCUAGGAUUAGUCCUCUUCAUUCCUCUCAAUCCUCUGUACUUCUUCUCCGUUCAGUAAUAAUAACAUUUCUUAUUUGCCUCACCUUCUUGUUACUGUUAUUGUUGGUUUUGUUUUUCACUCUUUUUGAUUAUGACAAAAAGGGGGAGUACAUAAAAAUGGUUUUGAUAAAAAUUUUAUUAUAUUAUAUAAAACCAGUAGAGGAUAACAAGUAUCAAUACUUAUAGCACAUAGAUAUUGUCAAGCGUCUCAAAUAAGGAAUACAUUUUGUUCAUAUCCUGAACCAAUCUUGCUUCUGACGCCUUAUUCCAAUUAUAUCUGGACAAGACUAUGUUAUUGUGUGAUAUACGCUAAGUUCUGAACCAUCACUUCUGAUGAGUAUACAUCUCUUCAAGCGUAAAAUCUGAUCACAUAACCAGACUCCGAAUCUAGACUAUUCACCAAUUCAUUAAGUCAUAGAUUCAGGGGAAGUCAGGGGGAGACCCUAGCUCAGAAUCAGGUGUCAUCCCAGAUUCAGAAAGAGCAAUGCAAACCGUUACACAAGGAUAAGUUUAAUCUCUGAUCUUUUCCUUCCUGUGUAUUCAGUUUAUUGUGUAAAAAUUGUUCAUCAAAAUACUUGUUUUGUCAUCAUCAAAAAGGGGGAGAUUGUAAGAUCAAGGUUUGAUCAGUGGUUGCAUCUCUAUGUUUUCAUGAUUACAAUUAAGGUUUGUGAUGAUGAACAAUUGUGGUACCCUAACGUUUGUCUUUUUAAGAUGUGACAAACAGGUUCUGAAUCUGACCCAAGCCUAUUCGUUCAGAAGAAGAAGAACCAAGGGUUACUAAAAAGAGAGCCCUUUAACCUACCAUGUUCGUUCUGAACAGUGGCAAAUACUUCAGAAGCUCUGAAGAUGGAAGCUCUCAAGAAGCUCUGAAGAACUCAAGUCAGAAGUUUUGAAGACCAGAUGUUCCAGUGGAACGGUCCAGAAGCAGAAGACUCAAGUUCUGAAGACUUGCAAGAAGUUGGUUCUGAAGACCCAAGCUAUUCUAGCUCUGACGAUCAGAAGUUCUGAGGAACGUGUUCAGAAGCAGAAGUUGCAAGGUCAGAAGAAUCCAAGCUUCAAUCUGACGAUGAUCAGAAGCUUCACCAACGUUCAUCUGAAGCUCCUUGAUCACAAGUCAACUGGUGAAAGGACAGGUCCCUAUCACAGUACAACGUCGUACAUGUCUCAGUCUGUCCGCCACCUACCUUGUACAGCCUAGCAGUCUGAUAUCACAGAAUUGUCACUCCAACGGAUAAAACCCUAGCAGCGGCUACAUCACAAGUCUUGGAGUAUAUAAAGGCUGAAGAAAGAAGAAAGAAGCUAAGAAACUUUGCUGAAAACAUUCAACAUAUACGAACCAUUCUCUUAGCAUUAUUUCUUCACUGUUCUUAAACAUCUGAGUUUACCAUUCGCUUGUUAGAAGCACUUAUUGUAAACCCGAAACCUUUUACAUCACAUUGUAAAGUUCAUCAAGAGACCAAGGUUGGUCGGAUCUUGAGAGGACUGAAUCAAGGCUGAUUCAGUAUUUAGCUAGUCUUAAGAGGAUCGGUAGAUCAGCUUCUUUAGAGGAUACUAGUGAGAAAAUCAGUGUAUUGUUAGUCACUUAGCAGGUUGCAAAGUGCAGUUGUAACACUCAUUGAUUUUAGUGGAUUGCCUUCAUCAGAAGAAGGAAGAAAUCACCUUCACAGGUGGACUGGAUUAGCUUGAGCUUUUAUCUCAAGUGAACCAGGAUAAAAUACUUGCGUGCUUUACUUCCUACCAUUCAGCACUUAUUUUUUAUCUUUGAGUUUUGAAAAAGCUUAAAAGUAUACCCGUGAUUCAAAAACUCUAUUCAAACCCCCCCCCCCCCUUUCUAGUGUUUUUCGCACCUUCAUGGAGAUGGUGAAUGCUAGUGGAAAAGGAAAGUCUUUGGUGCCAAAUCCUAGAGGCUAAGUACAGUGGGGAGGUGAAGGCAAUGGAUUCCUUUUGGUGGAAGGAUCUGAUGUCUGUUUUCCUAGGGGCGGGUCAAGGGGGUUGGUUUCGGGAUGCUAUCAGUAGAAGAAUUGGGGAUCAAAGUGAUGUAUUGUUCUGGGAAGACGAUUGUUGGGGAAUUGGGCCUUUGAAGGUUCUUUUUCCAAGACUUUUUAUUCCAUCUGCACAAAAUAGGGCCUCUAUAUCUAAUAUGGGGAGUGGGGGUGAAGUUAGGUGGUCCUGGAAUUUUGAGUGGGUUAGGGAGUUGUUUUAAAGAGAGGCUUUGCGGGUGGAGGAACUCAAACGUUUAAUCAGGCGCUUCUCCCCUAUAGCGUUGGCUUGGCGGGUCAUCCUUAAUAAAAUUCAAUCUAAAGCCGAUUUAGCCCGUAGGAACGCUCUUCCGUCUUCUGCUGGGGUGGACUGUGUUAUGUGUUAUGGGGAGGAGGAAAGUAUUCCUCAUUUGUUUUUUGGUUGUCAUAUGGCUUGGGGUGUGUGGGCGAAACUUUUCAGGUGGCUUGGCGUGAUUCCAGUGCUGCCUACGGAGGCUAGGGGUCAUUUUCUGCAAUUUGGUCACUGUUCGAGUGGUGGGAGCGCUAGUGCAAGGGUGAUCUUCAUGAUUUGGAUUGCUGUAAUUGGAUCUAUUUGGUAUUAUCGGAACUAUGCAAUGUUUCGUGAUGAAGCAGUGGAGGUAGAGAUGGUGGUGGAAUUGACUCAGUUCAAAUCAUGGUUAUGGCAAAAAGCUUUUAACAGGGACAAAUAGAAGGAAGAAGACGAGAGGAACAGAGAAGAAGAAAAGGAGAGGAACAGAGGAAUAGAGAAGAAGAAAGGAGGAAGAAGACAAAGAAAUUUCAUAGAGAAAGAAAGAGGUGCGGCUAGGUUUCCAUUGAGGAGAGGAAGUUUGGUUUAUAUAUGGGGUGACCUGUUGAGUAGGUAUCCACCCGUUGGGUACCAGUUCUAGAUCAGUUUUGACCGGCUGGAGCCGGUUUUUUCCCGUUUCGGUUGGGGUUGACCGGUUUAACCGAUUUUCAAAUAUUAAAUGAAAUUAAUUUUAUAUUUUAAUUUUAUAAAUAUUAAUUUAAUUAGUUUUUAGUUGGAGAAUUGAUUUAGUAUUAAAUUAUAAAUCUAAAUUGGUUGAAAAUAAAUAUUAUAAAUUAAUGUGGUAUGGUGUGAUACGGGUGGGACGACCCUUGUAAUAGUAAUUUAAGGAAUCAUGAGUUGUAGUAAAACCUACUUCAUUCAAUUUUUUAGGAGUUUCUUAAGACUGAUGUGUUAGUAUGACCUACAUAAAAAGUGCAUAAUAAUGCAGAAUAAUAUUUAAGCAACCAAAUAACGAACCUUUUCCGUUGGAGUUACUCUAAUAACAUGUUCUGUUUUUUACGUGUUUCGAUUCUUACUGCAACGUGAUCUUUGUGUACAUAUGAUUGUACAUUUCUUGCUCCAAUCAUCAAGUCGUGAUUACACUUUUUUAAUUUCAAUCAUAUAUGUUUUUGCAUGUAAACAUAUAUGCUCAAAAUUAUAUUUGGUUGAUGAGUUGGUCAGGGUGAGUGCCAGGUUUGAAGCAUGGGAUAACCCAUGCCACCUGUGCUCUGGGUUAGGCAUGCACACAGCGUACUCAAUUAUAUAUGAUCAUAUCUUACCCAAAAGAAUUAUAUAUGAUCAUAUAUUUCAAUCAUAUAUGUUUAAUUUUCUGAAAGGCGUGUAUUCACGUGUUUCCCCGAUCAUGUUUUGUUUACGUGUUCCAAUUUUUUUAAAUUUUUUUUCGAAAGGCGUUUUCUUCAGUCAGGAUUUCUGUGGAAGUUGCGUCCAUGUGAAUGUAUAUAUUUUGCAGGUCAUUGAUAUCAAUUUGGUUGUUGUGAUCCACGCGGUGUUCUUGAGGAUCAUAUAUAUGUGGUCAUAAACGAUUGAUGAGCCAAUGAUUAUAUGACAUUCACGUUCUAUGCUCAGUUUGGUUGGUGAGGUGAGCACACACCCAACACAUCAUUACAUCAUUUUUACAUAUAAUCAAUUAAAAGAUGAUAUCUGAUUAAAUUUAAAAUAAAUUCUUGGAGUAAGUGUUAUUUUGAAAUAAUUUUUUUUAUUUUAUUCAUAUAUUUUAAAAUUUAAGUUAAUAUUAAUUUUUUAUAUUUUUAAUCAAAUAAUUAAAUUGAGUGUAUGCAGGGUCGGCCAACACCAAAUUCAGCCUAAAAGUGAAUAUUAAAGUGAGACUUUUGUAUUUAAAAAAAUAUUUUUUUAUUAAAACUUUUUACGUAAAACUAUUUUUUUAUUUAAAACUUUGAAGUGAGAUGCAAAAUCAUUUAUUAAAUUAUCAUAAUCAAUUUUAUUUAACAUGUAUUUUUCAAUUGAUAAUAAAGCUAGUUCAUUUAAUUUUUUUGAGACAUGGUUAAUCUAAGAUAAGAUUUUAUUCAUUUUAAUUUUGCGGGUCUUUUUUACUUAGUCAAAAAAAAAAUUGAAGACCUAAAACCCUUGCUUCGGUACCUUUUGCCAGCCUUGAAUGUAGGUAUAUUGAAAGAAAUCUUAUUAACAAUUCAAAUAAUAAAUUAAUGUAAAUAAAUAGUUUUUCUUAUUAUUAUUGUCUUGCUUUUGUAAAUUAAUUUUAAUCUAUGUAUUAACUGAAAAUGAAUUGUUUUUAUAAAUUAGUUUUUGUCAUCACUUCAAUUCUCCUAAAAGUUGAUGUUGUUCCCUCUGCUGCGCUUAUUUGAGGGUUGAAGACUUGAAGGCUUGACCAGAAAACAUUGAAUCAGGCAUGUUAAAUAAGGGAGCAAGUUAGCUUCAAAUAUCAAUAUUUCAAGAAUUUCCUUCAACUAUUGCUUGAGAAUGUCAAUUUUAUAACAUAAACUCGAUGCCUUCUCAUUACUCCCUCUGUUCUAGAAAGCUUGUUGUUUUGAACUUUCUUUCAAUAUUUCAAAAUAUUUGUUGUUUUGGAAAGCCAAUGCAUUUUUUGCUAAUUUUUUUCCAUGUAUACUCUCAUUUAAUAUAUUUUCUCUAACUUAUCACCUUUCAUAUUAAACAACCACAACUGUUCUCUAUUAAUUACAUUAUUCUCUAUCUAAGUAUAAUUUAAUAGUUGCACAUCAUACUAGUAAAAUUAAAUAAGGGCAAUCUAAUCAAAUUAUACUAUUAAUAAUUGAUUUCUUACUUUUUGUGCCACAACCUUAAACUACAAACUUUUUGAACGGAGGGAUUAAUUUCUUAUAAACAAAUUAAAAAUUAUUUUUCAGUAUUGUAAAAGCAUCUCCAAUGGUAGUAUUUAAUGUUAAAUAUUACCAUUGGAGUACAUAUUCAAUUCCAACAUGGCAAAGAUGAGUAUGUGGGAAUAGAUACUCUACACUAGACUUGAAAAGUGAGCUUAAAUUUAUUACAAGCACUUACAAUUAAUAAAAUAUACAAAUGUGAUGUUGAUGGUGGGAUCCACUGUAGAAACUUUUAAGAGUUUUUGGGUUGGAGCAAAAAGUUAGUAAAAUGGUGUAGAUGAUGUGACAUUAUGUGAAAUUGUAAAAACUGAAGUGUAGAUAUUUUAGUGAGUAUGAUGAAUAUAGAUGCUUUAAUACUUCAUCACUAUAAACGAGAUUGGGGUCGUUGUGACCGAGGAGGGUGUGAGUAUAUCUGCAUUUUAUUGCAAGGGCACUUAUUCUAACUCAAAUUAUUUGUUGUUUCAUAAGUGGUGGGAAAUAAGGUGAGAGAAGGGAUGCAAGAGUUUAACAUUUAAGAUGAGAGAAGUAAUUUUAUUGGAUGUGAGUUUUUAAUUCGUUGUGUGUAUAGAUGAUGUGUUAGGUGUGCGCUCACUCAAGAAAUCAUGCACUUUGGUUUUAGUGAAUAUUGACUCCUUUGACUAUAUAUGUUAGAGUAAAGGUAUAAUGGUCAUAUUAGUCCCUCCGUUUGUAACGUAAUUUAAUUUUGGUCCCUCCUCAAAAAAUAUUUUGGUUCACGUCCCUCUGAUUUCACCUAAUUUGAAUUUGGUCCUCGUCGUAGGUGGAGCUCCCACGAGACUGUUGAGCGGUAGGAGGGAGCACAUGUGGCAUUAUCCAUGUCAUUUUGAAUGAAAUUUUAAUGACAUGGAUAAUUGAUUAAUAAUUAAAAAAAACCUUGAUCCUAUUUUUUAACCAUAAUCUUUCAACUUCAUUUUCAUAUCUCAAUCUUUAUAAAAAUUUCAUUCCAUCGGCUCUUUACAAUCAAAUAAUCUCCAUCAUUUUUGUUCAUCUCCAUCCCCAUCUUGAUUCCCUCCUUAUGUGCAAUUUUUCCCUUCUCUCACUCUCUCAAAUCCAAUUCCGGUUCCCCUCUCCUCUUCGACCCUAACACACAGAUUGAUCCCUUGCAAAUCGGGCUUUCCAGAACACACAAAGCCUUGGUUCCGAGAACACACAAAACCCAAGUAUUCGCACCCGUGCAGAUUAGGCUUUUCAAAACGUCGUCGAACCACCCAAAAUCGAAGCGCUGGCGGUUGAGGAGUUGGCUUCAAUGGCGAUAGCAGUGAUUGCUCGGAUCGAUGGAAAAUGGCCGAGGGUUCCUGUCCAAGAAGAAAUGUACGAUGGAAAGAUGGCUUCCAUGGAAGCAGGUGGUGAAUCAUUUUCCACUCUAGUUUAGGUUCAGUUAUGUAAAGGUGAAGAUGAAGAGGAUCUGCCUUCGACUGCGGAAAGAGUUGAAGAUGGUCUCGAUGUAGCGAUUCCAAGCAAAGAUUGAAAGAUUGAAUUUCAUUAGACGUGAUGUCCUUCUUCUAGAUGUGAUUGUAUUUCCAUUUCAUUUUUUCCCAUUUCUAGAUCAGGUUGAGUUAUGUAAAGUUGUAAACCUUGGCCAAAGCCUUCCGAAAUCAAUUGAGGUGCAAAGUCGGACGUGGAAAUGCGGUGAGAUUUUGGCUUGAUCCUUGGAUUGACAUAGUUCCCCUCCAUAUGUAUUUUCCUCGUAUCGUUGCCUUGGCAGUCAACAAGAAUGCUUUUAUUAGUGAGAUAGGACUAUGCUCGGGUAGAUUGUGGACUUGGGCAGUGGUACUAAGAAGACAAUGUCUUUGCUAGGACCUAGAUGAAGAAUUGGGGUUUUAUGCUGCAAUCAACUCAUAUUUACCGGCUAUGUUUAGCAUGUAUAGCUGAUAAGCUAGCUGAAAGCUGAAAAGCUACGUGAUUGAAACAAAAGUGUUUGGUAAAACUAGCUGUUAAACAAGCUGAAAUUGUAAAAGGACAUACUUGUAUAAUUAUUUUUAUAUUUAACAUUACUUUAUUUUCACAUUAAUACCUAUAUGAUAUUGAUAUUAAAAUUAUUAUCACUUUAAAUAUUUUUAUUAACUCAAGUUAUUUAUCAUCUUAAAAAUAUAUAAUUAAUUUUUACUUAUUUUUAUUAAUUUAAUAUUUUUAAUACUUAUGGUGCACAGCGGUGUGGCGGGAACUACAUACGUAAGUGUGAGGUAAAAAUAUGUUUAGUGUUUUUAUAAAUAUAUAAGGGCAAUGGUGGAAUUUUAAUAAAAUAAUAAGGAUAAAAAUGAGAAUAAAUUUAAUAAGCUAUAAGCUUUAAGCUAUAAGCUACCUGAGAUAGCUUAUAGCUUAAAGCUUUAAGCUACUGAAAUAAGCUCAUUAGGAAUAUGAAAGGCAUCAUGGUGCAGAGUCUUCUGUUCAAUGGAACUACAUAUAGCUUUUUACAGAGAAACAUCCUGGUGCUCACCUUGCCAAAAAAUACUAUCCUCACCUUGACUUGGUGGCUAUGUUUGGCAUGUCAUUUCAGCUAGCUUAUAGCUUAUUUGACUAGCUUAAAACUUAUUUGACAAGCUUAAAAGCUCUUCAAAAGUGUUGGGUGAAUGUUGGGUUCAGGGUUUGCUUGUUUUGGGCUGAAAAAGAAAGAAAUUUCAAAACCCUAGCCCACCUAUAGUGUAGCCGCAAGUGAUAAGGGUUGAAGGGGGGGGAGAAGCCCUUAUUUUUCCUCCUCAUGCAGAAAUAGAAGUGUUGCACUCACGUAAGAAAAAUAGAAGAGAAGAAAAGAAAAGAAAGAAGAGAGAAAGAAGGGAGAGGCCGAGAGAGAGAAUCGAGUAAGAGAGGGAGAAGAAGAGAGGGAGCAGCCGAGAGAGAGGGAAAGGAAAGGAGAGGAGACUUGAAGAGAAAGCAGCAGCAGCCCUAGCGAUUAACCUGGAGCUAGCCGCUGCCACCUCCUUGCACCCUAGCAUCGCCGGCCGCCGCACGCACGAAGAAGGGAAGCCACGCGAGAGAGAGAGAGAGAGAGAUCGAGGGAACGAGAGGGAGAGAUCGAGCGGAGAAGAAAGAAAGGGAUUGGACAGUAGCUGUUGGGUUCUUUUUACAGCAAAGAAUUCUUCUUUCAUCAAGGUUUUAGCAAGGUAAGGGCUUGUUCUUAGGAAAAGGGUAGAGUUAGGGCUUUAUCAUGAUUGUUUUGUGAUGUUGUGAUUCUUGGCAUACUUUUAUGAAAUCUUGUUGGUUCUGGAAAUUAAAGCAUGUUAUGAGACACAUGUUAACUGGAUUUUUGUUGUUGGAAUAUUGCCUUAAACCUUGUGCUUAAUUGGUUUAUAAAUUAAUUUAGAGGCGGAAGGUUCAGGGCCUAUUAUCACCCGUUUCUGGAUCUCGGAUGAAAAAGUGUUUAACUAGAGAGUUAUAGAUCUUUAAAAUAGCUUUUCAGAAAGGUACCAUACGUGAUUCUUGGUUGGAAGAUGCGUCCUGUAGACCAGUUUCAAUGAAUGUUGUCCCUGCUGUCAAAAGCUAAGUUGCGAAAAUGUUUGAAGUUUUUGUUUAGGAAUAUGUGAUUAGGAGAUUCUAUGAAUUUCUCUUGAUGUUUUGUGAAUAUAAUUGUUGCUGGAAAUUUGUGCAGUGGAUGCAUGCUUAUUAAUACACAUUUGAUAUACUUGCCGUGGAUCUAUGAUUUUAUGUGAAAUUCAUAUGACUACUUGCUAGAUUGGCUUACUUUUCAUUUGUUUCCAACAUGACGUUUGAUGAUUGAUCAGAUCUGGAAAUUUUGGGUAAUUAUAUUGAUGUUUGAGGGCUGAUCUAAGGCUAGUGCACUUGAAAAGGAAGAAGGAAAUGUUUUUGAAAAACCCUAGAGCCAUGUACAUGGUUCGACCGAACCUAGUUUUAGGGUUCAGGCCAUUCCUCUUCUUCGUUUUCAUGCACCGGUUGUUAGACAUCUCGUUUGGUUAACUUGCCAUGUUUAUGUGUUUGAGGAGCAUGCGAGUAUGGUUAGGAAUAUUUAUGUGUUAUGAAUAUUGCCUGACUGAGGAACCAUGGGUCGCUCAUCUAGCCGUAAUUCCCAUUGGUGUUGUGAAUAUCUAUUGUUGUUAUUAUUAUUAUUUGUCGUUAAAGUUGCUAAGACUCUAGGACUGACUUUAGAGCCUUAAAAACAAAGAGAAUGAGACUUAACUCGCUGGCAAGUAAAUGUGAUUAAUCGGACAUAGGUCUAGUGAAGACUAUGGGCCAUGAGAACGAUGGUGCCGUUAGAGACAAACGGUAGCUUGCACGCGAGGGAGAUUUUGUGGAUCGGUGGGUCCUUGUGAUUUGAUUGACUGCAGUCACCGUGAGAAUUGUGAAUUGUGGAUCAUUGCGUAUCCAUGUGAUUGUACAUUUGCGGAUGUAUGUGAUUGGUCAAGGAGUUUUGGUGGGUUGUGUGAUGUGAGGAAACGUUAGUCUAACUGAGAAGUAGGUUACUAACUCAAUUAAUGCUAUUAAUACAAGAGAAGUUAUGACAGGUGGUUAUGUUCAUAUGAUGAAAGUUUAUAUGAGAUGUGAUUAUGUUUAUGCAUGAUUUGUUGUGGAACCUGACUCUUGCACUACUUGUUUAUGUGUUUAUUUGGGGGGGGGGGGGUAGAUGGUCGUGAAGAUAACAACGACGACUCAUUCUUGGGAGCUAAUACUACGUGACGAGCCACUACCGGAUGACGACUAUACUCCUGAUGAAGAGGAAGAAGAUAAAGAGGAAGGGGCCAAGGAUAUGGUUGGGUUGAGAGACAUCUACUUUUCCUUUUGGGUUGAGAGUACCGAGUUUUGGAAGCAUUGAACCAUUACUUUAUUUUAGUUGGGAUAUUUUAACUUGAUGUAAUUUACUUUGAAGUUUUCUUUCAGAUAUUUAUUUCAUACUCUUUUCAAUGAUUAAUAAAGUUUGAGGUUUACGUUGAUGAUUAUUUCCGCAAGUUCGAAAUGGUUAAAUUUCAAGAAUUUUGUAAAAUUAAACUUUUGUCACUAAUUGAAGAUUAAUGAAUUAAACGACGAAAAUUCACGACGUUUUGGUUACUGUGUGACACUCGAGAAAUCGGGGCGUUACCGUGAUUGCCUAUGAAUAUAAACAUGAUAUGUCGAACAUGAUAACAAGUUGUUAUUAUGAACAUGCCUUAUAUGAUAUGCUUGAGUUGCUAGCUUUUAUUAUUGAAUGCAUGCAAGUAAUUGUUGUGAUUAUGAAACGUUUGAGAUGCGGACAUGCAUGGAUGCCUUUGAUGACUAACUUUCAUGACAUGAGUCUUUAAUCAAGUCCAGUGGAUUAGAUGGCCAUGAUCGAGUCCAGGACGAGCUAUUUUGUGGUGUGCUUCAAGAGUCACGAAGGUCCCGGUUAAGUACCAAAACGGAAGACAGUGGUGCGUUAGCAGUUGGCUAACCCCGAUUGUGGACCAGGGAAGCAACAAUGCAUUUGUGAAGACUAACCUCAAUCGUGGAGUCAUCGAAAUACGACAGUGCAUUAGUAGUUGGCUAACCCUUGUGUUUUUUCUCGCUUACCCGAUAGUAGAGCUGGCGUUAAUGGAUAUCUGAAAUUAGUCUACAUUUUCACGGCCAUACAAACUAACCAAACUUAGAGCUCUUUGCUAGUUCCUCAUACUUGUUGAAUGUUAGCUUAAGGAAUGAUAUAUUUGAUAGCAUAUUAUACCUUACUUAUUGACUUGUUAGGAGUUGGUAUUUGUUUGUUUGUUUGUUGUUUGCUAUUUGCGGCGCUUAACACCUAGAUCUCGAGACUAACGCAUGCAAUCAGCCGGGAUACGACCCUGCCAGGGGCAGUUUAUCUCCCAUACCUACUGUCACGCAGUUCUGAGGAUGUCAUAUCUUCCACAUCUUUUUGCACCACUAGCGGGAGAUAAUGUGAUAGGGUCGCUGAGGAGGAAUCUAGCCAGGAUCUAUCCUCCUCACUGAUAGACAAUCUGAUCGUGGAUUAUGAGGACUGCGCUACAAGUUAGGGUUUUGAGUGUGAAUAUUAAGUCUAUUGUGGAUGUGAGCUGAUUUCCCACUAGGGUCUGAACUUAACUUGCGGUUCUUCCUACGUGAUGACUCUGCGAGAGACUAUCUGAACCUUUACCAUCACACACACACAUUCUACACUUAUUCUCUAAGAUCGAAAAGUCAAGUCAAACUUAGCUUCUUCUUCUAGCUAAUUAACUAGACUAUAUAUGCACAUGCAUCACUCAAAAAUGUCCAAUUUGAAACAAGUUUCAAGUUCUACAAAUAACACCUCAAACUUUUAAGAAAUUAAGUUCCAAUCCUCUACAGAACAAAUAAUUAUAAUGAAGUCCAUAAACUUUCCAAAGUUUACAUUUUCAACCCAAAACUUCUAUAAUUUCAAGUUUUAGUCCCAAAUUUGCUAUCCAUGUGUUUAAAAGUUCUAGUUUUGUUUAUUUCAAAAUAAUGUAAAUGCUCAAUUUUUUGAAUUAUGUGAAAAGUGAAAUAAGUAUUUUUUUUUCGAAAGAAAUUAUAUUAAUGGGAAAAUGUAAAAUCAAUAAGAAUGAAGGUUAGCAAGAUUAAUGAAGGUUUGAAAUGCCUAGGCUGACUCCAAGGUUGAUUAUGUACAUGUCUCAAGGAUCACUAUUCUUUGGUUCAUAUGAUUUUUUUAAGAGGGUAUUUGAUCUCUUGAGGACAGACAAAAUUUAAAUUUAACCAAAAGUGUGUCAUCAGAAGUUGUAGCAGCAGCACCCCCAGGGCUUUGAAUUUGAUAGUAGUUCGCAUUCUUGUUAAUAUAUUAGUGUGUGGGGGAAAUGUUCAAUGGUGCCACAAGCAGCAGGGAGGUCCAUGAACUUUGUAUAUUUAUCAUGUAUAUGAUAGCGUCCAGUAGCAGAGGAAAAAUUGGUUAUCAUAUUUUAGGUAAAAUAUUACAAUUACAUUAACUUUGCAAUGUAAAAGCAAAGUUAAAAAAAAAAGACGGAAUAUCAACUUUUGACCUGAGGCAGAGGUUUAUAGUACUUUUUGUAUAGACUUCCACGUCCUUGAUGGUUCCUUAUGGGAUAAUUUUUUUCUCUUUUCAAAUGAACGCAAGCAGUUACGUAAGCAUGUAAAAAAAAGACCUUUAAAUUAAUCCUCUAAAUUUAAUGCAAACUCAAUCGAAACAAUGAAAAUUAGUAACACACAAGAUGUGCGACGGAAAUGUCCUUUUCAAGUGCCCAAUGUUUUUUUAUUUAAUUAAAACAAAAAAGAAUGUAAUUACUUGUUUACGUGACUUAAUAUAAUUGGAUGUCAAGUAGAACUGUUUGACAAUAACAUGUAUAUUACAAUUAAACUCGUAUUUUUAAUUUCAAAACAAAACUUUUAGGUUUAGCUAAUAUGUCAAAUAUAUUAGAAAAAUGAGUAGAAUAAGUUGCUCAAAGUAGUCAUGGGUUUGCGAGGGAAAUGUACUUUUCAGGUGUCCAAUAUGAUAUAAAAAUGAAGCCUUGAUCUUCUUUUCUUUACUUUUUUAAACACUCCUAUAGGCUAUAACUAUAAAUGCAAGUCUUGUAUAUAUUAGAAAAAUGAGAGAAUAUAUAUUAGAAAAAUGAGAGAAGAAGGUAAAGGUAGUCAUGGGUUUGCGAGGGGAAAUGUACAUUACAGGUGUCCAAUGAUGUAAAAGUGCAAGUCUGAAAGCUAAUUAUUUUAUUUUGUAGCACUGACAAGUUUUUUUAUUUAAUAGGCAAUAAGAACAAGUGAUAUUCAUGAGUUGAAUCACGUGGGGGGAAUUUCAUAUACAUUAAUAAUCCCUUACCUUGCAAAUCUUGGUCUUUUUAUUUAAUUAUCAUUAUUAUUAAUUCUACACCAGUUAAGCAAACGUACAGUUGUCCAAUUAAUCAUUUUAAAAUGCAAGUCUUGGGUUUCUUUCCUUUAUUUUUUUAAUUACUCGCUACGAUUUGUACUGAUUCGCAUAUCCAUGCAUUAAAAUGUUCAAGUCUUGUCUUAUUAGGUAGAUACACGCAUACCUAUUUGCUGAUUAUAUUGCGACAUGAUCUGAUCAUCUGCUGUGAUGAAGUAUAAUCAUUAGUCUUCUUAUUAUUUACAAUCUUUACGUGAUAUUGUUGUUUUUUUAAAGUAUAAAAGAAUGAAUGAAUAAAUAGCAGCAAAAGAGGGAUGCUACAGCCAUAUACAAAGAGGGAAAAAAAAUGAUAGAGAAAUUACACUCCACGUCAUUUGCUGCUUAUUACUUACGAAUUUUGUUUCUCAUCUUUUCAUAAAUAUUUUUUUGUGAAUUUUAUUUCAAUUUUAAGUAAACUUCCGGGAUAUUUAAAUGUAUAAAUAAUUCUGCAAAUAAUGAGAGCAAUUCCACAGAUAAAGUGUGUCCAGGUCUGUGAUAGUUUGUAUUUUUUAUAAUAUAUUAGUGUGUGAUUUCAAUGGUGCCACAAGCAGCAAGCAGGUCCAUGUACUUUGUAUAUUUAGUCAUGUAUUAUGUAUAUGAUUGCGUCCACUAGCAGAGGAAAAGUUGGUUAAUAGUAUUUUUUGUUUAGAGGUCCUUUUCUUUGCAUUACCUUCCACGUCCUUGAUAUGAUUCAAUUCCUGUUACGGGAUAAUAAUUUUCUCUUGUCAAAUGAAGGCAAGCUCUGACUUAAGCCUAUAAAGGAAACACCUUAGCUUUAUAUGAUUUUAUCUAAAAAAAAAAGAGAAGUAUGAAAAAAUUAGUGAAAAUGAAAUGAAAAAUAGAGAUAUAAAGAAGAAGUCGGUGAAAAUGAGAUAAAAAACAGCUUAAAGUGUUUUUAAUAAGUUACCUCAAGUACCUAGCUUAUAGGUUAAAGCUCAUUGAAGUUAUUUUGAUUUUUAUCCUUCUCAAAUUAAUAAAAUUCUAUUAUUACCCUUUUUGCAUUUAUAAAAUUACUAAACCCUCAUUAUUUUAAUUUUAAAAUAAUUAGAGUUCAAUUCCAAUUUUUAAUAUAGAAAUCUAAAUAUACUUUAUUGAUUUAGACUGUUUUCUUUUUUCUUUGUAUUUGGGAUUGGAGUACCCCUUCUACUCCUAUUUAUUCAAUUCAUUGGCUUAUAAAAAAAAUUAAUUUACACAAAUAUAAGCUUACUUUAUUAAUUAAAAUAUAGAUUUAAUUUUUUUAUUCAAUUUAAUUCAAUAAAAAUAAGAAAAUACGAAAAAACUAAAAAAUAAUACUAUAAUCUGAAGUUGAUAAAUAAUUUGUACUAAUUGAAAUAUUUAAAGUGAUCACUAUUUUAAUUUUAAUAUCAAAUAGGUAUUAAUGUGUAAAUGAAAUAAUGUUAAAUAUAAAAAAGUUAUACAAUUUUGUCCCUUUAUGUCAAUUUACAAUUUUAAUAUGAUAGAAACAUAGUUUGAUGAUCGUUGUCCUUCUGCCAUUCAUCCUGAUUUUAAUUUUAAUAUGAUCGAAACAUAAUUUUAAUAUGAUCGUUGUCCUUCUGCCAUUCAUCCUAAUUUUAAUAUGGGCGAGUUAAUAUGCAAAUUGAUGGAGAUACUAUUUCUGAAUUCUUAGCCCAUAUGACGUGUUUAAAGAUGAGCUUUUAAUAUCAUGUGUUAUGAUUAGAUAUAUUGUUCACUGGGUGCUAUAUAUUUUGAACUGCAUGUAUAUGUUGAAGAAACUCAAAGUUGGCAUGCAACUGAAAAGGUUGCUAUAAGAAAGGAGAAAGAAGCAGCAGCCUCACAAAGUGAGGCAAAUGGGUUUAGUUGGCCGGCCGGAGAAGAUCCAUGGUUUUUACUGCUUGCCAAAUGCCAAUUAUUGUCAGUUGUGAUUUUAGGAACUUCUUGAAUCUGGUACCUGUAGGGGAUUCAAGCACCUCGAUUAGAUAAUGUAGUAGAGCGAGAAAUCACAGAUAAAACACACAACAUCUUAGUCACACAGUUUGGCCAAAUUGCCUACCUCUGCGGCUAUAGAGUAGUUAUAACUCCUUUGUAUUACUUGUGGCAUGAAGCAUGUGGUACCAAGUACAACUUUUAGAGUUACAGAGUUUACCUAUUUUUAGGAUACUACUAACCCUAGUAAAACAUCAUAAAAUCCUUUUAAACUCAUACACAAUCCCCUUAAAUUAAAUCCUAAUAAACUGAAUAGUUUUAACCCAAAAUAAAGCAGAAAGGAAUCUGAAACAAAUCUUUCUGAUUUUUUCUCUUUCUAAUUUGUAUUACUUGUGGCAUGAAGCAUGUGGUACCAACUACAACUUUUAGAGUUGCAGAGUUUACCUAUUUAUAGGAUACUUCUAACCCUAGUAAAAUAUCAUAAAAUCCAUUUAAACUCAUACACAAUCCCCUUAAAUUAAAUCCUAAUAAACUGAACAGUUUUAACCCAAAAUAAAGCAGAAAGGAAUCUGAAACAAAUCUUUCUGAUUUUUUCUCUUUCUAAUGAGCCAAAAACCCAACAAUCUCCACUUUGGCGAAUUCUCAAACUGCCUGUGAAGAUAUCUGCCUCAGUCUUCAGAACAUCGAUUCCUUGGGAUUGUACUCUCCUCAUGCUUAACACCGAGAACUUUGUAACAAGUUCAAGCCCGGCUCAAACCUGUCACUGGUGACUGGCAUGGUCAAUAGUAGCACUACCUUGCAACCGAACUCCACCUUGCUCAACACCUUGUUGCUUCACUCCGCCACCUUGGCAUCCAUCCACUUCUCCUUCCCUGGCGUGGCCAUUGCCUCUUGAAAGUAGACAGAUCUCCACCUUAUUCUGUGUCUUUCAGAUCCGUCGGUUUCUCCUCUCACAAAGACUUUUACAAUCCUUGUUGAUCUCCCUUCGCAGCGGAAGAUAUCAGCCGUCACUGUGGUUACUAACCAUCGGCCUCUCCGCAUAAGUUACCCGACCGUUACCAUGGUUACUAACCAUCGGCCCCUCUGCGAAUGUUGUCCAGCCGUUACCAUGGUCCACGAACCAUCAGCUCUGAUACCACUUGUAGGAGAUCCAAGCACCUCAAUUGCACAAUGUAGUAGAGCGAGAAAUCACAGAUAAAGCACACAACAUCUUUGGUCACGCAGUUCAGCCAAAUUGCCUACCUCUGCGGCUAUAGAGUAGCUAUAACUCCUUUGUAUUACUUGUGGCAUAAAGCAUGUGGUACCAAGUACAGCUUUUAGGGUUAGAGAGUUUACCUAUUUAUAGGAUACUACUAACCCUAGUAAAACAUCAUAAAAUCCUUUUAAACUCAUACACAAUCCCCUUAAAUCAAAUCCUAAUAAACUAAACAGUUUCAACCCAAAAUAAAACAGAAAAAAAAUCUGAAACAAAUCUUUCUGAUUUUUUCUCUUUCUAAUGAGCCAAAAACCCAACAGUACCAAAGGAAACGUUUACAAGGCUCCAUUUUAUGAUGGCAUAGGAUUUUAUCACAUGGGGAAUGGUUUGGAGGUAGGCUUUGUGCGUAUAUUUUGGGGUUAUUAAUUUAUGGGUGGUAUGCUACAGUGCAGUAGUUUUUUGGGGUUAACUUCCCCUUCUCUCACUCCCCGUCGAUUUGCAUCACUGGUUGUAUUAGCCAUAGUUUUAAUGGCUAGGAUGCAUAGGCUGAUUAUUUUAUGGAAUUGAGGUGUGUUAGUUGGGCUCGUUGGCGUUGGUUCUGAGUGUGGUGGGUUCAUGCUGCUUAUGCUCUUUGGGUUGCAGUGUCAUUGGCUUUGCUUUAAAUUCGUUGUGUGGUGUUCUGGUCCAGCUGAAUCAGAGUAUGUAGGAAGUCCUUUAUAACCUGGAAAUAUGGUUCAGUUUUGUUGCUGCCUUUGGUCAAUGUCAUGUGCUAAUUCGCGUUCCCCCAAUGCCGAGAUGAGGUUAUUUUUUGUUGGGUUUGCGAGGCUUCCUCUCGCCGCAUCUAGGUCUCUAACAGAUGCCUCUUCUCAUUGGUCGUUUAAUGCUUUGAUUAGGGGUUGAAUGUUCUAGGAAUGAACAUUCAAGAGAGGGGUGGUACCUAGAGAGUGGAAGAAUGUGCUUGAGGGAGAAAGAGAAUGAGAGAGAAAGUGCUGAAUUUCAUGUGUUAUUUGAUAAAAAUGAGCUAAAAGUCCUUUACAAUUGGUAACUACCUCCUAUUUAUAGAGCUUGGGCACUACCUAUUGGGCCAAUUGGGCCUCCGGAGUCGAGGCCCAACUUAAGGCUCGGCUCUCGCUCUUGGGCGGGCUGAACCCUGGGCGUUGCCUCCCUAGGGGCUCGCCCAGUCCACAAGUCCACAAGACACCGAGCUCGAAGUAUAAGAGCUAAGUGUGUCUUUUAAAUGCUCUUACAUGCACUCUAUUGCGUGCUGGAAUCUAGGCUGCCAACAUGGCUUGAGGAAAAAAGAGGGAAACUACGUCGCCGACAUGGCGUAAGCAAAGGAAAUAAGCAUCUUUAGUCACCCAGUCCACUGGUCUUGGCGAGCAACCCAAACUGGCAAGUCCACAGGUCCACAGGCGGCGGGAACGAUUGCUUUGUACCGACGAUUAGUUGGAGUCAGUGGGCUAGGUGGCAGGCGUUAGCCAUGCACUGAUCAUCCAAGCGUUGGCUGGCGAUGCCCUUGGCUGGCGGCUAAACUUUCAUUGGCGACAUUGCUUGUUAGGCGAUGGCGUUUACUCUUUAUGGUGGCGAGGUGUUUGGAUCUCCCGGCGGCGAGGCCUUUCGCGCUUGCCCUUAUUUCAAAAACUUUUUAAAUCCCUAACUGCUCCACGUGAUACGUCAGUUACGUCAGUUUCCCCUUUCUCCGCAACCGUCACCUCACUCCUCAUAACUGUCCAAUCAUGCGCAGUAACUCCCCAUCACACGCGUCCCACUUCCCAAGAGCCAUCAUGACCUCCAACCUUCCACACGCGUCCACGACGCGUCACCCUUCCAACUUUCCCCCUUGCCUAUAAAAACCCUUUUCCCCUACAAUCAUCCCUUUCCGAAACCUCUCUUUACUUCUCUUAUCGCUUACCAAGCUCCCUCUUCCAACUUCCGUUCUGGUGCCGUCGUCUUUCACCCUUUCUGCUACCCACUCUUCACGUCCUUACCCGGUGAAUCCUUGUUCCCUUAUCUCUGCAUCUUAUCUCUACUUAUCUUUUAUUUUCCCUCACUUAGUUUGUCAGAGAUGGCUUCAAACCCUAACUCCCCUAAUCACACCUCUUCCUCUUCUGAGAAUGACCCCGAUUCUACCGCAGCCGGCGGCCUCCGUCUAGAGGUCCCGGAGAUUCCCCAAUACCGAUCGAGAACCUUUGCAACCCUGCCCCUUCCAGUCCAGAUAGCACCCUCCCACGAAGCGAUAGACCAACCCUCCGUUUUCCAGGAUAGGAAACUUAUCGUGGAAUUCGUGAGUAACCUUGGUGGUUUGUCAGACGAUGAUGAAAUAAACGACAAACUCAGGAUUUGGCCCUGCAGUGCUGAGGACCGCCCCUGGCUUCAUAGGGUCGACGACGAUGUGAAGAGAUCCCAUUUUUUCUUUGUAUAUGAAUAUAUGUUUGGCGAGCUUGGAGUCAGGCUUCCUUUUUCGCCCUUCGUUCAAACCGUUCUCCGCGAUAUCAAUGCGGCUCCUUGUCAACUCCAUCCCAACGCCUGGGCCUUCAUCCGGUGCUUCGAGAUCNNNNNNNNNNNNNNNNNNNNNNNNNNNNNNNNNNNNNNNNNNNNNNNNNNNNNNNNNNNNNNNNNNNNNNNNNNNNNNNNNNNNNNNNNNNNNNNNNNNNNNNNNNNNNNNNNNNNNNNNNNNNNNNNNNNNNNNNNNNNNNNNNNNNNNNNNNNNNNNNNNNNNNNNNNNNNNNNNNNNNNNNNNNNNNNNNNNNNNNNNNNNNNNNNNNNNNNNNNNNNNNNNNNNNNNNNNNNNNNNNNNNNNNNNNNNNNNNNNNNNNNNNNNNNNNNNNNNNNNNNNNNNNNNNNNNNNNNNNNNNNNNNNNNNNNNNNNNNNNNNNNNNNNNNNNNNNNNNNNNNNNNNNNNNNNNNNNNNNNNNNNNNNNNNNNNNNNNNNNNNNNNNNNNNNNNNNNNNNNNNNNNNNNNNNNNNNNNNNNNNNNNNNNNNNNNNNNNNNNNNNNNNNNNNNNNNNNNNNNNNNNNNNNNNNNNNNNNNNNNNNNNNNNNNNNNNNNNNNNNNNNNNNNNNNNNNNNNNNNNNNNNNNNNNNNNNNNNNNNNNNNNNNNNNNNNNNNNNNNNNNNNNNNNNNNNNNNNNNNNNNNNNNNNNNNNNNNNNNNNNNNNNNNNNNNNNNNNNNNNNNNNNNNNNNNNNNNNNNNNNNNNNNNNNNNNNNNNNNNNNNNNNNNNNNNNNNNNNNNNNNNNNNNNNNNNNNNNNNNNNNNNNNNNNNNNNNNNNNNNNNNNNNNNNNNNNNNNNNNNNNNNNNNNNNNNNNNNNNNNNNNNNNNNNNNNNNNNNNNNNNNNNNNNNNNNNNNNNNNNNNNNNNNNNNNNNNNNNNNNNNNNNNNNNNNNNNNNNNNNNNNNNNNNNNNNNNNNNNNNNNNNNNNNNNNNNNNNNNNNNNNNNNNNNNNNNNNNNNNNNNNNNNNNNNNNNNNNNNNNNNNNNNNNNNNNNNNNNNNNNNNNNNNNNNNNNNNNNNNNNNNNNNNNNNNNNNNNNNNNNNNNNNNNNNNNNNNNNNNNGUCUGUUUUUCUUUUUGUUCAUGUAUCUCGUCUAAUUGGUGUUUUCCAUACAGCUACGAUGGGAAAAAGCAAGAUUGACACGAACCCAAUCAAGAUGAAGGAAUACCUCGCCCAGUCUGCUGCGGCGGCGAAGAAGAGGGCCGCCGAAACUGAGCAAAAGAAGAAGAAUGAAGGUACUUCGGGUUCUGACAACGUCAGGGACCCUAAACGUCAAAGAACUUCAGGUGCUGCUGGUGGUAAGCCUCUCCACCAAUUGACUCUCGAUCCAAAAAGUCAUUCGGCUGAGAAAAAGAAGGGACAUGACAAUGUCCCGCCCCCUCAACAAGAUUCAAGCGCGCUAAUCAACCGCCCACCAACUCCAUUUAACCAAGCUGGCCCUAGCUCAGCCAUUGGUGGCGAGGCUCCUCCCCCCUUGCUGAACUUGUCGGAUCCUCACUUCAAUGGGCUUGAAUUCAUGACCCGUACUUUUGACAACCGGAUUCACAAGGACAUUUCCGGUCAAGGCCCCCCCAACAUUGCUUCCGUGGCGAUCCAUCACGCGCUCUCUGCCGCCAGUACUGUGGCGGGAAUGGCUCAUGCGUGAAGGAGUUGAUAUCGGCCAAGAACCGUUAUGAAAAGAAGGCGGCUGAUUAUAAGACAGCCUAUGAGCGGGCUAAAACUGAUGCUGAGACUGCCAACAAAAAGCUGAAAUCUGCCGAGGAGAAGUGUGCUAAGUUAACUGAAGACUUGGCUGCUUCGGACCUGCUUCUUCAAAAGACCAAGUCUCUUAAAGAAGCCAUAAAUGACAAGCACACUGCCAUUCAAGCCAAAUAUCAAAAGUUGGAGAAGAAACAUGAUCGCCUGAAUGCUUCCAUCAUAGGGCGUGCUUCUCUUCAAUAUGCUCAAGGCUUUCUGGCGGCCAAAGAGCAGACCAGUGUGGUUGAGCCGGGCUUUGAUCUUUCCCGCAUUGGGUGGCUGAAGGAGAUCAAGGACGGUCAAGUAGUUGGUGAUGAUGACAUUAGCCUCGACCUCUUCCCCAAUUCGAUGAUAGAGUGACCUGAAAUGAUGCGAGAUGGAAUGAGCACACAGAAUGAGAUCACAUAGGAGAUCUCAGCUGGACAGCCAGGCACACGCCACACAAAACUGCUUGAAUUGUUAUUUAUAAGUGAAUUUCUUUGGCAUGCCUGCUUAUUCAUCCCACAUGAUGCGUCGCCCUUUCCUNNNNNNNNNNNNNNNNNNNNNNNNNNNNNNNNNNNNNNNNNNNNNNNNNNNNNNNNNNNNNNNNNNNNNNNNNNNNNNNNNNNNNNNNNNNNNNNNNNNNNNNNNNNNNNNNNNNNNNNNNNNNNNNNNNNNNNNNNNNNNNNNNNNNNNNNNNNNNNNNNNNNNNNNNNNNNNNNNNNNNNNNNNNNNNNNNNNNNNNNNNNNNNNNNNNNNNNNNNNNNNNNNNNNNNNNNNNNNNNNNNNNNNNNNNNNNNNNNNNNNNNNNNNNNNNNNNNNNNNNNNNNNNNNNNNNNNNNNNNNNNNNNNNNNNNNNNNNNNNNNNNNNNNNNNNNNNNNNNNNNNNNNNNNNNNNNNNNNNNNNNNNNNNNNNNNNNNNNNNNNNNNNNNNNNNNNNNNNNNNNNNNNNNNNNNNNNNNNNNNNNNNNNNNNNNNNNNNNNNNNNNNNNNNNNNNNNNNNNNNNNNNNNNNNNNNNNNNNNNNNNNNNNNNNNNNNNNNNNNNNNNNNNNNNNNNNNNNNNNNNNNNNNNNNNNNNNNNNNNNNNNNNNNNNNNNNNNNNNNNNNNNNNNNNNNNNNNNNNNNNNNNNNNNNNNNNNNNNNNNNNNNNNNNNNNNNNNNNNNNNNNNNNNNNNNNNNNNNNNNNNNNNNNNNNNNNNNNNNNNNNNNNNNNNNNNNNNNNNNNNNNNNNNNNNNNNNNNNNNNNNNNNNNNNNNNNNNNNNNNNNNNNNNNNNNNNNNNNNNNNNNNNNNNNNNNNNNNNNNNNNNNNNNNNNNNNNNNNNNNNNNNNNNNNNNNNNNNNNNNNNNNNNNNNNNNNNNNNNNNNNNNNNNNNNNNNNNNNNNNNNNNNNNNNNNNNNNNNNNNNNNNNNNNNNNNNNNNNNNNNNNNNNNNNNNNNNNNNNNNNNNNNNNNNNNNNNNNNNNNNNNNNNNNNNNNNNNNNNNNNNNNNNNNNNNNNNNNNNNNNNNNNNNNNNNNNNNNNNNNNNNNNNNNNNNNNNNNNNNNGAUCGAAGAACACGCCUUUCAAUAAAAAAAAAAAAAAAAUCGGAACCACGUGAAUACACGCCUUUCCAAGAAAAACGCAUAAUUGAAAUAUAUGAUUGUAUAUUUAAUUGAGUAUGCCAAAUCCUGCAGCACAGGUGGCAUGGGUUAUAUCCCAUGCUUCAAAACCUGGCACUCACCCUCACCACCUCAUUAACUAAAUAUGUCAAAAAUGAGAGAAAUGAGUGUAUGAUAUGUAUUUUAACAAUAUAUAUAAAAAGACUAUAAGAAAAGAUAAUAUAUAAAAAGAACUAGAUAUAAAAAAAAUAUAGAAAUGAGAUAGAAGAGAAAGAAAAGAGCGAAUAUACUACUAUUCAACUGAGUAUAUAUGUUUACUUUCGAAAAUAUUUUUUUAGAAAGAUGAAAUGAUAUUAAUAAUGGACUCCAAAAAGGAGAAACAAACAGAAGAAAUAUAGAUUCAUAUGGAAACAAAGAUCACGUUGCAGUAAGCAUUGAAAGAGUGAAGGAUCAAGAAAUGAAAAGAGGAAAAUGAGACGUGGAGUACAUUAAGAAUAACAUUGAGAAAUAUUAACUUACAUUAAAUAUGUACUCAUACAUAUUAAAUUACUAAGGAAAUAAGUUGUUCCAUUAUGAACAUUGAGAUGAGGUAUAGUACCUAAGUUGUAAGGAACGGGAUAUGAGAUUCCUUGAGAGAAUGAGAGCGUAGCCACUUUAGAGAGAGAAUAACUGAAUUUCAAUCUUGUUAUUUCAUAAAUGAGCCAAGAGUCCUUUAAAAUUAAUUAGUACCCCUCCCUUAUUUAUAGUUGGGGGAGUUGGGCUUAGCGCCUCUAAAUCAUCCUAAUGGGGCCGGUUGGGCCUCCAGGAUGAAGGCCCAAAUCCCUGGUCCGCUCCUCGCCUUAGGCCAGCGCUUCUGGGCGAGGGACCCUAGGGUCUCGCCCAGUCCACAAGUCUACAAGACACCGAGCUCGAAGCAUGAGAGUUAAGUGUGUCUUUUAAACAGAAGAAACAAGGCGAUGGCCAUAAGAAGCUAACUAGUGCUAAAAAAUAAGGUCUGAAAACAAAGAACAAUUGCCAACAUGGCUUGGUAAUUUAAAGCUUAAAAAUUUACAUUUCAGAUGUCUUGUCACGCUCCCUUGGCAGACCAAGUCAACAAGCAAGUUUGUGGCGGUGACGCUCGGUCCGCCCGCCCUGCCAUAGUCAUGCAUGUGUCCUGAAUCGUGACCCCUUGACAUGUGUCGAGCCUUCGCCGCGCAUUGCGCCCUGAAGUGAUAUAUAAGUCAGCGAAUCCAAGGAAUCUCAACCGCUAUCUUUGGAACGUCCUUUCGAAUCACAGUAGAGCCUGACAAUUUGAAUUCGAACCAAUAAGCUUCAACUGUUGUAGCCUUUCGUUUAAUGCAUUAUUUUUCCUCUUCCCGAAACUCGCGCUGCACUCCCUGGAGUAAUCAUUUUAUCCUGCCACGUCAAGGCACGAUUCCCCAACCGCUACUCUCCCUGACCUUUAAAUCCUUUCCCCUUCCAUCAUUCACCUCUUUCCAUCAACUGUUCCCAUAUUCAUUCCUGACUCUCACACUGGUUCCCUUUGCCGAUCUUGCGAACUUAAAGCUCCGGCCCCUCUUGCUCCUCUUCUCACAGUCCUUUCCUGGUUAGUUUCUUAUCCUCUCUUUCUCCUUCUAUUUUUACGAUGCCUUCCGCAGGGGCCCGUUCCUCCGUGGAGGAGAUCAAAGCCCAUCGCUUUGCAACCUUUGCCACUCUCCCUUCCCCCAUCUCCGAGGCUCCUAAUCAGGGGGUUCUUGACCAACCAUCAGAGCUUUCUACCAGCGGAUCCCUUUCUGACCUUGCCCACAGGGCUGGUGGGCUUUGCUGUUCUCCGCUAUUAGAGGGCCUCCUUCGCACUGCCGGCUGCCAAGAGCAAGAUCACCCUUGGCAACACCGUGUGUUUAAUGACCCCAAGUAUUCCCACUUCUUCUUUGUAUACGAAUACUUGUUUCUUGAUCUUGGUGUUAAACUUCCCUUUUCACCCAAGUGCUGUGUGACAUUAACGUUUCUCCUUGCCAACUUCACCCUUGCUCCUGGGCCUAUCUGAAGUGCUUUGAAAUUCUCUGUCGCAGCGUUGAUGUGGUGCCUUCCCUUGCCCUCUUUUCUUUUUUCUUCGAAGCAGAUCCCCGAUCUCUGGAGACCCAUGGUUGGGUCAUUCUAGUGCCCCGGCCGGGCCGCGAACGAUUUGCCCCUUACCAGGUUGGCUCCGAAUCUUGCCUGGCCCGCCGGUACUUCCGGGUCAUCGUCCACCCUGCUUACCCCUCGUCGUUUACACAGAAGGAUGGGAAGGCCAUUUUCCCUUUUUAUUGGACACAGUGUCCCAAAACUACAUCUAAUUCUCUCGAAACGCGUUCCUCUUCUAGAGAGAAUUUCGCCAUUAGUGUCUUAUCCCAACUUCCUCUUUUCAGUUGCGCUGACCUGCUUGGCGCUCCCCCAGGAUCCAAACUGUUUCCUCGAUUAGGUUUUUCCUUUUACCGCCUUCUUCACACCUUCCUCUUAAUCUUCUUCGCUUCUGAUGACUCUUUCCUUUGUUUUUCAGGGAACAUGAAGUUUUAUACUUCUGAACUGCUGGAGGCCUUCCUCUACAAGAACAUUAAGGCACCUUCUCCGGCCCAAGUUGGAGAGAAAAGACGAAGCUCGCCGACGGGCGAGGGCUCUCCCUAGAAAAAGAAGCUGGGUGAGACAGGCUCCCAAGUCGCACCUCUGACUGUUGCGGGCGAGGGACCCAUCGCGUCCGCUUCGGCUGCCUCGGAUAGCACACGUGACUCCUUGGUGCCUGAUCAUCACGGCGAGGCGAACACUCCCCAUGUUGUGGAUACCUCUUGCCCCUUGACCUCGAUGGCGGGCCAGCAGCCUCCGUCCUCUGACCGCCCGCCAUCUCCUCCACCCGUCCAGACUACUCACGAUUCACCACCCCCCAACUCUCCUAGGGUUGGUGGCGAGGAAAAGGAACUUCCCUCGGACCGCCCAAAGGACCCCUCCAGCAUCUCUUCCGCCGAUCCCUUCUCCUUCUUACUUUCUCACCCUAACCUUGAGAAAUUGAGGGAAGUACCCAGCCAAAACCAGCAGGAGGUUGCCCAAGAAGCUGUGUCAAGUUUUCUUCGCGCUGGCUGCCUGUUCGCCAAGGUGGCUUGGCAGGCUCGGCCCCUCACCGGGAUUGCGGGGCUCCGCCAAGAGGUGGAAAAGCUGCAUUCCAUCAACCAUCAAGCCAACGAGACCUGCUCCAAGCUGUCCACCCAGUUAGCCACUGAGGUGGAUAAGACAAAGAAGAUGUAGAAAAAACUCGCGAAAGCGAAGCUUGCACAGGUAGCGGCGGACGAGAAGGAGAAGGAACUUGAGAACCAGGUUGAGAGACUCCGUAAGGACCUUAGCGCCAAGGAGGCCAUUAUUGCUUCUCAGGAGGGAAACCUUGCUGCUAAAGAUAAGGAGAUUGCUGAUCUGCGCGAAGGGCUGGCGGCCAAAGGUGAGUUACUUCCUGAGGCCCGGUCAGAUUUGGAAUCGAAAUGCAAACUCUUGGCCGAGAAGGAUGCCUAGGCCAUCGCCCUGGAAGAGAAGAUAAGGAGAGAAGCUGCUUUCGCGACGGCCAACGAGCGUAUCCGCGGCUUCCUAAUUUGUAAAGCUCAUGUCAAGCACCUCCAUCCAAAUGUCAACGUUGAACCCCUGGGAGUUUUCAAAAGGAUUACCCCUGCCGGACUGGUGGGUUGGGAAGAUCCGCCGGAAGUUGCUCACGUUGACCUUGGAGACGCUGUGGAAUAAGAGAGAAAAAUGUAAUGUUAACUUGUUUGAAGUUAUUGUAACGCUUUGCACUUCUUAAUUUUAUUUAAACUCUUUAUCUGUAUUUUUACUUUCAAGUUUGAUCGAUUCAGCUUUAUUUCUUUACGUUUUAUGUUUGUUUUAGCAUUUUUCCGGAGUUUUUCUUUUCUCUCAACGCCCCCCAUAGUUUCCUUGUUCCUGAAUUACGUUUGACGACAUUGAUGGUGUGCCUUGUUUAACUAGGACUUCUGCUCAAUUUUUGAACUGAGGUUUUCGUCACACCAAUAUUUCCCGUAAGAGCAGGUGUGGCCUCGCCGGUUUUGCCCCGGCGAGGACUUAUUGUUGCUAGGGACCCAAUGGUCAUAUAGGUUUACCCAGACUUAUGCCUAGUUAUGUUCGCGCGCCCAUAUUUCGGAGGGAUUUUUGGGAUAAGAAGCUUAUCCGCACACAUCGCCGACGAAUGACGGCGAGCUGCUUCGACUUUUCCGGAGCGAUCCCCAGACUUCAAGGUCGUGUUGGGAUCGCCACCUUUAGGGAAUUUUUCCCACCUAGCUCUCGCCGCAAUUCAGUGUGAUUGAAUUGCUGGAUACAAUUUUUGUAUUUUCAAUCCGACGUGAUAGUCAACAAACACCCCAGAUGGAGAACAAGAACGUGUCUUUGUUUUUACCAUUUAGGCGUUUUGGCCAACAAACUCUCGAAAUGGAGAACAAGAACAUGUUUUUGUUUUUACACCAUCAAUCUUCGCGAGACGCGCCUAGCUGAUCAUCCUCGCGCCGAAACCAGCUCCCUGUCAAUCCUUUAGCUGUAAUAGUAUUUCAGGCUCGCCGCGUUCCAGGAACGUGGCACUCGCCUUCCGUCUAAACUUUCCAGGUGAUAAGCCCCCUUCCCUAAGACCUUCAAAAUUCUAUAGGGGCCUUCCCAGAUUGGACUCAACUUAUUCCCAGUGCUCUCGGUUCGUUUCUUUAGCACCAGGUCCCCCUCCUGCGUCGCCCUCGGUCGCACUUUAGAGUCAUACUUCGCCGCAGCUCGCUGCUUCAUCGUAGCCUCUCUGAUGCGAGCCUCAUCGUGUGUUUCCGAAAAAAAAUCUAACUCCACCGCCAUGUUGGAAGAAUUCUCGCCCUUAAACCGCGACGUUGUUCGCCCAGAACUGUUGUCUAUUUCUACAGGCAACAUGGCGUCCGCCCCAUAGGUCAUCCUGAAUGGAGUUUCCCCAGUGCUUGAGUGUUGCGUUGUGUUGUAGGACUAGAUUACCAUCGGAAGUUCAUCCAACUAGGCUCCCUUCGCCUCCAAGAGCCGGCGCUUCAAACCCCGCAGGAUUACCUUAUUCGUCGACUCUGGUUGCCCAUUAGUUUGAGGAUGUUCCACUGAAGAGAACCUUCUCUGAAUACCCAUCUCUUCGUAGAAUUCUCUUGUUUGGUUACUUGCAAACUGCGUCCCAUUAUCUGAAACGAUCGCCCUUGGUAUCCCAAAUCGGCAUACGAUUCUCUUCCAGUAAAAACUUACGAUCUUGGUUGCAGUAAUGCUUGUGAGGGGCUCGGCUUCCACCCAUUUGGCGAAGUAAUCCACCGCUACGAGGAUGAACUUCAUUUGCGACCUGGCGGUGGGGAAAGGUCCGGCGAGGUCAAAUCCCCACAUGGCGAAGGGCCAUGGGGAGCUAAUCGUGGCCAAUUGUUCCGGCAGGGCCCUGGGUAAGUCUGCAAAUGCCUGACACUUUUCGCAUUUCUUCACGAACUCUGCACGGUCUUUUCUUAUUGUGGGCCAAUAAAAAUCUGCCUUGAGGACUUUGCUUGCCAAAGACCUUCCUCCGAUGUGACUAGCUCAAACCCGCCCGUGAACCUCUGCCAUAACAGCCUCAUAUUUCCCGGGUGGAAGAUACCUCAGGAGGGGCGAACUAAAUCCUCGUCGAAAGAGUAUCCCAUCGAGUAAUGUGUAGUGCCCCGCCUCUCUUCUUUGUUCCUUUGAGUACUUCACUACUGCACUUGGUUCUCCUGCCAAGAUGUCUACGAUGGGGUCCAUCCAAGUUUCUUGGCGGUCAACUGAGGCUACCAACUCUACUUCUAUGCUAGGAUUGGCAAGCGUCUCUUGGAUCACACUUCGAUUAUUUCCAGGCUUCCGAGUGCUUGCCAAUUUCGCUAGGGCGUCCGCCCUUUGAUUAUGUGCCCUUGGCACGAACUCAACUACGACAUCUUGCAGUCGACCCAUCAGUAGUUGUACGCGCUCUAGAUAUUUUAUCAAGGCCGACUCCUUCACCUGGAAUUCCCCAUUUACUUGGUUUGCCACUAGCAACGAGUCCGUUCUAACUAGCAAACUGUCAAUCUGUACCUCAAUUGCUAACUUCAGCCCGGCGAUCAGGGCCUCAUAUUCUGCCUGGUUAUUGCUGGCUUUGAACUGGAAUCUGAGGGACUGCUCUAGUACCAACUCCCCAGGCCCUUGUAGUGUGACCCCUGCUCCACUUUCGUUAUCAUUUGAUGACCCAUCGACGAACAAUGUCCAUUGCGUGCUCACCUUCUCACCGUCUUCCAGCGUUAACUCCACCACAAAAUCAGCUAAAGUCUGCGCACCGACUUUCCCCCUUUUGUCGUAUUGCAAACCGUAUUCUGACAAUUCAACCGACCAUGCGACAAGUCUCCCUAACAAAUCUGGCUUCUGCAACACCUGUCUCAAAGGAAGAUCAGUUCUUAUUUUUACCUGAAAGCUUUGAAAGUAUGGUCUAAAGGCGUCUGGCGGUAACGAGGACGGCGAGCGCCGCCUUCUCUAUCUUCUGAUACCUAAUCUCCGCCCCUUGAAGUGUAUGGCUUACGAAGUAAAUUGUUUUUUGCUCUCCGUUUACCUCUUGAAGAAUGACGGAGCUGAUUGCAUGAUCGCUGACAGAAAAAUACAAAUGCAGAGGGAGCCCUUGGGCAGGUUUUGAUAACACGGGUGGCACGGACAACAUCUCUUUGAGGCGUUUAAAGGCUUCUUCGCAUUAUGAAGUCCACUCAAAUGCCGCAUUCUUCUUUAGGCACUUGAAGAAUAGGGCCGACUUGUCGCCUGAAUGAGGGAGAAACCUGGACAGGGCUGCAAUCCGUCCUGUCAGGCGCUGCACCUCUUUUACACUGCUGGGGCUUUUCAUUUCUUGGAUUGCUUUACACUUAUCCGGAUUGAUCUCAAUCCCUCUUGACGUAAUCAUGAAGCCUAAAAACUUUCCGCCCUGUAUACCAAAAGAACACUUCUCCGGAUUGAGCCUCAUAUUAUGCUUUCGGAGCCUGCCAAAAGCUUUCGUCAAAUCCUCAUGAUGGCUUGAUCCCAAAACCGAUUUCACGAUCAUAUCAUCGACAUAUACCUCCAUGUUCCUCCCCACGUGGCCCUCAAACACCCUAUCCAUCAACCGCUGAUAUGUCGCCCCCGCAUUCUUCAGCUCGAAGGGCAUGGUUUGAUAACAGUAGUUUACCCUAGCGGUCAUGAAGGCUGUUUUGUCUUCAUCCGACGAGUGCAUCUUGAUUUGGUGAUAUCCCGAAUAGGCAUCCAUCAGACUCAGCAGCUCAUUUCCCGACGCUCCAUCCGCUAGCUUGUCUAUGCUCGGUAAUGGAUAAGAAUCUUUCGAACAUGCCUUGUUCAGGUCUGUGUAGUCUACACACAUUCGCCAUUUUCCGUUCGCCUUCUUUACCAUUACCACAUUCGCCAGCCAAGUAGGAUACUUAAUUUCCCAGCUGAAGUCUGCCGCCAGUAAUUUGUUUACCUCUUGCUGGAUUGCCUUCUCCUUUUCAUCGCCCAUUCGCCGGCGUGUCUGGGUCACUGGUUUAAUUCCGGGAUUUAGCGCCAGCCUGUGGCAAAUGAAGUUCGGGUCUAUUCCUGGCAUGUCCUUGUGACUCCAAGCAAAGAGAUCCAAGUUCUCUCCCAAUAGCUUUGAUAUUCUUUGUUCUUGGGCCUCAGUCAGUCGGGUCCCUAUUUUGAGUAUCUUCUCGCUAAUUUUGAGUUCCUUGGUCUCCUCGAUCGGCGUGGGCCUGUUGACUCGUCCCUCGCCCCUUGGAUCUAGGUUCUCUUCCAGCGCAUCGACCUCGUUGCAUUGGUGUCCCACCGAGGCGUUCCUUUUUAUGUACCGGUCUACCGCGUUGCAGUAGCACUCCCUCGCAGUUUUCUGGUCCACAACCACUUUCCCAACUCGUCCAUUCGACAAAGGAUAUUUAACCGCCAAGUGUGCCGUUGAAAUCACAGCGCACAGCCGGUUGAAGGUGUUUCUGCCAAUUAUCAUGUUGUAAGACCCCUCCGUUCCUAGGAUUAAGUAUUUCACCCUCAGCGUCCUAGCGUUCUCUCGCUCGCCGAAUGUGGUAUCAAGGUCAAGGACGCAUCUCACCCGUACUUGCUCGCCCGAAAACCCCACUAGAGUUCCUGUAUAAGGAGUGAGAUCUACCUCAUUCAAACAGAGCCGAUCAAAUGCCCCACCGUAAAUGAUGUCCGCUGAACUCCCUUGAUCCAAAAUUACUCGUUGUACAUUAAGUUGGUUGACGCGAAGGAGAAUUACAAUCGGAUCGUCUAGGUGUGGCUUUACUCCAAAGAAGUCAUCGGAUGAAAAGGUAAUGUCUGGGUGUGAAAAGCCGAAAGGAACCUCUUUUACUAUGUUCACCGCUCAAGCGUACCGCUUUCUAGUUGCACUGGUGAUUCCUCCUCCUCCAAACCCUCCAGCGAUCGUGUGUACUCCUUUGGGUAUCGGAGCACUACCGCCCUGUAUUCUAGUAGGCUUUCCUGCCGCUAUCAGUUUUCCAACCUCACACUGCAACGUGCGGCAUUCCUCUGUGACGUGGCCCAUGACCUGGUGAUAAACGCACCACUCACCUCCCAGCUCGCCGCUUAUUCGCGUCGCUAAUGGUUCUUGGAGGAUUUCUGAUUUAGACGAUUUGUCCAGGCACGCCAACUUUCCUUUUGGAGAUGAGUUUCUCCAUUUCCUCGAGGAUUUCCAAUAGCUUUCCCUUUGCAAUGUCCGAGGCUCCGCCGUUGUAUUUGCUCCCCGGGCCUCCGUGUCCUGCUGCUCCAAACCACUACUUAUGUCGCGAAUCAGCCACCUCCAAUCUCUGAGAGUGUCCAACGACUGAGGUGACGAUGAUUUUUCUUCUGAGGGUUUCAACAAGGAGACUGAAGAUUUCGCCUCCUUCUCGCGUCGCCUUCUAUACGCGUGAUGCGGAUCACGCAUGUGUUUCAUCCUUCGUUCGCUUCUUCGACGUUGCUCUUCCAUCAAAUGCCACCAACAAAUCAAGAAUUUGACUGAGAAGUCAAAAACCAAAGAGAAUUGCACAAAAAAUCGAAUUUCACUCAGCUAAACCACGAUCCACGUAGUCCGAGAAUCGAAAUCUACCGUUCCCCACAGACGGCUCCAAAUGUUCCAUCAUCAACAUUGAGAUGAGGUAUAGUACCUAAGUUGUAAGGAACGGGAUAUGAGAUUCCUGGAGAGAAUGAGAGCGUAGCCACUUGGGAGAGAGAAUAACUGAAUUUCAAUCUUGUUAUUUCAUAAAUGAGUCAAGAGUCCUUUACAAUUAGUACCCCUCCCCUAUUUAUAGUUGGGGGAGUUGGGCUUAGCGCCUCUAAAUUAUCCUAAUGGGCCGGUUGGGCCUCCGGGAUGAAGGCCCAAAUCCCUGGUCCGCUCCUCGCCUUAGGCCAGCGCUUCUGGGCGAGGAACCCUAGGGUCUCGCCCAGUCCAUAAGUCAAUAAAUUAGUAAAUACAUAUUUUAUUUCAAAAGUAAAAGUAAUUUAUGAAUUAUUAUUAAAGUAAGGUUGCGAGUUUUGCUCCUCUAACAAAAAAAAGUAAGGUUGAGAUACAAGUCUUCUCAACAAAAUGACAACAAAGUUAAUUAAAAUAGGCAAGCUCAAAAGAGCCUAUGCACAAGUCGAUCAAAGGCAAGCCACCUAACAAAAACCCAGUAAAAACUGAAGGUAUGAAAAACGAUAGAAAAGGGGGGGUUUGAAUAGCGUUUUCAGAAUAAAACUUCCCACUUAAGAUUUUAGCAAAUCUUUCAAAACACAAGUAAAGUGCUUAAGAUAAGAGAUGAGAAAAGCACACAAGGAUUUUAUCCUGGUUCACUUGAUGAAUCACUCAAGCUAGUCCAGUCCACCCGUGAAGGUGAUUUCUUCCUUCUUCGAAUGAAGGCAAUUCACUAAUCAGAGAUUUGUUACAACUGCACUUGAGACCUACAAGUGACUAACAAUACACUGACUUAGCUCACACUAAGAUUCACUCUCUUAAUCUUCUCUAGGAGCCGAUCAACCUUGAUCUCCUAAAGGUAAAAAUAAACAACUGUUUAAAAAGUAUUGUUUACAAUGAGAUUGCUUCUCAAAAGCUUGUAGUAAACACAAUGAAUUCCAUGAAGAAAGAUUGCUAAGAAGAUUUGAAUAUUGCUUGCGCGUAUAUGUUUCUUCAACAGCAUCUUUCAGUCUUCAGCCUCUAUAUAUACUCCAAGGAUUAGGGUUUGAACAUUGCAUGGGAAUGCUACCGUUGGAGGGCAGAUAUGAGAUUUCCAGCUUCUGUUGUGGCUGAGAAUGUUAGGUUAGGUCGUCAGGAUAGUACACUGCUUUUGUACUUUGGAUAGUGGAGUGACCUUUAACCUUGUUGACUUCUGAUCAGAGGAAUGCUUCGUGUUGGAACUUGUGAAGCUUGUUGAUCAGAGUCAGAGGGAAGCAUGGAUCCUCUGACCGUUGUAGCUUCUGAUUCUGAACUCAGAGGAGAAGUACUUGGUCUUCAGAGCCAGUUUGCUUCUGGACUUCAGAGACUUCACUUUUCAGCUUCUGGAUCUUCAGAGUCUUCUAAACAAUCAGAGCUUCUGAGCCUUCAGAGUGUCUGGGUUAUCAGAACAUCUGGAUCUUCAGAACUUCAAGUGAGUUGAGUCCACAUCAGAGCUUGACUAUCUUCAGAUCUUCUGAUGCUUUUCUACUGUUCAGUUUGAACAUAGAGAUUGCGAAAGCGUUGCUAGGGUCACUCUUUAAGCAAAAUGCUUCUGAUUUGUGUGAGAUUAUAUCAAGGUCAGAGCCUGUCAAGAACACACUCAGAAAACACGUUAGAGUACCAUUAUUGUUCAUACUAAAACGUUAACUUGUAAUCAUCAAAACAUAGAGUUGUACUAUGACGAACGCACUGUCGCAGGUGCGUGCCAAAGUAUUCUGCUUUGAAUGCAGUACAAGGUGUUAACACCAAGAUCGUUCUCACAAGGACUUGAUAAAUUAUUAAUUGAUAUUAGAGUAAAACAAAAAACCUAAAAGGGAGUUUGGUUAAUUUGAUUGUAAAGUAAGCAAACAGAAAUUAAAAUAGAUUUAAUCAGAUAAAAGAAAGUGUUAGUCCUCGGAUUAUAACAUUCAAGUGCAACAAACCUUCAUUGGUUACAAAAGAUUAAUUCUUCCUUAUUGUUUCCCUAAUUCGUGAGAGUUGAUUAACUAAGCGAAAAUCAAUUCACAGUUUCCUAAACUAAGCGAUUAAGAAACAGUUACGAACUAACAUGAACUAAGCGAACAUGCAUCAACUCUUAUUUCUAAAACUACGGAAUUAAGCAAACCCUAGAUCAGAAAUAGAGAUGAAGAGAAUUAAUAAAGAAGAAAUUUGCAUUAAGAAUAGAACCUCAAGUUUGCAAACACAAGAAUAUUAAAAAUCCUAAGACUAACUAUGGAGUUUAGCAACUCAUACUAGAAAAGAUGGAGAGAGAUAUUAGGAGAAGGUGGAGGAGGUGAUGGUGAGAUGUGGUGAGGUGGUGAGGUGGUGUGGUGAGGUGGUCGUCUAACAAAAGCCUAAACUCACUUAUUUAUACUAAUAAAUAAACUUGUUCAUCAAGUAACAAUCUUUGUUAUCUAAAUCUUUUCUAAAUCUUCACAAAAUCGGGCCCACAUAAAGGAGUAAGCUGCUGAACAAUCAGACAUUCGCGGGUCCCAUAAGAAGUCUGAAUCUUCAAUUGAGGUAAACAUGAGAGUUGUAGCUCUUUAAGUCAGCUUCGCGGGACUUCAAUCGGAUCCUAAUUCGGAGUUCUGUAGCCCAAGAUAUGAUCAUUUUAGUGCAGACUGUUCCAGACUCGCAGGAUUAGCGACAUCAACUUUGCAAGGAAAUUUUGACCAUGUUCGAGGCUUGUUCUUCAAUUGUGCUGAACAUGAAAGUUGUAGGGCUUCGAAUUAGCUUUCCAACUACAUAUUAUGGGCCUUAUUUCGAUAUUGCUAACUCCAUAUUCAAUCUGUUCUAGCAAAACAGUCAUAGAAACUAAAAGUGUAGAAUUAAACUCUUUUCCAUGAAUAAUCCAAAUAAACACUAAUGGUCAAAACAUGACUAAGUCAUAACAAUUAAGCACAAAAAUGUAUAUAAUGAAGCUUAGAAAGACACACGUAAAGUGCAUCAAUUAUGCGCUUAUCAUACUACAUGAUCAAAACUUGAUCUUAUAAAAACCUACUGAAUGCAACAACGAAAGCAAAAUCAAUACUGUCAAGUAACCACUUAUCUCAAAAGUUUAAGUUGUUGGGUAAGGUCUAAAUGAAGGGGUUGUCUAAAUGACCCAAGAAAAGUUUGGGUUAAAUGACCCAUCAUCCAAUCACAUUGAAGAUAAGUGAGUUGAAAUUUCUAUAUUUUAUUUCCAACUCACUUAUCUCCAAUGUGAUUGGAUGAUGAGUUAUUUAACCCAAACUUUCUCAUGAGUCAUUUAGACAACCCCCUAAAUGAAUGGUUAUAUAUUAUAUUCUAACACGCCAUCUCAUGUAAGAGCCCCUAAGGUUGAGAGUUUUCCUCCUCUAACAAAAAAAAGUAAGGUUGAGAUACAAGUCUUCUUAACAAAUGACAACAAAGUUAAUCAAAAGAGGCAAACUCAAAAGAGCCUAUGCACCGGUGUCCAUGGCAGAGGGUCCUGGGAAGCAAGAGCUUCGUCUGACCUUGAAUCGUCUGGAAUAUGAGCAGCAUCGUCUGGAGCUAGAGAAAGCAGCGAUGCAUAGAGAAUGUAGGAACUUGAGGAGAAAUCCUCCUUUUUAAAUGUAACGAUGCAAAUGUAUGAUAUUGCCAUGAAUAAAAAACGGUUGUUUGUUGGUUAAUUUUAAAACAUUUUAUGAUGAACAACUAAUAUGCAACACAUAAUGGGAAAUGUAAUAGAAAAACAUAACAUUAAAAGCAGAGAGAAGAAAACGUAGUUUAAAAAGAAAGAAAAUUAAAAUAAAAACAUAUAAGAAGAGAGAGUUUCUAAAAUCUAAGGAUUGGGUGUUCUCCGUAGAAGCUUUGUGCACAUCUGCUUUAGCUCUUGAAGAAUGGCAUCAUGAGAGUCAAGGCGUUGUUCAAUGAGAUCAAUCCUAGGAUCUGACUGAGGUGGAACAGAUGUUGUAGCUUGAUGAGAGUGAGAAGCUUGACCUGAUGCAGAAGCAACUGGAAUAAUGCUAAGAGCUUGAUUCCUGAGAGCCUUAGCUUCAGCUUGAAGUUGAGCAGCUUGUUCCAGAGGUUGCAACCUUUCAGCUUCACGUUGCUCUUCUUCAAUCCUUGCAGCUUCUUCUUCUUGUUCUUUCUUCUUUCGUGCUUCUUCAAUAGCAGAAUAGAGCUGUUCCCUUAUCUGCUGUUCAGCCAGAAGUUCUCUUCGUCUGAGACGUUGAGUAGCAGCUUCAACACAUUUUUCCUUCUCAGAGUUGAGAAACCCCAUCAUCAGAGGAACUUGGUCAACCAUCCAAGAACACAGACGUUCCCAUUCGUCAACAACCAGGUCUGGACUUGCACUUAGGUCAGUGCGACCAUGCACAUUGCGGAUCCUUAAUGAUGCUUCAUGAUUAAAUGCAUUGAUGCAGUCAAGAAGGGUGGUUGGUCCAGAGUAAGUGUAGGGAAUAAGGGAAAGGUUUGGUUCAGGUGAUGAGGAGUGGUUGCUGCUGGCAACUUCAGAGGGAGAGCCAAUCUGCAGAGUCUGAUGUGCAAAGUUAUUGGUCUCAGGGUUUGGUUGAAGAGUUUCAGUCUUAGGAUUCUGUGUGUUAUCUGGUGAAUGGUUGGAGACUGACUCAGCAUUCUCUUGAAGAGGAGAAGGAGGAUGAGGAGGAGGAGGAGGAUGCAUUGAGGCAAUAGGAAUUGCCUGGAUGGGGAAAUCAGGAGGAACCAGAGGUUCUGGCCUAGGUCCAGGGUAGCGGCGAGGACUAGGAACAUUGAUGAAAUGCUCAGGGAUUUCAGAGAGCAUUUCUCUAGCAAUUUGAAAGAAUUGCCUAGUGGCUUCUGACUUGCUGGAUGGAGAAGAAAAUUGAACAUUUGUGGGAAAGGAUACAGAUGAAAUAGGAGAGAGGUUGUCACGAUCAGAUGGAUGACGUGAUUGUGGAUUGGUAGCGGUUUUAUCAGAGUCUUGAGGUUCAGAGGCUUGUGGUGUGGAGGUUUGUUGUUCAGAGGCUUGUGGUUCAGAGGUUUCUGAAUGGUAUGGAAGAAUGAUAGGUGUAGUGGAGGCAGAGGGUUUGUUGGCUUGAAGCAUUUUCCAGAGGGGUUCUUCCUCAAUGGUAGGUUGAAAGAAGAGUCUCUUGGGGGUGAAGGGUGAGAGGUUUGUUGAUGAAUUGGUGAUGGUUCAGGAUUGGUUGCAUCAAGGGUUGCAUCAAGCAAAGUUAAAUCAUCAUCAGAAAGGGCAGCAAACUUACUUGAAGCUCUUGCUGCAGAUCUUGUGAUUCUGAUGGAGGGUGCAGGUCUAGCUUGUUCCUGAGUAAUUUCCAUGAUAACUACUUGAGGUGCAAUCCUGACCUUCUUAGCCUUCUUCUUAGGCGGUGGAGCAUCAUCAUCAUCAUCAUUGUCAUCACCAUCAGAGGGAUCCUUCUCCUCAGAUGCUUCAACUUGCUUCCUCUUGGUCUUCUUCUUCCAUGGGGACUCAAAGUCCGGAGGCUCUGGGAGAUUUCUGAAGAAUUUGUUCACAUCAAUCUCAAAGCCUUGCUGCUUCAGAUCCUCAAGAUAGUAUCUGAUUUCCUCUGGAUCAUCAGCCAUGGACCAGAGAGGAUAGUCCUUUAGAGGAAUCCUUUUCCUUGACUUUCCUUCAGCAGUGCUGGAAUCAGCUUUGGUUUCGAUCAUGCCCAUUCUUUUCAAGGAUGUGGCAUUGAAAGUAUCUCCAGCCAUUGUUGUCAAGUCUUCAGAACAUCCCAACCUUCGCAGGGCAUGCACCAAUUUAUUUUCCACAAAGAAGUCAGAAAGCAAACUACCAAAAGGUAUGUAUUUUAUGGCAGAUUUUGGUGAAGAGGUGGUUCUGGACUUCUUGAUGCACUCCUUCAACUAAGAAAAGAUGAAGUAAGGCAGGCACACAUUUUUGUGGUCUUUGACAAAGAACAACAACACCUUCUGGGUGAAGUUGAUGUAAUCAGGAGAGCUUCCCUUUGGUCUCUGGUUGAUGCAGUGCAGACGAAUCGUAUGCCAGAUUCUCAAAUCAGGGUGAAGCUCCUUGGUCUUGCAAUCAUUCUUUCCUGGCUUCCAUGUAGAGUAGAGAGCCAUGUUGACUUUCUCCUUGGUGUUGGUUGAGACCUUUGAUUCUUACAACUGAAACCUGUAGCCCUUGCUCGAUUCUGAACCCAGAAGCCUUGCAAUUGCUUUCUCAGUUAUGAUGAUCCUUUUUCCCAGAAUGAAGGAUACCACUUGGUGCUCAUUGCAAUCUGCGUGUUUCCAGAAUUCCUUCACAAGCUUAUCAUACACAGGACCACUGAUCCUUUGAAAAUACCCUUCCCAGCCUUGUGCUUGAAUCUCAGGACGCAGGUCAAACCCAUUUGCAGCAAUGACAUCAAAAUCAAAUUUCUAUUCAGCAAGAACCUGGAGUCUUCAGGAGCAAAGCAGCAGGUAACCACACAUUGUCUCUGAGAAAGUGGGACAACAUCUUCAGCAUCUUGCACUUCAUGUUGGGCACUCUCAGUCGAACGAGGACGCAGAAUAGGCCCCACUUGCCUUGUUGGAAGACCCACAACCAAAUUGGGAAAAACUCUUCCAUCGGCGGAAUCAGACUUGUCACUGGGGUCAGUUCUUUCUUGAUUCACCAUUGUUGAGGAUGAAGGUUUGGGUAGAAGAGAAGAGGUUGAAAGCGAGAGAGAAUUGAAGAAGAUAAGGGUUUUGCAAAAGCAGGAGAGAGAAGGUAAAACCAAAAGUGAUGGGAAACGUGUGUUCGUAGUGGUUUUAGAAGGUAACCGUUGUUGAUUAAAAAGCAAAGUAAAAUCAACGGUUAAAAAUUAAAGACAUCAUUACAAACAGUUAAUACACAUAUCACACAGUGGAGAGAAGCACAUCUACACUCAUUACAACAGAUUGUCAGCACGGGCACAAGGAACGAUGUAUCAUAUCAACUGACACACGUUUACUGUCUCAGCUUCAGAGUAAGCACCAAUGGGUACUUAACCUCUGAUAGAGUUACCUUCUGAACUAGACAUCUUCUGAUAGAGAAACAUCGUAGCCAGAGGUUCUGAUCCAUCUUCAUGCUGGACAAAAGUCCAUAUUCAGAUUUUUCAGAAUGAAAUUAAAUCUAUCCUCUGCUAAGGGCUUUGAAAAGAUAUCUGCCCAUUGAUGGUCAGUAUCAACAAACUUCAGAAGAAGUACGCCCUUCUGAACAUAGUCUCUAAUAAAAUGAUACUUUACCUCAAUGUGUUUUGCCCUUGAGUGUAAGAUAGGAUUCUUACUCAGGGAAAUUGCAGCAGUGUUAUCACAAAAGAUUGGGAUGUUGCUCUCAAGGAUUUGAUAAUCCUCUAGCUGAUGUUUCAUCCAGAGCAUCUGAGUGCUGCAAAUGGCUGCUGAGAUAUAUUCUGCCUCUGCAGUGGAUAGUGUAAUGGUUGAUUGCCUCUUGCUUGCCCAUGAGACUAAGUUACUUCCCAGAAAUUGACAAUUUCCAGAAGUGCUUUUUCUCUCAGUUCUAUCUCCAGCAUAAUCAGCAUCAUAGUAACCUGAAAGCUUAUACUCUGAUGUUUUCUUAUACAUCAAGCCAAGGUUAGUGGUACCUUUCAGAUAUCUCAGGAUCCUCUUAACAGCAGUUAAGUGGGUUUCCCUCGGAUCUGAUUGGAAACGAGCGCAUAGAUGAACACUAAACAGAAUAUCUGGCCUAGAUGCAGUUAAGUAUAGAAGUGAUCCUAUCAUACCACGAUAGAGCUUCUGACAAACUUUACCACUUGCAUCUUCUUUCUCCAGGAUGCAUGUAGGAUGCAUUGGAGUCUUAGCAAUUGUAGAUUCUGUCAUGUUGAACUUCUUCAGAAGUUCCUUAGUGUACUUGCUCUGAUGGAUGUAAGUUCCUUCUGGUGUUCAGAUCUUCUGAAGCUUUUCUUCUGUUCAGAGUGAACAUAGAUGUUGCGAAAGCGUUGCUUGGGUCACUCUUUAAGCACAGUGCUUCUGAUUUGUGUGAGAUAAAAUAGAGGUCAGAGCCUGUAAAUAGCACACUCAGAAAAACACGUUAGAGUACUAUAAUUGUUCAUACUAAAAUGUUAACUUGUAAUCAUCAAAACAUAGAGUUGUACUACUCGAUCAAAACUUGAUCCUACAGUAUCUACUUUACCCCUUACAAACUUAUUUUCCAGAAGGAAUGAGCUGAGUCUCUCAUACCAUGCUCUGAGAGCUUGCUUCAGACCAUAGAGAGAUUUCUUCAAUUUGAAAACAUGGUUAGGGUUCUUCUCAUCUUCAAAACCUGGAGGUUGAUGAACAUAGACUUCCUCUAAGAUGUAACCAUUUAGGAAGGCACUCUUAACAUCCAUCUGAUGAAGAAUCAUAUUGUGAUUCACUGAGAAUGAGAUCAGUAGUCUGAUUGCUUCCAGUCUUGCUACCGGAGCAAACGUUUCAGUAUAGUCUAUUCCUUCUUGCUGACUGUAGCCUUGAGCAACUAGCCUUGCCUUGUUUCUGACUACAUCUCCUUUCUCAUUCAGCUUGUUUCUGAAAACUCAUUUGGUUCCAAUCACGUGAACGCUUUGAGGUUUCUUCACUCGGCUCCAAACAUCAUUCUUGGAAAAUUGAUUCAGUUCUUCUUCCAUAGCCAGAAUCCAGUCCUUGUCUUGAAUAGCUUCAUCAAUUGACUUAGGUUCAAUUAAGGACAUCAAUCCUUUCAGACUGAGCAGAAUCUCUUCAGAGGGUUUGAAGGGUGAUCUGGUUCUGACUGGUUCAUCUUUGUUACCCAGAAUCAAUUCCUUAGGAUGAGACGUAGUGAUUCUGCUCUUCUUCUGAGGUUAUGAAUCAGAGGGACCAGCUUCUUCUGGUUCAUCUUCCUCUGGCUCAGCUUCCUCUGGAACUUUGCCUUUAUCAGGAACAUUUAUACUCAAAUCUGCAAACUUUUCAACUAGCUUUGACUGAUCAGAGUCAAGCUUAUCAUCAAAUCUAACAUGAAUAGAUUCUUCAAUAGUUUUAGCAUCAGUAUUAUAAAAUCUGAAACCUUUAGAUCGAUCAGAGUAACCAAGUAAUAGACAUUUAGAAGAUUUAGCAUCAAACUUAUGCAAUUUAUCCUUAGUGUUUAGAACAUAGCAAACACAACCAAAAUGAUGAAAAUAAGAAAUGUUGGGUUUUAUAUUCUUCCACAAUUCAUAAGGAGUCUUAUUCAGAAUUGGUCUCACAGAGAUUCUGUUCUGAAUGUAACAUGCUGUGUUUACUGCCUCUGCCCAAAAGUGCUUUGCCAUGCCAGUUUCUUGGAGCAUGGUUCUAGCCAUCUCCUGAAGAGUUAUGUUCUUCCUCUCAACAACCCCAUUUUGUUGAGGAUUCUGGGACAAGAGAAAUCAUGUGAAAUUCCAUAGGAAUCAAACAGACUCUCAAACUUGUCAUUCUCAAACUCUCCACCAUGAUCACUUCUGACACGCACAAUCCUACAAGCCUUCUCGUUUUGCACUUGGGCAAUGAAGGUAGAGAACACAGAAUGAGACUCAUCCUUGCGGGAUAGAAAUUUUACCCAUGUCCAGCGGUUAUAGUCGUCAACAAUGACCAUCCCAUAUCUUUUGCCACCUAUAGACUCAGUUUUCACUGGUCUAAACAGGUCGAUAUGCAGAAGUUCCAACGGCCUUGAGGUUGAGACAACAUUCUUUGCCUUGAACGAGACUUUUGUGAAUUUGCCUUUCUGACAUGCUUCACAAAGAGCAUCUGAAGAGAACUUCAGAGCGGGUAAGCCCCUGACAAGGUUGAGCUUACUCAGCUGAGAAAUCUUUCUCAUACUGGCAUGCCCUAACCGUCUAUGCCAUACCCAUUGCUCCUCAUUAAUAGAAAGAAGGCACUUCACAUUCUGAGAUUCCAACUCAGAUAAUCUGAUCUUAUAAAUGUUGUUCUUCCUCUUGCUAUUAAACAGAACAGAGCCAUCGAUCUGACUUACAGCCCUGCAAGACUUUUGAUUGAAAAUAACAUCAUAACCCUUGUCAGCUAAUUUACUUAUAGACAAUAAGUUGUGAGUUAAGUCGUCUACCAAUAAAACAUUAUCAAUACAUGGACUACUAUCAACACAAAUAGUACCAGUACCAACAAUUUUACCCUUCUCGUUGCCACCAAAGCCAACUUCGCCUCCAGGCUUAAGUUUUAGCUCUUGGAACAUACGCCUUUCUCCCGUCAUGUGACGCGAGCAUCCACUGUCCAGAUACCAUGAUUGGUGUUUCAGUGGAGCGAUCAAGGAUAUCUGCAACAUAGAUAAUCUUAUCCUUAGGUACCCACUUUCUGGGUCCUCUCUUGUUAGUUACCUCAGAGGUUCUGAUCACCUUGGGUUUCUCAACAUGAUAGUGUAAAGGAAUUUUAGCAUGAUAUUUAGACAUGGAGAAGGUUCCCUUUUUGAGAGGGGGGUCAGCAACUUUAACAGGUAACGGUUCAGGUAAUAUAGUACCAGAGGGUACAAAGUGUUCAUACAAGGAUUUUUCCUUAGGCAUAGGAGGCUCAUUUCUACUGGGUCUAGAAUAGCCAAUGCCAUACAUUUCAUUUCUGCUUACGCCAUAGAUCAUUGAAGCCAUCAAACUUCUGUCUACGCUUUUAGCUAGGAAUCUUUGAAAGGAUUUUUCAGAUUUAGAUUCAUUCUUACUAUCAAAGGCAUCACAAGUAACCACUUCUUCUAACUUAGCAAUCUGGUUCUUAAGCAUAGAGUUAGAAUUUACUAAAGCAUGAUUAUUAUUUUUCAUUUCAGAAAUAAUUUUCUCAUGUUCAGCAGAAGUCUUAGAAGUAGCAGAGAAAUCCUUUUUCAACUUUUUAUGCUUAGUCAAUAAAGAGUUAUACUUAUCCAUAAUAUCAGACAAAACAUGUUUUAGUUCAGAGGUUGAGAAAGAAGCGAAUACCUCAUUUUCAUCAUCUGAGUUAGGAUCUUCCUCUGAUGCUGAUUCAGAGUUAGUUGCAUCUUUUGACUCUGCUUCUUUGUCUUUGACAAUAGCCAUGAGUCCUUGAACUUCAACAUCAGAGUCAACAUCUUCUGACUCUGAUUCAUCAAAAGUCACCAUCAGACUUUUCUUAGUUUUGAAGUGCUUCUUUGGCUUCUUGUCCUUUUUCAGCUUUGGACAAUCACUCUUGUAGUGCCCUGAUUCUUUGCAUUCAAAACAAGUGACUUCCUUGACUGAGGACUUCUUCUGGCCAGAUGAGGAUUCAAACUUUCCUUUGGCCUUUCCAGAGCCUCUGUACUUGCUCUGCCUGUGCUUCCAGAUGCGGUUGAGCCUUUUGGAGAUCAGAGUUAGCUCAUCUUCAUCAGAAUCUUCUGAUGCUUCUUCAGAUUCUUCUGCUUCAGCUUGGAGAGCUUUCGACUUCUCAGAUUUAGACUUCUCAGAUUUGGAUUUCAAAGCUAUAGAUUUCUUCCUCAGAUCUUGCAUUUCUGAGCGCUUCAGUUCAUGACAUUUCAGUAUGCUGAUGAGUUCUUCUAAACUCAUAUGCUCAACAUCUCUUGUAAGCUCUAUUGAAGUCACUAAAGGCAUCCAGCUUUCAGGAAGACUUCUAAUAACCCUUAUGACAUGAUCUUUUGUAGUGUAGCUUUUGUUGAGAGGUCUUAUUCCAGCUACAAGCUACUGAAAUCUGGAAAACAUAUCCUCAAUGGACUCGUUAGGUUCCAUGAUGACGGAUUCAUACUUCUGGAUCAAGGACAGCGCCUUUGAUUCUUUCACCUUCUUGUUUCCUUCAUGGGACAUUUUCAAGGAUUCAAAGAUACCCUUGGCAAACUCACGAUCUGUAAUCUUCUGGUACUCUUCAUAGGAAAUAACACUAAGAAGAAUAGCUCUAGCUUUGUGGUGCUGUGAGUAAAGCUUCUUUUGUUCAGUAGUCAUCUCUGAUCUGGAGAUCUUCUUACCAUCAGCAUCAAUUGGACGCUCAUAGCCAUCCACAAUGAUAUCCCAGAGAUCUGCGUCAAAGCCCAGAAAGAAACUUUCGAUUCUGUCUUUCCAAUAUUCGAACCUUUGACCAUCGAACAUAGGAGGCUUUGCAUUGUAACCAUCUUUUUGCGUUUCACUGGUGGUAGCCAUUUGUUUUUCACACCGGCCCGGAUCACUGAACAUUGUUAGGUGUGCUAAUCAGAACUUGAGCUCUGAUACCAAUUGAAGGUAUGAAAAACGAUAGAAGGGGGGUUGAAUAACGUUUUCAGAAUAAAACUUCCCACUUAAGAUUUUAACAAAUCUUUCGAAACACAAGUAAAGUGUUUAAGAUAAGAGAUGAGAAAAGUACACAAGGAUUUUAUCCUGGUUCACUUGAUGAAUCACUCAAGCUAGUCCAGUCCACCCGUGAAGGUGAUUUCUUCCUUCUUAGAAUGAAGGCAAUUCACUAAUCAGAGAUUUGUUACAACUGCACUUGAGACCUACAAGUGACUAACAAUACACUGACUUAGCUCACACUAAGAUUCACUCUCUUAGUCUUCUCUAGGAUCCGAUCAACCUUGAUCUCCUAAAGGUAAAAAUAAACAACUGUUUAAAAAGUAUUGUUUACAAUGAGAUUGCUUCUGAAAAGCUUGUAGUAAACACAAUGAAUUCGAUGAAGAAAGAUUGCUAAGAAGAUUUGAAUAUUGCUUGCGCGUAUAUGUUUCUCCAACAACAUCUUUCAGUCUUCAGCCUCUAUAUAUACUCCAAGGAUUAGGGUUUGAACAUUGCAUGGGAAUGCUACCGUUGGAGGGCAGAUCUGGGAUUUCCAGCUUCUGUUGUGGCUGAGAAUGUUAGGUUAGGUGGUCAGGAUAGUACACUGCUUUUGUACUUUGGAUAGUGACGUGACCUUUAACCUUGUUGACUUCUAAUCAGAGGAAUGCUUCGUGUUGGAACUUGUGAAGCUUGUUGAUUAGAGUCAGAGGGAAGCAUGGAUCCUCUGACCGUCGUAGCUUCUGAUUCUGAACUCAGAGGAGAAGUACUUGGUCUUCAAAGCCAGUUUGCUUCUUGACUUCAGAGACUUCACUUUUCAGCUUCUGGAUCUUCAGAGUCUUCUAAACCAUCAGAGCUUUUGAGCCUUCAGAGUGUCUGGGUUAUCAAAACGUCUGGAUCUUCAGAACUUCAAGUGAGCUGAGUCCAUAUCAGAGCUUGACUAUCUUCAGAUCUUCUGAAGCUUUUCUACUGUUCAGUUUGAACAUAGAGAUUGCGAAAGCGUUGCUAGGGUCACUCUUUAAGCAAAAUGCUUCUGAUUUGUGUGAGAUUAUAUCAAGGUCAGAGCAUGUCAAGAACACACUCAGAAAACACGUUAGAGUACCAUAAUAGUUCAUACUAAAACGUUAACUUGUAAUCAUCAAAACAUAGAGUUGUACUACAUGAUCAAAACUUGAUCUUACAAAAACCUACCGAAUGCAACAACGAAAGCAAAAUCAAUACUGUCAAGUAACCACUUAUCUCAAAAGUUGAAGUUGUUGGGUAAGGUCUAAAUGAAGGGGUUGUCUAAAUGACCCAAGAAAAGUUUGGGUUAAAUGACCCAUCAUCCAAUCACGUUGAAGAUAAGUGAGUUGAAAUUUAUAUAUUUUAUUUCCAACUCACUUAUCUCCAAUGUGAUUGGAUGAUGAGUUAUUUAACCCAAACUUUCUCAUGAGUCAUUUAGACAACCCCCUAAAUGAAUGGUUUUAUAUUAUAUUCUAACACACCAUCUCAUGUAAGAGCCCCUAAGGUUGAGAGUUUUCCUCCUCUAACAAAAAAAGUAAGGUUGAGAUACAAGUCUUCUCAACAAAUGACAACAAAGUUAAUCAAAAGAGGCAAACUCAAAAAAGCCUAUGCACAAGUCGAUCAAAGGCAAGCCACCUAACAAAAACCCAACAAAAAGUUUAAGUUGCUGGGUACGUAAUGGCUAAAUGAAAGGUUUUAUAUUAUAUUCUAACACGCUCUUUCAUACAAGAGCCCCUUAGGCUUAAAGGGUGGAUAAAUGCACAGACCUAACUACCAUUUGCUUAAUUAAAUUCCAUUUUUUUUAAUUAAAAAGUGAGGGGAGCAAGGAUCGAAGUUUAGACCUCUCAGUCAUAGAGAAUCUGAUACCAUGUCAAGUAACCACUUAUCUCUUUUUUGAAAGUUGUUGGAUAAGGGCUAAAUGAAUGAUUUAUAUUAUAUUCUAACAAAAACCAAACCAAAGACGACAAGAAUUAAGUUUCAUCCGCCUGUGAAUCCAAAGCAAUGCAAGAUAAUGUCGACCCUAAUACAAAAUUUGGAAGUGUAAUUUUUUUUUUUCAAUGCACCAUAUCUAGAAUGAAAACCAAAUAAUAAAUAUCCAAAGGCGUAAAACAAAAACUCUUCCUGAAACCAUACAAAUUAAAGGCACUGAAUCUCUAUAAGUCAUUGCAACAUACGAAAAGAAAAUAAAAAAGAAUUUGAAUACCUUUUUAGCAUCACAACUUUUUUUUUUUUUUUGAUAAGCAAGAAAUUGUAUUAAAUGGCACAAGGGGGUGCCUGCCCAGGUCAAAACAGUAACAACAUACAAUGAAAAGUUAACAAACAAAAAGCAAGUAAUAAACAGUAGACAGUGGAAGAAAUACAAAGAGAACAAGGAGAUAACAUAGAAGACAGGGGAAGUUGCGUAACCAAGAGGAAUUUGGACAGCGACUCACAACUGAUUAUUUACACUGAAUAAAGUCAUGUAAAGACUAAAGGUGUAUUACACAUAUUGGACUUCAGGUUCAGGAAGAAAAAAAAAACUGAUUUACCAAUAUACUACACACAUUUCUAUUUCUUCCAAAAGAGUUAAGAUUAUCAAAAAAAAGUUCUAAAUUACUUUUUACUUUAAGAUAAUACUCAUAUAUCGUAAAAGACACUAAAAUAAAGAUAUAUCUUUUUUAUAUUUUAAUAUUCUUCCUCAAGAGUUAGCUAAUUUAGAUAUAAGUAUUAUUACAAAAAUACCGUUUAGAAAACUAAAGAGUCAUCGUCAUUGUCACCGCUUUCAUUACCUUAGAGAAGAAGAGUAAAGAAGAGAGCGAGAAGUAAGCAAGCUCGUCCUGUUGAAACCCUUUGGGGUACAAUCUCCAUGGUGGUUUGUGAAAGAAAAGAUGCGCUUUCAUUCCGCUGCCCCGAAUGACGGAGGAGAUAACCUCCUUUCAUACUGUUUAUCCCAAAAACUUAUUUGGGCUUCAAGUGUGAGUAGAGACCAAGUUUCUAUGUGCUAAAUUUUAACUUUCUAUUAGAAGAAUUGAUAGGAGGAAAGGACUGAACUCUAGACUAUUUGAACAUUGAGGCUAUUGAUGUUGGGAUUGUUGUGAGUGAGAGAAGAUCCAGGCGAUGGCGCGUGACUCACGCGUAUAGACGAGCAUAGUUGAUGGUACGUAAUUCGGCUUCGGGUUCUCACAAGAUGAAGUAGAGGUUGAACACACGAUUAUGUGCGGAGGAGGUGAUGAAGCGUGGAGGCGAGUUGCGGCACGGGUUGUGGUGGUUGCUUUCAGUGAUUCAAUCAGAAACAUAAGGUGUAAUCCCUGAUUCGUAGGGUUUUACCAUAGUGACUAAACGCUGAAAUUAAACAUACUAAACCAUCUUUAACCUUUCAUAGCCAUGUGUAAUUUUUAUUGAAACAAGUAUACAUAACUAUGUUUGAUCGUGCAAGUAAGUACAUAUGAAUAAAGGAUAAGAUAAUUAAAUGACACAAUUCCCCUGGGCUCAAAUAAAAAGUUCGGAUGUCGUUGCACACAAAACAUAGAGUACACCACGCAUGAAUGACUCCAUACACGAUAUACUUUCUGCAAUCCUACACACAAGAAUCACAAGCAGAGAAAUAGCACCGAACUCUACCCAAAUGUAUACCCCAAUAUACAAAAAGAGGAGGAAGGUCAUGCAUGAUCAAAUCUACUCUAGAACUAUCAGCUACUCGGAAGAAGCUAAUACAAUGUCCCCUUUGUCGAAUACUCGUGUAUGGUCCACAUCACAUUCUCCUCGCCUACCGUAGAAUGACGAAGACAGAAAUACUCGGGAAAUAAUAGUGUAGAAAGGCUCCCCUUCACCACAGACGGAGAAGUGAUAAUCCAGUCGAGAUAAGCUCAGUACUCGGCUCGUUAAGGAAUCAUGCGGUUGAUUACCGCAAGGGAAUAUGAAUUCCCUAUACGAAAUGCCUUGCGAGACCACACAUCAUAGUACAAGAUAAAAGAAAAGAAAAACAAGAGAUACCAAUUAUCUCUGGACGAUCUGAACGAAAGAAGAAGUCAAAGCCUCGUCUCUACAGUAGUUCACGCGAACUCUCCAACUAGGAUUCACUUGUGGCUCCUUGUAGUAGCAGAAGUACUAGGUGCGUAAAUGAUAGUUAGGAUUUGAGCAUUUUAUGCUAUAUUUAUAAGCCCUUAAAAGGAAGCUAACCUUAAUACUUAUUGUAGCGUACUUGGCCUCAUCCAAAGGUUUGUCCAAUAAUAAUCCAUCCAAUGAACUGGUCUAAUAAAACAAUAUAUUCUAGUGGACUAAUUCUAUGCGUAUGACCCUAUAAAUAUCUCUUACAUAUUUAUGUUGUAAUAUGUAAAUACAAAUAUUGAGCUACUACAAAUAUUAUGCAUGGAUAUGCAGGAUCCUCUCUCGUGGCUUACUCUCGCUAGCACUCUCCAUCAGCCUUAUUAACCCUUCGCUACAUCAAACGACAAUAUUGUCCAUCUAUAUCGUUUGCUGCAGCGGAAAAAAGUGAAGUUAUACCAUGCUUACAUUAUUUAUUUUUGUAAUUAUACCGUGCUUACAUGCUAUAGCCUUUAGGAUAGUAGGAAUUGUGCAAUAUAUUUGACACAUUCUCUUUUUUUCUUUACAUUUCUUAAAUUUUGGUUUAACAUGCGUAUCUUUUACUAAGACAAUCUUGUUCUAUCCGGUUUUAAUAAAGAUCUAAGGUCUCCCUAAGAGUGUGUCUCAUGAGGAUCAAACACUCUGUAAAGUUCAAACGUUAGAUUCAUAAAUCUCUAUUCUCAUGUUUUGAGUAAUAACAUCGUUCUUAAUUGCCUUAUCAUGAAAUGCACAAAUUUAGGGAACUCAACGUAUAUAUUACCCAUCGUCAAUAUAAAAAUGAAAAGGAAAUAGAGGACCCAAUGUCUAUAUAUCUUAUCGUCCUAAAAGCACAAGUAUGGUACGAAGUUCACAUCGUCAAGAGAUUAAUUGAUGUUCCCGAAGGAUAGCUCAAGUGGUAAGAGUUAUGGACAUAAGGGUUGGGUGGGAUGAAGGGUGAAGGGUGAAGGGUCCCGGGUUCGAACCCGGAGGAGAGAUUAAUUUACUAACAUUUCUAACAACUAACAUUUGGCUAUAUAAAAAAAUGAGAUUAAUUGAUCUAUCAAAGAAAAGGACUCUGUUACACUCACUUGAAGAAGCAAGUAAGGUCCGUUGAAGAAGCAAGAGCAAGGUCUAAGUGAGAAGUGUCUCAAAGAAAUAGAAGUUAUCACGUGAGCUAUAAAGAUGCAAGUUACACUAAGAAGAAAUGGUGAAAGUACAUGACGAACGCAUUGUCGCGGGUGCGUGUCAAAGUAUUCUGCUUUGAAUGCAGUACAAAGUGUUGAACACUGUAAGACCCUAACCUUUACUAUGUAAUGCUUAAGUGAUUUAUUCAAUAAAAAUGAAGUUUGUAGUGAUGUUUGACUUUAUUGCUAAUCUGCCUGUGACCUUGUAGUAAUUUUUGAGAGGUCUUAACGACCUUUUCUGGAGAAGCUUCCUUCAUGAGAAUUGUAGCUCUCUGAGUUAGCUAAAUUCUCCAAUUGAUUUCGUGUCAAUCCGAUAUCUGUAGCCCAAGAUAAUUGAAUUUUUGUGAGUGAAGUUCUGGCUGUACAGUGCCAGCGAUUUUUGUUGAAAAUAAUAACUUUUUAAUUUCGAAUUUACCUUUGAUUUUAGAGAAAGGGGGAGGGUUUUAUUUGGGUUCCAGGUCUGAUUACUUGGAAAUUAGUGGGUCAAGAGAGUUGACUUGGAUCAGGCUUGAAAAAAAAAAAAAAAAAAGAAGCCCUAGCCCUUGAAGAGGGGGAGACCGCAGGAUUAAGAGGGUUUGGGGGGGGGAAGGGUUUUCUUUUCACACAAGUCUGAAGAUAGAAACCCUUGUGCACCUCUGCAACACGUAAAACAUAAGAGAGUAAGUGAGAGAAGUCUCCUUCUUGCACCCUUGCCGCCGCCGCUUGCACCCUAGCCACCGUCGGCCGUGUACGUGCGAGAGAGAGAAGGGAACGCGAGCGAGAGAGAGAAGAAGGGAGACGGGUGGGAGAGGAAGGGAAAAACCAGAAUUCUACUCUUCAUCUUCAUCCUUAUUUCAAGCCUAAAGACCAAGGUAAGGGCUGGUCUAGGAGGGGUAGGUUGUUAGGGAGUCUUGACAUGAAUUGCCAUGCAUGAAUCUAUGAUUAUGAUGGUUUUACAUGAGGGUUUGAGUUUGUGAUGCUUGCUGUAUUUUUGAAACAUGAUGCCAUGCUCCACUAUACUCUAAACUAUUUACUUGAUUGGGAUCUUGAUGACAUGUGAAAAUUACUUGCAUGCUUGGUAAAUUGCCAUGCAAAAAUUGUACGUUAUAACAUGAUGGUUGUGUUGUGAUGAAUUCUGAAUUGCUUGUAUGAUUAAAGUAUUGUUUGGGGCUGUAUUAGGACCAUGUGAUCAAAGAGAAAGAAAAGAAGAAAUUUUUUGAAAACCCUAAGGGCCUAUUUAUAGUUCGGCCGAACCCUAUUUUGGGGGGUUCGGUGAAUUCUUUUCUUUCGCUUGGAUGCAUGAGUCUUACGAUGUUUUAUUUGAUGAUUUUGCCACGAAUUGACAUGCAUGAGGAUGUGUUUUAUGAUGUUCAUUCGAAUAACUGUUCAAAGGGUCGUUCACCUAGCUGUAAUUCCCGAUGUGACUGUGAUUGUUCUAUCGUUAUAUUUAUUUGAUGCAUGUGUAAGACUCUAGGUUGACUUUAGAGCCUUUAACAAAGAGAAUGAGAUCAAUCGCUUGCAAGUGAAAUGAGAAAUAAUGGAACAUAGGUCUAGGUGAGACUAUGUACCAUGAGAACGAUGGUGCCGUUAGAGACAAACGGUAACUUGCACGUGAGGGAGAUUUUGUAUAUCAUUGCGGCUCCACGUUAUUUGGUUGACUGCGGUCACCGUGAGACUUUUUGUGGAUCAUUGCGGCUCCACGUGCAUUAUACAUCUGCGGAUGUAUGUGAUUGGCCAAGGAGUUUUGGUGGGUUGUGUGAUGUGAGGAUGCGUUAGUUUAACUAACUAACUGUUAUAAAAAUUAAUCCCAUAAACGGAUGAUUCAUAUGUAUUAUGAUAUGUUUUAUGACUAUGUUGUUUGAGUGACCUGACCCUUGCACUACUUGUUUAUUUGUUUUGUGGGGGGGGGGGGGGGUUAGAUGACCACGAGGGUAUCAACGACGACCCUCAACUGGGAGAUGAAGCUCUAUGAUGAGGAGCGGGACCGGGCCUGGACAUCCGACACGUCCGGGAUUCGCCGUGUGUAUGUCGGCGAUAUCAAACUAACCGAAAAAGACCAACAGGGCAAGACAGUGGAAGUUCAAAGGAUAACGAGGAAGAUCAGGAUGUCGUAUCCUCCGCCGAGGUUUCCCUACCCCGAGGACGUUGGUUCUCAAGUAGCUUCGGCCGAGUCUGAUCCAUCCGAAGAGGUACAUGCUGAGGUUCAGAAGCCACUGGAGCCAGUUGCGGUACCAAUGCAGACGCCAAUGGAGGAACCAAGGCUAGGAGACAAUAAAGCAGAGGAUGACCAGAUUCCUGCAGUGCCAAACAUGUGGGAAGACCAUGACGCCUGUUUCAUUAUGGGUCUCUAUGACUUUUCGUUGGAGCCACUGCCCGUACCUGUGUCACCUUUGAAGAAGCGGCGUAUGAACGAGGAUCUCUUGAAGGCUGAGAUUGUGGAGAUCUCUAGUGAUGAGGAUGACUGAGUCGGGGAGUGAUGCACUUAGGUUUUUCUGGGAACGAGAUAUCGAACUUAUUCAUUUACUUUCAUUUUGUUGAACCUUUUUAUUAUGAGUUUAAUACUUUUCUUUCGGUUGUAAUACAUUUGAGGAUUUCCAAAUGUGGUUUUUCACACAUGGGUGUGGCCACCGUGCUUACGUUUUAAUUACGACGUUUAUUUUGGUUAUUUCGGUUGUUCGAUUUAUUCCGCCGUUUCAAUUAUUAAUGUUUUACAUCCGAAGCUAAGGGUUUUCGUUUAAAAUGAAUCUUUGUCACUAAUGAUGGUUAAUAAAUUAAACGACGAAAAUUCUUUACGAAAAUCCACGUGUUUAGUUAUUGUGUGACACCCGAUAAAUCGGGGCGUUACAAACACCAGGUUCAAUCUCACAAGGACUUGGCGAAGUAUUAAUUGAUAUUAGAGUAAAACAAAACAGUUAAAAAGGGGGUUUGGUUUAUUUGAUUGAAAAGUAAGCAAACAUAAAUGAAAAGAGAUUUAAAUUUGAUAAGAGAAAGUGUUAGUUCUCGGAUUAUAACAUUCAAGUGCAACAAACCUUCAUUGGUUACAAAAGAUUAAUUCUUCCUUAUUAAUUCCUUAAUUCGUGAAAACUAAUUAACUAGGCGGAAAUUAAUUCACAGUUUCCUAAACUAAGCGAUUAAAAAACAGUUACGCACUAGCAUGAACUAAGCGAACAUGCAUCAACCCUUAUUUCUAAAACUACGGAAUUAAGCAAACCCUAGAAACAGAAUAAUAGAUGAAGAGAAUUAAUAAAGAACGAUUUUGCAUGAAGAACAGAACCUCAAGUUUGCAAACACAAGAAUAAUAUAAAUCCUAAGACUAACUAGUGAGUUUAACAACUCAUACUGGAAAAGAGGGAGAUAUAGGAGGUGAAGGUAGGUGAGGUGAGAUGGUGAAUAGGUGGUGAGGUGGUGUCUAACAAAAUCUUAAACCUCACUUAUUUAUACUAAUAAAUAAUGUUAUUCAUCAAGUAACAAUCCCUUGUUAUCUAAGGGCCUGUUUGGUGGUCAGAAUAUGAUAGGAUAUGACAUGAUAGUAAUCAUAUCCUGUUGUUAUUUGUUGUUUGUUGCGCCAGCAUGAUAGGAUAACACUAUCAUGUCUCCUAUCAUAUCAUGUCCAUCAUGUGUAAAAGUUAUGCUGAGGGAGGAGUUAGGAUAGAACAGGAUAGGAUAUCAGUUAUAUAUUUUCUUUCAAUAUCCUAACUCCAAAUUAUUUUAUUUUAUUAUUAUAUAAUUUAUAAUUUAUAAUAAUAUUAAUUAAUAAAUAUAAAAUUAUUAAUUUAACUAAAAUAAAAAAUAAAUAAAAUUAUUAUUCAUAAAUAGUAAAAUAGACUACUCACUUACAAAUAUUGAUUUAUUAAUAGUAAUUGAAUAAUUUAAUAUUUUCAUCUCCAAUUAUUUAAAAAUUAUUUAUCUACCUAUAUAAUAAUUUAAAUAUAAAUUACUUUUGAAAUAAUAAUAUUUUAAUUUAGUUAAUUUUUAUUAUUUAUCACGUGUCACAAUUAAGUAAAAAUAAUUUGGUUACAAAUAUUGAUUUUUUUAAUAGUAAUAGACUAAUUUUCUAUUUUUCAUCUCCUAUUAUUUAAAAUUAUUUAUCUACUUAUAUAAUAAUUUAUAAUUUAAAUAUAAAAUAAUUUUGAAAUAAUAAUAUUCCUAAUUUUGUUAACUUUAUCGUUAAUUAUCAUGUGUCACAACUAAAUGAAAACCAAUUGAUUAAUUGCAUAAUUUUAUUUAAAAUAUAAGUUAUCUUCAAAACAAUAAAAUAGGCUAGUUAAUUAUUAAAAUUCAAAUUAAUUUUAGUUAUUUUAAAAUUCAAACAGACUCAUUAAUUAUUAAAAUAUAAAUCUUUUCUAAAUCUUCACAAAAUCGGGCCCAUAGAAAGGAGUAAGCUGCUUAACACUCAGGCAUUCGCGGGUCCCACAAGAAGUUUGAAUCUUCAAUCGAGGUAAACAUGAGAGUUGUAGGUCUUUAAGUCAACUUCACGGACCUUUAAUUGGAUCCGAGUUCGAAGUUCUGUAGCCCAAGAUAUAAACAUUUUAGUACAGACUGUUCCAGACUCGCAAAAUUAGCGACAACAACUUUGUAAGGCAAUUAUACAGAGUUCAAGGCUAGUUCUCGAAUUGUGCUGAACAUGAAAGUUGUAGGUCUUCAAGUCAUCUUCCCACUGACAUAUUAUUUGACCUAGUUAGAUAUCUGUAGCUCCAUAUGCAACUUGUUCAAGUGCCAAAUAUCAUACACACUUGAGUAAUUUCUUCUUAAUAUCUCUGCAUUACUUUUUGAAAAGAGAUCCAAAGUUGAAAUAAAAUCUCUUGAGAUCUAGGAUUUUGUGAUGAACGAAUUUCCGUCGCAAAUAAUUGUCACUAAUUACUUUGCGACGAAGAUCUUCUUUCUUCGCAUUCCGUCCAUAUUUCUAUUUCAAUUAUUCACUAGGGUUUUGUGAUGCAUUGAGGUUCUGUCGCAAAAAUGUCAUGAAAAUAGAAAAAAAAUAAAAAUAAAUGAGUAUUGCUAAUGAAAGUGGAGAUUUUGGAGGAAAAAAUAAAAUAAAAAGUGGUGAGUUUAAUUUCUAUGCAUUGAUGGUGUAAAUUUUUUUUACACCGUCAACCAAUCAAAUUGUAAGGAUGUGAGAAAAUCUCUCUUUUUAUUUAAUUUCAUUAAUUAACGUGACAUAUCAUUGAAAUCUGAUUGGUUGACGGUGUAAAAAAACUUUACACCGUCGGUGCAUCAUCUUUUUUUCUCAAAAGUGAUAUCACAAGUCACCAUGAUAUCGCCAAUCUCAUUGAGUUUUUUUUUUUUUUUUGAAAGUAUCAAAUCCAAUCUCAUUGAUGAUGGUGAAGACUCCAAUGUCACCAUAAAAAGGGGUUUGCACCGGUGCCUACCCUUACCAAAACUUUGAAAAAAGGGGGUCAUAGGUAUAUGCAGUUUUACAAUCAUUAGAUAUAUUAGUUUUUUAAAUGAGUGGUUCAUAUACUCUACUGGUAACCAUAUGUUUAGGUUUGGGAGGAAUUUUGUGGAAAUUACAAUGAAGUCUUCCAACUCCUUCUCCUUCACAAUUUUAGUCCCCUCAAGUAUCCCUUUGAGUUUGACCACCACUCUGUUCAUACCCCCAACGCUACCGCUGCACAUUGACGAUAUUUCUGAUUCUGAUUCCGACGAGACCUGGACAUGAUGAACAAUGACUAUAAACUCGUAAAGAAUAGAGGGCGGCGAAGAACAGAUCUAAGGAGGGAGAUGUGGCGGUGGAGGCCAAACGAACCUAACAAAUCUGAGAGCGAGAGGACGACGUCGGAGGCGAAACACGCUAACAGAUCUGGAAAGGGGGAUGACGGCGGCGAAUGCUAGACAGACCUCGAAUCCUUUACCGCUACUCUUCCUUCACUUCCCGUCCAACUCGCAAAGAGGCGGCCAAAGGGAGAAGAACCGUGCUAUCAGCCUAUCACCUCCGUCAUGACCGUCGAAUCUGUGUCGUUCUAAAGUCGUCGUUGCCUCCACCAUCGAGCUUUGUAUCCACAAACGCAGAUCUCAUUGCCUCUGCCACGCCGCACCAGAGUCGCAAAAACUCUGGCCUCUCGUCCUCCUUCCCUGCCGGAAUCCCAUCCCAUCUGCCUCCCUAUUUCCAAAUAAUGUUUCCCCUAAUUCAGACUUAAUCCUAAAAGUCUUACAUAAUUUGAUUCAAGCCCAAUAGUGCCGGUAAAAAAAAAACUGGUUAUCAUAGGUUGAAAUUGGGGGCACCCGUGCAACCCCUUUUUAGGGUGACACUGUAGUCUUCACCAUUGAUGAUAUGGACUAAAGUUUUACAUAAAAUUAAAAGAAACUGCUCGACUUUAUAAAUAAAACUGCACCAUAUAGGUAAAAAAGUUACACUUUGAGAGGAGACAUAGUUGAAAGGGAAAUUUAAUAUUCUUCAUGAUCGAUGAUGGAUUUGGAAACAAAAUUUGAAAGAGUUGUUGUUGCAGAGAUGAAAAAAAAAAAAAACCCCAUUGAUUGAGCAUGGGGCUGCAAAUACUCCACCUAGAGAGCGCGAAAGCCACGGUCAAACGAAUCAAUAUCAAUAUCAAUCAAUAUCAAUAUCAAUAUCAAUAUCAAUCAAUAUCAAUAUCAAUAUCAAUAUCAAUCAUCAAUAUCAAUCAAUAUAUAUUAGAAAAGAACAACUUCUAGCAUGACGUGUCAGCACCAGAUUAAUUCUUAGUGACGUGUCAUUCUCACGUUAAUUCACAUAAAAAAAAUUCCACGUGUCAUUCUCAGGUUAAUUCUUAUAAAAAAAAAUUACAUUUUUAAAUUUUAGAUUUGAUUAGGAUUUAGGUUGUUUAUUUCUUGAUUUUAUCUUAAUUUAUUUUUGAUCUAUUUUUAGAGUAUGAAUUAAUUUUUAUGGUAUUUUCGGAUUUUUAAUUAAUUUAAGAUUUUAUGAGUUUUUAUUGUGAUUUGCUAGAUUUUGAUAGUUUUUAUCUAUCUUUAAUUAGUACCUUUUUAAAUUUUAGGUUUGAUUAGGAUUUAGGUUGUUUAUUUCAUGAUUUUAUCUUAAUUUAUCUUAUUAUUUAUUUUUAGAGUAUUAAUUAAUUUUUAUGUUAUUUUUAUUGAAUUUUCAGAUUUUUUAAUUAAUUCAGGAUUUUAUGAGUUUUUAUUGUGAUUUGCUAGAUUUUUGUAGUUUUUAUCUAUCUUUAUUUAUUACCUUUUCAAAUUUUAGAUUUGAUUAGGAUUUAUGUUGUUUAUUUCUUGAUUUUAUCUUAAUUUAUCUUAUUAUUAUUUAUUUAAUGUUAAUUUCAUGAAAUAUUUUAUUUUAUUUUAGAGUUAUCUUUAGAGUAUAAAUUAAGAGAAAAAGUUUGAUGCACCGACGGUGUAAAGUUUUUUUACACCGUCAACCAAUCAGAUUUCAAGAUGUGCCACGUCAAUUAAUGAAAUUAAAUAAAAAGAGAGAUUUUCUAAUAUUCUUGAAAUCUGAUUGGUUAAUGGUGUAAAAUAACUUUACACCGUCGGUGCAUAGAAAUUAAAGUCAUAAAUUAAUUAGGAUUUAGAUUGUUUAUUUUUAUCAUUAUAUUCAAUUAAAGAAUUUUAGAAAAAAAAAAACGAGUAUGCUAGGGUUCCAGUGCCUUUCUCCUAGCGCCGCCCCUCCUUGCCGUCGCCGAUGGCGGCGCUCCGACCCUUGGUCCUGGACGUCUUCUCCCGUGGUCCUGCCGAUUCUCCUGCUAUGCUCUGUCUUCCAGCGCCGCUCCCUCUUGCGCCGCUCCUCCAACAAAUCCCUCCCAAAAUGCCACCCUCCAUGAUUCUUCAUCACGAUGGGUCACAUCACCUGCGAAUGUGGGUUAGCAGAAAUAUUCAAUCUUGGUAAGGAAAAAAUUCACCUUUAUGUUUCUGGCUUCGAAUCUUUGAUCUGUGAGAAUCCAAAUCUGGGCUUUACUUUUUUAAUGAAAAGCUGUUAUGGGAAUGAAAGAUACAAAGAAUUGUAUGGAAUAAUGAUGUCAGUGUUCAAUUAGUUGGGGUCUUCAUGCCAUCUGCUGAUCUGCAUUUGUAAUGAUGUAACAUUGUUGUUUUGUUUUUAGCUCUACUUUUCUCCAAAUUCAUUUACUUUGAUUGGUAAAACUGUUUUGAAUGAAUCCUUUUUAAUGUGUGUCAUUGUUGAAAUAGAGUUCCUUCUUCGUUACUAAUUUUAUACAAUAGGCAAUAGGUUCUAAAUGUUGAAAUAAUCUUUAAUCAAUAUUAUUUUCUGAUAAUUGAAAUAAUCAGGAUUAUCACUCAUUAUUCAAUGGCCAAACACAGUAGAAAAUUAUGAUUGUCUUGGUCCCCAGCCCCACGAAACAUGUCCAUAUACUGAAAACUUGAAAAGUCCAACUGCUCUACCUUAAUUAUCUUCAGUUCUGCACCACUGUUAAUGAACAAAUAAAAAAGGAGAUACAGAAAGAUGAAGGAAACAAUUUUGAGGUAACUCAAAGAUUUUCUAUUCUGUAGAUAUUUUCAAUGAUUUUGAGCUGACUAAAGUGAUCUUUAUUUUCCUCUUCCUUCUCCUCUAUAGAUAUAGAUCAUUUUGUGUGUGUCUAGAGUGUAGUUUAUUCACUUAAUACCUCUCAGGGAAAUGUCAAAGUGUAAUCUUUCUAUUCAUUUUCCUUUCUUCUUUUUAUUUUCACAAGUGGGUAUGCGUGGGAUUUUGAUUUCACGAUCUGGGUCUAUAUUCCUUCGCUGUUUAGAUCUUUAGCAAUUUGAGGUUAACUUAUGAGCUUCUAAACUUUCUCUCUUCUUUAAACUUAUCAAAUUUGCUAUGUGUGCAGACCAGUUAUUUUGAAUGUUCUGAUUGUUGAUAGCAAUAUUUAUUUGCAUUUUUCAAUCUUUCUCUGCUGAUUUGAAUAUAUUUUGUAGGAUAUGCUUGAUUUAUGCCCAGAAAAAGUGGAAAAUUAUGAAAAGAAGUUGAAGAACUUCUACACUGAGCACAUCCAUCAUGAUGAAGAGAUUCGUUAUUGCUUGGAAGGAAGUGGCUACUUCGAUGUGCGGGACAAAGGUGACCGAUGGAUUCGCAUUUGGAUCAAGGCCGGUGAUCUAAUCAUUUUACCUGCUGGAAGCUACCAUCGGAUCACUCUUAACACAAGUAACUAUGUGAAGGUUUGGAACUAUCUUAUUCUAACCACAACCAUUAAGACUCUAGAGAUUAAGUAUGUUUCAAUAGAUAAAGAUUCAAAGCUUUUAUGGGUUGAUUAAUCAUUAGUUGUUCUGUUUCUGUGCAUAUCUGUGUGCAGUUGAUGAGGUUGUUUAUCGGCGAGCCUGUAUGGACAGCAUAUAAUCGACCACAGGAAGAUAACCUUGCUAGAAAGGAAUACAUGAAGGGCUUGAAGCAGAGAGGGAGCGACGAACAUGAGAAGAACCGAGAAAGCAAAGGGGUCUCUGAAAUCUCUGCCAAUAGUCCAAGGUUAGUCCUUCCCCAAAACCUUAAUCCCCCAAAUGUUGUAAGUUCUGAGGUGUCUAUUGGUUCGUGUCAUCUUUAAGUCCUAGAAUUGAUAGUGUCUAAUAUUUCUUUCACUUUUUCAUGAUACACUUUUUAUCUAAUGGUGUAGAAGAAGUUUUGCUAUGUUUUUUUCACAAUUCCUUGAGAAAUUUUGGGGAGUAGAAAUAAAGUUGUUUCAGAUUAUCAUACUCCGUGGGAUAUGCACUUCAAAAUUGAUAUCAUGCUAUUGUCCGUCCAUUGCAAAAAUUAGAAUUAAGAAUCCUAACACCAGCAUUAUAUCAAAGCUAUGAUAAAAUUACUUUAAUUCAAUGUGUGCAUACAUUGUAAUGCAUGACUGUUAUAAUGUGCUUUCCCCCUCACCCCUUCCAAGGCUUACCGGUUUACUGUCUGCAUUUUUGUUUGACUCUAACAACUGAUAGAUGUAACAUCUGGACGUGAUUUGUAUUGGUGAAGCUCAAUUCUUCGAUGAUCUUAACAGUAAUUUAUUUAAAACACCUAUUGUAGAUACUUUGUAUAAUUUUCUUUCUAGGAUGCAUGGAUAAUUUUUGUUAUGUAUCCAGGUAGGGGAAAAUAGCACUUACAGAUCUUGAGAGUGUUGGGGACCGGCUUCUGUUAACUAGCCUGUAUGUUGAUUCUGGCCGGUGGUGAAAGGUUGAGAAGUUCAAGAAGAUUCUGAAGAAGGGGAAAAUUCAUAAAACUUCAUGGAUUGAGCUGGGUAUAUAUGUAUAAUAAUACUAUAUGCAUGUAAAUGAUUCUUUCUGGCCGGAGGUCCCUUUUCACUUUGCUACAUUAUUUAGGUAGAUAGGCCAUGAGUUUGCAUUGUGAAUAUUUGCUCAAUUUUUUUGGUUUGACACUUUGACUGAAUCUGGUGUGCCUAAAUUUGAGUUUGAUAGUUAGUGCACAAAAUCUCAUCGUGAUGUUAGUGAGGCAUGAAGCCAAAAUUUAAAUAUGAACCUGGUGUUUUAUACAUGUAAUAGUUUUAAAAGUUAGUUUGCUUUAGGUGUUACCUACAUUCUUUGCUACAUCUCCCUGUGUUCAGAUUUUGUUGCUAUCAAUGGACAGUGGUUGCUAUUGUAUGAGAUCAUUUGUUUUUAGAUAAUAGAUGGUGCUUUAAGUGUCUUUUCAUUAGAGAUUUUUGUUUUUAAGUCCAGGUCAUACAUUACUUUUAAACACUUUAUGUUUGAUCUAAACGUUUUGUCACAAAUGUGGCAUUAAUGUUACCGCAUUUCUAUAAAACAAAAUGUUACCGCAUUCAUUUAUAUAUAUAUAUAUAUAUAUAUAUAUAUAUAUAUAUAUAUAUAUAUUAAUUACAAAGGUAAAAAUUCUCAUACAAAGGAAUUUUUUACAUAAAAAAAUUAAAUAAAUUACAAGAGUGUAUAUUUAUAUAUGAUUUAGGGGUAUAACAUGAUUUAAAGCUCACACGGGGAGGAAUAUCACGCUUAAAAAUAAUUUCAAUAUAAUUUAAUAUGAUUAAUUUUAGUAUUUUUCAUAAUUUUAAGAGUGUAUAUUUAUAUAUGUACUAUAAAUUUAUUUUUGCUAAAAUAUUAGGGUUAUGAGCUCCCACGGGGAGGAACACUUUAUAUGAAAAUUUGUUUAGGUUAAAAAAAUCUGUUUUUAUAUAAUUUAAGCAUAUUUUUCAUAAUUUUUAAAAUAAUUUAAACAGUGAUAAUAUAUCUAUGUACUGUUACAUAUUUAGACUACACGAACGACACCCUUCAUGCAACGCAGGGUAUACGUCUUAGCAAACAAAAUUCAAUUAUACCUCAUAUGUGCAAAAUUGCAGAUUUUACUCAAUUAAUUCAUGUGUCUUUCAGAAUCUUUAUAUUGGUUAUUUCAAUGUAUGGUACAAAGCACUAGAAUUGAAUGUCUGAAUUUCAGUUUUUUAAAUAUCUACAUUUUCAUUAUGAUUGUUCUUUCAAUCUUGGUAUGUAUAAUUUUUAAUAAUCAAAAUAUUGAUUAAUAUAUCAAAUACAAUGGUAAAUUUCACCGUGCAACGCACGGGUAAAAUUGUUAGAACAUUGGUUUAGGCGUUUAGCAUAUUAGAAAGGAUAGCACCAGUUUUAAAAGUCUAACCUCAAUAGUAUAGCUUGAGCGAAUAAAGAUAAGCAGUAAAAUCUCAUCCAUGAUAUGUAGUUCUGUAGUUGUAACGGCAAGCACCAACAAUAAUAAUUAAUUUCCUCGGUACAAGAAGCAGACAAGAAAAGAAGAACUCCUAUCAGGAUGAUUUAGUGACGUGUCAUUCUCACGUUAAUUUUCAUAAAAAAAAAUUCCACGUGUCAUUCUUAGGUUAGUUCUCAUUAAAAAAUACAUUUUUAAAUUUUAGAUUUUAUUAGGAUUUAGGUUGUUUAUUUCUUGAUUUUACCUUAAUUUAUUUAUAGAGUAUUAAUUAAUUUUUAUGGUAUUUUAUAUUUUUAAAAGUAGAGUGAUGUGGCCUAAUAAUAAUAGGGAGUCUACAAAUUAAUUGUCUCAUUCUCCAAAAUAGAAUUCAGAUUUAAGUUAUUAGGACUUUUCCUCGGACCUUUUCCUCAUGUAACUAAAAAAAAAUUUAAACUAUUACGAGAUUAAUUUUUAUGCACUGUCUUUGUAAAUACGUUUUUUACAAUCAUUCGAUCACAUCUUCCAUUUCUUAUUUUAAAUAUUAUUAAAUUCAAAAUUGAUUAUGAGCCAGCUAAAUGAAUGGAUGCGAUUGCAUGAUUGUGUAAAACUUAUUUAUAUUAUUAGUGCAUACAAACUAAUCUUCUAUAUAAAUGUAGAUGCUCUCGCUUUAUUUUGAAAAAAAAUUGAGUGGUAAAAGUAUACUCCUUCAUUCUUUUUUAAGUGUCAUUCUAGCAAAAAACUCUCCAACCAAGAUAGUGGGUUGUUAGAGUUUUUUUUUCUCAUUCUUCCCUCUCACAUCCUAAUUAUGAAGUUAUAAAGUUUUCCAACCAAAAUAGUGGAUAAUUAAUUUUUUGUUCCGCUCUCUCUCAUAUCAUUAAACUAUUUAUCCUUAUUCUCUCUCUAGUAGCAAUAAAAAUUUAUAACUUCCUUCCAAUUUUUAAUGUUAACACAUUUUUCUAUGUAACUCUGAAAGCUCUUUUGUGUACUUUCAUUGGAAUUUAAUUUCCACUUACUAGACAAGACUUUGAAUUGAUGUGAUGAGAAUUUAUUUUGCACUUACUAAUAAAGGUAUAAUUGAUAAAAUGGACCUUAAAACAUCAAAACAACAGUUAAAUAUAAAAAAAAAUUUCUUCUAAAACGACACUUAAAAAGAAACGGAGGGCCGGAGUAUGAUUUUUUAUGACAUUUUUGGUAAAAGAAAAUGUCUUCACUUGCGUUCCACAUUGUUAAAUGCUCUCACUUUAGUAGUAAGAGUAUGUAAUUUUUUUAUGACUCAUUUGAUAAAAAUUGUUCUCACUUGUGUAUCUCCUUUGGUAAAAAAUAGUCGUCACUUCUAAUAGUGUAUGCUAAUUUUUUCUAUUUACAAAUUUAUAUGUUGUUUAAAUGACCCAUCAGAAAGUUUUGGUUAAAUAACUCAUCAUUCAAUUACAUUAAAGAUAAGAGAGUUGAAAUUUUCAUAUUUUAUUUAUUAAUUUAUAUAUAAAAAUUAUAUUGGUCCAUUAAAUUGUGAUUAAGAAACCUACAUGGGUUAUUUAGACAACCCCAAAAUUAAUAUGUACAUAUUACCCUCAUGUUUUUUAGAGAAGCCAUUAUCCUUGUAACAUCAAAUUUUUAGAUCCAUCUCUAUACAUUAUAGAUUAGCGAAGAAAAAAAAAGAGAUAUAUGCAAUCAGCGGGAUAUUUCUUCCAAUCAAAUUAUUUAAAAAAAAAUAAGUCAAAAUAUUGAGAUAUUAUAUUAGAGAAAAAUCAGGGAUGCAAUCAGUGAAAGAUAUCAAUUUCAAACUAAAAUCAUUUCGCAACUGUUACACACUUACACCUUAUCGUUAGACUAUAAUCAGGCAAUAUCAAUUUUUAUAUAUAUUCUCCUCAUAUUCUAAACAUAAUCUUUCUUUCAAAAAAAAAAACAUAAUCUUAGGAACCAGAAUUUUAUCUGUCAUUGUUAUAUUUUAGUACCUUGUUGCUUUUAUUUUUAUGGAAUCUUAAAUGAAAAGUCUUAAAUAUAUGAGUUGUGGAAGGAAAGUUUAAAAAUCAAUUCCUAAAAUAAUGAUUUAUCUUUCAAAUGUCAUGAUCUCCCCGUUUUCAAUUUCUUUUGAGAUAAAUAUGUGUUUUCUCUCAAGUGAAUUAUUGAUUUUAGUCUCCGAUAAUUUUGUUUUGAUUGCAAUCAUACUAAAACAGCGAUUGUCCCCGUAGGGUAACUCAAGUGGUAGGAGCUGGAGACAUAUGAGUUGGGUAAGAGGGUACAAGGAUCGAUUCCUGGAGAUGUAAUUUAUCUUACAGAUGUACCAAAAAAAAAUACUAAAACAACAAUUUAUUGCUUUUAAUCUCUCCAUUCAUUUUAUAAUAUUUUGUGGCGGUUUUAACUGUGACCAACACAUUUUGUGAAAAGUCUCCAAUAAAAAAAUUAGCACUUUUAGUCCUCUACAUUGGUUAAUUUUUUGCAAAAAUAAUUCCUACUUGGGACUAAAACGGUAAAAGUGUGUAAAUAUAAGGGACUAACUUUGCUAUUUUUUUUUUGAGGAACCAAAAGUGCAAAAUAGUGAUAAGUGAAGGAGCAAAAGAACUAUUAAACCUAAAAAUAAAAAAUGAGUAAAAAUUGAGUGUAUAAAAAAUGAGUUGUGAAAAUAAUAGUAUAGUUAUCUAGCGUGGUGGAAGGCUUCGAGGUACAUUAAAAUAAUUAAAAACUGUUACCUUCCUCUAUAAUUUUUUAUUUUGAAAUCCCUUAAAAUUGAAUAAUAUUUUUUUAUAUCCCAUGUGGUGAGAAAGGACAGGCUUAACACUAUAAAAGAUAAGAGAAGGAAAGCCAAGUCCCCAACCACUCCACAACUCAUAACUCAUUACAUCCUUCACAACCAUCCUUCAGAAAAAUGGUGUCACCAAAGCCUCAUGCUGUGUGUGUACCAUUUCCAGCCCAGGGCCAUGUGAACCCGUUUAUGCAACUAGCCAAACUCCUCCGUUGCAUGGGUUUCCACAUAACAUUUGUGAACACUGAGUUUAACCACAAACGUUUGACCAGGUCUCUUGGGCCAGAAUUUGUGAAGGGGCUGCCGGAUUUUCGCUUCGAAACCAUACCCGACGGUUUGCCACCUUCAGAUAAGGACGCUACUCAGCACAUUCCAUCACUGUGUGAUUCAACUAGGAAGACUUGUUAUGAACCUUUCAAAGAGUUGGUCAACAAACUCAACUCUUCACCUGAAGGGCCUCCUGUGAGUUGUGUAGUUACCGAUGGUGUUAUGGGAUUUGCUUCAAGUGUGGCCAAAGAUCUGGGUAUUCAUGAGAUUCAGUUUUGGACAGCAUCGGCUUGUGGCUUCGUCGGAUAUCUGCAAUUCGAAGAACUUGCCAAAAGAGGCAUUAUUCCGUUCAAAGGUGCGAUUUCUUCCUGUGAUUAUUUGCUUUUUUUUUGGAAUGCUAAAAUGAAUAAAAGAAUGGUAGCACGUUGGGGUGCUAGUACUCAUUCUCAUAUUCGCGGUUUUAAAAAUUAGUCAUAUCCUUUCUCAUACCAACUUAGGUAGCAACUUGAAAAUCUACCCAUAUCUCGUGUGACUGCUUCCCGAAUUUUUUUCAUGAAUUAGAAUUUAAGUGUUGCUCAACCACGGGUUCAUUCAUUUUGGACAGUCUGCCACCGAACCCAUGUCAUCUUGGCGUCUAGGGACUGCCCACAUAAGAAUAGGGACAAGUUUCACAGAACAUCAAAACUAAGGAGAAAGAUGCACGUGACAAAAUAAAUUCUAGUAGUAAAUAAUGACUAUUGGAUUAAAAGAAAAUCAACAGUGCGGAAAUAGGAGCAACACAUUAAAACUACUCUUGGAGCAACUUGAUGUUUCCUCAGUAAAAAUAAUUGAUAUUGCAUGUGCGCUGGUCACUGCUUUAAUUUAUGUAGCAUUUACUCAUGUACAACCACAUGCCUAUUUAACAGAUUUUUACAUUAUCCAUGAUAAGUAUUUUCUGUGGAUACCCAAUAGGCCCAACCGCCCAAGACCCAUUAACAUUCUUAAUCUCCUUUCUUGACAAUAAUCUUCUAAUAUGAAAAUAGUACGAUUGAUUCAACAAUGAUUUAUAUAUUGAUAUUGCUCUAUUUCGGAUGCAUUUGUCAAAUUUCAGAUGAAAAUUUCCUGAGCGAUGGUACCUUGGAUACAACUUUAGAUUGGAUCUCUGGCAUGAAAAACAUGCGACUUAAAGACAUUCCAAGCUUCAUUAGAGUCACCGAUCUAAAGGAUAUCAUGUAUGAUUUCUUGGGUUCUGAGGCACGAUACUGUUUGAGAUCUUCUACAGUCAUCAUUAACACAUUUGAAGAAUUGGAAAGUGAAGCCCUUGAUGAGCUUAGGUCUGCAAACCCAAACAUAUAUAACAUUGGCCCACUUCAACUGCUUGGUAGAAAUUUUCCUCAAAAGGACGACGGUUUUAAGGCAGGUGGGUCAAGUUUAUGGAAAAAUGAUUCUGAAUGCAUGAAAUGGCUUGAUAAAUGGGAACCUUCUUCAGUGUUAUAUGUUAACUAUGGAUGCACAACUCUUAUGACUGAGCAUCACUUGAAAGAAUUUGCUUGGGGAAUAGCAAAUAGCAAAGUCCCAUUUUUAUGGAUAAUUAGACCAGAUGUUGUGUUGGGUGAGGACUCUAUAAAUGUGCCACAAGAGUUCUUAGAUGAUAUCAAGGACAGAGGAUAUAUUGCAAGUUGGUGCUUUCAAGAAGAAGUACUUACUCAUCCAUCAAUUGGGGCCUUCCUCACUCAUUGUGGUUGGAAUUCUUCAUUAGAAGGCAUAUCUUCGGGUUUGCCUUUGAUUUGCUGGCCUUUCUUUUCUGAGCAACAAACAAAUUCAAGGUAUGCUUGCACAACAUGGGGAAUAGGGAUGGAAGUUAACCAUGAUGUGAAGCGAGAGGAGAUAACAACCCUUGUGAAUGAAAUGAUGAAAGGAGAAAAGGGAGAAGAAAUGAGGAAAAAGGGUUUGGAGUGGAAGAAAAAAGCAAUAGAAGCUACUGGUUUAGGAGGAUCAUCUUACAAUGAUUUCCAUAAGUUCAUAAAGGAGACUCUUCACCACAAUGCUAUCUGAGUUUGUUUUUGCGUGUCAAAAUCUAUAUAUAUAUGUAAAGCUCACUUGAGCUAUAUGUAAUAAAAGCAUUAAACAAUGAAGUUAAACAAAUUAAAUUUCUAUUCAACUUUCAAUAUAAUGUAACUUUUGAAAUAUUUCAAUUUUUAUGAUUUUUGACUUUACACAUGCCAAUAUGAUGUAACCUUUGAUUAAAUUAUGUAAUAAUAUUUUUAUUAAAUACAUUAAAUAUAAAUAUUGAAAACUGAAAGAAAUUAACUAGAGACUAUUUAGCUACCUAUACUAAAUAAUAAAAUUAUAAACUAAAUUUUGAAUUUGUUUUUUACAUUACUCAUUUAUUAUUUCUUCAUUUCAGAAAAUAAUUCAUCAACUAUAAAAAAAAACUACAUUAAAUCAUAUAUAUGAAAGUAUUAUAUAUUAAAUAGUAAAAAUAUAAAAUACAUUAGAUAAUAAAAUACUCAUGUUUGUAUUAGUUGUAUUAACUAUUAAUUAUAAAUUGCAGUUGCUUAUAAAAAAAUGGUUUAUUCAAUAUUAAUUAAAAAAUGUUAGAAUAUUAAUUAUCAAUCAUAAAUUGAAGGGAAGAAAAUUAAAAUAGAACCAAGUAAUAUUUUUUAUACAAAAAAUACUGAGAGUUAAAAUUAAUUAUAAUAAAAUAAUAUUUAUUAAAAAUAAUUAAGAAAAAGUAGUCUUUAAAUAAAAAGUCGCUCUAUGAGUAUUUACCAUUAACUAUAAUAUGUGUGUAUUCGUUGAAAAAAUUCUUCAAAUAUAAUUUUUUAUUUAUUAUAUAUUAGUAGAAAUGACUUGAGAAAUAAUAACAGAGUAAAAUAACUAUAACCAAAGUUGAAUAAAUUUAAAUUUAAUAAAUAAUUCUUUACACUGAUAAAAUCAUUUCUUAUUGUAAUUUUAAAAGUUAAAAUUACUUUAUUGUGGAUAUAAAGUGUAAAAAAAUAUGUCAUUAUAACUUAUUUAUGAUAUUAAAAACUUAUUACUUGAUUUAAUAUAUUUCAAAUUCACAUAAUGAUUUCUAUAUUUUUAAAUGAAUAAAAUAUUAAGACUACUUCAGUGCUAAUUAUUUAAUAUCAAUUACUAGAGAGAAAUGCAUGCGUGUUUCAUAACAAUAUUGUUUCUCUUGAACAUAUAUGAGACUAUUGCUUGGUUUGUGUGUUUUGGUGGGUCAAGGGGAAGUGGAAUGAUUGUUCAUAUGAUUUGGAACGGUUUGCUAGCUAGAGGCUUUGAGCGUAUUAAAUGGUCACGAAAACAAAAGAUGCCACAAAGAGUGUAUUGGGAGCCACAACUAGAAACUGUUUUGAAGUUUAAUGUAGAUGAGGCGUUGAAAGGGAACCCAGUGGUGAGUGGCAUUGGCGGGAUUUUGAGGGAUCAAGGAGGAGAUUUGUUAGGUUACUUUGCAAAAGGAACUGGAAUGUUGUGGGCUUUUGACGAAGGUUCAAGCAGUGUUACAUGCUUUGUUAUUUUUCCAACAAUUUAAAUUUUCAAAUGUGGUAGUUGAGAGUGAUUCUUCCUUAGUGGUUGGGUGAGUACGUCUAUGGUAGAUAAGAGGUCAUGGAAAUUGGAACAUGUAUUUAAUCAUAUAGAUCAUCUGAUGUCUAUAAUUCAGUGUGUUGGUGUGGUGCAUGUAUUGAGUCAGGAAAACACUAUGACAAACUUUUUGGCAAAUCAAGGGUGUGGUAGGGAACAACAGAUAUGAGUUUGUUAUGAUCCAAUGUAAUUAUAUAAAUGAGAAAGUUUUUCUCAUUUUUAUUGCGUUUUAAUAAGGUUUCUUUUUUAAAAAAGGUCAAUUAUCAAAUUUGAGUAAUAUUAAUUAUUUAGAUUUAGACAACUAUAAUUCUACUCAAUGAAAUGCCUCACCUCCAUUAUUAUUUAAAUAUUAUAUUUUAUAAUUAAACAUAUUUAUAUAUUUCUUAAAACUAUAAUAAUCAUAUAUAAUUUUUAAAAUAUUAUAAAUAAACCCGUGCAACGCACGGGUAUAAUUUCUAGUAAAUUGUAUUUUAUAUUCGUAUGCAAUUGAUUGAUUUUGCUUGUAAUCUUUCAUUUAUGUCUGUUGCUUCUUUUUUUUUUCUUGAUAAAUAAAAUGGUAGAAUGGAGAGAAAACAACUUCAAACUACCGGGUAUAGCAUUGUUGGCAUGAGCAUAGACUCAUAUUGGGCAUGACACUAGCAGUGUUCAGUUCAUUUAUGUUUGUCUUUGAGUAAUGUAUUUGUAUUUUUGAGAAUUUUAUGCAUUGAAUUGUUAUUUUGUCUAAAUAUAUUUGCUUAUUAAGUUUGAUAUCAACUUUUAUUAUUUGUAAAUCUUAUCAUUUGGAAAAUAAAAAUAAGUUCCCUAAUUAUAUUCCCUCCAAUAUUUAACUUCAAAUUAAAAUAACCCUAAAAAGUCUUAUAAUUAUGAAAGGAAAGAUCGAGUACAUAUCAUAAUAUGAACUACUAACUAGUGUGUUUCACCUGUGCGUUGCACGACGGAUUAUUAUUUUCGGAUUUUACCUAUCAUUAUUGAUAUAAAAGAAAAAAUAGAUUCAUGAAAAACGAAGAUAUGAAUUUCGUGAUUGAAAUUUAAUAAUGAGAAAAAUGUUAUAAAUUAAAGAUUGAAGUAUAGAUAAACAAACAAACGACAUCAAUUAACAAAUGAUAUAGUAUUGGAGUCAGCUACUAUUUAACAUAUAUAGAUUAGUCUAAUAUGUAGAUGAAUGUCUCGAUAGAAAUCUUCAAAGUUAGUCUCCUCAAACCAUGAAGCUACAAAUACAUAGAUUUGUGUAGAUUAGAUUAGAUUUACAUAGUAAUAAACAAAAGUUAGUUUCAAUGGGCAUUAAAAUAAAAUAAUUUCUUUCAAUUAUAACAUUGACUACUUUGAAUACAAAUUUUUUAGUUAAUUUAUAUUAAAUGUUGGUUCCACUAUGUAAAAGGAUUAAUGUGUAAAGAUUGAUUUUUGACUUUUCUGUUACAAAAUAAUAACUAAUUUUAAGAUCAAAUUCAUAAUGUUAUUAAAAAAAACUUAGAUCAUUAGAAAACGGACCUUUUAGAUGUUGUCAAACACUUCUUGGUAUACAACAUUCUUUGUUGCAUUUGAGAGGUUUCCUUCAUCAUCUAAAAUCAAUAAUUUCAGCCCUUUUCUUGACUUCACUCUUGAGAGAGCAACAUAGAGCUGACCAUGAGUGAAAACUGGUCUAGGCAGAUAUAACCCAACAUGAGAUAACGGUUGACCUUGACUCUUGUUUAUAGUCAUUGAAAAGCAUAAUGUGACAGGAAAUUGCCGUCUUGAGAAUUUGAACGGCAAACCAGGGUCAGAUGGUAUUAAGUUCAUUCGAGGGAUAAAAACUUUUUCUCCCAUUUUUUUACCUGUUAGAAUUGAUGCUGCAAUGACAUUUUUGGUCAAAUCUGUUACUAUCAAGCGAGUUCCGUUACAUAAACCAAUAGACUGGUCUAUAUUCCGAAGAAGCAUAAUUGGAAUUCCAACCUUCAAAUUAAGUUUGUGGUUUGGAAUUCCUGAACAUUUGACUUCAUUCAAGAACUCAGAAGUGAACCAAUCUCCUUUUAUCUCUGUGUCCUCAUCAGACUUGCAUGUAGUGUCAAAGCUCAAAUAUUCCUUCUCAUCACCAGGAACCAUAGAAGACAUGAAAUUAUUAACAUGCUCAACACUCUCAAGGGUUGGUGCCAAAAUUGCUCUUUCUUCAAAGAAUGAAUGAUUUUUCAUGUUGUCAAUCAUUUUAGGAUAAGCAAAAUUCACCAAGCUAAGUAUAGGAUCAUCUGAUUUUUCUAUCAACAAAUCUAGAGGUAUUUUUAUCAUUGUUUGAGCAUCAUCAAUUGUGUUCACCGUACCAUCUCCAACUUGUAGAAUCCAUUCUGCAAACUCCCUGGUUUCUUCAUUGGUUGACGAUGUUGCAGAAUUUUGUAAUCUCAUGUUUUUGGUCAAUUUCAAUACUUUGCACGAGUUCCAUAAGCAUGAAGAAUUGAUUGAAGAUUCAAUAAUAUCUGCUCGACUACCUUUUGGGACAACGGGAAGAAUUUGCCUAAAAUCACCUCCCAAGACCACAACUUUACCACCGAAUGGUUUAUCAUAACCAAAAUUCAAACGGGUUUUCAUGAGGUCAUUCAAAGUUCUAUCUAAUGCUUCAAAACAAUGUUUGUUCAACAUUGGUGCUUCAUCCCAUAUGAUCAAACUUGCCUUUUGAAGUAAUUCAGCCUUUUGCGAUCCUUGUUUGAUAUUACAGGUUGAUAUAUCAUUAAUUGAUAUAGGAAUAGACAACCUUGAAUGAGCAGUCCUUCCUCCAGGCAACAACAAAGAAGCAAUACCACUUGAUGCCACGUUCAAAACAAUGAGUCCUUGUGAUCUUAAACCUGAAGACAAUGUAUUCCACACAAAUGUUUUCCCCGACCCUCCAAAUCCAUAUAGAAAAUAAAACCCUCCAUCGUCGGACAAAACUGAACUCAUUAUUUGUUUAUACACUUUAGAUUGCUCAGCAGUCAAAGACUUUAACAGUGCUUCAUGUGUAUCGCGCAUUUCUUGUUUACUGUAAUUCAACUCGUCGACAACAAACUUGUUUUCAAAUUGUAGAGUUUCAGAAAAUCUGGGAUAUGACAUACAUGGAAAUUCUUUAAGUGACCUCCCAUUGCAGUGGAGAAGUUUCUCAAUUUCAAUUAAGCAGAGGUUCAUGAGAGCAUCAUCCUCUAUUCGAAGAUCUAGAAUUAUAUGCAUGUUAUUAGUAAUGAAACAUAAAUUUUCUUAUGAGAUUGGUAACUGAAGGAAUGUACAAAGAAAAAUAUCAAGUAACAUAGCAAAUAUGUUAAAAAAUAUAGAUAACAAAAUAAAAUUGUGCAAUACAAAGUUGUAACUGUUGAAAAAAUGUGUUGUCAGAGUGUGGUGUAUUUUUUUUUAAGAAAAAAAAUGAGGAAUCAUAUUUAUUAUUUAUUAAAAAUAUUCUAAUAGAAUAUUAAGUUGUGAGGUUAGCGGGGUGGUGGUUAUUUGGUUAAAAAUGUGUGUUGUGGGUUAGUGGGGUGAUUAUUCUAUUUUUAUUAAAAAUUUAGUAGUGUUUUAUCUUAAUAUUAAUGGGAUAAUAUACAGUCAGGUAUGGACAACACUAUCUGGAAAUUAAUUCCCUACUCUCUUAUUUGGUCUCUGUGGUUGGAACGAAAUAACAUCAUUUUCAAAGGCAAAGAGGCAAAUUUUCAAGAGGUUGCAGACAUGUAUUUGAUCAGACUAACAUGGUGGAUUAAGAGUGCUUGGAUAACAUGUCCCUUUGACAUUGAUCAAAUAUCAAGGAACUUGGAAAACAUUCAGUUCCCUAUGCCCCAUCCCAAUCCUAGACAUGUUUCGUGGCUACCUCCUAACAUCGGGUUGCUGAAAUGCAAUGUUGAUGGAGCCUCAAAGGGCAACCCGGGGAUCAGUGGGGUUGGAGGAGUUAUUAGGGAUUCAAGCAAGAAAUUUCUGGGAUACUUUGCAAUUGGCAUAGGGUUCGGUUGGGCUCAUGAAGCUGAGGUAAAAGCAAUACUAUUUGGGCUGCAGUUUUGUCAACAAUUUCUCUUCAACAAUGUAAUUCUUGAAAGCGACUCCACAGCGGCUAUAGGAUGGGUGGUUUCAAGAGAAAAACGACCCUGGAAACUGCUCAAUGAACUGAACCAGAUUGAUAUUCUGAUGAAGGAAAUCAAUAUCCUUGAAAUUAGGCACACAUAUAGAGAAGGAAACUCGGUUGCUGAUUUCUUGGCAAACACAGGUUGUGAAGGUUUCGAUCCCCUUUGGGUUUUGCUGGAAGAUAGAAGACCAAAUUAACUCUCCUGCUUCUCACGCUUCUUUCGUUUCACUACCUUAAGGCACCUAGGUGCUCUGCGCUUGUAAAUUGGCAGUUUGAUGGUUUUGCUAAGGCACAAGGCUUUAUGGUAUUGCCGGGUUGGGUUUUGCUAAUAGCUUACUAGCGAUGCUAUAGCAAUCUGAUUGUAUCAUUCUUAUUCAGUUUCAAUAAAUUUGAUCUUUCAAAAAAAAAAUUCUAAACGAAUUUUUUUUAUCAAUAAUCUUGGUAGUGUUUCAUGGGAUCCAUAGUAAAACAUUAUAUUCAACGUGGUGGGAUGAAUAUCACCAGGGAAAGAGAGGUGUGUGGUUAGUGAGUGACAGUUAUUUAGUCCAAAAUGUGUGUUGCUAGUUAGUGGGGUGUUUAUUUUAACAUAAUUAAAAUAUACCAUUUAUUUUGUUUAAAAAUAUAUUUUAUUAAAAAAAUAGAAUUCACAUAGAAUUUUAAUUUGUAGGGUUAGUGGAGUGGUGGUUAUUUUGUCGAAUAUGUGUUAGUGGGUUAGUUUGGCGGUUAUUUUAACAAAAUUAAUAUCUAAUAUUUAUUUUGAUAAAAAAAAUACAUUUUUCAUUUAAAAAAAAAAUCGCAUAUAUAUUAAUUUGUGGGGGCUUUAUCAAAAAAAAAAACAUUUGUGAGGUUAGUGGGGGGGGGGUGGUUUUUUGUUUGAAUUGUGUGUUGUGGGUUAGUGGGGUGGUUAUUAUUAACAAAAUUAAUAUAAAUUAUUUAUUUUAAUAAAAAGAUUAAACAAAUAAAAUAAAUUCAGAUAUAUUACUAAGUUGUGGGAUUAGUGGGGUGGUUUUUUUUGAACUCAUAGUGGGGUGGUUAUUUUGUUGAAAAUGUGUGUUGGUUAUUUAAGAUAGUAUAUUUAGUAUAUCUGGUUACAUAACGCCUAAGCCAAAUACAUGAAAACAUGAAAUACUUAAACAACAAACAAUACUUAAACAACAAACAUUACGCCUAAGCCAAAUGCAUGAAAACAUGAAAUACUUAAAAAACAAACAUAACGCCUAAAAAAGGAACAUGAUAAGUUCAAUACAUAAAAUUAACAUCCAAAAUAUGAUUGAUCAAUUCUUCUCCUUCUUAAUCUUCUUGAUCAGCUUCUUCUUGUUAUUAGUUGAACCAACUCCUUCAUUCUCCGAGUGAGUGCUCCGCUUGCAUGGUGGUACUUCUUCUUUUUCUAUGUUAGGAUCAACUACAUUGUUUGUCAUCAGAUCAACAACAUCAGCACUCGCAGCAGCAACAAACUCUUCAUUAAGAUCCUGUUAUGUAGUAAAAAAUUAGAUAACCGCAUAAUAAUUAAAAAUAAAAAUUUAUACUAAGUAAAAUAUAUAGUAGAUGUAACCUUGGCCAAAUUGGAACUCGCGUUUUCAACACUCUCAUCAGAUGUAGGUGUUUCUAGCAACAAUAAUGGAGCAGUGUCGUCCUAUAAGCAAACAAAAGAUGACAAUAAUAUGUGAACAACACAUUUUCAAUAAAUAUAGGGAAAAAUACUUCGCAAUGAUCCUAGUUACAUUAGGAGGAGGGAGAGCUUCCUUGAAUUGAGCAAUUAAGUCGGGAUCUGCACAGAUUUUCUUGACACGAUAUGAUGGCUCAAACCUGGAGCCGAGAUCUCCACAAAUUUUUUUGUCACGAUUUGAUAGCUCAAACCUGUAGCUUGAAGUGUUGUUAACUUCAAUCCUAAAGAGAAAGGUCUUUUCCAACAACUUAAGUAAUUCAACAGGAGUUGUAGAGCCAGAGCCAGCAGGAUUCUGUCACCAAUUAAAAAUUUACGAAUUAAGACAUGCUACCAAUAGUAGUACAUUUUAUGAUAAAAUUGAACUCUGAUCUCUUAUACACAUACCUUUGUUGACGAAUCAACCAAGUCAGCACAGGUAGUUUCAAGAAGAGCACUCGCUUCUUUGUCAAAUAUGACCAAUGUAGCAAUGUCAUUACCCUGCUUUACUUUGACUUGCAAACGGAACCUAUAGUAGCACAAAAAAAAGGAAAAUUAAAUGGCCAAGAAAUUUAUUUUUCGACACAAAAUGGAAUAGGUAGUUCAAUACCUAGGGAUCAUGGAAAAAUAAUGACGGUUACAACUAUCACAAAAAUACAUUUUCUCAUCCCAAAUAACUUUUUUGUUGCACUUGCAAGCUUUGUACCACCAAUUAUUCCCCUCAGGUAUUUGUAUGAUGGUCCCUAACACAACACAGCAUGACUUCUGCAUAAAAUGACCAAGUUAGUUAAAUACAUUUAAAAACAACAAAAGAAAAAAACACAUAAAUAAAAAAAUAAGUUUUUUAGAAAAUAAAUAUUGAUAGACCUUAUCCAUGGCUCUGAUCUGCUCGAAAGUUUUCAUCUCUCAGAGUUUUAAGAACUCCUCCUCAAGGGAAGGUUUUGAAGAGUCGGACAAUUGAGUAAGAAUCUGAGAUCCAGGUUCAUUCAUCUCGAACAACCUAUUGCAUCAAUACUUCCGUCAAUUGUAAUGAAGCCAUAAAAUUAAAAAAUUAAUAAGCAAAUGAGCAUAAGUAAUGAGUAUGGCCGUACUUGUCCCUCACAGCAAUAGCUUCAGGAAUCUCAGGAUUAAAGAGGAUCCGUGUUGCACCAUAUGCAUUUUGCAGGCUUUGUUGACCUACACAAUUAUUUUAAUAUGCUUAUCAAAAGAAACAUUGAACACACCAGAUAUAAACAAAAAAAUUCCCCUAACAUACCUCUAAAAGGCUUGAUUUUUGCAAACUGGAUUAAAACAACAACGCCGGUCAGAUCGCGUGAAGAUAAAGCAGCGAGUAGCUCUUGGACGUAGCUUCCAAAAAAUGCACACUCAACUUUCACUCUGUUUUCAACAAACUUAUGAUUUAAAUUAUUACUCACAAUGAUUGGUCAAUUAAUUCAAAAUUUUGAUAGAUUUUUUGUUUUUGUUCAAAAUACUAAUAAUUACCCUUCUUGUUCAAUCUCUAUGGUAAUCCUCUUUCGCACUUGAUGAUUUUUUUCAAAUUCCUGCUCGCCGCUAUGGCCGGUAAGGAUCCCUAUCACAUCUGCGAGACAAACAAAAUAUGAUGCAUCGCAAAUAAUUUUACGGAUGUAUACAAUUUUAGUUUGAAAUCUCACCGACUAACAGUGUCUGAUCUGGAUCAAUGAACAUGAUAUCAGAAACAGAAACAAAUGAAUAAGGACUCUUAGUGAUGGGAACGUCAGUUAGGAUUUGAACAACCGAAUCAAACCCAAAGAUUAUCCUGUGAGCAUGUGUCGUAGUACGAAAAUCCAGAGGGCUAUCACCAACAUUGAAAUGUGACAGCAUGUAUACUCGACCCUCAACUAACAAAGGAUUAAACUCAUAAACAUGAGUCCUUUGCACUGUGCCAUGGAUCCUAUCACCCUGUAGAUUGAGAACAUGUAAGUGAACGGAAUAAACUUAACAUUUUAAACUAACAUCAAGUCAAAUAGACGUUUGUUUUUAAAAUAACUAAGAAGUCGAACCUUUGCAUCCAUUAAAACCAACUCCAUCGAAUUAGGAAGUUUUGAACGAUCGAAACUUGGAGUCAUCCACUUCCGCACCACCUUCACAAUAACUCUCCACACAUCCUUUUCCUUUGAAAUGGAAGGGACAUCAUCAAAAGUUAGACUAAGAGCCAUGACAACUUUUAGAUGGAAAAGUGAUGGAUGAAUUAUGAAGUCACAUGAGGAAUUUAUAGAAGUGUUUCUCAAGGUAGUUUAUCUUUUUGUGGGUUGAAUUUUUAUACAUGGUGGGUGGUUAUCAAAUUUAAAUGAACGUGGUGGGAGUUUGGAAAGAUGGUUUGUUUUUUAAAGCAUCAAUUUUGGAAAAGAAAAUGAAGUUCACGUAGGAUACAAUUAGUAUAUGUGGAACAUGAUGGGAAUUUACACAUAGUGGGUGGUUAUGGUAUGUUUUUUUAAUGCAUCAACUUUGGAAAAAAAAAGGCAAGUUCACGUAAUAAACAAAUAUGGAACAUGAUGGGAGUUUAGUGAUGGUGGGUGGUUAUUAAAGGAAAUAGACAUAGUCAGAGUUUAGAAAGUUAGAGCUCACGUGAAUAAUGGAGAUUGAAAUUAGGUGGUUGAUUUUCCAAGUGAGUGAGGAGUUAUUUACUAAGUGGGUGAGAAGUUAUUUUUGUAGUAGCAUUGUGGACCAAAAAUUUAACUGACGCAUAAUAGAAUGACAUGUGGCAAUGAAGCUCCGAAAUUUACUCUCGUAGCAGAAUCAAUGUGGUGAUGUCACGUGGAAAGAUUCUUCUUAGAGUGAUUUUGCUUUAUAGUAUAUAUAGAUGUGUUUUCUUCGUUUUCUUUCUCCUUCCGCUCCAAUUUGUGUGGAAUUUGACUAAACUAAAUAUAAAUCGAACAUGAGAAAUAAAGUUAGUUUAAAAUAAAAAACAUUCCAAAUAAAGCAAACCUCUCUUUUUCCCCUAAGUUAUCAUCACAAAAGACUUGAUACUAGUGUAGUAUAAUCGAUGCAAUAAAAUAAUAUGUAAUCUAAAAAUACCAAACAUAAAAAGUUCGUUUCAAAAAAAGUACAAUAUUAAUUAACACUCAUUGUCAGUAUACUUUUUAUUCAUAUCACUCUUUUCUCAUUCUCAAUUAAGUCAAAAUUCUCUUAAUCAUUUUUUUCGUCGUCAACGAAUAAUGUUACUUUCACACCUCUUUUUGAGGUGGAAAGAGGUGGAAUGAUGAGAGAAAUAUAAAGAAAAUAAAAAGUAAGAAAAAGAAAGUAUGAGAUGUGUUAGAUAAUAAGAGGAGAGAGAUAAAAACAAAAAUGUGUGGAAAUGAAGUGUUAACAUAUCAUUAUUGCAUCAUCAACCUAUGUAGUUACUACCAAACUUCCAUUAGCAGUAGACACAACAAUGUCGCUCAUUCAUGAGAGUUGAAAUUUAGAGAACAUUUUAUCAAAGCUUUCAUUCUCCUCCGUUUUGUACAGUUAUAACUAUUGUACCAACAGACUACUCUUAGUUUGUUUGAUGUUGCAUUUACCCUCAUAAGAAAUGGCCAAUAUUGUAUCCCACAUCGUCAUUGCUUUCAUCCUUCAUUUGUAGGGAUGUCUAACAUCUCAUGUCUUAUCGACUCAAUGAACAAUAUAAUUGUUUCUUUCCAAUUCCCAUAAUUACCGUCGUUGAAGAAGGGAGGCCUAUGUUUGGUUGACCAUUAGACAUGGGGUUGUUGUUUUUUAAAACCAUAGGAUCUCCUCUACACUUGUUGAGUGUUUAACCCAAAAGUAAGCUCUGAUAUCAAUUGAAAAAAAAACAAAGAAACAUGAUAAUAGAGGAUGAAUUGUCUUUAAACACUUUUGGGAAACAAAAAUAAAUAAACUUAUGUGUGUGAGCAAGGAGAGAAUCCAUAUAUAAGUUUUAUAAGAACUCAAGUAAAGCUAAGAAUGAAUAACAUGUUAUGCUAAUGAACUAUAGGACAUGUAUUUAUAAGAUUUGUAUUUGUGUUCAAUGCCCUGCCGGUGUUGGGAAGCCCUUAUGUGGAGCUUCGGCAUUGCAUUGAUACCCUAACAUCUUUUGUUUAAAAAAAGAAAAUUCAAAGAUUAAAAAUAAGGAAAUUAUUUUUAGGGACUCAACCAAAAUUUGCUAUAUUUUUAAGGAACAACUACAAACUUGAGUUUAUUAAAUUUGUAAAACAGCAUCAAACAAAUAUCACAGCAAGAAACAAAUUAGUAGAUGGAGAGAUGUCGAGAAGCACUGAGAGCCGAAACGGGUGAAAGAAAAAGACAUGUUACUUUGGGGAGCCUGAAAUAUAAUAUGAAUUGAUAGCAAUGAGGACUGAAGUACAGUUUGAUUAUUUUUAGAAAAUGAGGCAAGAAUUUUGGAGGAAUAUUGCCUCAAAGGAAAGAUCCAAUUUUUUUCCAAAAAACAUAGCCUUACAUGCUUUUCAAUACAUUUUAUCUUUUUCUAUUCAAUAUAAUGUCAUGUCCAUCUCUUGACAUUGAUUACAUUUGUGGUCACACCCACUAUCCUACCACACGUUUGUGUGUGGUUACCACAUUUCCCCCAUCAUCUUUCUUUCUCUCCCGGACCACACAGAGUGGCGGAUAUAGCCAAGGGGGUCUUGAAGGUGCCAUGGUCCACCCGAAAAUUUUAUAAAUCUUAUAUACCAUAUAUAGUAUUAUGUAUAUGUAGAAUUAUAUGUAUAUAUGAAAUGAUACUCAAAUUCUGAUUGCCAACACAGUUCUCAACUUCUCAUGCUUGAUGCUUUUAAAAAAAAUUCUCAUGUUUGAUGCCCCUUUGUUCAUGACUUUCAGCAUAUACAACUGCAUGAAUGUUUGUGUCCUUUUGCUCGUUUUGAUGAUUAGUGAGGAGAAUAAUAAUAUAAGAAAUCUCUCCCAUAACCAGGGCGUAUCCAGCGAAGGGUUGGCAAGGGCGACCGUCCCCAAAGAUUUCAAAAAUCGUGCAGACUAUAUGUAAUUUUUGGAAGAAAUUUUUUUCUAUCUUUAAUCCCGCUCUCCCAAAGAUUUGUCCAUCAAUUAUAAUCAAACGAUUUUUUCGAUUUGGAAAAAAAGAAUUUUCGGUUUCAACUAAGACAUUAUCAUUUAGAUGUUUUCGAAGAUCCUAAUUUAGGAAAACUGUCCAGUUUAUCAGAGUUUUACCAGAGAUUAGUUGAUAAGCAGCAAAGUUUCCACUUGUUGACAGAUUGAUACGUCUUGUUUUAACACUUCAUGUUUCAACAGCAUAUACAGAGCAAGCUUUUUCUGCAAUAAUGAAAGUUGUUAAGACUCAAAUUCGCAAUAAGUUUGAAGAUAACCUUUUCAGAAAUUUAUUAGUAGUAUACACGGAGAGGGAAAUUGCUGAAGAGAUCAAUGUUAAUACAAUAAUAGAUAAAUUUAGUAACAUAAAAAAACGAAGAGUUCAAUUUAAAUAAUUUUUUUUAUGAUUUGAAAUAUAUACAUUAUUUAUUGGUAAAAAAAAAUUCUAGUAUUUUAUUUCGCUCCCCCAAUAGGAAAAUUCUGGAUACACUCCUGCCCAUAACAGAAUUAAAUUACACUUUAAUUUCUUAUCCUCUUAUUUAAAAACAUACACUCUUCUCCUCCGUAAAGUUUAAAUCACACUCAUCUCCUCUCUUAUUUCAGAAAUUACACUUUCUCCCUUAAGAGGUAGGUUUCCCUAAUAUGCACCACUUUUAUAGUAUUUCAAUUAAAUCCAUUUUAAUAUAAAUAAACAGAUUUUUUAUGCGUGUAUAUUUUAUCUAUUUUUUUCUUCUUCUUUGGCCACCAGUCUCCACGGGGAAAGGGGUCCCACGUGACUAAUCUGGCUCGGGAUACGGUAGUGAUGUCCCUGACCACAAAGGUUUUUAUUUUUUACCUCAGAGGGGAUCGAACCCAGGCCGGAAGCCUAAGUGAAAUCUCUUAAGAAAAUGCACAUUCACCACUUGUGCUACCCUUUGUGGUUAUAUUUUAUCUAUUUAAUUAUGAUUUUAUCAUCAUAAAUUAAUAUAUAAUCUGAGUUUCUUACCGACAACGUUCAUCGUUCAUGAUUUACUCCUAAAAGGGGAACCAGACCUGGUGGGCCACUUCACCAUAUAUGUUAGGCCACAAGCCAUGGCCAAUGAUCUCUUGAAAAGUAAUUCUAUUUUGGGCAUUCCAAGUAAUCUACGAGUUCAUUCUUGUUGCUGUUAAAACAUAUAGAAGAAAAUGGUGUAUAUUGAACGAAAAUCUCUAUUACACCAAAGUUUUUGAGAGAGCUAAACAUACCCUCCCUAAUUUCCUUUCCAAUCUCAACUUAAUACUCACUUUCUAUUAUGUACAAUGUACUAUCACUUCCCUCCAACGAACUCACUAACAACCUACUCUGACAACAAACUAAUGGGAUUAUCUAACAAGAUACCAUAAUGUCCUAUAUCAACCUAAAAUAUAAUUUUAAAAAGAAAAAAGGAACUUCUCCUUAACUCUCAAACGGAAAAUUUUAUACAAAGAGGGAUAAGAAAAUCAUUUCUACCUUGAUAGAUGGAACCAUAGCAAUAGCUUCCUACACAGUCUCCGGGCAAAGAUUGCCUAGGACACACAGAGUUAUAUGUUAUACUCCAUCCAUUCCUAUAUGUAAGAACCAAACCACCAAUGCACACCCCUUAAGAAAGUGGUUGGUAAUAUUAAAUUUGUUCAAAUUUAUAUUGACUUUCUAAAACUAUCCCAAUUUAUUUUUCUUAAUUUCUACUCAUCAUUAAUGAGUUGCAUAGUGGAAAGAAAGAGAAACUCAAUUAAAUGAGGAUAUUGUUGCCAAAAUAUAAUUAAUGCACCUUGAAAUUGAAAUUGGUUCUUAUAAAAAGGACCAAGCUACACCCUUCAUUUGGUUCUUAUAAUAACGAACGGUAAAAUGAGACUCCCUCUCUUUCUUUUAUGAAUAAAAUGUGAAAACUUGUUUUCUAAACAGAGUCCAUAAUUUAUUGCUCACACAUAUAUGUAACUAAAAUAAAAUUCAAUAGAGGAAAAGCUCGUAAUUUAUUGCUCACCAUAAUUUAUUUCCUUCUCAACCAGCAGGUUUUAGCUGCAGCUUUCAAAUGUUGUUUUGUUGUUUUAUUUCCUGUUGGUUAUUUUGAGAUUUAUUGGUCUCUUAAUGGUUCUUAUAUUUUCCAUGUUUUAAUUUUACUUUAUUGGGCUCUAUUUUGGUUUUAUUUAUUCCUUUUUUUAAUUUCUCACCUGUGACCUUUAAUAUUAAUUUUGAAUAUCAUAAAUUUUGAGUAAUUUUUAUUAAUUUUAAUCCUUCAUGUAUUAUAUGUAUAGUAUAAAUUGCAUAAAAUAUAUAAAAAAAUUCAGCGUAACGGCCAUCCUGAUAUGCGAUAUACUGCUAUAGCUAGUGUUUUGUGGCCGACUAUAUCUCUAUUUAGCAAGGUUAUUAAAACCGGACCGGUCAUCAAACCGGUGAGGGUACUGGUUCACGGUUCAUUGGUUCAACCGUAAUUGAAUCGAGGUUCAACCGGUAUUACCGCAAUAAAUUAAAUAAUUUUAUUUUUAAAAUAAAAAUGUAAUAUAAUAUAACAUUGAAUAAAAAAAAGAUAAUAUUUGUGACAAAAAUAGGAUCUAAGUAAGUGACUUUUAUUUAUUUAUACAUAAAAGUAAGCAAACUGGGUAAUGUAUAGUAACUGUAUACCGUGGGCAAUAAAUUUAUAAAAAAAAAUACCGUGGGCAAUAAAACAGAAGUAAGUGACCUUUUUUUUUUUUGGCCUUUUUCUUUUUUUUGUUCUAUAGAGAAGUAAGUGACUAUGAAGAGAAGUGACGUGGACAUAAAAUGGUUGGGCCUAAAUUAAAUAUUAGCCUUUUAGGGUUUAAAGUGCUUUCUCCCUCAUCAGAUAUCAUCUGUGCCUUCUCAGUCAAAAGAAACAACGCAGCUUCUCCUUUCAUCAAGCAGUAACUCGUUCUUCUGUUCAAUCAACGACCAAGCUCGUUCUUCUCAUAUCCGAUCUCUCUUAAUCUUUAUCGGAGUCUUCUCCUCCUUUCUCACUCUCGUUCUUAGCAUGUUCUGCUUUUGUUUUGGUUGAAAUUCUGACUGAAUGAUGAACCGGCCCAACCCGGCGAACCGCCGGUUUUCCCCGGUUUGGACGGUUGUUGACCGGUUUUACGGUUUUUGACCGGUUUCAUACUCCUCCGGUUUUUUGAGCAUUUCAGACCGGCCACCAGUCCGGUUCCUGGUCCAUACGGUUCAACCGGCCGGUCCGGUCCGGUUUUUAUAACCAUGCUAUUUAGGAUUGACAGCACUGAUUUAAUGCUUAAAGUGAAACACCAAAGGUUACAGUUAGAAACUAUAUGUAAGUUUAAUUUAUAGAGAUUUCAUAUGAAAAUAAUUAAUUAUUAGUAGUUUACUUCCGGCAAUAUCUAAGAUUGUAAGUCUCGGACUCUUAACUGCUUCCUCAAUCCUUACUUUACCCAACUCUUAAAUUUAAAUUUUUAAUUUAUCAUAUUCAAUUCUUUUCUAGGUUAGACUUUACUUAACAAUUGAACCUUCACUUCAAUGUAUAUGUUAUAACUAGAUAUGCAACUGAGAGCAAAUAGAAGAGAAAUAGACAGGCUUUAACAAGGUUUUAACUAAAAGUGAGUUGUAGGCCUACAUCCAUAGGCAAGGUGGAGAGCUUCGAAUUUCAAGGAAUUGUGCAAGACAGCAAACUGCCUUGCUAUUACUGCCACCUGCAGGAAGACAUACCAAAGAUAUUGCUUUAUUAAAGACAUGCUAUAGUUUUAAAAGUUUAUUUAGCAUGAACAAAGACUACCCUAUCGAAAUGGGAAAACAUUUAACUCUGAAAUAUAAGAAUUUAAAAAAGUACACUCACAAUAACUGAGAGCUUAUGAAGAUUACAAGUGGAAACUCUACGCUAAACCUUAAUACCAAUACACCCAAAUAGUAGGUAAGUAGGUUUGAGCCUCCACUCAUCUCCUAGAUAGGGGUGAGGUAAAUCAAGUCCUGUGUAUGUACUAUUUGAACUUGAUCUGGGAGAGACCAAGCUACACGUUGACAAGGGGUAGGAGAGGGGAUCUGGACGUGCUGAAGGACUCCAAAGUUGGUGAGGUCCCGGGAGGGGCUCCUGCAAGACACUCCGAUGCAUAAGUCAGUAAGUGAAGUGGUGAGUAUAGUGAGAAUGGUGAGAAUACGUUACCUUUGAGUAGAAGAGGUGUUCCCUUUAUAUAGGAGAGGUAGAAUUAGGGUUGGAGCCAUGCAACGUCAUGCAUGGCUCGUACGAGGGACACAGUUCGCCGUUGGAUUACCUGCGGGUCUUGCAGAGGAACAGUGAUCCAACGACUUGAGGGCCCCUACGGAUCUGUGUCAGCCAACCUACCCCCUAGGGUGGUUGGCCUAGGUCAACCUCUAUUUAGUGGGUCCUGGAUUAUUCGUCCUUACCCUUGGUGGUAGGGCCCUCUAGCGGGGUGUUCCUAGACUUCCUACGCCGUCCCUCGAUAGGGACGUUCUGUGGGGUCCAGUCCCGUCCCGGGUGCCCUGCCCGUCCUUGGCCAGGGUUCCCGGAACAGUAGCCCCCUAGCCCUGGUCCGCUGCCUCAGCGGGGCAAGGGCUAACGUGUCUCGUGUUCGUGGGAUCACGGGGGUUCCCAGGGUAGGGACGUAAGGAUCAAACCUUUAAACCUUUAUUCAUUAAGGGUGGGGGGCCGUUCGACCAUUACAUUUAGUACCCUUAGAAGGGGGGUGUUACUCGCAUGGCGUUGUAGCGGAGGCGAGCAGUUCCUAGGUCUCUGUCGAGAUUCUUCCUCGCGGCUAGAAGGGGGGCCAGCUCGGCUUUGAUCUCGUCCGACGUUCCCUUCCCUUCCCCCUCGCGUUCCGUGGCGGAGACUUCUAGACCCCAAAUUAGCAUGCUAAUCUUCGAGCAGCGUCUGUGUAAUUCCCACAUUUCCUCCGCUAGCUCCAAGAAGGUUAGCAACCCCGCCUUCAGUUGGGGGUCAGGAUCCCCUGCCAGAAGCCUGCUGACUAGGGAUCUGAUCCUACCGGAGGUGGUGGCCUGCGUCUGGUAAGAGUAGUACAGGUUGCAGUCUAGAGCCUCGGCCCUGAGUGCCCUCAGGCAAGCCUCCGUGGAGGUCAUUUUGGUUUGAGGGGAAUGUGGAGCAUGUGAAGGGGGAGCGGUUAUUAUUUAUAAUCGAAACGUUCCUGGAUGAUAAUGCCCAUUAGUCUUUUCCCAGGCGUUUUUCUGGGGAAAUGAAGAGGGCAUUAAAUGUAGUGGCCGGUGAUCAACGCGUGCCUCCCCUUGGUUGUAUAUACAGACUCUGCCGACCGGGUAUGAUCCCGACCGCGGUGGUCUGGUGUUAGGGCGACCAGGUCUCUUACCGAGCGGGUCGUUCCGCGGUUUGAAUCUGAGUAGCUGAAAAGGCGCGGGAAAAGGGAACGGUGUGAGGUUUUGGGCCCACUGCAUUUAAUGUACCUGACUCUUGAGAUGGUACGUGUCGUUUCCGGGUGGGUCGCGUCGCUUCGUGACCUCUCUCUCACGUGCUUCUGGAGGCGUGCGUCGCUUCGCCGUCGCUGCCUCUUUUCUGACGUGGCAGGGCCUGAUUGGACGAUUCCCCUUGGUUUCCCCAAACGUCAUGAUUAGGGAAACUAGGGUUGUCGAAACGUCACGUCUCCCUCCUAGUUUUCUAUAAAAGAGGGAGGGGGGGGAUUUAUUUGCACUUUUGCAUCCCUGAAUCUCCCCAAAGCUCCCCCCUUUUCUUUCCGCCAGGUGCCGGUGUUUCACGGUGGUGCUUCCUUUCGUGCGGUGGUCGUUCGACAGCUUUUCCAGUUUUUUCUCGUAAGUCCUUGCUUCACUUGCUUUUCCUUCUUAAGUUUUUCUUUUAUUUUUCCUUUUCCAGUAGAAAGGGUGGCUUGCUCCUAGGGGAGUUGGGAGUUUCCACUCCCCUUGUGGCCCCCUCUUGCGGCGGGGGAGAUUCUCUCAGAGGGUCUUCGCCGCCGCACGGUUGCGCUGUCCUGCCUAGGGCAAAGAUGGACCCCGGGCGGGUCCUUCUUUGAGCCGAUUCAAACAAACUAGGUGUUGAUACAGCGUUCUCCCUUGUGCAGGUGUCGUCAUGGUGAGGCCUACCAAGGAGAAGAAGGGCAAGGCUGCGGGUGAGGCCCCGAGGGAGGCUUUUGCCUCAAGGCCCCGGGCAGAGGUGCCCAAAAGCAAGAAGAUCGAUCGGGAGAAAUUUCCUCAUCUGGAGGGAGAUGCGACCCCGUAUGAUAAGUGGUGCCGCACCAUUCUUGGUCUCCCGUCGGAGUACGCCAACGAGAAUGAAGAUUACUUCUGGAGUCAGCGCUUUAUGUCGCAGACUCAAGUCGGCCCUGGUCACAUGGCGUACUCACCGAGCAAGUUGGAGCGGUUGCCCCAUACUCCGCCGUUCGGGGUGUACAUGCACAUCUACACCAUGAAGAAAGUGAGGGUGAGGAUGCCCCUCACGGAUUUUCAAUGUGAUGUUCUUCGUCAUAUGGCAGUCGCGCCAUCGCAGCUUCAUCCCGGGGCUUGGGGCUUCGUGCGCGCUUACGAGGUCGCUUGCGUCUUGUUCGGCCAGACACCGUCGAUCCCGCUGUUCUUUCAUUUAUUCGAAGUGGCCCAUACUCAAGGACAUGGUGGGUACGGGAUUGUGACCCUGAGGUCGGGUAAGGAUCUCCAGAUCUUCCAUCCGUUCGCCGAGUCUUACCGAGAUUUUAAAGACCAAUUCUUCCGGGUGGCGCCUUCCACUCCGCCUCCUUACUGGUGGUUGGAUCGGGCCCCGAGUGGCGCCAGCCGUGCCCGGUUUCCGCUGGCUUGGAAUGCCAAGCAUUAUGACGUAAAGCUCAGUGCUUUCGGUUUCGAGGCCGGGGCUUUGUCGGAGGUCGACUUGGCGUUCAAGAAUCUCCUGGUGGCCACUAUACGGAAAGAAGUGAGGGGAAAUCCACCCAAGGAGUUCUGUAUACGGCCAUUGCGUUGUUACGAUCUUUGUACUUAUAGCGUUCGGAAGAACGCGUGCUUAUUGCGUGCGACAGGUAAGGUGUCUUUAUCAUUAUGCCUAAGGUGAUACGUGCCCCUUUGCGUGACUAACUUUCUUCUUGUCACUCCUGUGCAGGUGCUAAGAUGGAGAUCAACGCUGCUUUGGUCGCUGCACUACAAGUUCCAGUCGACGAGGUCGAGACCGACAGUGAGGGGGAACAGGAGGUUCCUCGAGACGAGGGAGAUGGACUUGGCGACCAGGGUCAACCGGCGACCGGGACCAACCCCGUUGGGGCCGGCCAGAGUGACCCGGUCAAUGGAGAAGAAACAACUGACCCCGGGUCGGGGCCCCAGGGUAGCCGGGUGAAUCCUGAACGUCAGCAGGAGGGUUCCCUUGAGGGGGAUAAGGGUUGCUCAGAGCGCCCAAUUAAGAGAAAACGUCGCUCCUCGGGUGGGGAGGGUCGCUCUCCUGAACGAGUGACCCCGAUUGCCCAAGUGCAUCCCCCGAAGCCGAUUUCCAUGUGGAGUCGCGAGGCGGUGGACACGAAGGAGCAUAACGACCAGAUCGAUGCUUUGGUGUACAAUGAGCUCGACCAGUCGUUCCUGGGUCCUAAGGAACCCUACAAUCUCUUGAACUAUGCUCUGAAAGUAGUGCUUCAGACUGCCUCAGUCAUUCAUCAUGUGCAGCAGGGGGCGGUGCUCGACGUGGAAGAAGUUAAGGAGCAGGUGAGCGAAGCCGAGAGUAAGUUUGCUAAGGCAGAGAAGGAGUUGGCUGAUUCCCAGAAACUGGUCCGAGAGUUGACUGCGACCAAGGUGAAACUGCAGGGGGAGGUGCAUGAAGUGACGGCCAAGGCCAGGCAGUUUGCGGAAAAACUGGAGCUGAGCGAGAAGGAUAACGACUGGCUGCGCACCCGGGCAGAGAAAGCCGAGAAGGAACUGGAAGACGGGAAGGCUGCUCGUGAGGGGGAACUCAAAGAGGUGGCAGACUUGAAAGCGAUGAACGCUGAGCUCAAGAAGAAGGUUGCCGAUCUAGGGGCUGAGAGAAAAAAGAUGAGGACAAAUCUCAAGGAGAUACACAAGGCCUCCUUCGACAAUGCCUUGGCCCAGCUCGAGGUGGUCCACCCGGGUCUCGACGUGGGCCCUCUUCAUUAUAGGAAGGUCGUGCUGGGGGGGAAGAUUGGCACGCUGGACGAUCAGAAGAAGUUCACUCCAACCUUCCCGGAAGAGCAAGCCCCUUGAGAUUCUAUUUUUAAUUGAAGUUUGGACUUAUUUAGUUUCCUUCCAGUGUUUGUAUAAAUUUGUUGCUUCUAUCUGCCGUUUGUGUUUGUAAAGACUUAUCGUCUCUAUUUUUCGUCUUGUGUUUGUAAGAACUUAUUGUUCCUAUUCUAUUUUAGUGUCGCGUUCUUAUUUCUUUGUCCGGCUCACCCGAGCGAAGGUGCCUUAAGUAUUCCGUGCCCGGUGGGUCUUUAAUAACUUGGUGCCCGGCGGGACUUGGUGCCCAAUGGGUCUUUUAUUAUUUCGUGCCCGGCGGGUCUUGGUGCCCUAUGGGUCUUUUAUUAUUUCGUGCCCGGCGGGUCUUGGUGCCCUAUGAGUCUUUUAUUAUUUCGUGCCCGGCGGGUCUUGGUGCCCUAUGGGUCUUGGAUCGUUAGCUGCUCGUCGAUACGAUCGCUUGUCUUGUCGGUUUAAAUAACUCGAAUUCAACAUAAAAAACUACUUCAUUUCUGCGCUUAGAGUUCGCGGGUUCAGCCGAGUACAAACAUGGAUGAGAUGGGUGUGUACCCUUGAUUACAAAAGGCUAAGUUAAAGGAAAACGUAGAGAUAGAUAGUGGAUGCCGGGUCGGUAGCGCCCAAGCUAUAGUAUCUUCUCAGAUUGGUUGCGUUCCAGGUGCGAGGGAUCUCCUUUCCUGCUAGAGUUUCCAGCUUGUACGCUCCCGUGCCGGUUGCUUCGACCACCCUAUAAGGGCCUUCCCAGUUGGCUGCUAGCUUCCCGCGUUCGCUCGAACGUGCUCCGAUGCUGGCAUUUCGGAGAACCAAGUCCCCCGUGGCAAAGGAGCGGAGAACUACUUUCUUGUUGUAGCGAAUGGUCGCAUGUUGCUUUGCGAUUAGCUCUCUGCAGUUGGCAACCGCUCUUCUUUCAGCCAGGAGGUCAAGGUCUUCCCCUAUGAGUUGAUCGUUCUAAUUGGGGUCGAACCCAGCCGUUCGAGCGCUCGGUUCUCCUAUUUCAGCCGGAAUCACUUCUUCUGUGCCAAAGGUGAGGCGGUACGGGCUCUCCCCCGUGGUCGAGUGCGGAGUAGUGCGGUAUGCCCACAGGACGUGAUCGAGCUGUUCGGCCCAGUCGCCCUUGGCACUCCCCAACCUCUUCCGGAGGCCUCGGAGAAUGACCCUAUUAGCCGACUCUGCCUGCCCGUUUGUCUGGGGGUGCUCGACGGAGGUAAACCGCUGCUUGAUGUGCAGCCCGUCCAAGAGGUCCCUAAACCCUUUAGAGGUAAACUGGGCCCCGUUGUCUGUGAUCAGGACCCCGGGGACUCCGAACCUACUGAUAACGUUCUUGUAGAAGAAGCGUUGUACUCGAGCUGAGGUAAUUGUUGCUAGCGGCUCGACCUCAAUCCAUUUGGUGUAGUAAUCCACUGCUACCACUAAGUACUUGAGCUGACCGGGUGCAGUGUCGAACGGGCCCAACAAAUCCAUGCCCCACUGGUGGAAAGGCCAAGGACUGACUAGAGAUGAAAGACGGGCGGGGGGAGCGUUGUGCAGGUCAGCGUGCCUCUGGCACGGGUCACACUGCUUAACAUGAUCCGCAUCAUCUUUCUCUAGGGUCGGCCAGUAAUAGCCGGCUCGGAGUACUUUUUCGGGCAAGGGAGCGUCCACCCGGAUGGUGGCCGCAGCUGCCUUCGUGGAUUUCCGCUAAGACAUAGGCCGCUCUGUCCUUGGGCAAGCAUUUGAGAAGGGGGGUGGAGAAUCCCUGCUUGAAGAGAUCGUCGUUAACUAUGGUGUACCAGGAGGCGCACCUUACCAACUUCUUGGCUUCAGCCCUGUCUUCGGGCAACCAUCCAGACCUGAGGUACUUGAUGAUCGGGGACCUCCAGUCUUCCUCGGUACCGACCGGCAUCAGAACUUGUCCUGAUGGACGAUCGGGGUCAGCUACAUAAGGGAGGGCUAGGGUCCCCUGAAUGACCGUUCCAUUCAGGCCCGGCUUUCCGGUGCUGGCCAGUUUGGCCAGAGUGUCAGCACGAUCAUUCUGGGCUCUGGGAACGUGGCAGAACUCUACUUUGAUGAAGGUUGAAGCCAAUCACUUCAAAUGGGCCAAGUACUGCUCCAGGAUGGGAUCCUUAGCUUGAGCUUCUCCAUUUGCCUGUGAGACGACCAGAAGUGAGUCGCAGCAGACGAGUAUCUCCUUUGCUCCCAGGUCUCGAGCUGUGACCAGGCCUGCGAUGCAGGCCUCAUACUCGGCCUGGUUGUUUGUGGUUGGGAAGUUAAAGCGGAGGGAUCGCUCGACCACCAUCCCGGUGCUACUUUGCAAGACGAUUCCAGCCCCACCCCCUUCCUUGUUACUCGAGCCAUCUACGUUGACCACCCAUGUAGUCUCGGCAGGGGGCUCUUCCUCAUUGGUGAGUUCAACCAAGAAGUCGGCUAGGACCUGUGCUUUAAUGGCUCUCUUGGGCUCGUAGCGGAUGUCAUGCUCGGAGAGUUCGAUGGACCAGCUAACCAUCCGGCCGACCAGCUCGGGUUUAUGAAGGACCUGUCGGACCGGCUGAUCGGUACGCACGACGAUGCGAUGAGCCUGAAAGUACCUCCUCAGCCGUCGCGCUGUGGUCAGUAGGGUCAGCGCUACUUUCUCCAGCAUCUUAUACCUGAGCUCCGCCCCCUUCAAUGAACGGCUGACAAAAUAGACUGGUAGUUGGACUCCCUCCUCGUCUCUGAUCAGAACAGAACUUACUGCCUUUUUCCGUACGGCUAAGUAUAGGUACAGCGUCUCCCCUGGUCUAGGGCUGGUCAGAAUAGGGGGGAUGAAAGGAUCUCCUUCAGCUGAGUGAAUGCCGCGUCAGCCUCCGCCGACCACUCAAAAGUUGCUCCGUUUUUUAGGAGUGUGUAAAGAGGUAGAGCCUGGAGAGCGGCCUUUGGCAAGAAGCGGCCGAUCGCAGCCAUGCGACCAGCUAGUUGUUGGACUUCUUUGACUGUGCGCGGGCUCUUCAUAUUCAUGAUCGCUUGACAUUUGUCAGGGUUCAACUCGAUGCCGCGGUUGGUCAGCAUAUAUCCCAGAAAAUUCCCGCUACGAACGCCAAAAGUACACUUGUCGGGGUUGAGGCACAUGUUGUACUUCUUUAACUGCUCGAAGACGACUGCGAGGUCAGCUGCGUGAUCUCCUCCCUUCGGGGUCUUGACUAUGAUAUCAUCUAUGUAGAAUUCUACCGAUUUUCCCAUCAAGUCCCCGAAGACCCGAGUCAUCAUCCUUUGGUAAGUUACUACUGCGUUCUUGAGGCCGAAAGGCAGCAUGGUGUAGCAGUAAGUUCCCCGGUCAGUGAUGAAAGCAGUUUUCUCCUCGUCGUCUCUAUGCAUGGGGAUUUGGUUGUAGCCUGAAUAGGCAUCCAUAAGGGAGAGGUAUUCGUACCCAGAGGAGUUGUCUACAAGUGCAUCAAUGCUCGGUAGGGGAAAGGGGUCCUUAGGGCAUGCCUUGUUGAGGUCAGUGUAGUCGACGCACAUGCGCCACUUCCCGUUUGCUUUCUUGACCAAAACCACAUUGGAGAGCCAAGUAGUGUACUUGACCUCCCGAAUGAUCCCGGCUUGAAGCAACUCUGUGGUCUGUUGCUGGAUAACCUGUUGUUUCUCGGCGCUCAUUUGCCUUUCCUUCUGAGCGACUGGUUUGAACUUCCGGUCGACGGAAAGCCUGUGGCUGCAGAAUGCGGGGUCGAUGCCGGGCAUAUCUGCUGACGACCAGGCAAACCGCUUCCCAUUGGAAAGUAGUAAUUUUUCCAUCCGUUUGGAGAGAUCCCGGGGGAGGCCCCGAGCUAUGUUGGUGGUGUUCUCCGGAAGGGGACCGACCUGGAUAGGGCGGGACUCCCCGUCGGGUUUGAGGCGCUGAUCGUCUCUGGACUGGUCCACUCGGGGGUCGAGAUCGGUCACGAAACUGGUGUGCUGAACGUGAAAGUUGUCACACUGGUCGUGGGCUUUGGACUUCUUUCUCUUCCUUUCCUCCCUGGCCAGCCUGCAGCUGGAGUUGUAGCAGCUCCUUGCCAUUUCGAGAUUGCCGCGUACUGGUACCGCCCUUCCUGCUCAGGGGUACUUAAGCAUCAGGUGGUGGGUGGAUAUGAUCGCCUUGAAAGUGUUGAGGCUUGUUCUGCCAAGGAUGGCGUUGUACGCCAUUGGACAUUCCACCACCAGAAAGCGAGCUUUUAUAGUCCUGCAAAUCCUAUGAUCUCCCAAGGAAAGGCAAGUAUCAAAAUAUCCUAAGGGUAGGACUCUGUCCCCUGUGAACCCAAUCAAAUCAUGGUCGUAGGGGAGCAGGUCCUUCACCGAUAGCCCUAAGCUUUUAUAAGCGUCAUAAAACAUAAUGUUAGCGGAACUACCUGUAUCGAUGAGCGUCAUCUUACCAUUGCCGAUCAGAGCUUCAAUGACGAUGGGAUCAUCCUCCUCGCCGGUAUCUUCGCUGUAAUCGUCUUCCGUGAAGGUGAUGGCUACCUUCUGUCUUGGGGGGUGGAGGGACCCUGGACGGGGCCUUCCGGCCGCGGACAUGAUGACGCGGGUACUCCUUUUCCGGCUGUUGUUAGUGGGUCCUCCUACGGCCCAGCCUCCGGCUAUCGAACCAACGCUGACCAGGUUGUUCCCAUGAUGUCUUCUAACUUCAUCCUGACCGUGUCAGUCGGGGCUUCUUCUACGUUCUCGGCUUCGUCCGCGGCGCUCUGGGCUUUGGCGGCGCGGGGGUGUCCUGUCUUGUCGAUCGGCCGAUCGGCGCCUGGGAGGAGUUCGGUGCCUUGGAGGGGUUCGGGCACGGUGUCUUGGUGGGGUCGGUGACCGUCUGGGGGGCGGUGAGCGCGGCCGUGGGAGGUCACCUGAUGACAUGGCCACAUAUCUAGACAACCUGCCUGCUCUGAUAAGUUCCUCCACUUUGUCCUUGAGAUUCAGGCACUCGUCCGUGUUGUAGCCCGGGCUGUCGUGGAAUUCACAAAAUUUCUUAGAAUCCAGCUUGUCCCCCCUCGUCAGAAGUGGAGGGAGUCGGUCCCUGAGGUCGUUGGAAGCCUUCUCCCUCAGGAUACGUGAUAGGGAGGAGUUCAGUGGAGUGUAAUUAUCAUACUUCUUCCUCUUCGGCUUCCGUUCGUCCUGACCCUUCCGUCGGGAGUCCCGGGCCGAAGGCUGGUCUUUAUGCUCUUUCACCUUUGGCGGUCCUUUGAUCGCGAGUGUCUGACUCGCGGCUCGUAGGGUCGCAUCAUCCUCCAUGUUUAUGAACUUCUCUGCUCGGGCCAGAAAUUCCUCCAGAGUGUUGGCCGGUUUGCCGUCCAAUGAGGUCAGGAAAGGUCCCGGAGCAAGAGCUGCGGUAGCGAGGACCAACCUAGUGUCGGGGAGGAGACCAGUGAUAUCCCCAGCCUCCUUGUUGAACCGAUUGAGAAACGCCUUCAGAGACCCCUUCUCUUUCUGCUUAACCAAAGCCAAGGUUUGCGCGGUCUUAGGUAUACUGCGGACCGAAGAGUACUGGGAUAAAAACAGGACACGACCCCGUUCCAGUCGUGUAGGGAGUUGCUCGGCAGGUUCUGAAACCAGUUCAUGGGUCCUUUUCCGAGACUCAUGGGGAAGCAACGGCAGUACAGGGGGUCGCUAGCCCCUGCGUACUGCAUCGCACCCACGAAGAAAUUCACGUGUUCCUGCGGGUCGGUAUCUCCUUCGUAGAGUUUCACUUUGGGUCGUGCCCAACCCUGGGGGAAGGGGAAAACAAUAAUUUCUGGGGACAGUGGGCCUCCAAUCGGAGUUGGAUAUGAGACAAGUGCGUUGUUGGACCUGGGGCGGUUGUGAGUCCUGUCCCGAGUCGGGGAAGGGCUCCUGCGCCUGGAAGGGCUCCGUCGGGGAGAGUAGCGUCUCCGUGGGGUAUGGCUGGCCACCCUCUCAACCGCAUGUGCCCGGCGGCGUUCCUCCUGGUAGUAGGGGUCGGAUCGGGCCCCCGCUCGUCUCCUCUUCCUGGGAAAACGUGGGUUGGGAGCGCGAGUGCAUUUCCUGCUCCUCAAGUUGUCGCAGGCGUGCUCGGAGCAUGUGAAUCUCCUCUUGAGCGUCUCAGAUCCUCAUGCUGCGGGCCUGUUCUCGUCCUGCCCCGUUGUCCUCUUCCAUAGCCCGGAUGCGUGCCUCCAAGCGGCAGAGUGCCUCAUGGGCCGCAUGUGGGGUAAUGGCCGCGGGCUCCGGUGAGCGAGGGGGUUGCGGUUGAGGAGUCGGAGGAGGUGGGUGUUGGGGAGGAGGAGGAGUUCUGCGAUCCGUUGGUUCGUUGAUAGUCUCCACAUGGCCUUCAGGGGUUGGUACAGGACGGCGUGAAGUCUGACGUGUCUCCACCAUAGUUUGCUAGCUGGUGACUUAAGGCGACGGCACGCGGUGUUGGGAAGAAUUUUACCAGAUCCCCACAGACGGCGCCAAUUGAUCUGGGAGAGACCAAGCUACCCGUUGACAAGGGGUAGGAGAGGGGAUCUGGACAUGCUGAAGGACUCCAAAGUUGGUGAGGUCCCGGGAGGGGCUCCUGCAAGACACUCCGAUGCUGAAGUCAGUAAGUGAAGUGGUGAGUAUAGUGAGAAUGGUGAGAAUAUGUUACCUUUGAGUAGAAGAGGUGUUCCCUUUAUAUAGGAGAGGUAGAAUUAGGGUUGGAGCCAUGCAACGUCAUGCAUGGCUCGUACGAGGGACACAGUUCGCCGUUGGAUUACCUGCGGGUCUUGCAGAGGAACAGAGAUCCAACGGCUUGAGGGCCCCUACGGAUCUGUGUCAGCCAACCUACCCCCUAGGGUGGUUGGCCUAGGUCACCUCUAUUUAGUGGGCCCUGGAUUAUUCGUCCUUACCCUUGGUGGUAGGGCCCUCUAGCGGGGUGUUCCUAGACUUCCUACGCCGUCCCUCGAUAGGGACGUUCUGUGGGGUCCAGUCCCGUCCCGGGUGCCCUGCCCGUCCUUGGCCAGGGUUCCCGGAACAGAACUCAAAGUCUUCCCCAACCUUAGACCAGGGCACCAUUUUGUCACCCAAAAUUUCUUAUUUUAAAAGAAAAACAAUGUACCCAAAAAUUUAAUGUGAAAUAUAGUUAAGUGUUGACCUUUUGUCCUGGUCCUUCCAUUUCCAACACAAUCAUGAAAAUUCUUUUUCAAGCAAUGGGAUUAAUGUGAGGUUAGGGAACAUAUCCAGUGAAUCCCAAAAUCAAAAUAGUUAAGUUAUGUGCGAGGAGUCUGUUGGUGUAACAUGCAUUAGUGGUGCAACCCAUCCAUCCUUCUGUUUUGAUGUAAGUAACACGCACCAGCUAAUGAUGCAGCUUGUACUAAACACAUUAACAAUGCUUUUAAUAACAGCACAAAAUUUAAGCAUUUAGCAAGACACCAUAGUAAAAAAAAUUCAUAUAUAUAUAUAUAUAUAUAUAUAUAUAUAUAUAUAUAUAUAUAUAUAUAUAUAUAUAUAUAUAUAUUAAUAAGCCUAUGUAUCCUUAUCAAACACUCCCAAAUUCAUAGAAAAAAUAUAUAUAAAAAAUUGAAACGAAGCCUUGCCAGAAAAACCAGUUACCACUCGAUCUACAAUGUAACAACAUUGGGAUAAUUCAUUGAUACGGGCCAAAACCCAAAAGAGAAACGACAAAUACGCACAUGCUGUAGUUGUGGAGGUACAGAGUGUCAUAAUUAAAGGGGAAGAGCUCAGAUUCCUCUCCUGCUUUUUUCUCUUUCCUUAUGUAUACAAGCAAAUCAGUGAAACUGUAGUAGUGACUAGUGACUACGGACUACGGUUCAUCAAAUGUUAAACACAGCUUUGGAAAGAACUGAACUUCGUUACCGAUCAACUUGGGCCAUGAUUUGGAAUUGAUGUAAAUUAACUAGGAUAUAUAGGAUGAAACCCGUUUGUUUAAUUCUUUAAAUAAUGUCAAAGAAUUGAAGUGCACUUUCAAAACAAUUGAAAUGUCGGUGUUUUCUAAGGUGUUUUAGGUAUUGAAUCGGGGCAUGAUACAUUUACAACUACAUAAAUAAAAUAUUUCAUAAGAUAUUAUAUGUGUACGUAACUCGUGAAACUUGUAAUUUUAUAUUUAUAGUUUUUUACAAUUUUAAUUAAUUUUUUACAAUAAAGCUGCUCUAAUGUAUUUCUCCCUCACCUUCUUAAACCCCUUCACCAGUAAAUUGCUGCCUCCGACCAACCACAACAUUGCAAAACCAUCGUUGACUCCUGUCCACUUCAACUCAAACCUCACACCUCAAAAUCUAUAGCAACAACAACAAGCAAUUUGAUUUAACAUCCUUAAUCCCUGAUCGGGGGAGCCAAUCAAACCUACCCAGGGGAGGGGUAGCAAGGAGGGACGGGGAGGGGUAGAGGUUUGGAGUGAGGAGGUGGAAACGGGGACGUUCUUUCCUUCGAUCGGGUGUCGACGAGUCCAAAAGGGGGGGGGGUACCUGCAAGGUGCUCCGAAGCUUAAGUUAGACUUUGAGGAAUUUGUUCUGAGUUCUUGAGGAGUUUUUGAGAUAGACAAUUUAAGAGUUACCUUGGCCCUUUGAGAUGAAGGGCCUUUUAUACUGGGAGUUUAGUGAUGUGGACACAAACUCAGAGGUCUAUGAGAAGCUAGAGACUGGGGCAGAUCCCUACCCUUGGAUCCGCCUGUAACCCAAGUCAACUCCAGCCAUCCAACGGUCUGAAAAUCCUAGGUGCCGCUGACAAGAUCUCGAGCUUUGGUCCCAUGUCUCCUUUCCAGCGGCCAAGUGUCAGAGAAGUGACAGCUGAGUUGAAACGGAUCUUCUUCUGGGAGGUGCUGGUAGGUUAGGGGAGGGUAGGUGUCCGGGCUGGACCGAGGUCGUUACGUCGGUUAAUUGGAAGGUCGUCCUUCAGGCCAAUCGUGGCGUCCUUCUAUUAAGUUACUAAGAUAGGCCUUGUAAUAAACUGUCUCCUCUUGUGGGUCGGUUCGCUCGGUUACUUGACCGUCUUAUGAGGUCCAAACGUUCUUGCUUUGGUCUGGCACGCCGACGACCGCCCUCGGGGGUUCAAACGUCCUCGUCCUGAUUGGGCCAACUAGUUCUCGUCCCAAGGCGUUUAGGUGAGCUAGUGUCAGUCGGUCUAUCUUGUGACCGUCCUUCUAGGGGGUCAAUCGUGCUGUCUCGGGUCUGGUAUCUUGAUGACCGUACUUUGGGGUUUAGGUGUCCUUGCUUCGUCGGGUGGACGAGUUGGGAGGUUUUAGUCGCCCUUCGGGCAAUCGAGCUAGAGUGGGAGCCCGGGGGGUUCGGUCUUUUCCCGAUCCCCAGAACAAUCCCCAAUUCAACAGCUUGGCAUCUGGAUUUUACAGUCAGUAAAUUAACCUGAUUUUGAAAAUCCAUUUUAGUCUCACUUGGGCGAGAUUUGUUCUGAAGAAUCUCUUUAUCAAUUCAUGAUCUUUUCUUCUAAAAAAAAUACUAGCAUUUUUUAUUGGUAUUUGAGUUAAACUCUGAUUCGUCCAUCACAUAAUAGAUUUAUCAGAUAAAAUAUAACAUUUAAAUAGUGGGUAAAAUUAUCUUUUAAUUUUACUUAAUUAGAAGUAAGAGUAAAAUACACUCACCCCCUCAAGGUUUGCAAGAAUGACACUCCACCCCAUUUUUUAUAAAGGCAAAAUUUAGUGACGAAAACAAAUUCGUCAUAAUAAAAAAUAAUUACUAAUUAGUUAAAAUUUAAAUAAAUUUAAUGCAUAUACAAUAUCAUAUAUUAAUUUACGAAAAUAAUUUUACUGAAUUAAAUUUAAAAAAAUCAUCCACUCUGUCUGUUAAGUCCACGUCUCAUCUAUCUCCAAAUCAUAUUUCUCACCACAAACGGUCACCAUCAAGCUUUUGCUCCCUUUAACACGGCGGCCACCGUCCCAGAAUGUGAAACCCCAUGGCACUACCAUGCCUCAAAGUUUUUUUGCGACUUGAACCCCAGAACGUGAAUCGCACAUCCCUAAAGCCACUUGUUCAACUAUUUUUUGUGAAUUUCACCCCUGUAAGUUGUGAGCGAACGCUCUGUUGGUUUAAGAUGUUGUUAGAUUUUGUUAAAAACGGUGCUCCACCGCAUCGUUGGGCUAAUAACCUCCGAUACACUUCAUAUUUCUUAAUUUUGUAUCUCUAUUUUCUUCACCCAUUUGUGUUGCUUUUUGGGUCUACAAUCCAAUUUUGAAAAUUGGAGGUAUAAAGAGAUUAUUUUGAUUAAAAUUGAAUUAUUACCAAAUAUGAAAACACAAGCAUUGUUUCACUAUGUUCGAGAUAUGGUUUGUAAACCGGUUAGGUGUGCUAUUGUAGAAUUUGCAUUGUGAAUUUACGGAGGAAGAACGCGAUUGAGAGAAUGAGGAGGACGGUGUUGUUUUCAAUUUUAAAUUUAUUGAAUUAUAUUAAAAUAUUUUUUGAAAUUAUUGAUUAAAAAUUUAAAUAAUAACUAAUUAUUAAUGAAGAAUUUUUUUGUCACUAAAUUUGCCUCUAUAUAAAAUGGGGUGAGGUAUAGAUUUUAGAUAAAAAUGGAGUGGAGUGUAACCCAGUGGGGUGAGUGUACUUUACUCUUAAAGUAAAGAUUCAUCGUCAUAUUAUGAAUGGGCUAUGAAUCCAGUUUUAUGUAUAAACUUGUGGGCACUAAACCAGAAAUGAAAGUGUCACGGGACAUGGAUUCCAAGGAGUGGUGUAUCCUUAUAUAGUCAAGUUAUGGCUUAUCUGGAUCUGUUUUGUGGGUGGUGACCAGAUAUGUGGUUUAGCAUUGUCUGCAUGACAAAUUGUUGGGAUUUUUUCUGUUAGUAUUUGGCUGUGUAUGGCAUGGUGGGGGAAAAGCACCACUUGUGCUUUGUAUCAUAUGUAUCACUUUAUUAGUAUUAAUAAUAUUGUUCUUUGACUUUAAAAAAAAAAGUAAAGAUUCAUAAUUUGAUUUUAUAUUCUUAGUAACAACCAACAUAGGUUGCAUGCAUGUAUGCUCUGUUUAGAUCUAGAUGUGAAAAUGAGGGGAAGAAAUAUGAGAGGAAAAAUUAUAAGAGGAAGGAAUAUAAACGGAAAAUGAGGUAAUUUUCAAGUUGUUUGGAUUAAGAGAAAAGGAAAAGAGAAUGAAAGGAAAAGUGAUAGUAAUAGAAAUGAGUGUGAUAUAUGAUUACUAUUUUACCCGCAAAUUUUUACAAAUUAUUUGUAAUUUGUAAACUAUUAUCUUUUUAAAAGUUAGCGUAAUUAAAAUUAAUAUAUCUGGCAUUCUUACUUUUUUUAAAGGGUUGUCUAAAUGACUCAUGGUAAUAUUUGGGUUAAAUAACUCAUGAUCUAGGUGGACCAAUCACAUUCAAGAUAAUUAAUUGAAAUUUGUAUAUUUUAUUAAUCAAUUAAUUUAGGGUUAAAUAUGUUUUUGGUCCUUAAAUUAUACACAUAAAUAUAAAAUGGUACCUGAAAAAAAUAUAAAGAUUUUAGUCUUUGAAAAUUUUAUUUUUGAUCUAAAAUGGUUCCAUGUGAAUUUUUUUACUUCUAGUUCAAUCCCUCAAAAAUUUAUUCCAACAAAUUAAGUCCUCCUCCCCUCAUAAUUAUUUCAAAACCUAGAAAUUCAUAUCUUCAUCUCUAAAACCCCUCAAUCAUCUUCAUCUUCAAAACCCAUAAACUUCAUUCGUCUUCCUUAUCCUCCUUCCUUUUCCACCAAAACCAUCAUCACCACCCAAACUCCCACCCAUAACCAUCACAACCGAAAUCUCCAAUUGAGAAAGGAAGGAAACCCUUUCUAUUUAUUUAUAUUUUUUCUGCUGAUUUUAAUGCUAGCUUGGUGUUUACGUUUUUCACAACUUUUGCUGGUUAUGGGAAACCCAUCAGGAGCUUCCACUCUUCUUUUCAUUUUCAAUACGGAACCUUGAUGGAUUUAUGUAACUUUUUGUUCCUGUCAGUUGUUAUUUCACUGAUUUCGGUUGUGAUGGUUACGGGUGGGGGGUUUGGGGGGUGAUGAUGGUUUUGGUGGGAGAGGAAGGAGGAGAAGGAAGAUGAACGAAAUUUUUGGGUUUUGAAGAUGAAGAAGUUGGAGGAGUACUUAGAGAUGAAGAUAUGAAUUUCUAGGUUUUGAAAUAAUUAUGAGGGGAGAAGGACUUAGUUUGUUGGAAUAAAUUUUUUAGGGACUGAACUAGAAGUAAAAAAAUUCACAUGGAACCAUUUUAGAUAAAAAAUAAAAUUUUCAAAGACUAAAAUCUGUAUAUUUUUUGUCGGGUACCAUUUUAUAUUUAUGUGUAUAGGACCAAAAACAUAUUUAACCAUAAAUUAAUUGAUUAAUAAAAUAUAAAAAUUUCAAUUAAUUAUCUUGAAUGUGAUUGGCCCACCCAGAUUAUGGGCUAUUUAACCCAAAUAUUACCAUGUGUCAUUUAGACAACCCAUUUUUUAAGUCUUAUACUUUAAAUAAAUUAUUACAGGAUAAUCUAUGUCAGUAAAAGUAAUGUCGUAUAAAAAGUAUAAAUAAUACAAAAAUUAUACAUUGAAUUAUAUAAUAUAAAUCCGUGGACUGAGCGAGCCCCUAGAGGGGCAACGCCCAGUGUGUAGCCCGCCCCGAGGCGAGGGCCUGGCCUUAAGUUGGGCCUCAGCUUCGGAGGCCCAAUUGGCCCGAUAGGUAGUACCCAAACUCUAUAAAUAGGAGGUAGUUACCAAUUGUAAGGGACUUUUGGCUCAUUUUAUGAAAUAACACAUGAAAUUCAGCAUUCUCUCUCUCAUUCUCAUUCUCUCUCUAGCACAAUUUUCCACUCUCUUGGUACUAUCCCUAUCCUCAAUGUUCAUUCCCAGAACAUUUGGCGCCGUCUGUGGGGACUAUAAACUUUCUAUUCCCAUUCACGUGGAUUGAUUGUGCAAGAAGCUAUCUCUGAUUACGAUUAGGCAAUUCUCGAGUUUUCUGAUUCUGAUUCUGUGACCGGCAUUCGUUUUUCGAUCGAGUUUGCGUCAUUCCUGGUUUAGAUGGAGACGCGACGCAGGAGGCAGCAUCAUUCACCAGUGCGACAGCGAAUUUCGCCGCCUCGGCGGCCUCAUCGAGUUGUCCUGGAUUCUCCGAUACGAACAUCGGGAGUACAGCCGCCUUCUCCUCCUCCAUCACCACCACCACCUCCUCCAUCGCCUUCGCAGGUCGGAUCUCUGGAGCGGUCACCAGAGAAUUCACCUACUCCGGAGCAACAACCGGCGGUGACACAGGAGCAAUGGCGCCAUAUGAUGCGCAGCAUUGGAAACAUCCAGCAGCGGAAUGAGCAUCUACAAGCUCAGUUGGACUUCUACCGCCGCAAGCAACAAGAUGAUGGACGCAGAGAGGCGAAUUCCGUAGCUGAGUUCCGUCCGUUCUCAGAGGACGUUGAGAGUGUGGCAAUUCCAGAUAAUAUGAAAACGUUAGUUCUGGGUUCUUACAGCGGAGAUUCUGAUCCGAAGGAUCAUCUUCUGUAUUUCAACACGAAGAUGGUGAUAAUCGCGGCAUCAGAUGCGGUGAAGUGUAGGAUGUUUCCAUCGACGUUCAAAUCGACGGCGAUGGCAUGGUUCACGACUUUGCCGCGCGGAUUGAUUUCGAAUUUCAGAGACUUCUCAUCCAAGUUUCUAGUGCAAUUCUCUGCGAAUAAGAAUCAGCCGGUGACGAUCAAUGACCUAUACAACAUUCGCCAACAAGAAGGAGAGUCACUGAAGGAAUACAUGGCAAGGUACAGCGCUGCAUCGGUCAAGGUAGAGGACGAGGAACCUCGAGCCUGUGCUCUAGCAUUCAAAAAUGGUUUGUUACCGGGAGGGUUGAACAGCAAGUUGACACGCAAGCCAGCACGUUCGAUGGAAGAGAUGCGUGCUCGCGCCAGCACUUAUAUCCUUGACGAGGAGGACGAUGCUUUCAAAAGAAAGCGCGCGAAACUGGAAAAAGGCGACACAUCACCAAAGCGCGCGAAAAAAGAUAAGAACGGCGAAGACAAGGGGGAUGGCAAGCAGCAAAGACAAGAUAAAGGGAAGGCGGUAUUGAGGCCGACCAAGGAGCAGUUGUAUCCACAGCGUGAUGAUUAUGAACAGCGCCGGCCAUGGCAAUCUAAGUCUCAUCGCCAGCGGGAGGAAACUGACAUGGUGAUGAACACAGAUUUAACGGAUAUACUCCGUGAGGCGAGGGGCGCAAAUCUAGUGGAUGAGCCAGAGGCCCCGAAAUAUCAACCACGGGACGGUAAUCCCAAGAAGUGGUGUGAAUACCAUCGGUCCGCCGGGCACGACACGGAUGACUGCUGGACUUUGCAGCGGGAAAUUGAUAAGUUGAUUCGGGCGGGAUAUCAAGGAAAUCGCCAAGGCCAGUGGCGCAACAACGGCGAUCACAACAAAACGCAUAAGCGAGAGGAGGAGCGAACGGACACUAAGGGCAAGAAAAAGCAAGAAUCAGCGGCUAUCGCCACCAAAGGGGCUGAUGACACGUUCGCUCAACACUCAGGACCGCCCGUAGGGACCAUAAACACCAUCGCCGGAGGAUUUGGCGGUGGUGGUGACACCCAUGCGGCACGGAAACGCCAUGUUCGUGCAGUUAAUUCAGUUCAUGAAGUGGCUUUCGGAUUCGUACACCCUGACAUAACAAUCUCGAUGGCAGAUUUUGAGGGAAUAAAGUCUCACAAGGAUGACCCGAUAGUAGUGCAAUUAAGGUUGAAUAGUUUCAAUGUUAGAAGGGUACUCCUGGAUCAGGGUAGUUCGGCUGAUAUUAUCUAUGGUGACGCAUUUGACAAGUUGGGCCUGACUGACAAUGAUCUGACCCCAUAUGCGGGAACCUUGGUAGGUUUUGCAGGUGAGCAAGUAAUGGUGCGAGGAUUCAUUGAUCGAGACACAAUAUUCGGGGAAGAUGAGUGUGCCAGGGUUUUGAAGGUAAGGUACCUGGUUCUCCAGGUGGUGGCAUCUUACAAUGUUAUCAUUGGGCGAAAUACUUUGAAUCGCCUCUGUGCUGUGAUUUCAACAGCCCACUUGGCGGUCAAGUACCCACUAAGCAAUGGAAAGGUUGGCAAGCUGAAGGUGGACCAGAAAUUGGCGAGGGAAUGUUAUAAUAAUUGCCUCAACCUGUAUGGCAAGAAGAGUGCGUUGGUUGGGCACAGAUGUUAUGAAAUUGAAACUUCGGAUGAAAAUCUUGACCCACGUGGCGAUGGGCGAGUGAACAGGCCCACGCCAAUUGAGGAAACAAAGGCGCUAAAGUUUGGCGAUCGCACUUUGAAGAUUGGGACUAGAUUGACGGACGAGCAGGAGACGCGCCUGCAAAGUCGCUAGGCGAAAACUUAGAUUUGUUUGCUUGGAGCUGCAAGGACAUGCCCGGAAUUGAUCCAAACUUCAUCUGCCAUCGGUUAGCAUUGAAUCCAAGUGUCAAGCCAGUUUCACAACUCAGGCGGCGCUUGGGCGGAGACAAGGGAAAAGCGGUUCAACAAGAAGUUGACAAGUUGCUGGCGGCAGAGUUCAUCAGAGAGGUGAAAUAUCCGACGUGGUUGGCGAACGUCGUGAUGGUGAAAAAGGCGAAUGGAAAAUGGCGAAUGUGCGUGGAUUACACAGACUUAAACAAGGCAUGCCCAAAGGAUUCGUAUCCCCUUCCCAGCAUUGAUGGUCUCGUUGAUGGUGCCUCGGGCAACGAACUGCUUAGCUUGAUGGAUGCUUAUUCUGGUUAUCAUCAAAUCCGCAUGCACCCGGCAGACGAGGACAAAACGGCUUUCAUGACCGCCAGAGUCAAUUAUUGCUAUCGCACCAAGCCGUUUGGAUUGAAGAAUGCUGGGGCGACCUACCAAAGGUUGAUGGAUAGGGUUUUGCUGGGCAGGUGGGAAGAAACAUGGAAGUCUAUGUUGAUGAUAUGAUCGUUAAAUCAAUACAUGGUUUGGACCAUCAUCAGGAUCUGGAAGAAGCAUUUGGCGAGAUAAGGAAGCACAAUAUGCGCCUCAACCCGGAGAAAUGCUCUUUUGGUGUUCAGGGCGGCAAGUUUUUAGGAUUCAUUAUCACGUCCAGAGGAAUAGAGAUACACCCAGACAAAUGCAAGGCGAUUCAGCAGAUGAAAAGCCCCUCUAAUGUGAAAGAAGUCCAAUGUUUAACAGGGCGAAUAACAGCUUUAUCUCGAUUUCUUCCCAAGUCUGGCGAUAGAUCUUUCCCUUUUUUCAAGUGUCUUCGAAAAAAUGUUGCAUUUGAGUGGACGGCGGAGUGUGAAGAAGCUUUUGUUCGCCUCAAGGAACUCCUGUCGUCACCGCCAAUCUUGUCAAAACCGAUACAGGGACACCCACUGCACUUGUAUUUUGCUGUAAGUGAUAGUGCUCUGAGUUCGGUGAUACUGCAGGAAAUAGAUGGCGAACAUCGAAUUGUUUAUUUUGUAAGCCACACACUCCAGGGUGCAGAGGUCAGAUACCAGAAAAUUGAGAAGGCGGCGCUGGCGGUCCUUGUCACCGCCCGGCGGUUGAGACCUUAUUUUCAGAGUUUUCCGGUGAAGAUGCGGACAGAUUUGCCUCUGAGGCAAGUGUUACAAAAACCGGAUUUGUCAGGCAGAUUGGUCGCCUGGUCGGUUGAAUUAUCUGAAUAUGGGUUACAAUAUGAUAAGCGAGGCACAGUUGGCGCACAGUCACUGGCUGAUUUUGUGGUGGAGUUGACCCCAGAUCGGUUUGAAAAAGUGGACACUCAGUGGACUCUCUUUGUGGAUGGAUCCUCCAAUAACAGUGGCAGUGGCGCGGGAGUAACGUUGGAAGGACCAGGAGAUUUAGUAUUGGAGCAAUCGCUGAAAUUCGAGUUCAAGGCAACAAACAACCAAGCAGAAUAUGAAGCUCUCAUCGCCGGAUUGAAGUUGGCCCGUGAAGUAAAGAUCGGAAGUUUGUUGAUAAGAACGGACUCGCAGUUGGUGGAGAAUCAAGUGAAGGGAACUUUCCAGGUCAAGGAUCCCAAUCUGAUCAAGUACCUGGAGCGAGUGCGAUAUUUGAUGACACUUUUUCAAGAUGUUGUAGUAGAGUAUGUUCCUCGGGCAGAAAACCAGCGGGCCGACGCGUUGGCCAAAUUGGCGAGUACGCGGAAGCCCGGCAACAACAAAAGUGUGAUUCAGGAAACCCUGGCGUACCCCAGCAUUGAAGGCAAGCUCAUGGCAUGUGUGAACAGAGGGGCGACGUGGAUGGGACCCAUAUUAUCUAUCUUGGCGGGGGACCCGGCGGAAGUGGAGCAAUGCACGAAGGAACAACGGCGGGAGGCGAGCCACUAUACUCUCAUUGACGGACACUUGUAUCGCCGUGGUUUUUCGACGCCAUUGUUAAAAUGCGUACCGCCAGAGAAAUGCGAAGCGAUAAUGUCUGAGGUGCAUGAAGGAGUGUGUGCAAGCCACAUUGGGGGGAGAUCUUUGGCCUGCAAGGUGUUAAGGGCGGGAUUCUACUGGCCCACCCUCAGGAAAGAUUGUAUGGACUUUGUGAAGCGGUGUAAAAAAUGUCAAGUGUUCGCGGAUUUGUCUAAGGCACCGCCAAAAGAGCUGGUAACGAUGAGCGCUCCAUGGCCUUUCGCCAUGUGGGGUGUGGACUUGGUAGGACCUUUUCCGACCGCCAGGUCGCAAAUGAAGUUUAUAUUGGUAGCGGUGGACUACUUCACAAAAUGGAUUGAAGCCGAGCCCCUGGCCAAAAUAACCUCUGCAAAGAUAGUCAACUUUUACUGGAGGCGUAUCGUUUGUAGGUUCGGGAUCCCAAGGGCGAUCGUAUCCGACAACGGGACCCAGUUUUCAAGCAACCAAACAAGGGAAUUUUGCAAGGAAAUGGGCAUACAUAUGAGAUUCGCCUCUGUGGAGCAUCCGCAAACGAACGGGCAAGUAGAAUCUGCGAACAGGGUAAUUCUGCGUGGACUAAGGCGACGGCUUGAGGAAGCUAAGGGAGCCUGGCUGGAUGAACUCCCAGUGGUACUAUGGUCGUACAACACCACUGUGCAAUCUACUACAAGAGAGACCCCCUUUAGGAUGACCUAUGGGGUAGAUGCCAUGUUGCCGGUGGAGAUUGACAAUUUCACAUGGCGGACUCAGCCGGAUUUUGAAGGGGAGAAUCAAGCCAAUAUGGCGAUGGAGUUGGAUCUUUUGUCCGAAACGCGUGACGAGGCGCACAUUCGAGAAACGGCGAUGAAGCAGCGCGUGGCCUCCAAGUACAAUAGUAGGGUCCGCGUUCGAGAUAUGCAAGUUGGCGAUCUGGUCCUAAAGUGGCGGUCAGGAGCCCCGGGAAACAAGCUGACUCCGAACUGGGAGGGGCCUUACCGCAUUAUCAAAGUUCUUGGUACAGGGGCCUAUCACUUAGAGGAGCUGGACGGAAGGCGACUACCCAGGUCGUUCAACGGUUUGAGUCUGCGCUAUUAUUACAGUUGAUCGUGAACGAGAAAGCUGAAAAGGCGGGAAGUUCCAAGGGAGAACUUCGGAUGGGCAAAGUGAAUUCACCAAAGAUAGAUAUUUUCAAUUUCUCUAAAAGUACCUCAAAACUCUCCAUUGUAACAAAAGCGUGCUCUUUUUCUCCGAAAGGAGUUUUUUAACGAGACGCUCCAUCAAUAAAACGAAAGUUCAUGAAAUUCACAUCCAAAAAUUCCAGGGAUUCCCUGACGAUCGGAAUUGCCGAUCGAUAUAAAGAAUUACGGCGAUCACUAGGUGGGACAAGCUUGAUCCCCAAAGGGGCUUGCUGGAACCCUGAAGGUGGCGGCGAUUCCACAAAGGGCCUUUGACGCCUGGGAAUCUCCCCCCGGAAAGUCUGAUGUGAUCGCCGGUCCCGUAAACGACGUGCUGGGUAAGUCUCGCCAGAAUACGACGAGCACCAUAAACUAGGCAAAAGACUUGGGACCCCCAAAUGGCCAUUGGGACCCAAGCAUUGUAAGCCCCGAGCGGGCAAAGCCCCGGGCGAAGCCCUCAAGAAUGGAGGCCGUUUAUUCCUUUGUGGAAAACGUCUAAAGUCUUGGCGGUGAAAUACCAAGCAACAAGUCCUAGUUAAAAUUAAUGCACGAAGUCGUUAGGCGUAAUUCAAUCACAUGACGCGUGAAAAAAUAGCGCAAGAUAUAAGGUCGGCGAAUGAAUAAGGUGGAAGGCGAGUGCUUGGUCACUCAGGAUGAUGAGUAUUUUGUUACUCCGGUGUGUUGGGGCGUUAAACUACGAAGUUCAUUCUUAAAUUUUUUAAACAAUAAGAAUGCGGCGACCAAAAAAUGUACGGCGAAAGCAAUCCAACAAAAUUUACAGAGUAUUCAAAGGCGAUAUAAAAACUAUGGCGAAAGUUUGCUUAUAUAUAAGAAUGACGGAAAAGUGCAUUACAGAGGGCGGUAAAGGCUAAGUAAAAUUAAAAUUACACUAUUCAUUAUUUCUUUCUUCUUCUCAUGUUUCUUCUUCUUCUUCUUCAGUUGUCGUCCAGAGGUGUUGGUCAAUCAGAGGAGGAUCAUCAGGACCAACCAGUCCUUCAGCGGUGAUCUCUUUCAUUACUCCCAUAGCGCUAAAGUCAAGGUUCGGGAACAAAUGUUGGGCCUGGUCUUUGGCGAGGUAGAAGCCGCGCUCGCGAUUGUCAUAGGCAAUGUCAGCAGCUUGUUCCCUCGCCUCAGCGGCUUUGGCUUUCUCCAUCGCCAGCUCGUCCUCUAGCCCUUUGAUCUUCGCAAGAUGGGAAGUAAUCUCGGCAUCUUUAGUGGCGAGGGCUUCCCCAUGAGCUUCGUUCACCUUCUUGAUCUCUUCGGACGUGGCUCGCACCACCACCUCCAUGUCAGACUUCGCCGAAGCCAAGGACUCAGCGGACUUUUUUUCUUGCUCCGCCAGCGCCUUUUUCACUGAUUCCAGCUCAGCGCGCAAUGCUUCGAGUUCUAACUCCUUAGCAACCAGCGCCUCGUCCCUGGUGAUCAAGUCCUUCUCAGCUUGGUCUUUUUCCUUUUUGCAAGCUUGGAGACUUGCAUCGAGAUCAUCCGCUUCUUCCUUCAUCAGCGCCAGUUGAUCCUCCAGUUCGCCGAUUUUAAUUCCCGCCGUGCCAAUCAACUUGUCGGCCUGGACUUUUUCUUUGCCCGCUUGAUCUAGCAGUUUGUCGAAGCGUUUCUUCCAAGCGGCGGCGUCCUCCUGGUGCUUGGUGUUCUCAGUCCUCAACCGUUCAGUUUCAGCAGCGGCGGCGUUGAAAUUGUCAAACGCAUGGGCAAAAAUACACCCAGCGCGUAGAAGACAAGCAAGGGUUUCCUCCUUAGUUUCAUUAAUACCCCGGCUCAAAACUUCUUUCUCUAUGACGUCACGGUUGAGGCCAGUAAGCAAGAACUCUGAAGGUUCAAUGGCGUUGGGAAGCAUGUUGUAGUAGUUGGAGGAGCCACCCUCUUUACCAGGAGCUUGCUCGAUCUGGGUCGCGUCAAGGGUAGCGGUGGCAUCAGGAGAAGGUCUCUCUUCGCGGCGAGGCGGGGAAGACGCGGAGCGCCCAUCAUCUGUCUGGGGCGGGCUAGGAGGUGCGUCUUGGCGAGGGGGAGACCUGGGGGUUUCAUUUUCUUUUUCUUUCUCCCCAGCAGGAGCAUCGGAGGAAGCGGCAGCUUUUGUGGCAUUGACGGCGACAAGUUUCUCAACAGCUGAGGGUUGAGAAAUGUUGGUGGUUGUGUCAGCGGCUGGUGACUGGUCACCAGAGGUUGUUGUGGCACCGGCGGAGGCGGCUGUGGCGCCUACAGUAGUGGACUUGGCGGCGGCUGCGGUGGCCGCGCCCGCGGUAGCGGAAUUGGGAGCUGGAAUGGUGGUGGACUCGGUGGCCGUGGCGGCGGAGGCUUUAGCAACCUUUUUGCCUUUAGACGCAGCGGCAGUAGUGGGCUGAGCGGCGGGGUUGGAGGAGCCGGCGGCGGAUGAGACUUUGACCAAUUUCCUCCUUUUGGGGGCUUGGGCGCCCUCGGCUUGGUUCUCAGCACCGCCCCGCUUCUUCCCAUCGCCCUCGUUGUUGAACUUUGGAGAAAAGCGGGCCAUUUUCCUCUCACGAGCUUUCAAGAGCUCGGCGUUGGUGAAAUUCAUAUCUUCUGCAACAAUAAAUAAGGAAAAAGGGGGGUUAGUAGGGACAUAAGAGAUGGGAAAGAAGAUAGAGAUGAUAAAAGUAAACUAUAAGUGACCUAGAUAUUUGGGUGUCCUUGAGAGGCGAGCACCCUCAAGGACUGUUGAGCAGUCAAGAACAGGAAGUGGGGCGAGGAGAUUCAAAAGGGCUUUGUCGUUGGCAGACAAAGAUUUUUCCGAAGGAUCGGUAAUCCCAUUAGGCUUCUCCGUCCAGUAAAGGGGAAAAAGGGCAGUCCCGUCCCUAAGGGUGAAGGCCUCUGGAUAGGCGGGGUGAACCGCCACGCGGAAGUAUCUUCGGGCAAAAGAGGACUUGGCGUUGCUUUUAUGAGGAUUCAAGCAUUUACGGCCAGCCCGGGCCUUUAAAGAAAUCCACCCUUUAUUUUUUAUGGACUUGGGGUCGACAUCGUAGAGGUAAAAGAAGCUGGUGGGAGAUGGGGCGGUGCCAACAGCGGCAAACAAGAUCUCAAAGCACCGGAUGAAGGCCCAGGCAUUGGGGUGAAGUUGGCAAGGAGCCGCGUUGAUAUCGCGGAGAACGGUCUGAAUGAAGGGCGAAAAAGGAAGUCUGACUCCAAGCUCGCCGAACAUAUACUCAUAGGUAAAAAAGAAAUGAGAUCCCUUUACAUCGCUGUCGGCCCUGUGAAGCCAGGGGCGGUCUUCAGCACUGCAGGGCCAAAUCCGGAGUUUGGCGUUUAUUUCGUCAUCAUCAGACAAACCGCCGAGGCUACUUACGAAUUCCACGAUAGUCUCCCUAUCCUGGAAAACGGAAGGUUGGUCAAUGGCCUCGUGUGAGGGCGCUAUUUGGAAUGGAAGGGGCAGGGUUGUGAAAGUUUUUAAUCGGUAUUGAGGGACCUCCGGGACCUCUAAACGGAGGCCGCCGGCCGCGGUAGAGUCAGGAUCACUCCCAGAAGAAGAAGAGGUGUGAUUAGGGGAGUUAGGGUUUGUGGCCAUCUUCUAUAAUCAAAUGAGGAAGAGGGGAAAAAGAUGAGUAGAGAUAUGAUGCAGAGAUAAGAGAAGGAGGACUCACCGGAGAAGGAUGUGAAGAGUGGGUAGCGGAAAGGGUGAUAGGCAACGGCGCCGGAGCGGAAGUUGGAAGAAGGAGCUUGGUAAGCAAUAAGGGAGGUAAAAAGCGGUCUCGGAAAAGGAUGAUUGUAGGGAAAAAGGGUUUUUAUAGGCAGGGGGAGAAGUUGGAAAGGUGACGCGUGUUGGACACGUGUGGAAGAUUGGAAGUCAUGAUGGUUCUUGGGGAAGUGGAACGCGUGUGAUGGGGGUUACUGCGCACGAUGGGAUAGUUAUGAAAAGUGAAGUGACGGUUCCGGAGAAAGAGGAAAACAGAUGUAACUGACGCGUCACGUGGAGCAGGUAGGGAUUUGAAAGGUUUUUAAAAUAAGAGGGAGCGUGAAAGGCCUCGCCACCGUAGAAACCAAACGCCAUCGCCUGACAAGUAAUACCAGCAUUAAAGUUUAGUCACUCGCCAGGGACAUUGCCAGCCAACAUUUGGGUGAUCAGUGCAUGAUCAAUGCCUGCCACCUUUCUCGCCGGCGAACGAUCGCUCACCUACUCCAACCAAUCGCCAGUACGGAGCGGUCGUUCCCGCUGCUUCUAGUCUUGUGGACUUGUGGACUUGUGGACUUGCCGGUUUGGGUUGUUCGCCAAGAUCAAAAAUGCUUGUUUCUUUUUGCUUAGGCCAUGUUGGCAGCUUAGAUCCCAGUGUACUGUAGGAUACAUGUAAAGGCAUUUAAAAGACACACUUAGCUCUCAUACUUCGAGCUCGGUGUCUUGUGGACUAGUGGACUGGGCGAGCCCCUAGAGGGGCAACGCCCAGUGUGUAGCCCGCCCCGAGGCGAGGGCCUGGCCUUAAGUUGGGCCUCAGCUUCGGAGGCCAAAUUGGCCCGAUAGGUAGUACCCAAACUCUAUAAAUAGGAGGUAGUUACCAAUUGUAAGGGACUUUUGGCUCAUUUUAUGAAAUAACACAUGAAAUCCAGCAUUCUCUCUCUCAUUCUCAUUCUCUCUCUAGCACAAUUUUCCACUCUCUAGGUACUAUCCCUAUCCUCAAUGUUCAUUCCCAGAACAAUCCGUAACUUUGGCAAAGAGUGGGUACUGAUGUCUUUUAUUAUAAGUUCCAUCUUCAUCACCAUUUUCCUGCCAUUCUAGAGGGGAAAACUGACAUGGCACUAUUCACGUACGGUUUCCCCUCCCCCUCCAUUUUCCACUCUGUCCCAAACAAGUAAAGAUUCCAUUUUUAGUUGUUUUCCUCCUUACCUACUUCCAUCCAUUCAAACUCCCAUGAAAAACACAGACCAGUAGAGAAAACUAGAGAGAUUUUUAUUUAGGUAAGCCAAAAUUGAUAUAAAAUUAGGAGUACUAUGGGUCCUCCAACCAAGUACAAAGGGAAAGAUUAGCAAAAUGCUAACCAGGAGAGUAUCAAUGACCAACGUGCAUCAAUUCACAGGAAAGCAAGUUGCCCCUACAAAAAUCACUACUAAUGAUACAACAAACUACAACACUACAAAGGGCUAAAGAUGAAAAUCUUCUAAUAAUAUAAUUCCAGCCAACCAAAGGCGGAGCCAGGAUUUCAGUGGAUCCUGGGUAAAUUUAAGCCUAAGCCUAACUGUCUACGUCUGACCAAGGGUUUUAAAUUACGGUCGCGGUUACAGGUGUUGCUGUUGCGAACAUUGCGAUUAGGGGUGUACAAGGGACAGAUUGGGACGAGUUUUGGUUAACCCCAACCCGACCCUAAACAUUGACCGAGCCAAUUCAUAGACCCUAACCCAUCCCUAGACCCAAAGCAACUCAACAAUAUACGGGUCUAAUUUAGGACGGGUCUAUGUAGAACGGGGCGGGUUGGCCUGAGAGACAAUAAAUCUAAGACUAUUUGAUGCUAAUUAUAAAAUUUAAAGAUAAUAACAUACUAAAAGAGUUAUAAGUUAGAACUAUUUUUUAGAAGAAAGAACUUGAAAGGAUCCAAUUCUUGCAUAAUCUAUUGCACUCGAGAGAUUUACGUUUUGUUUGAUCUAUAGGCAUGUGUCACUCAUUUUGUUUGAUCUCUCUUCACUUAUCUCACAUGUGCAUAAUGCACAUGCAUGAUUUUCUCUUGUUAGACCAUGAAAAUGUCCAUCUUUUGACCAACGUUUAUUAAUUCAUAAGAUAGAUGUUAAACAUUUUCAUCUCAUCCACAUGGUAAAAUAAAUUUGAGCACCAUCUACCACAGUUUGAUCAUUAUAACAAAUUAAAAUUUUAUAAAAUAUAUAUGUGGGCAGGGUCUUGUACACCCCUAGCUAAUUGCGACAUUGCGGCGUGAAUAUCGGGGGAGCCAUAAACAUAAAGAGAACGGUUUAGAGUAUGGCUUGCUGUCAAUUCCCUUAUAUCGUUAUACCUAUAAUAUUUAUAUCCCACACAACAGAAUUUAAACAUUCCUUCUCAUAAAACUGUACACCUCUCUCAACCUAAAAUUCUAAUUGAUUGGUUGAACCCGAUUGAUCAAUAUUACUUUUAUACUUUGCUAGUUGUUUACUAGAUCAUAAAGAUAGUUGAUUCCAUCUCAUUCCACAUACUUUAAUCUUUCUUUUUAUAUCUGUCUUUUAUUUUCAUCACACUAUUUAUUAUAUAUCUCAUUUCUUACUCUUAUUCCUAUCUUUCUUAUAAUUGUGAGUGAAAUGAGUGUGAAGCGUCAUUUUUCUUAUAGUUAACCAGUCUCAACAAGAAAAUUAGACCAACUCAUAAUUCUAAACUCACCAUCAACCAAACAGAAAAAUCUGAUUUACCAAAAAAAAAACUCACCCAUUAGAAAGGAAAAAUAAAAAAAGUAUAUAUGUACCCACAUAAAAUUUAGUCAAAUACAUUUUUUUGUCAUUUUUUUAUGUGUAUACAUUUACUCGCAAAAAGUAUAUACUGUUCAUACAUUUAUUUUGUUUUUGGCUUAAUUGCAGUUUUCAUCCCUCAUCUUUCACCUAUGUGUGAUUUGUGUCCCUCAUGUUUAAAACGUGCGAUUUUAAUCCCUUAAGUUCUAAUUUGUGAAAAUUAGCUCGUUCCGUUAGUGAGCCGUUUAAAAGUUGUAGGAGUUAGCUGAGGCGGUAUUCAUUAAAUGACGUGUUUCUGACAGAAUGCCACAAAAGCAAAAAAUAAAAUAAAAAUAUCAAUAACCUAUCAUCACCCCAACCAAAAAUUCCCUUAAACAUAUAUCAUCUCACCCCAUCAACAAUUCCCAGAAACAAAAUAAUUCCAAAAACCAUGAGACAAAAAAUUCCAGAAACAAUUACUUAUCAACCCUAAAUAAUCCACCCAAAUCACUACCAAUAAGAACCACGGGAGAGAAAAUUUUGCAGAAAGAAUGUCAUGUGUUCAUCAUUUCAUUAUUGCUAAGAGAUUGAGAGGAAGAAAGAAAAACAGAUCGAGAGAGAGAGAGAGAGGGGGAGCACACCACCACAACCAACCUCCGGCCGCCGUGCACCACUAGCCAUCGCACCUUCCCCAUAACCGCAACAUUGCGCCUCAGACUAUCGUCGCCGCCGCUCCAGCCACAACACCACCGUCUAAGAAGAAGCCUCUCCACCACGAGUUCGGCCGCGGAGCCUCCGUCCCCAUUGUCUUGUCCUCUCUAUCUCUCUCUUCUCCACCGCCCCUCUCUCUUUCUUGAUUUCGGUCCCUCCCUUUCUCCGGAUCUCAGAUCUCUCCCUCCUCUUCUUCUAGAUAAAGCAAGGGAGCGAGCACCAGAGGGAGCUCCAAGUGCGUCGAAAGCUUCUUUCGUGGGUUUUAUCUGCUUCAUUUCAUUUUGGGUUUUCUGGGUUUUGGUGAUUCAAUUUUGUGGGUUUUGUAGUUUUUUCGAUUUUCUGGGUUUUGGGAGUUUUCAAGUUUUUCUUCUCUUAUGAAAUUCAUCUUUUCUGAAUUUUAUUUGGGUUUUCUGACUGAUGAGGUUUUGUGGGAUGGAAACUGGUGGGAUGGUUGUGAUGAGAGUUGCAAACAAAUGAAGUAAAUCAUGGGGGUUGGGAACAAUGGGGUUUCAAGUUGCCAUGGUGGGACAAAGAAGGGGGUUGAUAUUUUAGGUGGGUAAUGGGGUUUAAGAUGGAUUGCACGGUGGUGGUGUGGCUUGAGAAGAGGUGUUUUCUGGGUUGAUUUUGGACGACCCAUUUUUCUGGGUGUGAGGGAAGAAGAAGAAGAGAUUGGGUUGAGAGAUGAAUAAAGAGAAAUGGAAAAAUUUAAAAGAAAAAGAAAAUUUAAUGCUUAAGUCAGCAAUUAAGUGGCAAAAAUAUUAAUGAAAAUUCCAACUCAUCACUUUCCGUUUAAAUUUGGAUGGUAAAUUGACGGAGUGGGUUAAUUUUCACAAAUUAGAAUUUAAGGGAUUAAAAUCGCUCGUUUUAAACAUAAGGGACACAAAUCACACAUAGGUGAAAGAUGAGGGAUGAAAACUGCAAUUAAGCCUUUGUUUUUUCUGAAAAGCAUGGAUUACAUUCCAUUAAAUUGGGCCUAACCCAAAGGCUGAGAGCUUGGUACAACUAUGUGAGUUUUAAAACCUUGCCAACUAGUUGGUACAUUGACAGGAGAGUAAAACACGUGCAAAUCUAAUAGAAAACUAUUUUCUGAGGGCUACUUUCCCUAAAAUGUGUCUUUCUUCCCCAAUUUCUUUAGCCUAUGCCCGUAGAGGGCUCCUCUGGUAAAGGGCAAAGGACUGUGCCUAUUUGAAUGGUGUCUUGGAGCUCUCUUCUUCCUCCUGAUCUGAUCUAAGCUUAUCCCGUGCCAAGGCUUGAGAUAAUACUUGCGGUUGAAUACAGAUCCAGUUCUCCAGUAGUGAUCCAUGGUGGCCAAGAUUCGCUGUGCAAUGAGCUGACAAAUAUGGAAGGGCAGCUCGGCUUUGUUUUUUUUUGCCCAGGCUUGCUCUUUUUUUUUCCCAGAAAGGGCCCUACGGCCCAAAUCACAGAUUUCAAUUGUAUCCCUAGAGAAAUAGAAUGUGUUGAAUGAAUCAGAAUCGCAAAAGUCAUUGAUUCUGAUCUUUCUCCUUUAUUCACACUAGAGAAAUUACUUUCAAAAAAAAUACUUGAGGAAUUCAACAACUGCAUGGCUUUACAAUGUGAACAGCACAUGCUAACAAAGAGAAAAUUGAAAAAUAGAAUUCGGAAACUAAGAUAGUCAUGACAUAACUAUCUUUUAUUUGGGGUUUUUUUUUUACAUUAAUUUAUUAGAUUGGAUAUUUUGUGAUCCUUCAUGAUCAAAAAUCACUUAAAUUUCAUUAGUACGAUAGAGUUCUGCAGCCAAUCUUGGUUUUGCCACAAGUAAAAGUGGCUUAGCUAGAAAGAGAUCAUCUUUGGACGGGACAAGAUCGAUGCUUGAUACGUCUGGUGGUGGACUCCAGCUGAAGCCAUGAAGCAUCCUAGCAAAUAACAUUACAGUCAUUGUGGUGCCAAGUGCUACUCCAGGACAACUACGUCUUCCUGUGGUAAAGGAAAUGAACCUCAAAUCUGGCUCUGUCAAAACCACAUCAAUACCCUCCUUGAGAUGGCGUUCCGGGUUGAACUUGAGGGGAUCAGUCCAGAAUUUUGGGUUUCUACCAAGAGCAACUCUACUUAGUAGUACUUGAGUUCCUUUUGGGAACAAGUAGUCACCGACCAUUGUGUCAUUCAUGCAAAGAUGGGGAACAUUGAAAUACUCCAUGGGGUGAAGUCGAAGAGCUUCUCUUGCGCAAGCUUUAACAAACUGGAGCUUAGGAAUAUCUGAUUCUUGGACCAACCUCUCUUUGCCAACCACAUUGUCCAAUUCUUCAGUGGCUCGUUUGAGCAACUCAGGUUGGUUUAUCAUUUCUGCUAGUGCCCAUUCAAAAGCAUUUGAUGGAUUGUCCACCAUUUCAAUCGCCAAUUCCUGCAAGAAAAAAUUGAUUUUUAAUAAAGUAAUUAUAUAGAUCCUACCUCAAAUAGCAAGUUAGGAAAAUGGAAAACAAAAAUUAAACUAAGUUACCAACAAAUUAUUAUGCUACCUAAUUAGUCAGUCACCUAUUUCAUGAUUGGCAGCGUAAAAAAAAAAAUUGAUAGGCAUAACCUAAUCCGUUGUAAUUAUGUAUGCAGUUAUAUAUUUGAGCUACAAUGGAUUCAAUAUGAGAUGAGAUCAUCCCACCAAGUUGUGGUGGACCGAAAUCUGAGAAAAUAUAUAUGUAAAACUAUAAUAAAUAAAAUUUAUGAUAACUAAUUUGUGUGGAAAGAAAAAAUAAAUAUUAGAAAUUUUUUGUGAAGAGAAUAAUGUAAAAACACUUAAACAUUAUUGAUCAAGUGGUAAGAACUUAGAGACAUAGGAUAGACGCUACAUGUUUACGCGGAAUCCUUAGAAAAAAUAUAAGAAAACUCUCUCCCAAAAAAAUUACUAUCUAAUAAAAUAAAACUUUGUAAUCAUAAAGUGAGUAGUUAAUUUUUCAGGUAAAAGUAAAAUAUUCCUAAUUUUUUAAUCAUACAUGCAUUCAUUAUUGAGGAAAUCCUAAUCUAUCCAAAUGCGGUAAACAUCAAAGGUUUAACAAAAAUUUCGUCUCUCAAGAAUAAAACUAUUGAUCUCAGGCUUUAUACCACUUUUAACCACUGACAUAGAAAUUCUUUAGGUACUAAAUUUUCUUAUUGUACACAACACAACACAUGAAUAAAAUAAAAUAAAUAUAAUGAGCUUCAUCAGUAGUGGGCCUCAGAAGUGACAUAUUGAGGGAAAUAAAUUUAAAAGUAGAGUGAAGUGGUGGGAGCAUAUAAACACUGUGAAAUGUCACAGUCGUCAUAAGGGUACGUGCUGCUAGCUUAGCAACAUAUACUCUCACAUUCUUAACGUGCAUGUGUCAUAAAAUCCUAGACCCACUAGUUCUUUGUGCGACCUACAAAAAUUUUAGUGAACAAUAUAUUAAAAGUUUGUUAGCUUUUUUUGAACGUAAAAGUUUGUUAGCUUGUUUUAAUGAAAAAUGUUUUUUUUUCAUCGAAAAGUAAGAAAACAGAACAAGAAAAGCUACGAGCCUAACACAUCUCUAAAAGGUUAUUUUGUUUGAUUGCAGAUUUUAAAAAUUAUUGUAUUUAAAAAAAUUUUUUUAAGGAAAAAUAAUUUUUGAGUUAGAUCUUAGAAAUUGAAAUUGAGAAUUUUAUUAAAAACGGUUACAGUUUUUGAAAAAAAAAAACAAAUUUUUGAAAUUUUCAGUUUUUAAAAGUAACAAACCACAAACCGUUUUUAAAACCUGUAAUUAAACGUACUCUAUAUAUAUUUAUAUUUUACUUUCCCUUUCAUCUUCAUUCCACUUAUUUUCUCUUAUAUCUCUCAUUUUUUAUUUUUAUUAUAUUACAUAUCAUAUCACUAAUCUAUGUGUCUUCUCUACCAAUCUCUCUAGAUGUGACUAAAUUUGGAGCGCGAACAUACUAUUCUCCAAAGAAAAAUGUUGGGUUAACACUCUAUAGAUGUAGAUACAUUAAAAAAAGAAAAUUAGCAAAUGUGAUAUAUAAUAUGACGCCACAAAAAGUGAAUAAUAAAUACAGAAAAAAUUAUAUAUAUGUGAGAUGGUUGUAAUGUUGAGGAGGGAUACUAACCCUCACCCUAACACUCAUUUUUCAACAUUCUAGUUAAAAUGCAUGUGGGUUCUACUAAUUAAAAGUGAGACUCACUCACAUUUUAGUGAAUUUCAUAUAAAUUUUAACCAAUAGAAAAACGAAUGUUAAAAAAUGUGUUAAAAAGAGGGUUGCUAGCAUUUUUUUAAAUGUGUGUACCAUAACUAUAUUUUGAAUUAAAAAAAUAUUUUAACGUCAAUGACAACAUGCGGCAAAUAUAUUUGAAAAGUGUAUUAAGCAAUAAUGCAUGCGGGAGGAAAAUUGAAGGGAUAAUUAAGUAUAUUACUAUAAUUUGCGCCUUGAGUUCCUUCAAUGUGAGUAAUGGUUUAUUGUUGGCAUCCUUGAGUUUGAUCAACACGUCCAAUAAGUCUUCUUCAACGGUCUUCAAGCCAUCAUUCCACUGUUUGAUUCUAUCAUCAAUAAUGGGAUCAUGAUACUUCCUCAUGAUCCUCAUAGCUUUCAUGAUUUUGCUCCUAUGGCCAUCCAAGUCAAGUCUCCUCAAGAAUGGAACAAAAUCAGAAAUGGAAAAGGCAUAAACAUAUUUAAGUAUUGUGAAAGUAGCAUUUAUAUGCUCAACUUCCUCAAAACCUGGCCCUCCAUCCUCCAUUACCUUUCCAAAGUACCUUGAAUUGAAAAUCAAUUUCCUGAACACAUUACCACCAUAAUGUUGCGCCGCAAUCCUAAUAUUCACAAGGCCAGGACCAUCAUUCACAUCUUUGCAACACUUGUUGUAGAUGUAAAACAUAAGGUUAUCAGCUUCUUCAUUCCUUUUACCUAGAAGCCAUUGAUGCUUUUGAGGGGAAAGCAAGUUGUUGACCAACACUCUCUUCAUCUUCUUCCAUUGUUCCCCAUAGGGUACAAGAACCGUGGUUAUGAAACCAUCGCUGGCUAUAUCAGUGGACAUGAUUUUUGGCCUCGAUGCAAAAGAAGCAUCGUGUUUUUUCAAGAAUUCACAGGCAAUAGUGGGGCACGUCACAGGGAUAACAAUGGUAUUUGCUAGGCGGAUACACGCUAUUUCAGUGUUCAUUUCUUUCAUCAGCUUGUGUAUCCAUAUAGUUGCAGGCCUGUUUGCAAGCAUCUCAGGGAGAUUGCCAACAAUCGGCCACGGUUUGGGACCUGGGGGUAGUUUGUAUUUCUUGGACUUGUUAACUAAGUGAGUUUUAGUGACUUUGAAAAUCAUAAAGGAAAAUAUCACAACAAGCAAAAAAGUCCAAGGGAAUUCAUGGCACAAAGAGAGGAAAUCAGGCAUAAGACCCAUCGCUUGGAAAAAGGACUUCCAAUCUAAAAUGAUGAUUGGGAUUGAUCCUUGAUCCAUUAAGGGCUUGCGAGGUUAUCUAUAUAUACUAGCUAAGCCUCAUAAGGACUAUGGUCACAUGGCAAAUAUUUUAUUCUACACUCAUUGACAGUAUUAUAAUGUUAAAAUUCACGUGGUCGAUUAUUUAUAUCUAUUUACGGGAUUAUCGAGAUUUAUUUAGGCCUCGUUUACUAUUUAGGCUUAAAGGGUCCAAAAGUCCGUGAGAUUACAAAGGGAAUCAGUUUCAGGACCUAAAAAUUUUUUUUAUCAAAUUGGGUCCCUAAAUUUUUUUUUUUUAAUUCAAUUAAGGCCAAAUGUUGCCACAUCUCAAUUUUGUCCUAGUCACCGUUACCACGUGGCUUUUUUAUUUUUUUAAAAUACCAAUUAAUAUUUUCAUUUUAUUUUAAUUCCAACUCAUUUCCUAAAAAAUAAAACAUAAAUCUAACUAAAACUAAACCUAAACCUAAUCUGAAAACCUCACCAUCUUCAACCCCACCAUCUUCUCCCCUCUCACAACAAUUCCUCACCACCACCACAACAGCACUGCGAACCAGAACUGAAACCAACAGGUCGGGACGGGUUCACGAUCAAGCUCAGCGACGAGAUGAACAGCACGAAGAACAAAUCAGCCUCGUCCAGAUCCAGAACCUUAACCAACGGCAAACCCGCACGCUUGGAUUCAGAUCGAGAGCGAUCCGACCACUCCGCCAUGUGCUGGUGGUCGGGGUACUUGAGCGACUCCAUAUCGUUCUCAUAGGAGCGUGAGCCACGCGCGAGGGAGUGGUGGUAGAUAACACCGUGGGUGAACCUGCGUGUGAGAUCGUAGAGGUAAACUUUGACAGCAGAGGUUUAGGAGUGCUGGUGGCGAGGAGGACGGAGGAGGAGAAGGUGGCGGUAGUGUCGAAGAAGGCGUAUUUGAGGUGGUCAUGAAAACUGGGUUUGGGUUUUAUGCUCUUGGCAUUGAUUGUUGUUGUUGUUGUACCUUCUUCGUUGUAGGUGUUCAUGAAAACUGACUUUAGGGUUUCUUUGGGUUGCAAGGAUUUGAGGUGGCUGGACAGAGGUUGGGGAUGGUGGUGGGGUGGAAAAUAUGGGUCUUCACCUCAUGUUUAUGAGUCUGUUUCACAGGACAAUGGGUGGUGACUGGAGAUUCAAAACUUUUGAAGCCUUGGGCAUAUAUUAUCUAAUUGAUGCUCCUUGUCUGUUUACUGUCUCGUGUUCUGUUGCUCUUUUUGAGCAAUUCAGCUGAAUUUUGUAUAUUCCAGCACCUCUUGUUCUGUUGCUCUUUUUGAGCAAUUCAGCUGAAUUUUGUAUAUUCCAGCACCUCUGGUGCUCCUAUUUAUAUAAUUACUUAGCUUAUAAAAAAAAAACCUCAUGUUUCUGGGUGUGAUUGUUGGUGGUGUUGUGGUGUUGAAGGAUGACAGUAUGGGGGAAGAAGAUGUUGGGGUUAACAAAAGAAGAAGAAGAGGCUGAAGAUUAGUGAAGAAGAUGAAGACCAUUUUAUCUGGGUUUUGUUCUUGAGAUGAAGAUUGAAGAAGAGUGAUGAAGAUUAUGUGUUUAAUUUGAAUUUAGUUCAGGGAUUUAUUUAUAUUAGGGAUUUUAUUAAUUUUUUUAAUUUUCUUUCUGCCUAUGUAAUUGAGUUGGAUUUUAAAAAUACUUUUUAAUUAAUUUUUUUAAUAAAAAUAAAAUAAAAAAGCCAUGUGGUAACGGUGACUAUGACAAAAUUGAGCUGUGGCAACAUUUGCCCUUAAUUGAAUUUAAAAAAAAAAUUAAGAAUCCAAUUUGAUGAAAUAAUUUUCUAGGUCCUGGAUUUGAUUCCCUUUGUAAUCUCAGGGGUCUUUGGACCCUUUAAACCUACUAUUUAUGCGUUUUAGCAAGGGUAAGUUUGAUGUAAUUGAAAAAAGAAACAAAAGGUUGACAUUUAUUACCAUUUUAAAGAAAGAGAAGUGCACACUUGUAGGAAAAAUGUGGGUCGGAGGAUAAUACGGCAAAAAAAUUCAAAGGAUAUAUCAUUUUUGGGGACGAGGAAUACUAUACCCUCCGAAACGGUUCAACUGAAUUAUCCUCCGAUCCACAUCUGGUCUACAUGUGGCCAGCCAACUUUCUGGAUUUUUUCACUUUCAACUAUCUCUUCUUACCCGCGUAUAAUCACAUUAUAUAAUAUAGGUUAGUGUCAAUAUUCUAUCCUCUUCAAAUUCCAAAAAAUACUAAAGAAUUUCUAUUUGCACAGGUACUUUUCACUCUGUCAAAUUUCAAUGGUCCAUCACUUAUCUUGUCCUUUAUCAUGUGAAUUUUGACUUCACCGUCAUUUUCCACCUUCAUCUUAUUUAAGGGUGAAGAGAAAUGAGAAAAACAUGCAAGUGAUAUGAUAUGUAGUGCGACAGAAAAUACAAAGAAGGAUAGAAUGAAAAUUGAGUGAAAAUAAGAUGAAAGAGAAAGUAAAGUAUAAAUAUAUCAUUACCCUUUCUAUCCAUUUGAACAAACCUUUUUUCUGCCACAAAUAUUUUUAUUAUUAGAAAUGUAGAUUAACGGGCAUAUACGAUGUAAAUUUUUGUACACAUGCAUCCAAUCAUUGUAUGUGUCACAGAAGAUUAACAGUUAGUUUUCAUUUUUAUUUAAAUUAAAUUUUAGUUUUAAUUUGUAAUAAAAUGAAAAGCAAUUGAAUGUCCGUGUAAUUUUUUUUUUUACAUAAAAACAUUAAAUUAGAUCUCAAAAAUUAUAAAAAAGAAAUUAAAAUAAUAAAUAACUUCACAAAAUAGUUGAGUUUCUUAAGCAUCUAAUUUAGAUUUUGAUUCUUAGAGCAUCUCCAAUGGUAGUAUCUAAUGUUAAAUACAUACUCAUAUGAGUAUCUCUUACCAUUGAGGUACAUAUUCAAUUCCAACAUGACAAAGAUGAGUAUGUGGGAAUAGAUACUCUACACUAGACUUGAAAAGUGAACUUGUAUUUAUUACAAGCACUUACAAUUAAUAUAAUUAGAUUAUAAAAUGGAGAUAAAUAAUAAAAUAUACAAAUGUGAUGUUGAUGGUGAGAUCCACUAUAGAAACUUAAGAGUUGUUGGAUUGGAGUAAAAAGUUAGUAAAGUGGUGUAGAUGAUGUAACAUUAUGAAAAAUUGAAAAAAUGAAGUCUAGAUAUUUUAGUGAGUAUGAUGGAUGUAGAUGCUUUAUGUAAUACACCCUAUGGUCACUAUUAUAAGCAAAAAAUAACAUUUUAGAUUCAUUGAAUAAAUGAUGUAUCUAGUCAUUAUUAUAGACUAGAUACAUCAUUUAUUGAAUGAAUUUAAAAACUUAUUUUUUACUUAUAAUAGUGACCGGAUGGUGUAUAUGUAUGAAGUAAAUCAAUGUUUUUAUUUAUAGAUACCAUAUUUGUUAUAAAAUAUUAUUUAAUACACUGUAUGAAAUAUUUAAAAUUAAAUACUAAUUAAUAAUAUUUAUACCCCUUUUAGUCAUUACACACUCAAAAGCAAUUCUAAUAAAAGAUAUUCAAACAAAAUUCUCUUACUAAAAUCACGUUAUUGUAACUGUAUCCAAACAUAAAUCACAUCACUCAAACUCACGUUUACCAGAUUCAAUUCUGCCAGAUCCAAUUCUGACCAGAUCCAAUUCUACUAACGCUGAUCCAAACACACACUUAUUCUUUUACUAUGACCUUCAAACUUCGAGAGAGUUAGUCUCAUUUAUGCUAACGUGGGAUACAUUGGGAAAAUGAAUGGAUACUCAAUAUAUGCGUUUUAGUGGUAGAUGAUGAUUAGUUUGGGUACUUUGAAGGGAAAGAAAAUUGCAGCUGCCUGGCCUGACCCUCGAACUGUAUGGAAGGCUGUUUUCUAUCUUUGAAGGGCCCUAUUGUUUUUCCCCUGUUUCUUAUCUGUUCUGUUUACCAUUUGCUCCUGGACUGGGCGAGCCCCUAGAGUGGCAACGCCCAGCAUGUAUCCCGCCCUGAGGCGGGGCCCUGGCCUUUGGAUGGGCCUUGACCUCGGAGGCCCAAUUGGCCCAAUAGGUAGUACCCAAGCUCUAUAAAUAGGAGGUAGUUAUCAAGUGUAAGGGACUUUUGGCUCAUUUGAUAAAAUAACACAUGAAAUUCAGCAUUCUCUCUCUUACUCUCUCUCCCUAGCACAAUCCUUCUACCUCUAGGUACUAUGCCUCUCUUCAAUGUCCAUUCCUAGAACAUUUGGCGCCGUCUGUGGGGAACGAAAACUUUCUACUCCCAUUCACGUGGAUUGAUUGUGCAUGAAGUUACCUCUGAUUGUGAUUAGGCAAUUCUCUGGUUUUCCGAUUUUGAUUCUGUGACUAGUGUUGGUUUUCCGAUCGAGUUUGCAUCGUUUCUGGUUUGGAUGGAGACUCGACGCAGGAGGCAGCAUCAUUCACCAAUGCGACAGCGGAUUUCGCCGCCUCGGCGGCCUCAUCGUGUGGACCUGGAUUCUCCGGUACGAACGACAGGAGUACAGUCGCCUUCUCCUCUUCCAUCACCACCACCUCCUCCGUCGCCUUCACAGGUAGGAUCUCUGGAGCGCUCACCAGAGAAUUCACCUGCUCCGGAGCAACAGCCGGCGGUGACACAGGAGCAAUGGCGCCAUUUGAUGCGCAGUAUUGGCAACAUCCAGCAGCGGAAUGAGCAUCUACAGGCUCAGUUAGAUUUCUACCGUCGCGAGCAGCGAGAUGAUGGAAGCAGAGAAGCAGAUUCCGUGGCUGAGUUCCGUCCGUUCUCGGAAGAUGUCGAGAGUGUGGCGAUUCCGGAUAACAUGAAAACGUUAGUUCUGGAUUCUUACAGCGGAGAUUCCGAUCCGAAAGAUCAUCUUCUGUAUUUUAAUACGAAGAUGGUGAUAAUUGCGGCGUCAGAUGCGGUGAAGUGCAGGAUGUUUCCAUCGACGUUCAAAUCGACGGCGAUGGCGUGGUUCACAACUUUGCCGCGUGGAUCGAUUUCAAAUUUCAGAGACUUCUCAUCCAAGUUUCUAGUGCAAUUCUCGGCAAAUAAGAAUCAGCCGGUGACAAUCAAUGACCUAUAUAAUAUUCGCCAGCAGGAAGGGGAGUCACUGAAAGAGUACAUGGCAAGGUAUAGCGCGGCGUCGGUAAAGGUAGAGGACGAGGAGCCUCGAGCUUGCGCUUUAGCAUUUAAAAACGGUUUGCUGCCGGGAGGGUUGAACAGCAAAUUGACACGUAAGCCGGCGCGCUCGAUGGGAGAGAUGCGUGCUCGUGCCAGCACUUAUAUUCUCGACGAGGAGGACGACGCUUUCAAAAGAAAGCGCGCGAAGUUGGAAAAGGGCGACACGUCUCCCAAGCGCGUGAAAAAAGAUGGGAGCGGCGAAGAUAAGGGGGAAGGCAAACAGCAGAGGUCGGGUAAGGGGAAGUCGGUAUUCAAACCGACCAAGGAACAGUUGUAUCCACGGCGCGAUGAUUAUGAACAACGUCGGCCUUGGCAAUCUAAGUCUCAUCGCCAGCGGGAGGAAACUGAUAUGGUGAUGAACACAGAUGUAUCGGAUACGCUCCGAGGGGCAAGCGACGCAAAUCUAGUGGAUGAGCCGGAGGCCCCAAAGUAUCAGCCACGGGACGCCAAUCCCAAGAAGUGGUGCGAGUUCCACCGGUCCGCCGGGCAUGAUACGGAUGACUGUUGGACUUUGCAGCGGGAGAUUGACAAGUUGAUUCGGGCGGGAUAUCAAGGAAAUCGUCAAGGCCAGUGGCGCAAUGGAGGCGAUCAAAACAAAGCGCACAAGCGGGAGGAGGAGCGAGCGGACACUAAGGGCAAGAAAAAGCAAGAAUCAGCGGCUAUCGCCACAAAAGGGGCUGAUGACACGUUCGCUCGACACUCAGGACCGCCCGUCGGGACCAUCAACACCAUCGCCGGGGGAUUUGGCGGCGGUGGCGACACUCACGCGGCGCGUAAACGCCAUGUUCGUGCCGUAAAUUCCGUUCAUGAGGUCGCUUUUGGAUUCGUACACCCUGACAUAACAAUCUCGAUGGCGGACUUUGAGGGGAUAAAGCCUCAUAAGGACGACCCGAUUGUGGUGCAGUUAAGGAUGAACAGUUUCAACAUUAGAAGGGUACUCCUGGAUCAGGGUAGUUCGGCUGAUAUUAUCUAUGGUGAUGCAUUUGACAAGUUGGGACUAACUGACAAUGAUCUAACUCCAUACGCGGGAACCUUGGUAGGUUUCGCGGGGGAGCAAGUAAUGGUGCGGGGAUACAUUGAUCUAGACACAAUAUUUGGGGAAGACGAGUGUGCUAGGGUUUUGAAGGUAAGGUAUCUGGUUCUCCAGGUGGUAGCAUCCUACAAUGUCAUCAUUGGGCGAAAUACGUUGAAUCGCCUUUGUGCUGUAAUUUCGACAGCCCACUUGGCGGUCAAGUAUCCGCUAAGCAGUGGAAAGGUGGGAAAGCUGAAAGUGGACCAGAAGAUGGCGAGGGAGUGUUACAAUAAUUGCCUUAACUUGUACGGCAAGAAGAGUGCGUUGGUUGGUCAUAGAUGUUAUGAAAUCGAAGCUUCGGAUGAAAAUCUUGAUCCCCGGGGCGAGGGGCGAGUAAAUAGGCCCACGCCAAUUGAGGAAACGAAGGCGCUAAAGUUUGGUGAUCGCACUUUGAAGAUUGGGACCAGACUGACGGAAGAGCAGGAGACGCGCCUGACAAAACUGCUUGGGGAGAACUUAGACUUGUUUGCUUGGAGCUGCAAAGACAUGCCUGGAAUUGAUCCAAAUUUCAUAUGCCAUCGGUUAGCAUUGAAUCCAAGUGUCAAGCCAGUUUCACAACUUAGGAGGCGCUUGGGUGGCGACAAAGGGAAGGCGGUGCAACAGGAGGUCGACAAGUUGUUGGCGGCAGAGUUCAUCAGGGAAGUGAAGUAUCCGACGUGGUUGGCAAACGUCGUAAUGGUGAAGAAGGCGAACGGGAAAUGGCGAAUGUGUGUAGAUUACACGGACUUAAACAAAGCAUGUCCAAAAGAUUCGUAUCCCCUUCCCAGCAUCGAUAGCCUUGUUGAUGGUGCCUCGGGCAACGAACUGCUUAGCUUGAUGGAUGCUUAUUCUGGCUAUCAUCAAAUCCGCAUGCACCCGGCAGACGAGGACAAGACGGCUUUUAUGACUGCCAGAGUCAAUUAUUGCUAUCGCACCAUGCCGUUUGGACUAAAGAACGCUGGGGCUACCUACCAAAGAUUGAUGGAUAGGGUUUUUGCUAGGCAGGUGGGAAGAAACAUGGAGGUUUACGUUGAUGACAUGAUUGUUAAAUCAGUACGAGGUUUAGACCAUCAUCAAGAUCUGGAGGAAGCAUUUGGCGAAAUAAGGAAGCACAGUAUGCGCCUCAAUCCGGAGAAAUGCUCUUUUGGUGUUCAGGGGGGCAAGUUUUUGGGAUUCAUGAUCACAUCCAGAGGAAUCGAGAUAAACCCAGAAAAAUGCAAGGCGAUUCAGCAGAUGAAAAGCCCUUCCAAUGUGAAAGAGGUCCAACGUUUGACGGGGCGAAUAGCAGCUUUAUCUCGGUUCCUUCCCAAGUCUGGUGACAGAUCCUUUCCUUUUUUCAAGUGUCUUCGCAAGAAUGUCGUAUUCGAGUGGACGGCGGAGUGUGAGGAAGCUUUCGUUCGCCUCAAGGAACUCCUAUCGUCACCGCCGAUCUUGUCGAAACCAAUACAGGGACACCCGCUGCAUUUGUAUUUUGCUGUGAGCGAUAGUGCUCUGAGUUCCGUGAUGUUGCAGGAGAUAGAUGGCGAGCAUCGAAUUGUUUACUUUGUUAGUCACACACUCCAGGGCGCGGAGGUCAGAUAUCAGAAAAUUGAGAAGGCGGCGCUGGCGGUCCUCGUCACCGCCCGGCGGUUGAGACCUUAUUUUCAGAGUUUUCCCGUGAAGGUGCGGACGGAUUUGCCCUUGAGGCAAGUAUUACAAAAACCGGAUUUAUCAGGUAGAUUGGUCGCCUGGUCGGUUGAAUUGUCAGAGUAUGGUUUGCAAUACGAUAAGCGGGGCACGGUUGGUGCGCAGUCACUAGCUGACUUUGUGGUCGAGUUGACUCCAGAUCGGUUUGAAAGAGUGGACACUCAGUGGACUCUCUUCGUGGAUGGAUCCUCCAAUAGUAGUGGCAGCGGCGCGGGAGUAACGUUAGAAGGGCCGGGGGAACUAGUGUUGGAGCAAUCCCUGAAAUUCGAGUUCAAAGCAACGAACAACCAAGCAGAAUAUGAAGCUCUCAUCGCCGGAUUGAAGUUGGCGCGGGAAGUGAAGAUCAGGAGUUUGUUGAUAAGAACGGACUCACAAUUGGUGGAGAAUCAAGUGAAGGGAACUUUCCAGGUCAAAGAUCCUAAUCUGAUCAAGUACCUUGAGCGGGUGCGGUAUUUGAUGACACUCUUUCAAGAGGUUGUGGUGGAGUACGUUCCUCGGGCAGAAAAUCAGCGGGCGGACGCGCUAGCCAAACUGGCGAGCACGCGGAAGCCCGGCAAUAACAAAAGUGUGAUCUAGGAAACGCUGGCGUACCCAAGCAUCGAAGGCGAGCUCAUGUCCUGCGUAAACAGAGGGAGAACAUGGAUGGAUCCCAUAAUAUCUAUCUUGGCGGGGGACCCGGCAGAAGUGGAGCAAUGCACGAAGGAGCAGCAGCGGGAGGCGAGUCACUAUACUCUCAUUGACGGACACUUGUAUCGCCGUGGUUUCUCGACGCCAUUGUUGAAAUGUGUAUCGCCAGAGAAGUACGAAGCGAUAAUGUCUGAAGUACAUGAAGGAGUGUGCGCGAGCCACAUCGGGGGAAGGUCUUUGGCUUGCAAAGUGUUGAGGGCGGGUUUUUAUUGGCCCACCCUCAGGAAAGAUUGUAUGGACUUCGUGAAGCAGUGCAAGGAGUGUCAAGUGUUCGCGGAUUUGUCUAAGGCACCGCCAAAGGAGUUGGUAACGAUGAGCGCCCCGUGGCCUUUCGCCAUGUGGGGUGUGGACUUAGUUGGACCUUUCCCGACCGCCAGGGCACAAAUGAAGUUUAUAUUGGUGGCGGUGGACUACUUCACUAAGUGGAUUGAGGCUGAACCCUUGGCCAAGAUUACUUCUGCAAAGAUAGUCAAUUUCUACUGGAAGCGUAUUGUUUGCAGGUUCGGGAUCCCAAGGGCGAUCGUAUCUGACAAUGGGACCCAGUUUUCAAGCAGUCAGACAAGGGAGUUCUGCAAAGAAAUGGGCAUGCAGAUGAGGUUCGCCUCUGUUGAGCAUCCGCAGACGAACGGGCAGGUGGAAUCUGCAAACAGGGUAAUCCUACGAGGACUAAGACGACGGCUCGCGGAGGCUAAGGGAGCUUGGUUGGAUGAACUUCCGGCGGUGCUGUGGUCGUACAACACCACCGAGCAAUCUACUACAAGGGAAACCCCCUUUAGAAUGACCUAUGGGGUAGAUGCCAUGUUGCCGGUGGAGAUUGACAACUUUACAUGGCGGACCCGACCGGGUUUUGAAGAGGAAAAUGAGGCCAACAUGGCGGUGGAGCUGGACCUUUGUCGGAAACGCGCGACGAGGCGCACAUUCGGGAAACAGCGAUGAAGCAGCGCGUGGCGGCAAAGUUCAACAGCAGGGUUCGCGUCCGAGAUAUGCAGGUUGGCGACCUGGUCCUCAAGUGGCGAUCGGGAGCCCCGGGGAACAAGCUUACUCCCAACUGGGAAGGGCCCUACCGCAUUAUUAAAGUUCUUGGUAAUGGGGCCUAUCACUUAGAAGAGCUUGAUGGGAGGCGGUUACCUCGAUCGUUCAAUGGUUUGAGCUUGCGCUACUUUUAUAGUUGAUUGCAGGCGAGAAGGUGAACAAGUCGGAAUCGCCGGAGCCAGAUAUCUUUAAGAUUUUGGCCAUGGAAGUUUGGCAAGUAAAGCGUUGCUAUGGUUAAGAUCGCUGGCCAACAAAUUUUUCCAAUUCCUUCAAACUUUUCCUCCAUCUUUCAUUUGAUUCCCUUCUCAGUUGUUGUAUUUCCUAAUUUUCUUAUUUUGAAGUUGGUAUUAGAAGUUAUAUUGUCUUCACUGGUUUUGAUUCAGACAGAGAGGAGCAAAUCGGAUCAAAGAGAAAGAGUGGGUGAAUUGAGGCACACCAUUAAAGUUUUGUGAAACUUGGAAGACUCUUCCAUAAGCGGUUUGUUAUUGGGUGGGACAAGCUCCUGAUGGCGCGAUUUAGUUACAAAGUGAAACAAGUUUCACGAUGAACUAAAUUAGCCCCGGAAAAGCCCACGUAACAACCGGAUUCAUUGGCGAUGUGUGGGCUACUGAGCACCGCUUUGGUAAUCCAACUGGCCAUUGGAACCCAAAGCACUUUGAGUCCCGAAAAGGGACGAUCACACCAAGGGUGGCGACCUACCGCUAGGGUGGUGACCUCAUGCCAAAGGGUGGCGACCAAACGCUAUGGGUGGCGACCUGUAAGACUCAGUUUAGACACACAAAAGUCGCCAAAAGGGUGGCGACCUCACGCUAAGGGUGGCGACCUACCGCAAGAGGGUCGCGACCUACCGCAAGAGGAUGGCGACCUACCGCUAAAGGGUCGCGACCUACCGCCAAAAAUGAGGGUAGCGACCUACCGCAAAAUGGUGGCGACCUACCGCAAGAGGGUCGCGACCUACCGCAAGAGGGUUGCGACCUACCGCCAAAAAUGAGGGUAGCGACCUACCGCAAAAUAGUGACGAGCAAGUCAAACUAAUUUCUUAUAAGGCUAAAGCAAGAUGGUGAUGACGAUGCGGCGGCGACUAAAAGUGUUCGGUGGAAGCAUUCCAAUAUGACUUACAAAAUAUCCAACGGCGACAUAAAAAGCUAUGGCGCAGGGUUGCUUAAACAUAUACGAAUGGCGGAAAAGUACACUACAAGGUGACAGUAAAAGAUAAAAGUAAUGUUAAAAAUUACAUUAUUCAUUGUUUUUCUCCUGUUCUUCUUCUUCCUCUUCCUCUUCUUCUUCAGUCGCUGUCCAAAGGUUUUGGUCAAUCAGGGGAGGAUCGUCGGGACCAACUAGUCCUGCGGCGGUUAUCUCUUUCAUUACUCCCAUGGCGCUAAAGUCAAAGUUCGGGUACAGAUGUUGGGCCUGAUCUUUGGCGAGGUAGAAACCGCGCUCGCGGUUGUCAAGGGCGAUGUCAGCGGCUUGUUCCCUCGCCUCAGUGGCUUUGGCCUUCUCAGUCGCCAGCUCGUCCUCUAGACUUUUGAUCUUUGCAAGUUGGGAAGCAAUCUCAGCAUCUUUCGUGGCGAGGGCCUCGGCGUGGGUUUCGGUCGCUUUCUUGAUCUCCUCGGACGUAGCCUGCAUCACCGCCUCCAUGUCAGAUUUCGCCAAGGCCAAGGACUCCGCAGACUUUUUCUCUUGCUCCGCCAACGCUUUUUUCACUGACUCCAGCUCAGCGCACAGAACGGCAAGCUCUGACUCCUUAGCAAUCAGCGCCUCGCCUCGGGCGAUCAAGUCCUUCUCAGCUUGCUCUUUCUCCUUCUUGCAAGCUUGAAGGCUUGCAUCAAGCUCAUCUGCUUCUUCCUUCAUCAGCGCCAGCUGAUCCUCCAGCUCGCCGAUUUUAAUCCCCGCCGUGCCAAUCAUCUUGUCGGCAUAGACUUUGUCUUUUCCUGCCUGCGUCGCCAGUUUGUCGAAACGCUUUUCCCAAGCAGCGGCGGCUUCUUGAUGCUUCGCACUUUCGGCCUUCAACCGCUCAGCUUCAACGUUGGCGGCAUUGAACUUCUCAAACGUGUGAGCAAAGAUGCACCCAGCGCGUAGGAGGCAAGCAAGAGUCUCCUCCUUGGUGUCAUUCAGGCCCCGACUCAAAACUUCUUUUUCUAUGACGUCACGGUUGAGACCAGCAAGUAAGAAUUCUGAGGGUUCAAUGGCGUUGGGGAGCAUAUUAUAAUAGCUUGAAGAACCGACCUCGGGAGCAGGGGCUUGUUCAAUUUGAGCCGCUUCAGAGGUAGUGGCAGCGCCAGGACAGGAUUUUUCCCCUUGAUGAGGCGGGGAAGGCAUGGAGCCCGCAUCGCGUGUUGAGGGCGGGCUAGGAGGCGCCUCUUGGCGAGGGGGAGACUUUGGGGUUUCAUUUUCUUUUUCCUUCUCUCCAAUAGGAGUGUCGGAAGACGCAGCAGCUUUUGUGGCGUUACCGCCGGCGGAGGCGGCUGUGGCGCCAACAGGGGACUCAGCGGCAACAGCAGCGGUCGCACCGGCGGAGGCAGGAGUAGAAGCUGGUACGGCGGUUGGCUCGGUAGCUGCGGCGACGGAGGCUUCAGCGACAUUUUUGCCUUUAGGCGCAGCAGCGGUGGUGGGCUGAGCGCCAGGGUUGGAUGUGCCGGCGCUGGAGGAGGUUUUGGCCAAUCUUCUCCUCUUGGGAGCUUUGGCGCUCUCGGCUUGGUUCUCAGCACCGCCCCGUUUUUUCGCGUCGCCCUCAGUGUUGAAUUUUGGGGAAAAGCGAGCCAUUCUCCUCUCGCGGGCCUUCAGGAGCUCGGCGUUCGUGAAAUUCAUAUCUUCUGUAACAAUAAAAAAAAAAACGAUCAGUGACAACAUAGGAGUCGAGAAAGGAAAUGUCAAUAAUAAAAGUGAGCUAUGGGCAACCUAAGUAUUUGGGAGUUCUUGAGAGGUCAGCGCCCUCAAGGACUGUUGUGCAGUCAAGGAUGGGAAGUGGGGCAAGGAGAUUAAGAAAGGCUUUAUCGUUGGCGGACAAGGAUUCCUCUGAAGGAUCGGUGAUCCCGUUGGGUUUCUCCGUCCAAUAAAGAGGAAAGAGGGCGGUCCCGUCUCUGAGGGUGAAUGCCUCUGGGUAGGCGGGAUGAACCGCCACACGGAAGUACUUUCGUGCGAAGGAGGACUUCGCGUUACUUUUGUGAGGAUGCAAACACUUCCGGCCGGCUCGGGCCUUCAAGGAAAUCCAUCCUUUGUUUUUGAUGGACUUGGGGUCGACGUCGUAAAGGUAGAAGAAACUGGUGGGGGAUGGGGCGAUGCCGACAGCGGCGCUUAGGAUUUCAAAACAUCGAAUGAAAGCCCAGGCGUUAGGGUGGAGUUGACAGGGAGCCGCGUUGAUGUCGCGGAGGACGGUUUGGACAAAGGGCGAGAAAGGAAGCCUGAUUCCAAGCUCGCUAAACAUGUAUUCGUACGCAAAGAAGAAAUGGGAUCUCUUUACGUCGCCGUCUGGCUUGUGAAGCCAGGGUCGAUCCCCGGGACUGCAAACCCAGAUCCUGAGUUUGGCGUUAAACUCAUCGUCAUUGGACAAGCCACCCAGGGAGUUCACGAAUUGCACAAUGGGAUCGCUGUCUUGGAAGAUGGAAGGUUGAUCUAUAGCCUCGUGUUUGGGGGCUACUUGGACUGGAAGGGGCAGAGUGGCGUAGGUUUUUAGUCGGUGAGCUGGGAUCUCCGGAACCUCUAAACGGAGGCCGCCGGCAGCGGUGGAGUCAGGGUCGCUUUCGGAGGAGGAAGAAGAGUGAUUAGGGGAGGUAGGGUUUGAAGCCAUUUUUAGAAGACAGUGAAGUGAAAGAAAGGAAAAGAUAAGUAUGUGUGCGAUGUAAAGAUAAGGACAGUGGGACUCACCGGAGUAGGAUGUGAAGAGUGGGUAGCGGAAAGGGUGAUAAGCGACGGCUCCGGAGCGGAAGUGGACAGAGGGAGUUUGGUAAGCGAUUAGGGAAGUAAAGAGGGGUCUCGGAAAGGGAUGACAGUGGGGAAGAAGGGUUUUUAUAGGAGAAGGGGAGAAGCUGGAGGGGUGACGCGUGUUGGACGCGUGUGGAAGGUUGGAAGUCAUGAUGGUUUUUGGGAGGUGGGUCGCGUGCAAUGGGGAGUUACUGCGCACGAUGGGACGGUUAUGAAAGGAGAAGUGACGGUUCCGGAGAAAGAGGGAAAUUGAUGUAACCAACACAUCACGUGGGGCAGCCGCGUGAGGCAGAUAGAGAUUUGAAAGGGUUCUAAAAUAGGGGAAAGCGCGAAAAGCCUCGCCACCAUAAGGAUCAAACACCAUCGCCUGACGGGUGACACCAACAACAAAGUUCAGUCGCUCGCCGGGGUCACCGCCAGUCAAUGAUUGAAUGAUCGGCACAUGACCCAUGCCUGUCACCUUUCCCGCCGGCAAGCGAUCAUACACCUGCUCCAACUUAUCGCCAAUACGAAGUAAUCGUUCUCGCCGCUUGUGGACUAGUGGACUUGCCAGCUCGGGUUGCUCGUCAAGUCAGUGGGCUGGGUAACUGAAAAUGCAAGUUUCCUUUUGCUCACGCCGUGUUGGCGAUAUAGUUUACUUCUUUUUUCUUAAGCCAUGUUGGCAGUGCAGAUUCUGGUGUACUGUAGGACAUAUGUAAAAGCAUUUAAAAGACACCCUUAGCUCUCGUACCUCAAGCUCGGUGUCUUGUGGACUAGUGGACUGGGCGAGCCCCUAGAGUGGCAACGCCCAGCAUGUAUCCCGCCCUGAGGCGGGGCCCUGGCCUUUGGAUGGGCCUUGACCUCGGAGGCCCAAUUGGCCCAAUAGGUAGUACCCAAGCUCUAUAAAUAGGAGGUAGUUAUCAAGUGUAAGGGACUUUUGGCUCAUUUGAUAAAAUAACACAUGAAAUUCAGCAUUCUCUCUCUUACUCUCUCUCCCUAGCACAAUCCUUCUACCUCUAGGUACUAUGCCUCUCUUCAAUGUCCAUUCCUAGAACAGCUCCCCUCCAUCUUGCUGUUUUAUUUUCUACUGUUCUGUUAUCUUUCUGUUUUUUCAUGUACUUAUUAUUUUUAUUUAAGGGUUGGCACCCCUUGUGCCUCUUUCUUAUAUAUCAAUUCAUUGCUUAUAAAAAAAAUUUGGUAUGCACAUGCAUGGCAGUUGAGGUUGUAUGCAUUUGGUACUUUUAUGCGUUUUAGAAAGGAUAUGUUGGGGUAACUGAAAAAAAACAAGUUUGGAAUUUAUUACCAUUUUAAAGAAAGAGAAGACACGUGUAUAGCUAUUUGGAGGAUAAUUCUGCUGAAACUUUUCUCAUGAUAGAUAUCAUUUUUGGAGACCUGGUGUAGUUUGUAUUUUUUGGACUUAUGGUCUUAGGGUAUAGCUAUUUGGAGGACUUAUGGUCUUAGGGUAUAGCUAUUUGCAUGUGGCUGGGUUUAGGGUAGAAUGGUGAGAUGGUGAGAUGAAUUUGGGUAGAUGAAGAUGUGAGUGAGUUUUCACUGGUUUCUCUACACUAUAUUGCCUAUUCCUCUGCUCUGGCAUCAUGUUUUUUUCUUCCACGGGUUUUCAGCCCAAGGAUAUGCUGCGUGAAGGCUUGAAUCCUCUCUGGGGGAGAUCGUUUUUUUCUUGUUGUUUGGCUUGAUGCGCCUUGCUUCUGCCCUGUUUCUGUAUUGAUUUUGCAGCAAAUUAAUGGAAGAUUAUGGCUUUUUUUUAGAAGUUGAAGAACUGUGUUGGAAAGAGAGAGGAAGCAGAUUGAGAUUUUUUAUUUGAUUCAGAUGAGAGAUGAACAUGGGUUUGAUUUUGAUGAAGAUGGAGAUGAUUUGGGGGAAUUGAUUUUGUUAAUUAAAGGAUUAUUAGAUUAGGUUAUUUAUUAAGUUUUUAAAAAAAAAUUCUGAUUAUUUAAUUGAGUUGGAUUUAAAAAUAAUUUUUUAUUAUUUUUGUAAUUAAAAAUAAUAGUAAAAGCCACGUGGAAUUGAUGAUUGGGAUAAAAUUGAAUGCUGGCACACUUUAGCCUUAAUUGAAUUAAAAAAAAAUUUCUAGGGACCCAAUUUGAUGCAAAAAUUUUCUAGGCCCUGGAUUUGAUUCCCUUUACAAUUGCAGGGGUCUUCUGGUGUAUUAAGCCUUUUAGUUUCUAAAAAUAAAUUUGAAAAUAAAAUGUGUUCAGCAAAAAUGAAGUUUUUUGUAUAAAAAAAAAGUUGAGGUGAGGUUUUACUGAAUUUCAAAACCGUUUUAGUAUGUCUUUUAAAAUCACAAAAUAUGAUUUUGUAAUUAUAGUUUUUAGUUUCAAUAAUAUGUAACCCCAUCAUCGUCAUCACCCCUGUCACCACUAUGCUACUAGCUAGGACAUUACAUGAGAUUUAUGCACAAUAUUAUUUUAAUAUAGUUGUUAAUUGAAUGGAUAACCUAAACUCAUAUUUGAAUAUUGUUAUUUACAAGAGUGUGUUUUUUAAAUUAAAACAACGUUGUAAAGUUCAAACGAUCUCUAAUCCUAUGUUUUGUAAAGUUUUAAAUAAUAAUAAUAUUCUUAAUUGCCCUAUCAUGAAAUGCACAUAUUUUUAUAGAGAUUCUAUAUUUUGACUUUUUAGGAAAAUCAAUAUUUACACUCCUUGUCAUCCGAGGAAUCGAUGAAAAGGAAAUAGGUGAAUUAUCGUCCAUACAUUCUAUCAUCAUUUUAACACAAUUAUGGUUUGAAGCUUACAACGUCCAACAUGAUAUCGACCAAAUCACCCAAGAAGACCGUUGCACUUAGUUAAAGAAAACAGGAAAAAUUUGUUGAAGUAACUGGGGCAAGCCCUAAGGGAUGAGUUUUUUUUUUUUUGAUAAACUAAGAAAUAUAUUGAAAAGAAGUAUAAGGGAUACUUCAACCUAAUACACCUCUAAGGAAAGAGUGACUCGAGGAAAGAGAAGUUGUCACGUGAGCUAUGGAGAAGCAAGUUGAACAAAGAAGAAAAAGGCCAAAACUCAAUAUUAUCUCAUCAAGUCAAAUCGGACAACCAUCUACCAACCAAAGACGUUCAUAUAAAAGGAAGAAGAUCCACUGCUCGAGAAAUCCUACAUCAGGGCCGUGUAAAGCUUUCUAAUAAUUAGGCAAUUGCCUAAGGCCCCAAAAUUGAUUAAGGCCCCAUUUUUUUUUACCUAUAUAAAUAUUCUAUUGAGACUUAAAAGAGGUAAUAGAACAGUGAAAAAUCAUGUAAUUUUAAUCUCAAUAUAGGCAAUGAAAUGUGGAAAGUGCAACUUUAACAGUUAUUAGUAGUAGUGUUUUAAAUUAUCAAAUUUAUAUUUUCCAAAAAACUAAUAAAUUAAAUACCCGUUAUUUUUACAUUUUCAAAGUUAAAAAACUAAUUGUGUUUACUUGUAAUCGUUAGUUUUUUUUUAAUUAUAUAUUUGUAGUUUCACUCAUUGUUUUUUUCUCUAAAACAAUCUAUUGUUUCUACCUUGAAGUGAAUUAUCAAAUAAGAUCCUUGAUAUUAAAGUGUUGCAAAAUCUUUCAGUGUUUCAUUCCUUACGUUUCAAGUUCUAUUAAAAUUUUAGAUUCUUUUCCAAAUGUAUAUAUUGUCUAUCAAAUUUUAUUGACAAUCCUUGUAACGAUUUCUGCUGCUAGAAGAAGUUUUUCAAAAUUAAAAUUUGUUAAAUCAACAAUAUUUGUACAAAAUAACUUGAAUAAUUAACUGUCUUAUUUAUGGAAGCGAAAUGUUAGAAUUAUUUCAUUAUAACACUCUAAUAAAUGAUUUUGUAGCUCCGACAGCCUAGAAGAUUAAUAUAAAAAUUAAUAAUUUAUAUGAUACAUUUAAUCUCUUCAAGAUUCUUAUCAAAUUAAAAAAGUCUGAAAUUUUCGCCUUAGGCCCCAAAUUGUCUCUACACGGCCCUGUCCUACAUAACACUCGGAUAAGCUCUUGAAAAGCAUCCCUGCAACAAGUACAACAAUGGGCAAGAGCAUUAAAUGCAAGACAUAUAAUCGUUUGUACUUGGGAGUAACAUGGACGAUCAAGCAUCAAGGAGACUCAAUGUUCAACCAUCUACAUGAAGAUAUAUAUAAAGAAGACUUGUUUUACUAUAAUAUACUAUUGUCGGGAAAUUGACCCUCGCUUGCCUUGUUUGUAUGCUUGUGUUUGGGUGGCCGACAAUCGCCAGAGGAUGGAGGACCUCUUGUUAGGAUUACGCCACUUGGGGCGAACCCGAGAUGAACCCGUUGCUCGGCUGGUCGGUCACAACACCAGGUGAUCGACGUUUUCAAAACGAGUGAUCGAGGACGCGUAUGAUAUGCAUGGAUAUUUGCUAGAGAGCGUUCCUCGCUGGACGACUGUGAGCAUGAAACUACCUCCACAGUGGGGAGCUGGAGGAGUUGUACCCUCCCGCUGCCCAGAUCACCACCAUUGAGAUUGAUUCGUUAGAGGUGUCUUCUUCCAUUGUUGUCGCGCCUCAUAUGUCGAUUGCCACUACUCCUAGAUUUUGUACCACUUUCACCCAUCCGCACCAAUAGGAACAAUCCUGAAGAGGGAGCCACCGUCACCGCCACCAUCCUCGUACUAUACCCAGUCUUCGCCUCUUCUCUAUCGCAUUGCACAUCUGGUACACCUUGAGGAGAUGAUUGUUUGGGUAGAGGUCACAAACAUGGAGGCGAGGGAGACUGUGAUGGAGGAGAGAGUCGCAAUGGUAGAGAUUAUGGACUUAGAGGCAGAGGUGAUCAUGAUAAAUGAUACUAAUGACGAGUUAGACUUCUUUAGUGACGAGGAGAUGUUGUAGAGGUUGGGUAGUUUGUACAUAGGAGGUUAGUGCCUACUCGCGGUAGUAAGGCGCUAGUGCUGACCAGCACAUGUCUGUAUUUUGGGGCAGGGUAGGUCCUUGACAUAUUAAAUUUUGUGUGGUUCUCUUGCAUGAAUCACAAGGAGUAGUAGGACGUAGGAGUCUAGGAUGGAGGUAAUUUUUGGCUGACUAUUUCUUUUGAGCAUUGUAAUAUAAUUAUGUACUAUGUUGCUGACGACUUGACUAUUAUUGCCUUCGUGCUUGUUGUAUGUAUGGUGAGUUUAGUAUGUAUGUAUGUAUGGUCUUAUUAUGCAUAAGAUGUUUGAAUCUACUUUGGAAAAGAAACAAAAAAAUAUCUGCAUUUACGAACUACUUAUGAAAACUGUUGCAUAUUUAUUUUGAUAAAGGUUACUAUCGAAAGUCGGGGCGUUACAAGUAUGGUGGAUUCUAGAAAGUAAAGGUUUUGUACUUAAGUUGUACACGUGACGUACCUCCCCUCGUAUGUAAAUGAAUUCAAGUCUUAGAUGUUGUUCCUUUGAUCAUGGUUGUCUACAUUUUAGCUAAGGAAUGUGUUCUAUGUCAAGAUGUAGAACCAGAUGUUCUAGCAUCUUGGAUGUAAUAUUUGUCCCUGUGGGCCUAUUGUGUGUUAAGUGAUUUAUUCUGGAAGCUUUGAUUGUUUGCGUGGUCAACAAGUUAGGGUUGUUGAAGGAGAUUUUGUGUGCUAAUUAGAGAAUAUAUUAAGUGUGAUCAAAUCGGCUGCUUGGAUUUGAUUUGUGUUUAUUCUGUGGAAGUUGUAUCUUUGCACUAAAAUCUUCACGUUAAGAUUUGUUGCUAUUUUUAAAGAUUCACUUCCUGGUUUGUGUUUGUGGACUCUUUGUUCGUUCAAACCCAUCGAAAACAAUGCCCGAAGAACUGCUAUAUGAGAAGACCUAAACCUAGUUGCUAGGUGCGCUUUGGUUGAGAAAUUUAGGGUUUUACUCUCUUGAGUUCAUAGUGUGUUGUGUAAGACCCCGAAAUAAAUAACUAGAUUAUUUAUUUGUUUUUGUUAUAUUAAAUGAUUGAAUGUUUAUAUUCUAUGUUAUUCUCCUGACUUGAACCCUAUUGCGAGUCAUUAAUAUUAUUUAUAUAAUAAUUAAGUUCGGAGUAUGUUUAAGGAUGACACUAUAGUCAUUUUGAGUGAUAGCACAAGUCAUAUUCGCACCCGACUAAGGUCGCGAGUGUUCGAAAAAGGCUAUAUCCGCUCCUAGAGCGCCGGUUAAGAUAAUUUUAGAAUUGAAGGGAGAAUAAGAACAUCUGAGUAAUUUUCCCAUGACCAGUAUUCCAGUACGAAACCCUCGACUGUAAGCACGUUAGGUUUUGCUUCCCGGAAGUCUGCCGAAACUACACUUUAACUUCUCCGGGACUUUAAUUAAGACCCUGAAUGAAGAUUUUUUCUAUUCGGAGCUUCUAAUGAAGUUUCCAUCUGCGUUGCCUCAUUCCUUUCGACGUUUGUGAUCUUUUUCCAGAAGGAAGUUUCUUUAGCCGACGUCGACUGCAAAAAGUAGUUUUUCGGCGUAAAUCGACCCACAUUGUCUUUGAGACGUUUUCCUCAAUUAAAACAACCGCGAUUUUAGUUCCGACAUUCUGUCGCCGAAUACUCAAUUUUUAUCAGCAUAUGAAAGUACCAAAAUGAUCGGAACCACGAAAUCUCAAUUUUUCAGAUUUGCGCCUCGCCUAUAAAAAAGGGGAAAAUGAGAGAUUUUUCCCCAAGAGUGGCCGAGAGCUAGAGAGAGAAAGAGAGGGGUGCAGAGCUUUCUCCGAUUCUUGCCGGAUCAUCCUGAUUUCAGAAGCUACGCGUAGGUGCAGAAGUAAGGAUGAUUAAUCUUACUUCCGUUUCUUCUUUCUGUCGGAUUUUCUCAUGUCUUUCCGUGCUCAAAGUUUUGAGCUUAAUGAAAAAAUGUCUGAUGGCUUUGAUUUUUCUUUCCAAAUACCUUCCCCACUAACCCAACAUUCUAUAACUGUUGUUGGUGCGCUCGGAUUUUCACCGAGUCGCCGUAGAUCUGAAUUUCUUAGCCCAAAACUCAUUUUCACUCAGACUUUGCUUUUUGAUUAAAAAGUUCUUAAUAUUUCUUAGUGCCUUUGAGAUUAGUUGUUACUAAAGGCCUUGUUUAUCGUUAUUCAAAAUUUGUUUCGAAAAAUAUCGACCCAAUUCACAGUUUAAGUUCUUAAAUUUUUCUGAGAGUUUCCCUGCCCUAGAUAUCACCUGAGAUUGCCUAUGAAUUUUAUUAGAUCGAAGAAAAAGUUUGGGAAACCCUAUUUUUAAUAGUGUCCGAAACCUGUUGGAGUCGUACCGUGAUCAAAAUAAUUUUUGGGUUUGUAUGGCCUGAGCUAUGGCGUAGCUCUCUCUGUUGUCGAAAUUUUGGCGUUGGUUUCGUGUCAUUCCGAGUUCUGCAGCUCGAGUUAUGCGCGUUUUAGCGUUAUUGGAUUGUAUUGUUCAUUCGUGCCUAGAUGUCGAACUCUGAAGCUUUGAAAGGUUCUUUCGGUUUUGUUUAGUGUUAUUGGAUUGUAUUGUUUCUUAGUAACUAAGAAAUGAUAUUUUGCUUAAGGUUUGGAACGAGUUGAGCUGAGGAAAGAGGUUUUGGAACAAGCUGUGAGGUUUCACAACGAACGAAGACGCACCGGGGAACUUGCUGAGUUUGAGAGUUUGACUUUGGAUCGUAUUGUGAUAUUGAGCUUGGAAGGAGAAUAAAAGGUUAGGGUAACUCAGUAUAGAGUGUCUUUGUGUCUUGCAUGAUUUAUCCGCACUACAUGCGAUUGAGAUGAAGAUUAUUAAAUUGAUUGGCGUUAAUUGAAAUAUUGGUAUGCUUUCAAUGUUGUAUGCUUGCUUAUGUUGACUGUUUCUGAGGCUUGUGCCAAAUAUUUUCUGAGGCUUCGACCAUUGUUAAACAAUAGAGACGUGCAUCUCCGUUUUCUGAGGUUUCGGCCAUUGGUUAUUGUUGAAACUCUGACUUGAUUAUUGGACUGAGAAUUGUUGAUGUUUUGAUUGUUGCUAUGGUUUAUGUUGGGCUGGUUCACAUACUAAGUAUGUGCUAAAUAGUUAUGUGAUGUGUUAAUAUUUGUGCACAUGUUUUAUUGGAUUGUAUUGUGGGGCCUGUGUGGCAUAUUGUGGAGCCUGUGUGGCAUAUUGUGGAGCCUGUGUGACGUAUUGUGAGGCAUGUGUGGCGUAUUGUAGGGCCUUCGUGGCAUAUUAAGUGGCAGAUCAAUGGUUUUCGUACUAGGUGACUGUCUUGUCUUGCGAGACGCUUUUGAUUUGAACUGUCUUGGUAGUAACACAUAGUUGUACUACGGGGCACUUAUAUUGUGGAUAUAUAAUUUGAUAUUAUAUUGUUGAGGUUGUGGAUAUCUUAUUUGAUCAUAUGUUGUUAAGGUUGUUGAUACCUGAUUUGACGUUCUAUUGUUGAGUGUAUUGUUAUAUGAUUUAAACCUAAGUUAUUAUGUUGCUGAUAUCUGAUUAAAUCUAUUUUGUUGAUAUCUGAUUUAAUUUUAUGUUGUUGGAUAUAUGUCGUCAUCUACCUGCGGGAAAGGAAAAGGGUGGCGAGGAAAAAGGUGAAGGCAACAAACAUAGAGAGAAGAAGGAAAGUCGGUGGCAAAGUUGGUUAAGGAGCAGAUGUACCCGCAGCAAGAGGCUUUAGACCGCCGCUAACGGUGGCAGCCGCCGGCGAGAAGAGGACAUGGAGCUCAACGCGCAUUUGACGGAUAUCCUACGGGAGGUGAAGGCCGCACACAUGGUUGGGGAAUCCGACCAGGCAGAGCCCCCACCGCACAGUGGGAUCGACACAACCAAGUGGUGUGAAUACCACCGGUCGGUAGGCCAUGACACUGAUGAUUGCUUCACGAAGAAGGAGAUAGAGAAGUUGAUCAAGAUGGGGUGGCUGAAGAAGUAUGAUCGGGGAAGCCGCCAGCAAGGGGAUCGCCAGCAAGGGGAUCGCCAGCAGGGGGAUCACCGACAAGGAGACCGCCAACAAGGAGAUCGCCAACAAGGGGAUCGCCAGCAGGCGGCGAGGAAGGACCAAAAGGAAACUUUGGCGACCGAAAAGCAUGGAGAUGAAGAAACCUUCAACAAGGAGAUGGAGCCGGCGAUCGACACUAUAAACAUGAUUGCAGGUGGGUUUAGAGGCGGCGGAGACAUCCAGAAGGCGAGGAAGCGGCACGUGAGAGCAGUAAGUUCAGUCCAGGAAAUUCCCUUUGGCUUCCAACACCCAAACAUAGUGGUAUCCACGGUAGAUUUGAGGGAAUUAAGUCGCAUAAGGAUGAUCAUAUCGUCGUCAUGGUGAGGCUCAACAACUUCAACGUCAGGCGAGUACUUCUGGACCAGAGCAUCUCAGCGGACAUUAUCUACGGUGAUGCAUUCGACAAGCUUGGGCUGACAAAUCACGAUUUAACCCCUAGACGGGAACCUUGGUAGGUUUUUCAGGUGAUGCAAAAAGUUAAACUAGGUGAUGCCAAAAAGUUAAACUAGGUGAUGCAAAAAGUGACAAAAUUAAGUAGCAUAGGGCAAGAAAUUUAGCAACCUAGAUAUUUGGGAGUCAGCGACUUCUUGGCGGCAUCGAUAACCUUCCCACAAUCCAGAAUAGGGAUCUUGGUGAAGAAAUUAAUGAUAAUCUUAUCAGUAUCGGUGAGGGAAUCCUCUGGCGGGUCAACGAUGCUAUUGAGCUCUUCCGUCCAGUAAAAAGGAAAGAGGGCGAUCUCGUCUCUCCAGGUGAAAACCUCGGGGUAGUCAUUAGUCACACCGAUCUUGAAGUACCUCUGAGCAAAGUUGGACUUAGCAUUGGACUUGAACGGGUUGAACCGUUUGCGGCCAGGCCUGGCUUUCAGGGAAAUCCAGCCACGUGACUGCAAGGACUUAGCGUCCACAUUGUAGAAAUAGAAGAAGAGAGUGGGCGAUGGCUCGCACUGAAUGGCGUUGCAGAGAAUUUCGUAGCACCUCAUGAAUGCCCAUGCGUUGGGGUGUAGCUGGCAGGGAGCGACGUUGAUGUCACUCAAAAUGGAGCAGUAAAAGGGGGGAAAAGGGAGUCUUAUCCCCAAUUUGGUGAACAGGUAAUCAUAGACGAAAAAGAAAUGGAAGUUGUGGGAGUCGCCUACUGGUCGAUGUCGCCAGGGGCGAUCGCCGUUCGUGCAGCCGCUAUAGAUAAGGAUAUUGUCCAGGGGGACUUCGUGACAAAAGCCCCCGAUCUCCGAGGAGAAAUCCGAAACUGAAUGGAGAUCCUCAUACUAAGAAGGUUGGUCGAUGGCUUCUGGGGAGGGGGGGGGGGGCGUUUUGGCGACAUGAGGAAGGAUAGCGAAGGUUUUAAGCCGAAAGGUCGUUACCUCUGAUAGCGCAAGGGGGACACCGCCGGGGUGGAGAGGCCCAGAUGACAUCUUGGGCGUUGGAACUCGUCGCGGAGAAGUCGGGGUAUCUCGGCGAGUAGAGUUCCUGAUUUGGCUUUUGGAGGCCAUUGGAGAAAAUAAGGAGGGAUAUGGAUUAUCAGUUCCAGGCACAGUGGACGAAGUUGGGAGCUUACCGGGAAAGGAGGUAAACAAGGGAUAGCCAAAGGGGUGGUAAGCAACAGUACAAGAGUGAUGGUAGGUCAAAGAUCUUUUGGAAGAGACUAGGGAUGAGAAAAGUGGAGGUUUCGAAAGUGGCAGAUGAUGGAGAAUGAAGGUCUUUAUUGGCAAAGGAUUGAUCACGAAUAGUGAUGGCAAUGGGUCUUGGACCCAUAGGGUACCCGCAAAAAAUACCCACUAUGGGUAGGGUAAAAACCCGCUAGAUGGGUAUGAGGUUGGGUAUGGGUAAUUACCCGUAAAAAGUAGUGGGUAUGGGUGCGGGUAUGGGGAUUAUAGUAUCUGAUGACCCGGGAUUUAAGGCUAUUUUUCUAGUUUAUUUGCAUGCAUUUUAAUAUAUUAUUUAAGAUAUUUUAGUCAUUUUAGGACACUUUAGGUUUAUUUCAUGCAUUUUAAUAUUUUUAUUUAGUUUUAGUAUUUUUCUAUAUUUUAUGUUAUUUUCUAUAUAUUAUUAGGAUUUAUUUACUUUAAUUUAGGAUUAUAUAAUUUUAUUUUAAGGUGCUAUCUUAUUUUAUCUCUUAUCUAUUUUUAUUUGUUUUAUUUUAGGAGAAGAUUUGGAGAAAAAAAUAAGAAAUCAUUGAAAAUUCGGAACAGAGCUUGGGAAUGUCUUAUCGAGUUGGUAUGUGCUAUAAUGCUCCUUUUAUGAUCACUAGGGCUUAAGGAAUUAAGGCUAGGUUCUUAAUUGGUAGAUUCACUUAGCUAAGAAAUUAGUAGGUGAAUAACUCUUAUCGGCAUCUUAAAUGUUAAUUUCAUCUUAUAAAAGUAUAUUGGUUGAGAAUAAGUUGUAAAUCAAGUGAACUCAUUUUCCAAAUACGCUUUCUUCUUUGUUUACCUCCGUGAACUUCUUUUAUCGCUUUAAUUAUAGUUUUUUCCUUUAUUUAAAUAAACCCACAUUUAACUUUUUAAACCAUUCAUCCAUCAUCUAGCUAGUGAGAUUAAUACGUAGCAACACAAUCCCUGUGGAGACGACAAAACCCGAUACUAUACUACGAUUGAGUCUUGAAAGGGAUUUGAUAGUAGUUAGUGGAGGAAGAAUUCUUCAUUAAAUAUCCUUUCAUCAGUAUCCAACCCGCCCCAUACCCGCACACAUAUAUUAUUAUUAUUAUUAUUAUUAUUAUUAUUAUUAUUAUUAUUAUUUGGUAAUAUAUUAAGUUAUUAACAAAUUAACUUAAGCUAUAACUUUCAAACUUACUCUUUUUUUUAAAAAAAAAAAUAGCUGAGUAUUUAAGGUAUUUAUAACUAUUGCUAAUUUACUCCCACUUAUUUUUAAAAUUAGUAAGUUAAUAACCUACAAUUUUAAGACUAUAUUAUAAAUUAUAAAUUUAAAGUUAUACCUUUCUCGCUUAUUGAUGACCCGGGAUUUAAGGCUAUUUUCCUAGUUUAUUUGCAUGCAUUUUGAUAUAUUAUUUAAGAUAUUUUAGUCAUUUUAGGACACUUUAGGCUUAUUUCAUGCAUUUUAAUAUUUUUAUUUAGUUUUAGUAUUUUUCUACAUUUUAUAUUAUUUUUCUAGAUUUUAUUAGGAUUUAAAUUAGCUUUAUAUUCUAUUUAAUUACUAUUAGGAUUUAUUUACUUUAAUUUAGUAUUAGAUAAUUUUAUUUUAAGGUGUUAUCUUAUUUUUAUCUCUUAUCUAUUUUUAUUUGCUUUAUUUUAGGAGAAGGUAGAGAAAAUUCUGAAUUAAAAAAGAAUUCUGGAGGCUGGAAUCAUGUGGAGCGCAAGUGCACAAGCUUAUCAUGAGCCUGCGCCUCUGAUCGUGACACGUGGAGGACUCUGGAAAUGAAAGCCCAGGAUCGCGCGAGUGCAUAGCUUUACAAUGGGCGCGUCCGCACUGAAUCAUCUGCUGCGCCAGAAAAAGACAAAAUAGGCCGAGAACACGAAAAAACACUAUAAAAUCAGUUUUUAACCUAUUUUUUGGGAUCUUUUUCAUCUUUCUUUUCUCCAAAACCUAAUAAACACAUUUGGGGAGACUUGGAGGCAAUUUCUUGGUGGAGAGGAAGGCUAGGCCCUUGAGGGCCGGUGUCAGGGCCAUGGAGGAGGUGACAGCUUCUCCGGACGUCCAUGGCUCCGUUCUAUUUUGGGUUUUGUUUUUCUCUUUACCUAUUUUUGUGUUGACUCUCUUUUAGUAUUUGAGAUGACUUAAUUUGAUUUUCUCUCUUAUUCAAUAUACUUUUAUGCAAUUAUAAGUAUGGAUUUUCAUUAUUUGGUGUUUCUCUCUAUGAUUAAUGCUUCAAUUGGUUAAUUGGUGUUCUAAAGAGUUUAUAUUAAUUCAUAAAUAGAUUGGGAAAUUGAUAUGGGUUAAUGUAGGCUUAGUUCAUAAAAGGGGAAAAAUUUAUAUGUCUUAGGUUAUUAAUUCUCUUUGCGCGUUCAUGUAUCUUUUGUCAAUAUGAUGAUUUUUAGGAUUUGCAUGACAAUUGAAAAGUUGGUGUGAGUUUAGUUAAUGAGAGAAACCACUCUUGCAUCAGUCAUCUUAAGAAAGACAUGUCUUAGGUAGGGUUGAGGUUUUCUAGGUGACAAUAAGAGACAUUAAAUCUUAGGUAUGAAUAUCAUGAGUUGGAAAAGAGGUCUAAACCGAGUGACUUGUCGGGAUACUCACCUCUCUAGGAUAUGAUUAUCUAGUAGGAACUAUUGGAAUUUCUUGAGUGACAGUCAGAGAUUCUAUCCGCUAGGACAUGAACUUCUUAGGUUAGGAACAGAGCUUGGGAAUGUCUUAUCGAGUAGGUAUGUGCUAUAAUGCUCCUUUUAUGAUCACUAGGGCUUAAGGAAUUAAGGCUAGGUUCUUAAUUGGUAGAUUCACUUAGCUAAGAAAUUAGUGGGUGAAUAGCUCUUAUCGGCAUCUUAAAUGUUAAUUUCAUCUUAUAAGAGUAUAUUGGUUGAUAAUAAGUAGUAAAUCAAGUGAACUCAUUUUCCAAAUACACUUUCUUCUUAGUUUGCCUCCGUGAAACUUCUUUUAUCGUUUUAAAUAUAUUUUCUCUUUUAUUAACAUAAAAUCACAUUUUACUUGUUAAAUCGAUCAUCCAACAUCUAGCUAGUGAGAUUAAUACGUAGCAACACAAUCCAUGUGGAGACGACAAAACCCGAUACUAUACUACGAUUGAGUCUUGAAAGGGAUUUGAUAGUAAUUAGUGGAGGAAAACCUCUUCAUUAAAUAUCCUUUCAUCACUUAUUCCUUCUAAAAAAAUAUGCUUAGUUGAAUGAUUUUACUUGUUAAGUUUUGGCUAAAAAGCAUUUUUGGCCCCUGAUGUUUCAAGUUUGUGCAAAUUCUGCCCCUAUCUAUUUUUGUCGAUGUUUCUACCCCUCAUGUUUUCAAACAGUGCACCGUCAGACGGUGCACUGUUUGAAAACAUGAGGGGUAGACGAUGCACUGUUUGAAAACAUGAGGGGUAGAAACAUCGACAAAAAUAUAGUAGGGGCAGAAUUUGCACAAACUUGAAACAUCAGGGGCCAAAAGUGCUUUUUAACCUUAAGUUUUUAGAUAAUCUUUUGUAUUUUUAAUUAGUGUUUUUUAUUUAAAAAAUUAGUUGUAUUUUUGUUUUCGAUUAACAAAAAUAGUGAAAAAUUAUAUUUUGGUUAGCUAAAUUCUGGGUAGUGGGCACGGGUACGGGCAUAUAAGUACCCAGAGGGUACGGGUACGAGUAUUCAAAUUGCUACCCACGCGGGUAUGGGGACGGGUACGAGUAAUUUUUGAAAACGCGGGUAUGGGGAUGGGUACUAUAGUACCUGAAGGUAUGAAAAACGGUAGAAAGGGGGGGUUUGAAUAACGUUUUCAGUAUAAAGCUUCCACCUUAAAGAUUCUGACAAAUCUUUCGAGAACUUAAGUGCUAAGGAUAAGAGAUAGAAAAGCACACAAGGAUUUUAUCCUGGUUCACUUGAUGAAUCACUCAAGCUACUCCAGUCCACCCGUUAAGGUGAUUUCUUCCUUCUUAGAAUGAAGGCAAUCCACUAAUCAGGUAAGAGUUACAACUGCACUUGAAACCUACAAGUGACUAACAAUUACACUGACUUAGCUCACACUAAGAUUCACUCUCUUAGUCUUCUCUAGGAUCCGAUCAACCUUGAUCUCCUAAAGGAACUAAACAAACUGUUUAUCAAAGAAUUGUUUACAAGAGAUUUGCUUCUAAAAAGCUAAUAGUAAACUCAAUGAAUUUCAGAUGAAAGAAAGCUUAGAAGAAUUUGAAUAUGUCUUGCGCGUAUGUGAAUGCUUCUAGCCGCUUCUUUCAGUCUUCAGCCUCUUUAUAUACUCCAAAGAUUAGGGUUGAGCGUUGCAUGGAAAAUGCUACCGUUGGAGGGCAGUUCUGGAAAAUCCAGCUUCUGCUAUGUCUGAGACUGUUAGGUAGGUCGUCAGGAAGGUACAGUUGCUUUUGUACUUGGAUAGCGACUUGACCUUUAAACCUAGGAGACUUCUGAUCAGGGGAAUGCUUCAUAUUGGAACUUGUGAAGCCGGUUGAUCAGAGUCAGAGGGAAAGCCCAGAUCCUCUGACCAUUGUUUCUUCUGAUUCUGAACUCAGAGGGAAGAACAUGGUCUUCAGAGUAUCUUGCUUCUGGACAUCAGAACUUCACUAAUCAGCUUCUGGAUCUUCAGAGUCUUCUACACCAUCAGAAUAUCUGAGCCUUCAGUGUUUCUUGGUUAUCAGACUUUCUGGAUCUUCAGAACUUCUAGUGACUGAGUCCACAUCAGAGUUUGUAUAACUUCAGAACUUCUGAAGCUUUUCCACUGUUCAUACUGAACAUGGUGAAUGCGAAAGCGUUGCUUGGGUCGCUCUAUAUACACAGUGCUUCUGAUUUGUGUGAGAUUGAGUUGAGGUCAGAGCCUGUAAGUAGCACACUCAGAAAAACACGUUAGAGUACCACAAUUGUUCAUAUCAAAAGGUUAACUUGUAAUCAUCAAAACAUAGAGUUGUACUACUAGAUCAAAACUUGAUCUUACAGUACCCUACCCAAACCCUACCCAUUGCCAUCCCUAAUCACGAAACAGCCGCACAGGACGCGUGCAGGGCUUGAACGACUGUUUCAUUGCGUGCAGAAGAUAGGGAGUUGUGCCUCAUGAUGACAAGAGAGGAUGAUUAUCUUGAAAAAGAAAACAGCGCAAUCUUAGGAGGGGUUGUAAGUGUGGGGGUUGGUUUGAACUCUGCCCUUUAUGACGUGAGGUGACGCUUCAAAAGGUGGCAGUUGAGAUUUUGAAGAUACGCUGACAUUUCCGCUUCGCUGACGUGUCGACGCACUAGGCCACUAAGCGACCAAACUCACCACGAUCGUCGCCCCCCCCCCCAAGCGUGGCGAGCAAACACUCCACGGCCGCCGCUCGUGGGCUUGUGGACUUGUAAGUUUUACUGCUUUAAACGUCAUGUCGGCGACAUAAAUGUUUUAGCACAAUAGUACUUGUAGUUAGUCAUUUUAAUCCUUAAAGACACACUUAGCCAUCAUGCUUCGUGCUCGGUGUCUUGUGGACUGGUGGACUGGCCGAGCCCCUAGGGGUUACCCGCCAGGUGGCGGUCUCCCAGCCUAGAAAUUGGGCCUCCUCCCGCGAGGCCCAACCGGCCCAACAAAGGCAGUUAUGAUACACUAGCCCAGCUCCCCUACUAUAAAUAGGGAGCGGUUACCAUUUGUAAAGAGGUUUUAGCUCAUUUGAUCAAUACACACUUGAGAUUCAGUUAUUUUCUCUCUCUCUUGAGCGGUUAUUCUCUCUCUUAGUGCAAUCCUUCAAACUAUAGGUACUAUACUCUAUCUCAAUGUUCAUGGCAAGAACACUCAUCCUCUUUCGAACUUGAACCACUGGCUUCGCCCCUAGAUUAAUCGCCAAUAUGUGUGAAAUAAAGUUGGGGGUAUAUUCCAGACACAUCCUUAAUUGACCGUGCAAAGUGGCCUAAAUUCUGCUCUAGUAAUUUUCUCAAUCUUUCCUCCUUCUCAACAGUCAACUUGCUCUACUAAUUUUUAAGAAUCUGUCGCCCACCUACGAUCAAAAUCCACCACGUUCGUUUAAUUGAAACCUCUAACGACGUCACUGCCAUCCUUAACACGAAGCUGCACAUCCUCAUGCCCAACAACCGAUCCAGAUAAGCCAUCUACGCGUCCCAACAACCCACCACAACCCAAGGAAGCCAUCAAGACAGAACAAAGAUCCCUCACCAGUAAAAUAGAGUCGAACAAAGAUCAUAAUAGUGACAUACAUAUAGGAACGAAGGGAGUAGCUUAUAAGUUUUCUGUUAACUUAUAAUCUAGCUAGGCAGACGAAUCAUAGCGUAUGUGACUUUAUUUACAAUAAUUUUUAAUUAAAAAAUAACUAUAUUUUUUACUUUAAAAAGGUUUAAAAAUAACUACUUUCUUUUUGAAAAAAAAUAACUAUUUUUAAUGUUAAAGAUAUGAAAAAUAUAAUAUAAAAAGAGUUUAAUGGAUAUAAAUCACACAUGUAGGAUGGAUAUUGAAUAGUAAUACUCGUUUUAAUUUGAUUAAAACAAAAAUAUUUUUUAAAAUUUACCGAAAAUACUUUGGAUGUAACUUAGAAAAAUGUUUAGAAUGUACUCAUGCAUGUGGCUGAAGAAUAUAAUUUACAGGUCCAAUAAUUUAGAAAGUAUGGGCUACCCUAUUGGUGCCUCUUCUUUAAAAACAAAAUGAUAAAAGCUGCUGCUGCUGCUGCUGCAUGGUCCAAACUCCAAUCUGCAACAUUUAAGCUCCUAUGCAGAGACACAUAAUGUGAAGCUGCAGCUUGAAACUCACCCCUUUCAUUUCUUAUCACGACCCAUUUUAUUUUUGUUUCGGAGCGAGGAGUUAGUACAAACAGUCCUGACUAUGCCAUAUGCCAUGUGAAUUAAUUGAUCAGUAUCUUGAAAUAAUUGAAGAAGGAAGGGUAACUGCUUGGCUUAUGGAGUGUGCCAGAAUAUGCCGUUGAAGCUAGCCUCAUUGUGAAUUGUGUGGUCCUAGCUAGCUCACAGCAACCACCCAACGCAGAGACAAAGAGACCCACAUACGUACACAACCAACGCAGAGACACAAAGCUUCAGCAAAAUAGAGGUCCCAUUCUGUAUGACACAUAAUGUGAAGCUGCAGCUUGAAACUCACACCUUUCAUUCCUUAUCAUCACGACACUCAAGGGUGGAGGACACCAUAAUGUGGAGCUUGGUGCAACAGCCACUCUUGUUGCUACAUGUCACGGACUCACUAUGGGGACCCCUGACAUGAUAAUUUUAACAUGUGCGAGUUCUUUUAUUUUGCGUUGACAAAACAGAAUCGGAUCUCUUGAUUCUCUUUUCUGAUUCAUGAUUGGGCGGUCCUAGCUCACAGCACCCACCCAACGCAGAGAAAGAGACUUCAAGUAGUACCCACCCGGCACCACAUACACAAAGAAACCCACAUGUCCAAACUUCAAUCUGCAACUACAUUUAUGUAGUGUUUGGUACUUCAAGGGAACAAGACAUAAUAGAAGGGAAAAGAAUGACUAUGUGUUCUGUUUGUAAUCCCAAAUCAUCUAACAUAACUAUAAUUUUUAAUUACAUAUAUAAAUUUAUGUUUAAUAUUUGAUUGAGAAUAAAAAAUGAUCUCAAUUGAAUAUUAUGUAGAGAGUCUGUUUGUUAUCACUUAUUAAGUUAUUAUAUAAAAUAAUCACUUGUUUUUAAAAAUAAUCACUUUAUAUUAUUUAAGCUCUUUGAGUACGCUUUUGAUGAAAAGGUAAAUUAGGUUUUCUAAAUAAUUUGACUUCCGCUUUUUUUAAAAUGUUGAAACAAUCAUAAAAAUACUUUUUUAUUUAAAAAAACAUUAUUUUCUAAAAAUAAAUUGAAACAAACAUAAUCUAAUUGACUCGUUUGUCAUUGCUUAAAAAAAGUGAUUUUAUUUUUGAAAAAAUAACUGAUUUAUUUUAAGUGAUUUUUUUAAAAAGUAAAAAAUUCAUUUAUCUUUGUUUACAAAUAUAAUAAGUGAUUUUCACUUUAAGCAAUAAUUUUAAACUAUUUUUUUUUUUGGUACAUAAGUUUAAACUAUAUAGAUAUAAAAGAUUUGAAAUAUAGCGAGGCUUGGUUUUUUAUAUAUGUUGUAGUGACUGUUAGUGUAGCUGUGUCUUUUUUUUUUCCCCAUGUUUUAGUACCCUGUUCUGGUCUGCUCUUCUUUUUUCUUGCCUCUGUUUUUUCUUUUAGACUACUUCUUCCUUUAAUUUCCUUGGUUACUGUUAGCUACAUUGUAAUGUGGGUUUCUACACCAUGAUUAUGUUAAUAUAUUAGUUUGGUUUUUCCACAAAAAAAAAAUUACAGUAUUUUUUACCAUGUAAAAGUUUUAAGAAAGUGUUUCGUUCCAUUCCACCUUUUUCAAUGGAACCAAAAUGUCAUGUUUCUGGAGUCUUAUGUCAUGUUCAGUUUCAUCUUAAAAAUAUGACAAACAUGGAGUGAAACCCAUAAGUAUCUUUCCUUCCCACAUGUCUAUCAAAUGGUAUCUUAGGGUGUAUUUGGUGGACACGAUUAGCAAGCAAGAGGAUAGUGUAGUCAUGUCAGCUCUAAUAUGUUGUUUGUUGCGCUACCAGGAAAGGAUAACGCAAUCAUGUCCCUUAUCAUAUCAUGUUCAUCAUGUGUAUAAAUUAUUUCUUAGAGAGAGUAAUGAUGAAAUUAUCCUGCUGAUAGGAUAGGAUAGCGGUUUUCGAUUCUUUUUUAGUACCUUAACCCUAAAUUCAAUUAUUUCAAUAUUUAUAUUUUAUAUAAUUUAUAAUAAUAAUUAAUUAAUAUAUGAAUAUUAACGUUGGAGCUUGGUGUAACAACCAGUAGGGGUGUUCAUAACAUAUUAAAUCCAAAAAAUCGAUCCAAAUAAACUGAAAUUCAAUUAAACCCAAAAACAAACCAGAGUUUAAAUUUUGAGAUAAAUUCAUUGAAUGAUAGAAUCAUAUAACCGAUAAAAUUACAUCAAAUAACUUUUUUCUUUAAAACCGAAUCAAUCCAAUUCGCAAACACCCUAACAGCCACUCCUGCCUCAUUUUCAAAUUGAUAGCAAUAGUGUCGCAAAUGAAAAUUAUUGCUACAUGUGAAUGGGACCCCUGACUAUGCGAAUAGCAAUAGUGUGAGUGUCGCAAAUGAUAAUUUUGACAUGUGCAAGUUCUUUUAUUAUUUUGAAAAUAUGUGCGAGUUAAAUGGUGAAUAUUAAAAUUUAUUUUUCUUUAAUUAGAUAGGCACCUCAUAUUAUACAAGUUUGAUAUUUUUUUUCGACGACAAAAAACAAUUUUAUUAAAUGAGAGAAUGAGACAAUAUUUCUAUAAUUCUAAUAUAUUCAGAACUCAAUAUAAUUCUUCCAUCCUUGAAAAAAAAUAUAAUUCUUCCAUUUUUUUUCAACAAAUAUCUUUUUAUUAUAUCAUUUUCUGCAUAUAUCAUUUCUAUUCUUAUCUUUCUCAAAAUUGUAGUGGAUUUUUAUAAUUUGGAUGUAAUAGAAUUGAUUGAACAAAACAACAUUGGAUCUCUUUUGAUUGUCUUUUCUGAUUCAUGAUUAUUUUAUGCAUCUCAUAAACUGCAUUAUCAAUCUCUUGUGACUUUCUCAGAUUGUGUUGGGAGGCUUCCAUCCUCUUAUAUUAUUUAGGCUUUGUACUUGACAUGUUUUCUUAAUUUUUACUAGUGUUUUUUUACCCGUGCGAUGCACGGGAAAUUUGUAUGUCAUAUUUUAUAAGUGAGUCAAUACGUUGAUUACUUAAAAUAUAAUAAACAAAGAUGAAAUAGAAGAGUCUGAUACGCUAAGCAAAAUGAGGGAAAAGUCUUAAAUUGAAUCACUUGUUUGAAAUUCGUGCAGUUGAAUAACUAAUAAACAAAGAUGAAAUAGAAGUGUCUGAAAUGCGAAGCAAACGACUGAUUAACUAAUAAGAAGAUUGGUUAACGAAACCUCAAAUUCUCUCAAACAUAUAAGGGGACGGUUUUACGGUGUCUAAUAAACAGUAGCUGAGUUAAUCUGCAGUGACCGUGAUUAUGCGCGUCAUUUUCCGCUCACACGUUCUCAAAAACUUAUUUGUAGACAACAUUGCGCGUGGAGCUCGAAACCACCCCUUUCUCAUCCACAAUGACCACCUUUAGUCCUUUUCUAGACUUCACCCUUGAGAGAGCGACAUACAGCUGUGCAUGAGUAAACACAGGUCUCGGAAGGUACAAACCGACAUGAGAAAGGGACUGGCCCUGACUCUUGUUUAUAGUCAUCGCGAAGCAUAAAGUCACCGGAAAUUACCUUCGAGAGAACUUGAAGGGAAGACCAGAGUCAGAAGGCGUUAAGGUUAUCCUCGGAAUGUACUCAGUUUUACCCAGCCUCAUUAUAAACCAUUUAGAUCAUUCCUUCAUUUAUGAUCUACCAUACAAUUACCAUGUGAAAAAAAUAAUCUUAAAGUGACCAUUGUUUCCUUAUAUAAUUAGAUCCAAACUUUUCCUUUACAAAGUAAGAAACAACUUCUAAAGUAAUUUACAAUUGAAUCAAUAAAAGUAUACCCUUCAACAUAAUUAAAUUAAAUUUAACCAAUAUAGUUAACAGUACAAAUAAAUUCUCUCGUGUGUUGAACUCCAACCAUUUUCUAAAAUUACUUUCUUCCUGUAGAUUUUCCUUGAAUUAUCUUCAAAUAAGAACCUCUUCCUUUGAAACAUUCACAUAUUCCUUGGCUUCUUCGUAACUCCACCCCACAACUAAUUCUUUGGAUCCAUUGUCUUGUCAUGAUUCAUGACUUCAAAAUCCUGGUUCUUUGUAUGCUACUGUAACAACCCUUCAGAUUCGUGGAGUUGAGGAAUGUAGCAAGGUCUAAAUGAACAAUCAAACUGGUCAAAGUCUAUCACAUUCAUUUAAGGUAAUAUGAACCACCGCCCUUUUCCCAAAAUCUGUAGCAUCUACAUACUUUAAACACCAAGGAAAAUGCAGUAGAAAUCCAGAAAAACAGUUCAAGAGAUCAGUUAUGUCUAAAUGCGAUUUAAAACUAUCCAACACUGAUUACGCACUAACAAUAAAAGUAACAAAACACCCAUCUUUUUUUUCACUGAGGAACUAAAAGCAAGCUCCAGAAAGUGAUUUCUCAAUCGAAGAACAACUGAUUAACUACAUAAGAGAUUUAAUUCCUUAGUUGUCUGUCAUGUGAUAGACAAUGUUCAUUCCACGGUCCCACAUAAUAAGAACGAUUAGCUUGUUUAGUAAAGAAAAAAUAUUUGUAAAUAAAUCAUAGAAAUCAACACAGCCACGGAGCAAAACAAAUAAGAAAGACCUUCCAGCCAAAUGAGCAAACUUAUCACCAUUACAAAGUACAAAUUGAAGCUUUAAAAGGAGCUAAAAGUAGCAAGGGAUAGCUUAAAGAGGCAUUGUGGUUUGUUACUCUAGCUGUGAGACUCAAUUAGCUUAUCAGGUUGUUAACUUAUGGCUAUUAGAAUUAAGGAUUUCCAUAUAUUCACAAAGCUUCUAAAUAAAGCUCACUUGAUGUCAACUAACUACUGUGAAUGUUGAUUUCACAGUGAGAAAAAAUAACUUUGGGUUGAGGUUGUAUGACACUUCAAUAUGAAUAUGAUGUUAUUUACACAGUGCAGAACACAAAUAACUUCAUUACAAAAUUGAAAUUAAUGGAGUGAAGUAAAUACACAUUUGGAGUAUACAUUACAUCUACUUAUCUUGGGCUAUGUCUUCAAUUCUAUUACCAUAUUUGCAUUUCACAUAGAAUGGAAGAGCUUACCCAGAACAAAUGGCCAAAGAUGACUCAAGCCUAAAUUAACUUGUACACUUGAUGCUGCUAUCAAUGCGGCCUUGUUUUAAUAUGUGAUGCGUAAGCUAACACAAUCACUUACCUUUGACAAAUUCUUUCUAGAAAACCCUUUUGGAUUUGCAAAGCUAGCUCUAGGGUGAAGCUAUUCAUGUGAUUUCCAUGAACAAAAUUUCUCAGGUCAAUUAAAGUUGUGCAGUUUUGGGUGCUACUGCACUUUGGACAGAACCAAUCGUCCUCAGGAACUUCUGGCAAUAGAGGAUCGCAGCAAUCAAUAAGAGUACCAAUUCCACAGCCAAGGGAGCCACUUUCAUCACCACAAAUCAGCAUUAUACAUAAACCAAAUGGUGCUUACACCUGAAACUGUUUGGUUUAGAGAAUUAGAAAGAAAGGAAGAGAGAAUCAUGGAAAAACUAACAAAACACAGUGCAUUGAGCUCUGUGCAAUAAAUAAAAAAGAAACAAAUGAAGAAUUUAAGAAUUAAGAUCAUAACAAUAUCAUAAUAAACACCUAAAACUAUGAAAGGAGCAGAGCUGCCACUCACAUUUUUCAAGGAGGUCCUGUGUUCCCAAGCACGGGCAGAGGCUGAACCAACUCCUCCCAUGUCAGGGUAUUGAACCCCUUCUGCCACAGUGUUCUCAUGAUUCUCUAUUGGUCCCAUUCCUCUUGAACUUGAACCUGGUCCAGAUCUUGAUGAUUGCUUGGAAGAGCCAGAAAACUUCAGCACCAUGUCCUUCAAUUGCAUAUGCAGAAAGAAAGAAAUAAAAAAAAAUUAACACCAUUUGCAUGUAUCUAUCUAUCAAUCCAAAUAUUCAUCGUCAACAACAUUUUCACACAAAUCUGCAACUGAGGUGCCGACACAUAUAAUUUGCACAGGAGAAAAAAAAAUAAAGACAACGAUUAUAAGAAAAGCUCACUUUACACAGGAUCACGUGUGGUGUUACAAUGUCUUCAAUUUUUUGCCUCUCUAUGUGCCGGUGUCAGUGAUGGGAGCUCCCUUAUAUGGUUGUCAUGAUAUAGAUCUCAGCCUCAUGCAGUGUUGCACACUAUCCUAAACAUGGCCCAUACUAAAAAAUAAUCAAUCAUGUGAAUAUGAUCCAAUGGUUCUUCAAGCUCUCAAGAAUCAAUAGCAAAAUGAAAUAGAAGAGCAUUGUUGAAUAUUAGAAACAUGUCAUGUUGUAUAAUGGUUCAAAUAUCAUGUGUUAGAUGGUUCAAAUAUUAUGCAUACAUGUCUGCUAAUUGAUACUGAUAGAUAACAUGAGCAUGUGAAAUAAAAUGAAAGAUGCAAACCUCAAAUUGUUCUAGAGUCUUAUACAUCCCUUCAUGUAGUUUAGCCCUCAUGGUUGCAAAAUCCAUAGGCUCUUUAAUGACUGUAUAAUAAUCCUCAACCUUUAAGCACAAAAAUUCAUCAAGAAAAUGAAUUAGAAGGAGAAUAUGCCAAGUUAUAUCCGCAAGAUGAUAUGACAAAUUAUGAUCACACACCUCAUUUGGAUCAAUUGGUUCAGUGUUUCAAUGAACUUAAGCAUCAACACUUUUUUUUAUCUGAUCUAAAUAAUUGCUUCUCAUGCAGUCUAAAUGGCAAAACAAAGAGAAACUAAACUUCAGUGUACAUUAUUAGCAUUAUUUAGAAGAAAAAAUCAUACCACAACAUGUAGAUGUUACCUUUAACCUUAUAAUUACCAAUCAAGAAAUUAAGUAAAAAGGCAUAGUAUCAAUAUCAGAGGAGCAAAAAUUUAAGAAAUUAAAUGACCUUAUAAUUUCUUUAACCUAUUUUAUUAUAUACCUCCUUUAACUAUAUAAACUAAUCAAGCAAUAAGGCAUAUGGAGUUAACAUUCUAAAAGAGAAAAAUUAAACUAAUAUAUUCAUUGAUAUGAUGCAUAGUAGUUUCAGGAAAGACAAACUAAAGAAAUUAAAAAUUCUUACUUCUUUUCAAUGGCUUGCUUCUCAUACCUCUUUUAUGUUCAAGCUCUCUCAAGGAAUACCAUAAACAUCCUUCUCCUCCCGUGUUUGUACAGGAACAGAAUUGCAAAAGUGUACCCAGGAGGUCCAUGCUAUGCUGUAAAUGAACAUCUGCAUUCCAUUCAAAAUUGUUAAUUUAGUGCUUUAAUAAUAAGAUGGCCUUUUUAUGAUUUCACAAAAAGAAAAAUGCAAGAAAGGGUGGUGGGGAAUCACCUCCGCCACUGAGGAGGUGGCGCUGCUCUGGUUGCUGUUGUUGUCGUUCCAUGCAAUUACAACUUUUAAACAAAUACGAAGAUCAAAAUUGACUCCUCCCUCUGAUAAUUCCACCUUCUCUCUUUCACAGUGUUACUGUCACCAAUAGUUUGGGAAUUGAAACGAAUCACACACACAACCGACGGAGCCUGCAAAACCCUAGCAACCUUCCGCCGCCGCUAAACCCUAGCAACCUUCCGCCGCCGCCGCCUUUGCCAGCAUGAACCUCUUUUGUAAACCGAUGAGCAGUCAAUGAGAAGAGGUGAGAGGAGCCGCGCAAUUGAAAGAGGAGGAGGAAGAGCUUGGAGAAAUCAGGGCACAUGUGGAAAAAAUUUAACCGUGCAAGAAAGAGUGUUGA